UUUGGGAGUUUUUGUGGAUGUCGUUUUUGCAAGGUGGGACUAGCAAUCUAGGUGGACCACAAAGUGCAUAAUUCUUCAUGAAUGAUGUGCUAGAAAAGUUUGAAAAACAUCCUUUGCUGGGAAUUUCCCCUUCAAGUCUAUUGAAAGACACAUUAAAAUACUUUAGAUAUAAAAGCUUUUCCAAAGAUUUGGGAAUGACUCCAGAGAGAUUGUUAUUGCAUAAAUCCAAGAAUUCCAAACUAAUCAACCCAUCAAAUGAUUCAGGGAUAUGACCAUGUAGUAUAUUAUUUGAUAAAUCUAAUGAAACCAAAGUUUGAAGACCCCCAAAUGUGGAUAAGACAUCGCCCGUGAGAAGAUUCCUUGAUAAAUUUAGUUUCAGUAGACUCCUAAGAUUUCCAACAUCAAUAGCAUGUGAAUUGUGAAGAUGGUUUAAUGAUAAAUCUAUUUUUAAGAUAUCUUUGAGAUUCCACAAAGUUGAGGGUAUUGCAGAACUCAAUUUGUUGGAAGCAAAGUAAAGAUAUCCUAAAGAAGUAAUAUUACCCAAACAAGAGGGUAUGGAUCCAUGCAGCUUAUUCAACCCUAAAAACAAGUUGUAUAAUCUCUCCAAAUCACAAAGGCUUUCUGAGAUGGGCCCUCCUAAUUUAUUAGAGGAAAGACCUAGACUUUGGAGAUUCCGCAGUCCUCCUAUUGAUUUUGGAAUGAAUCCACUUAAUUUAUUAUAGCCAUGUUCUAAAACCAACAUGUUGCUUAAGUUACCUAUUUCCAUAGGAAUAGUGCCUUGAAGCUCACACUCUUCGGCAUAAAAGUAUUGAAGGGAUUUUGAAAGGUUCCCAAUAUAAGUAGGAAGAACGCCACUCAAUGGAUUUUCUGAAACUCCUAUGGUUUUCAAAUUCUUACAAUUCGUCAAAGAAGAAAGAAAGCUCCACUCAUGAUCAGUAGCAGAUCCUGUGAUCAAAUUAUUGUUUACGAUUCGGAACCAUUCAAGCUGUCUUAAGUUGCCAAGCGUUUUAGGGAUUGGGCCAGAGAAUAAGUUAUCUCCCAAGUCUAGUUUCUUAAGCAUGGAAGCAUUGGAGAUAGAGUUGGGAAUGUUUCCGCUAAGUUUAUUUCCCCCAAAAAAAAGAAACUCAAGCUUUGGAGCAUUGGUGAUGGGUGGUAAAUUACCUGUAAAAUAGCAUCUUUUAGUAUACAUAUUCAUUGAAUACCAAAUUCACAAAAUAUAUAAUACAUUAAAAUAAAAACUGUAAAACUUUAAAUCAAUUAAGAAUAGAAUUUUGGCAUGGAAAAAUGUGAUGAAAUCAAUUAGAAAGUUGAGACAUAAUAAGAAGUUUUGAGUAGUAAUUACUCAUGAUUUCUAUAGACAAAACAUAUAAUAGACUGAUAAUUUUUUUAAAAUAUUGUAAAACCUGAAAUAAAAUAAAAAAUAAAAGUUUGGCACGAGAAUGUAGCAUCUAAUCAUUCUUAAAAAUAAGACUAACACUGAAUAAUAAUUAGUUAUGAUUUGAGAAAAAAAUUUUAAAGAUGUAUGAUUUUUAUCUAUUGGGUUAAUUAUUUAUUUUAAUUAAAUUACAGUGUAAAAUUUAAAGAUUAUUAUUUGCUCAAAAUUUUUGUAUUUUUCGUAUAUUUGAAAUUUAAUCUUUAUAUUUUUUAUUUUCUGUGAUUUAGUCUCUUUACUUUUUGAAUUGAAAAUUUUAAGUUUAUUUAUUAACACUGUUAAAAGGUUUUUGUGUUAGUAUGGCAUUUUAAAAAAUAAAAUAAACUUGAUAUCUAUGUUUUUAAUUAUUCCAAAUACUGUUUUACUAUUCCAAGAUAAAUUAUUUGUGUCUAGACCAAUAUCUUAAGAACUAUUGUUGCAUGUUUAAUUAUUCUAAAGAAUUGUUGAUUGAGACUUAGUUGAAGUGCACUAUUUUCCUAUUUAUGAAUUGGGGAGUUGGUAAAGUACUAAAUUUUGAUAUAUUUUAAAAUAUUAAAAAUUUAUUAAAAUAUUUUUUUAUAAAAAUUGAUUCUACCACAUUAUACAAUUUUAAUAUCAAAUUUUUAAUUUUUUUAAAAUAUUAGCGACUACCACAUUAUACAAUUUUAAUAUCAAAUUUUUAAUUUUUUUAAAAUAUUAGCGAAUAUAUACUUUAUUUCAAGUUACACAAUUUUUACUAGUUUUUAACUUUUUUUUUAAAUUUUUAUCCUCUUUUAUAAUUUCUAAUAAUUUUUUAUAAUUUUUUACAAUAUUUACAAUUUCUAACAAUUUGUAAUAAUUUUAUUAUUUAUUACAAAUUUAAAAAUUAACAAGUUUUUAUUUUUAAAACAAUUAUAUAUUUAUAAUGUAGUUAUUUUUUUAUAAUUUUUUUUGAAAUUUUAAAGAUUUUUUUGGUUUUUUUUCUAGAUGAUGAUGCCAUCAUGAUGACAUCAUAUGCCACAUGGCAAUUUAUAAUUAGUUAAAUAUCUCAAUCUAUUUUUUAACGUCCAAUGGACUAAAACAAGAACACCUGAUAAUGUUAGAGACUACACUGGGAAUGUUUGAUAAUAUCAGGUACUAAAGUGGGCAAAAAAAUUAAGGACUAUAUUAAAAAUAUAUCUANNNNNNNNNNNNNNNNNNNNNNNNNNNNNNNNNNNNNNNNNNNNNNNNNNNNNNNNNNNNNNNNNNNNNNNNNNNNNNNNNNNNNNNNNNNNNNNNNNNNNNNNNNNNNNNNNNNNNNNNNNNNNNNNNNNNNNNNNNNNNNNNNNNNNNNNNNNNNNNNNNNNNNNNNNNNNNNNNNNNNNNNNNNNNNNNNNNNNNNNNNNNNNNNNNNNNNNNNNNNNNNNNNNNNNNNNNNNNNNNNNNNNNNNNNNNNNNNNNNNNNNNNNNNNNNNNNNNNNNNNNNNNNNNNNNNNNNNNNNNNNNNNNNNNNNNNNNNNNNNNNNNNNNNNNNNNNNNNNNNNNNNNNNNNNNNNNNNNNNNNNNNNNNNNNNNNNNNNNNNNNNNNNNNNNNNNNNNNNNNNNNNNNNNNNNNNNNNNNNNNNNNNNNNNNNNNNNNNNNNNNNNNNNNNNNNNNNNNNNNNNNNNNNNNNNNNNNNNNNNNNNNNNNNNNNNNNNNNNNNNNNNNNNNNNNNNNNNUACAAUUAUUUAUGAUGAUGUUGUUGUCAAUUCCUAAGUUAGUGUCGAGUUAAUUUGUGACAUCAUAAAUUUAAGUGAUAAAUUUAAGGUUUUAUGUAUUGAUGCGGAUUCAAAUAUCACCAUAAUUUUUUUUAAAUAAAAAACUAAAGUACCCUCAAAUAUUAUAACUUAUAUUAAAUAUGAAAGGGUAUUUUUGUAAUUUCUCUAACAAGUUGGUGCCCGGUUGACUCAUGACACCAACUCAAUCAAAAGCUUCAAUAAUAAUAUAGAUAUUCACGUUAAAAAAAAGUACUUUAGUUCCAAAUAAUUAUAUAACAAGUAAAUUUAUAAUUGAUGAAUAAAUUUAUAAAAAUAUAUUUAUAUGAUCUAAUACAUUAUAUUUAUAUUAAUUAUAUAUCAUCUACAAACUUUGAAGAUCAAUUCAUUAAGUAUCAAGAAAGGAAAAAAAUGAAAUUGAAUUAACACUAAAUCAAUUUUUAGAUUUUGUACAGAUGAUUUAAUGAUGAUAAAAAAAUUAUUAGCACUAUUUUUGAAUUAACAAAAAAUUAGUGAUAUAUUUUAAUUAUAUUUAUUAAUUAUUAUUUUUAAUAAUGUUUUUUUUAAUUAUAUAAAGUAAAAUUACAUUGUAUAGUAAAUAUGGUACAUAUACUUUAAAUAUAACUAGAAAAUUUAUUAUAUAAAUUAAUAUAUUUUAAUUAUAUUCAACCAUUUGAAUAACAAAUAAAAAAAUAAUUAGAAUAAUUUAUUUUUUAAAGUUUAAUGGAAAUUAAAAAACUAAAAAUUAAUCAAUUCAUAUAAAUUUUGUUNNNNNNNNNNNNNNNNNNNNNNNNNNNNNNNNNNNNNNNNNNNNNNNNNNNNNNNNNNNNNNNNNNNNNNNNNNNNNNNNNNNNNNNNNNNNNNNNNNNNAUCAGAUGAAAAUGAUAAAAGUAUAUGACAUAAAUAGAAGAAACAAAUUCAACACCAUGUUUUUGGAGUUUGGAAAAUAUUAAAGUGAAAAACAUACCUUCUAAUUUGUUGUCAUAUAGACCUAUUUUUUCGAGCGUAGUUGAAUUAAAAAUACUAGUCGAAAAUUGAAGUGAAAAACAUACCUUCUAAACUGUUCAACUAAAAAUACUUUAAGCAUUUUUUUUAGUAAAGCCCUUCAAGCUUAUUUUUUAGUAAAGCCCUUCAAGCUUGGGAAGAUGUUGACACAUAUCAUUAGGCAAAGACUAAUAGCCUUCAAAGAAGAAAUCUUGAAGAUGGAAGAUGGAACCUGACCAGAUAAUUGAUUGAAUCCUAAGCUCAAGAUCUCUAGAUUAGACAUGUUAACAAGUGUUUCAGGGAUUGUGCCUGUAAAUUAAGUUAUUAUUUUUCAUUUUCAGCCUUCGAACUCUCUGUAAGUUCCCAAGCCAUGAUGGAAUUUCCUGAUUAAGACGGUUGUAGCAUAAUUGAAGGAUCCUCAAACGAUGCAAUUGGCCCAAUUCUUUAGGGAGAUGGCCAUAGAAAUGGUUGCUACUCAAGUCGAGAGAGAGUAGAAAUGAAAGAUUUCCAAGGUGUGGAGGGAUAGUACCCCUAAGAUUCAUGCUUGUAAGAUUCAAAGCUGUAACUCUUUUAUGGAGGAUGCCACAAGAAACACCAAUCCAAUUGCAAACAGAGGUUGAGACCGUCCAAUUGUUUGGCAAGACAUUUUGAGGACCGGCGAUGCGAUCCUUAAACUCGAGAAGUGCAAACUGAUCGGAAUUGAGAUUCCUGACUGUCAUAGCCAAGCACGCAACAUGGUAUGAAUAAAGCUAAAAGAAGAUGAAAGCAAGUGUUGUAGUUCAUGAUUGCAAGACAGAAUAAGCAAAGAAAAUAAAAUAAAAAAAAGUAGGAAAAGGGAAGUUGAGUUAAUAAAAUAGUUUGGAUGAUGAAGAAAAGCCCAGACAGCAUGCUUUAAUAUGUUUGGAUGAUAAAUUUAAACUUGAUAAAUUUAAGACUACCCUAAAAAUACGUACAAAGAAAUUUCAAAUUUUCAAAAUAAAUACAUACAAAGAAGCGAAUUUUCAAAAUUUCUCCUAAAUUUCCUUCACAUUACUCCACAUAAUCCAUUAAAAAAACUUAAAAAAUAUAUUUUAUUAAUUACUAUAUAUUCUUUUAUUUUCAGAAUAAUAAAUUGUUUAAAAUAUGCUAUUAGUCCCUGUUAUUUAAAAGUUAAAAAAAUUCAAUCCUCCUAUUUUUCUAAUUUAAAAAUUCUAGUCCAAUCAAUUUUAAUUCCAUUAAAAAAUUUCAACUUAAUAGGUUUUUUAUUAUCAAUCAUAUGCAACAUUAUAUGAAGACAGUCUACUCAGCAUAUAUCCAAGUUUACAGAUUUUAAUAGAAAAUACUUACAAUCCUAAUGGUAGGACUAAGUUUUUUAAACUAGAAAAGUAAGAAGACUUAAUUUUUAACUUUUUAAGUACAAUGAUUAAAUUUUAAAUGUUGUCAAAGUACAAGCACUAACAAAAUAUUUUGAUCUAAUAAAUGUAAAAAACUUUUUAAACAAAAUAAGGUUGAAAUAAUCUAUUUUUCCUUGUACUUUGAUAAAAUUUGAGAUUUAGUCCUUAUAUUUAAAAAGUUAAAAAUUAAGUCUUAUUGUUUUUAUUUAAAAAUCUUAGUCCUAUCUUUAAUUUUAUUUUAUCAAAUUUUGUCAACUUUACAUAUUAAUUAAGUUUCCAUUAUAUGUCGUGGUAUCAAUCAAAACUUAAUUAACAUCCAUCAAUACGUCAUACAUAAAAAAUGCAAGCAUAAAAUGCAGUUAAAAGUAUUUGGGAUCUCGAGUGCAUCAAGUUCCUCCUUUUAUUAUUAAAUGUUUUAUUUUAGUUACUUUAAUCAAAUAUAUCCAAAUUGUAAUAGAGUUAACAUUUAUUGUGUAAAAAAUAUUUUAAACUUUUUGAAUUGUAGUUUAAUUCUAGAAGAAAUAUUUCAUUUAUAAAACUAUAAAACUUUAAAAAUAUUAACUCUGUUAAAUAAAAAUUAUUUUUUAAAAUAGUAAAUGUUAACUUUAUUAACACAAAUGGGUCUUUAGGGCUAAACUUCAGUAAUUGACGAGCUCUUCCACAAACCGUGGAUGAUUUGGGGAUAAAAACUUCAAUAAUUAUGGAGUUAUAGUGUAAAUUUGCCACUAUAUUAUAAGUGUAUUGAAAUUUAUCACUAUAUUUUAUUUGAUGUUUAUCAUUACACUUUGAAAAUAUAAGUAAAUUUACCAUUUAACUCAGGUUUAACUUUGCAAGUAAACUUAAAAUUUUAUUCAAUUUUGUCACUAAAUUUGAUUUGUUCAAUAUAGAUUUUGGUGACUUAAAACAAAAUUAAUAAAAAAUUAUUCUUCCGGAUAUCUUUUUAAUGUUUAAUAAUAAGUUAAUUUAUAAAAUAUACUUUCAUUGGACACAAGCCCCCAAGGCAGUGAAACACUGAUCAAAUUAAUUUGGAGUUAUCUUUUUUUCUAAAUAAAGUGAAUUUACGAGUUUUGUUUUCUUUUAAAAAUAAUUUUAAUAUUUUGGUGGAUAUCAAAAAUUAUUUCAGUAAGAAAUUUUAAUUCACUCGAAAAGUUAGUGUUUUAUUUCAAGGGUCAUAAUUAAUCAUUAGAUUUCUCAAUUUUAAAUUUUGAAUUUUUUGACAAUUGCGUAAUUAAUAAGUACCAAUUUUGAGUGUUGUAGGGCUAGUACAAUCUUCAUUACACAUACCCGACUCUUGAACUUACUCUUUUCUCUAGAAUUCAAUGUAGACCUCAAAUUUAUCUUUUGAAAAGAAUUUUAAAAUCGUAUAAAAGGUUUUUUUUGUGACCGAUCACACUUAACAAAAAUUUAAAAAUUAUUAAAAAAUAAUUUCUUUUUGAAAUUUAAAGUGAUCUAAAAACAUAUUUUUAAGUGUUUUGGACCAUCUAUUGCUGAUUUCCUUAUUAUAUUAAAUGUUUGCAAUCACUCCUAAAAUAUUAUGCGUGAGUUGUAACAGAGCAAAUCGUCAACGUGCCAUAUUGAUCAAUUGAUGCUGAAACUGAAGUUUUUGUUAUAUUGAUAGAGCUUGUCCUUCAACGCAUACAACGUGUUUAUUAUUUUUCUCCCUUCAAAUUGUAUGAUCUUAUUCAUUAAAUGAAUUAAUGAAUUUCCCUAUUAAAAAAGAUAUAUUUUUAAAAUUAAAUACUUAAAAAAAUUUUAAAACUAUUUAAAAGUUGUAAGCCUUAAAACAAUCAACAAAAUAUAUUUUUCUCUAAAAAAAAUCAAUAAAAAUAUGUUUAAAAUUUUUUAACAAUAAUAUAUUUUAAAAUUAUAGUAACGCUAUAAAAUAUAUAUAUUUACUAAUUAUAUACACCUUUCCAUACAUCCUUUUUCUACAUAGAAUUUCAAAAGUAAAUGUGAAUUAAUGUAGACGUGAGAAGACUUAGAGGUAAGUCACCCAACGAAAGUGUCCUAAACCGACUUACGGAAGAAUCAAACAAUAAUUUUGUAUCUUAUAAUAUAUUUAAUUACAUUUAUUAGUUUAUCAAUCAAAACUUAAUUAGAAUCCAUCAAUAUUUCACACAUCAAAAACCCAAACAUAAAAUUCACUUUUAAAUUAUUCGGGAAAUAUUUGUAUUAUAGGAAAUGGGUUAAAUUAGUUUUUUAUUAUUAAAUGUAUUAUCUUAAUUUUUGUAUUAGGUAUGAAUGAUAUCUCCUAGAUUGAAGCCAAAGCUAUUCUUGAAAGACUAAAAUUAGGAUUCAGAUGUGUUGAGAUGGAAAGUGGCAACACAAUGCUGAUUGAUACUAUUUGUAAUGGGUUAGCUACAAUAAGUCGUGCUGCUGAAGUAAAGCAAAUUUACGAUUGGUGUUCCAAAAAUUUGGGAAGUCAAAUUUCGACAUAUUCAGCGGAAUACCAAUAACGUUGUUGAUUGCAUAGCUAAGGCAAAUGGAGGCGUAAUUGAGCAGCUGGUUAUCUUGGAAGAUCCUCCGCAUUAUGUGAGAUGGUAGCUUGAAGAAGAUAUUAGAUAGUCACUGGUGAUUGAUGAUAAUUUUCAUUUGGACUGAUGAGCGCUUAAUUUUCUAAGCUUAUGUUCAACAAAAAAAAAAUUAAAUACGUCUAAAUUGUAAUAGAGUUAUCAUUUAGUGUUUAAAAAAUAUCUUAAAAAUUAUUUUUUCCAAUUGCAGUUCAAUUCCACAAAUAUUGACGAUGAGCCCGGACAUAAAAAUUACAAAAAAAAAAAAAACACAUCUAUUAUCAAACCAGCAAUCCAUGUCUAAACUUAAAUUAACAAAAUUCGCCACGCAACCCGGUACACUAUUAUAUAUAUAUAUACACACACUAGAUUUAUUCUAGAUGCACAUGUUUUAUUAUAUUUAAAAAUUAAAAUAUAUGGUUGACUAAGAUUUAGUUGAGUUAGUAUUGAUAUUAUUGUCAGUGUAGAAAAAUGUGAGUUUAAUCGUGCUCAAAUGUGUUUUAUCCUCCAAUUCAAGGGUUAGGAAAAGGUUAUUGAUAAUUAAAUUGUAUCAACUUUUAUGAUAUUAAAAAAAAAGGAUUUAUAAAUAAUAUAAGGAAAAGAAAAAAAGAGAGAAACAUAUUCAUAUUGAUGGGCUCUUUCAAUAUUAGACUUUUUUUUUCUAUCACAAGUAAAAAAAUCAAAGGUGAUAAUAAUUAAAUUAAAAUUUUUAAAUUAAAAAAAUAGGGGAUUGAAUUUAUAACUUUUAAAAUAUAAAGAAUGAAUUUAUAAGUAACAACAUAUUUUAACCACAUAAUAAAAGAAGUUAUGGAGAGGAUCAUGUAAAAUAAUGACCUGAAUAAUUUUAAACCUCUCAUCAUUGCAAAAAUGAAAUAAUAGAAAAGAAAUAAGUGUUGGGUGUAGUGGCAAGGUACAUUAUACUUCUAAGGGGAGAUCAGGGUUUUAGACAAGGGAAGAAUUUUAAACCUACUUUUUUCUCUAGAACUCAAUCCAAACCUCAAAUUUAUCUUUUUAAAAGAAUUUUAAAAUAUCUAUAUAAAAGGUGAUUUUUUUACGGAUCACACUUAACAAAAUUUUAAUUUUUUUUUGAAAUUUAAAGUGAUCUAAAAACAUAUUUUUAAGUGCUUUAGAUCAUCCUGUGCUAAUUUCUUUAUUAAAUUAAUUUGUUCAAUAUAGAUUUUGGUGACUUAAAACAAAAUUAAUAAAAAUUUAUUUUUUUCAGAUAUCUUUUUAAUGUUUAAUAAUAAGUUAAUUUAUAAAAUAUACUUUCAUUGGACGCAGGCCUCCAAGGCGGCGAACCACUGCUCAAAUUAAUUUAGAGAUACCUAAAUAUGUUUUCAUCAAUUAAGAAAUUAAAAAAAUUGUUGAGACCUCAUGAUUAUCUUUUAUAAUUUCAGGCUGAUCAACUAUUUUGAAAACAAAACGUCUUACACCAAAAACUAAAAAAUAAAAACGUCGACAUUAAAUUUGUUGGUAUGCAAUCAAUUUUAAGAUGGUUUUUGGAGUUAUAUAUCACCUUAGCAUUGACUUACUUUUCUACUCUUAGUCUUCUCCAACAAGUUAAAUAUUUCAAUUUUAACAACAUUGACAGGUAUUUGGGGUAGGGUCGAGCAAAAUUCAAUAGAAAUAGAUGAUAUACGUUGAGUUGGCUCGGCCAAGUCGAGUCGAGUUGUUCAAAUUAGUUAAAUUAGUAAAUUUUAGGGUGCAGUUAGAAUUUUUUGUUUUGAGAUGCUAAGAUUAAAAAAUUUCAGUUGCUAAAACAAAAAAUUUGUAUUUAAAAAGGCAUAAAUUAAAUAAUUAAGUUUUUCAAGUUUCCAUUUAAUCAAAGGUUAAAAGGACUAAAUUGAAGCUUUUUAUUUUUAAGAAAGGCUGAAUGCCAAAUUGCCCAAAGCCCAUGCCCCUAGCUAUACAACUAACUUUUCUAUGAUUAGUCCUUGGUUUGCUUUGGGUGGAAUCUUCCAACUAGCCUCAUCCUUGGUUUUACUUUCCAACAAUUAGUGUAUCACGAGUUUUGUUUUCUUUAAAAAAUAUUUUUGUGGAUAUUAGGAGAUAAUGAAAAUUAUUUUACUAUGAAAUUUUAAUAAAACUGGAAAAUAAGUAAUUUAUUUUAAGAGAUCACAAUUAAACGUUAGAUUUCCAAUUUUUAAAUUUUAAAUUUUUUUGACAAUUGCAUAAUAUUUUGAGCAUUGUAGGAUUGCCAUAACCUUCCCUACGCAUAAUCGACUCUUGAGCAUGAUGGAUCCUAGACCUUCUCCUCUAUUUGCGUACCACAAAUUGCUUCGAGUGUGGGUUCGGACAAUCACAAAUUAAACACAAAACCAGAAAUGAUUUAUUACUUUCAAUAGCAACGUAAUUCUCUCUCAAUAGAAACCAAUAAAAUUGUAAUUCCUAGAAAAUAAAAUUUAUUUUUUGAAAAUAUAUUCUCACUACUUUCUAGCAGAAUAACAAUAUGUGAAACUUAUGUCUUGUGUUAAUAGCUCUACCUGUACUAUCUAUUUAUAGGGAGAGACACGAGAAUCCUGGUUGAAUUAGUAAAACACAAAUAAUAUUUAUUUCAUAGAAAACAAUAUUCCACCCUAAGUGGAUCAAGUUUGUAUGACGCAUGGAUCGAAGCUCAAUCUAGGAGAAAAAAAUAAAGGAAUUUUCUUUGUAAAGAAAAUCUGAGAUUGUACUAUUUUCGAAGAUAUAAAUAAAAUUAUACGCCAAAUUUUCAAGUCAAUUUUCAACUCCAAUUUUGUAUGCACAAAUUUCUAAUACAGUUGGUGGGACAUUCUUUGACUUUUAUCUAUUCGCUCAAAAAGUUGAAGUUCAAAGUUGCAUUAAACUCAAAGAAGAUAAUCAUUAGUAAACCAGCUCACAAGCCUGCUCAAGCUAAUCCUACAACUCGUUCCACUUCAUCAUCAAACACCAAUGUUCUUGCUUAUCCUUAUGGAAUUAAACAGUCCUAUUUUUUGCAUUUUGGGUACACACCUAGUUUUGUUUGAUGCUAAAACAGUCCCCGAGCACUCCAAAGCCUAUAAUUGAACAAAUAACACUAAUUUAAUCUUACAUAACGUGAUCCCAAAUUGAACUUGUAUUGAGGUUUUAACCCAUAAGUGACUAAACCUUACCUUCAACCGAUGAACAGUAAUUACCACACAAACUAAGACUCCGAUUGGCGAUUACGAGCCCUUGAAUCCUCUCCUAAUUGGCAUAAACAAAACACUUCAGAAGAAAGUUAACAAACAUAGACAAAUCACUUAUCUAAAACUUAUCGAACAAUCACAGACAAACGUGGAGCGACACAAGGUAGAGUGGGAAAAGAAAAAUCAAGAGGAUGAAAGGUGAAAAAGAGCAGAAAUUCGGCAGCAAUGAAAAGAAAAACGGUAAAAGGGUGAAGGGAUUUUGGGGAAAGUAAAAAAAAAAAAAGAUGAACAGAAUAUUUGAUAACCACCCCAAUCCCUUAUUUCUCUCCAUCAAAUUCCCCACUAAAUCCACUACUCGAAUUUUUAGUCCAUCUCAAACUCUCCUAGACGAACAAGCAAAAAAUAAUGCCCAUGUCAAGAUUUGAGCACAGGACCUCCCUCACACCAACACUCCACUUAUCCACCAGACCAACAGACUCAUUCUUUUAAUUAUUUGCCAACUUUUACUUAAAAGCCUACUGACCAAAUAUAGGGCUUAUUCAUAAAAAUACCAAAUUUUGCCCAAGUCCUGGCUUGAACUUGCAACCUCCCAAACACACCUAGAACACAUAACCACUAAAGCAGACAAAAAUUUUGUGUCACACAUUCACAAUACCCAAAAUUAAAAAUUUGGGGCGUUACAAAGACACAUUAAAUAAUAUCGCAUAAAACAAUCACAGUCAAAUAACAGUUCAGAAUGUCGGCUUUACAAUUUAACCACCAAUAGUAUAACAGUAUUCACAGUUGUAAUUUCAGAAUAUCAGAUUUCCACAUCAUUCACAAUAUUCACACAUAUAUAAAUAUAUCACAAUAGAAUUCCAGAUUUGUAUGCACAUGAUUUAAAAGAUGCCAUACAAUUUUGGGUUUUAAUAGAAUAAAUCCUACCCCCUGUUACAUACCAUAAUGGGAGUUCCCCUAAACUCCCUUCUCCAACACACUAGAUUGUGGAUAAACCAUUAUUGUUUCACAAAUAAUAACUGCCAUUUGGCUGUGGACACACAGUAAGUUCCCACAAUUGGAUUCUAGAUUUGGUUGUGGGUUCACAGCAAAAAAAAUCCUACAAAUGAAGCCUGAUUUUGCCUGUAGAUUAUACAACAUAUACCCGCAGUUGGAACCUGUCUUUAGCUGUGGAUGCACUGUAACACCUCAAACCCGACCUGGACGUUAUGGCUGAAUCUUGAGGAUUUACUUUAACUCGCUAGAAAACCCACGAAUUUACUUUGAAAUCAUGUGGUUAAACUAGUGUUCACUUUGAUAAAUCGUUUUCCAGUUUUAGAGAAAAUUCUUGUUAAAACUGUUACUUUAUUACAAUAAAACAUUAAAGUAAUUGUAUCAUUUUGUAGUGGAAUCUACUAAGCUAUAAGGUUUUGAAAAUCGUGGUUUAGUUUGCAACAAACCAUUUUGCAAAUAGAGAUGUGUUACGAAAAAAAGUUUAUAAAACGACUUCAUUGUUAUUGGCAAAUCAUCAUAACCAUUAUUACUUAGUAUGUCUGAUUUGUUUGGAAAACUUAUUGAUAUACUUAUUUUAUUUAAAAUCAUUGCUCGCUUAUGCCUUUUUAUUAAACUGAAUGUUUUGCAGCGGAGUUUCUUUAAAACGUCAUAUUUUGGCAAAUCAAAUUGUUUCUUGAAAACCGUUAUUUUAGAAAAGUUUUCAUUUUCAGAAAAAUUAUUUUAUCAGUUGUUACGCUGAGAAAACCAACAUAAAAUCCAAAACCAAAAAUAGUCCCAAAAAGUCUAGAGUGUCCCAAAAUGACAAUACUCUCAAAACUAGACAAGUUUAAACUAAUUUUAAAAGAAUGAAAUUUUACAAAAAUGUGGUCACCACUGAGCUUCCAUCGCACCGACCCACCUAAAUCUGAGGGUUACUUGAACAGACCAAACAAACAGAGAGUGAGUUUUGAAACUUAGUGUGUAACGCGUAUAUAAACAAAAAUUCAGAAUCAAUCUCAUGCAGAACAGAUACAAAUGUAAACCUUUUAUAAAAUCAGAAUUAUACAAAUACAAAUAUAUAACAUCCUACCUCAUCCUCUACAUACCAACUCCGACCAUCCCAUUACACCACGUGGGGUAUAAAAUACCCAUCCAGCCCUACACAUCGUAUAGUGUUUAUAUGACACUUUUUUGAAUAAUCACAGCAGAGUUGCCAGUAUAUAGGCGAGAUAUCACCUCACACAGAACACUUCCUCCUCAUAAUACAAAUCCUGCCCCAUGGCCAGAUACAGACAGAAUAUCAUGUAAAACAAAUUAACAGAUACCAGAGUUAACAUAUCACGCGUGAGCGUAUAAUAGAUAUUACACAUGUUUAUGCAUAACAAAACAAAUCAUACAUACUGUAUUCCAUAAUACUCAUAUAAAUGUUAUUUACGUCAAUCUCAAUCUAACAGAGUAGCAGAUUUCAUUCUUUAACGCUUAUACCACACAUAUAGACCCUACGGAUGGCCCAUAGUCGAUCGAGACGACAUGCAUGUCCCUAGGGAAAAAAAUUGUAAUUUGGGCCCACAUGCCUAUAUGAGCCCACACGCCCAACAUGGCCUUGCCUAUGUGGCUCACCAACCUAGCACUCAGCCCAUACAGUCUAAAAUGGCCUAGUUCAUGUGUCACACACAGCCGUCUGUUGCACACGGCCUACCACAUAGCCAGUCACAAAACCGUUUGGAGUUGACAAGCCCAAUUUUUGGCUUUCGUCGAUCGUCGUUUUCUUGCGUUUUCAUUACACACCUGGUUUGAUUCUGACGCAAAAGCAACCCCAAGUCCACCGAAACCUAAAAAUAGCAUUCCAACGCCCAAUUUCAGUGAACAUUUACAAAACUCAAACAAAAACUAUCCAAAAAUAUAGCCUCACAAUAGCAUCCAACGCACUCGCACACUUACCGUCAACGAACAGGAAACACCCAAAACUCAAUUCGUUGGAGGAGAACCAAUUAUGAUAAUGCAAAAAUUUUAUUGAUUCUCAACACUAUCGAUCCGAAGGUAAGAUUGAUGCUUUCCAAUUAUGAUAAUGCGAAAAUUUUGUGGGAUGGUUUACCUGAAUUUUUUGUUGUUGUCAACGAUCAACGUAUUCAACAAUUAAAAGAAAAUAUUAGUCGUUGUGAGUAAAUCAAGACUAUGAGUGUUGUAGUUUUUUUCAGUAAAUUAAAGGUUUUGUGAGAUGAACUAGAUAAUAAUGAACCUUUGAUUUGUUGCAAGUGUGGACAAUGUUUAUGUAACUUAGGGAAGGCGCAUGAGCAACGUCGUGAGCAUGAUUGACUUCAUCAAUUACUUCUUGCUCUCUAUUCUAAUUGUUAUGCUCAAAUUAGGUCUACAUUGUUUUACCAAGAUCCUUUGCCUUCCUUAAAUCAGGCAUUCCAGCAAAUUACUUAGGAGGAACAUGUACGUGGAAUUACACUGAUUAAGGAAGAGAAGUCUGAUAUUUUAGGCUUUGCUGUGCGUACAGAGGGUCAUAACAAAGGUUGAGCUAAUUGUAUUGAUAAGUCAACCUUGUUGUGCACUCAUUGCCAUCGCAAAAGGCAUGAGUUGGCUACCUAUUUUGAAUUACAUAGCCACUUGGAUUGGUGGCUUAAGAAGUAUGGGAAGCCAGAGAUGAAAAGUGAUGAUCGUGGUGGUAAGACAAGUGCCACAUCUUCCACGUAAGUGUUUUAUUUCAAGGGAUCAAAAUUAAACAUUAGAUUUCUCAUUUUUAAUUUUUUUUUAUAUUUUCAACAACAACGUAAUUAACGAGUACCAAUUUUGGGUGUUGUAGGGGUUCUAUAACUUUCCCUAUAUGUAAUCGACUCUUGCACCCAUUUUUUUUUCUCUAGAAUUCAAUGCAAACCUUAAAUUAUCCUUUUAAAAGAAUUUUAAAAUCUCUUUAUAAAAGACAAUUUUUUUAGGUGACCAAUCACACUUAAGAAAAACAAAUCGAUGGCAACUCUUUUCCGAUAAGUGUAAAAAACUUUUAAACAAAAUAAGGUUGAAAUAAUCUAGUUGUCGUUAUACUUUGAUAAAGUUUUGGAUUUAGUCCUUAUACUUAAAAGGUUAAAAAUUAAGUCUUGUUUUUAUUUAAAAAUCUUAGUCCUAUAGUUAAUUUUUUUUUUUUGCAAAAUUUUUCAAGUUGACAUAUUAAUUAGGUUUCUCUUAUAUAUCGUGGUAUAUGACUAACACAAAAUAAACAAGUUGACAAAUUCUAUAAAAAAUAUCAAAGAUGAUAAUAGUUUAAUUAAAAUUUUUAAAUUGAAAAAGAAAGGGAUUAAAUUUAUAACUUUUAAAGUACAAAGAAUGAACUUAUUGAAAUACAAGAACUAACAACAUAUUUUAAAAUAUUACUAGUAAAUUAUAUAUCUACAACAAGAAUUGUAACCUCUUAUAUUAUAUUCUUGUAUCUAUUUUUGCAUCUUUCAUUAUAAUAUGAUUUAUUAAUAUUAAUAUUUUUAUAGAAUAAUAUACUUUAAAUAAUUUUUGUAUCAUUUAUAAAAAUUAUAAUAAACUUACAAAAUAAUUUAAUGAUAUUUAAUUAUUAACCGAAUAAAAUGAUAUCAUAUAUAUUCUGUAUAUAUUAAGAUUUCGAAUCAUUAAUUAUAUAUCUACACAUUAUAAUAAAUUCAUCUUUCAAAAUUUUCCUUCUAAUUAAAGCAUAAAUUAUAUUUAUAAUAUUAUAAAUAUAUUAUAUCAUAAAUAUUCUUUCAAAUAUUUUUUAAUGUUUAAUAAUAAGUUAAUCUAUAAAAUAUUCUUUUAGUAAAUUAACGUGAUGAGAUCGUUAGGUGCUUGGAUUUGGUGAAGAGGGAUGAAGAGAAAAGGGAUGGAAGUGAAUAAAAAUGUUGAGAAAUGGAAAGGGUUAGCGAGGGAAGCCGCCAUGAAAGGUGGUUCAAUGGAUAUAAACCUUCAAGCUUUUGUGGACGACGUUACUGAAGGUUGUUGCAAGUAAAUUUAAAAAAAAAAUUUAAAUUAUUUUUUUGUUAAAAAACAUUUUUUAUUUUUUAUGUGGCCCCAUAUGGAGUUGUUCUAAUCGCUGAAUGAUAGGUGGUAUUAUACCACCACUCAGCCAAUGGUAGCCAAGACACCCAUGUUGAUGGCUUUUCACCCACCAUACACUGUAGGUAACCUCCAAACACUUGUUCAAAAUUUCAGUCUGGCCAUCUGUUUAAGGGUGGUAAGAUGUUGACUUCUUCAGCUUGCUGCCCAUUUACUUAAACAAUUCCUUCCAAAAUUGACUCAAGAAGAUUUUUUCCUGAUCAGAAACAAUAGAGUUAGGAAUCCCAUGGAGUUUGUAUAGGUGGGUUAGGUACUCCUAAGCCACAGUAAGAGUAGUGAAAGGAUGAGCCAAUGCCACAAAGUGACCAUAUUAGGUCAAACAGUCAACCACGACAAAAUCUGUUGAUUUCCCUUGUGAUAGUGGCAGUCCUUUGACAAAAUCCAUACUAAUAUCUAUCCAAGCUCGUUCAGGAAUCGGUAAUGGUUGCAACAGACUAGGCGAGGCCGCAUUAUCGGGUUUGCAAUGCUGACAAAUAAUACAUUCUCGGACCCACUGUUUGAUGUCUGUAGAAAGUCCUUUCUAAUAAAACAAAGCAACUACCCAUUGGUGAGUGGCAUGAACCCCCGAAUGGCCACCCAUAGGAGUAUCAUGAAAAAUCCUAAAAAUAUGCUUACGUAGUGAAAUAUCAUCACCAACUACCACUUUGCCCCUCCUGCGCAAAUAGUUACCAUGCCAUGAGUAUUUUGAAUGUAAAUGUGGCUGAGUACGUACCUGAGUACUCAACCUAGAGAGCUUCUUAUCAAUUCCAUAUAUGGCUAUAAUUUGCUCCCAAACUUUUGACCUGACCAAAUCUGUACUCUCCUCACACUGAAGCAACUAACCUAUAGAGUCAAUGGGUUUCCUGGACAGUGCAUCUACAACAGCAUUUUAAGUCCCUUUGCAAUAAACAAUUGAAUAGUCAUAACCCAACAUUUUUGCCACCUAUUUCUGCUGAUAAGGAGUGAUGAAUUGUUGUUCAGACAAAAACUUCAAACUUUGAUGGUCUGUUUUAAUGAUAAAGUGUCUACCCACAAGGUAGGAGUGCCACUUCUUGACUGCCAACAACAUUGCCAUUAUUUCCUUAUCAUAGAUGGACAAGGCUUGGUUUUUAACUCCCAAUGACUUGCUAAAAAAGGCCACUGGUUUCCCAUUCUGUUGAAGAACUACCCCAACUCCCUGACCACUAGCGUCUAUUUUCACACAACAUAGCUCUUGAAAGUUUGGUAAGGUCAACACUGGAGCUUACCAAAUGGCUGUUUUGAGCUGCGCAAAAGCUGUUUGUUCUUGUUCUGCCUAAUGCUAGGAGACCUCCUUCCGUAAUAAGGCAGUAAGAGGUUUAGCCAUCAUCUCAUAUCCAUGUAUAAAUCACCUAUAUUACCUUGAUAACCUAAGAAACCCUCGUAAUUCCUUGACUAAACGAGGAGGAGGCCAGUCUAAAACAUUAUCGAGCUUAACUCGAUCCAUGCAAAUAGUACCUUGAGGGAUCACAUGUCCCAAGUACUCCACGUGUGUGGCUCCAAAAACACACUUGGACUUCUUAGCAUACAGUUGGUUUGUCCGUAACACUUGUAAAACCUCAUGCAAAUGACUUAAAUGAUCAGACCAACCUCGAAAGUACACAAGGAUAUCAUCAAAAAAUACAAUAACUGACAUUCUCAACAUGGAUCGAAAAUUUGAGUUUAUCAACGACUGAAAGCUUGAAAGGGCAUUGGUCAAGCCAAAUGGCAUGACCAAAAAUUCAUAAUGUCCCUCAUGGGUUUUGAAAGUUGUCUUGAAGAUACCUUGCUCACACAUACGAAUUUGAUGUUAUCCAGAACUUAAAUCCAGCUUAGAAAAAUAUUGAGCUUGCCCCAAUUCAUCCAGCAACUCUUUGAUAAUGAGAAUAGGGAACCUGUCCUUGACUGUUAACUAAUUAAGUUGCCUAUAGUCGAUACAGAGUCAACAACUUCCAUCCUUCUUCUUGACCAUGACCACUGGGAAGCAAAAUGACUAUUACUAUCCCGAAUAAUUCCAGCUUGCAACAUUUCCUAGACUAUCUUUUCUAUCUUAGUCUUUUGGACAGCCAAAUAUCUGUAAGCUCUCACUUUGACCACCUUAGAUUCGUCCACCAAGUGCAUUUUAUGGUCGUGUAAUCGAGGAGGGGGUAAAUGUGUAGGGACCUGAAAGAUAUCAUCAAAGUCAGGCAAAAGUCUUUGCAAGUUUGGUGGUAGCUCAGUUGAUUGCAUUGUGAGAAUAGUUUGAUCAUAGGAAGCCAGUAGCAUCGGACAUGGUCCAUUGCCCACCAAACUCAUACACUUAGAAAAUUCUCCACUAGGAUCAAUAUGCACUAAACCUGGUAUUGUACCUCUCAGCAUACAAGUCUAAUCCCCAUACUUGAAUUGCAUAGUUAAAUUGGAGAAGUCCCACACAAUUGGCCCCAACAAUAGCAACCAUUGAACACCAAGUACUAGGCCGAAUCCUUUUAUAGAUAACACUAAAAAGUUUGUAGUGCAUUUGUACCCCUAUGCCUCCCACAUUACAGCUCUGGAUAACCCCUGAGUAUAUUGUCUGACUACAUUGGCUACCAACACCCGCAAGCUUGGCUCGGGUUCAAUGGUCAAUUUCAGUCUUCUCGCCACCUUUAAGUCAAUGAAAUUAUGCGUGGUACCUGAGUCAACUAGGACCACCACUUGAGAUUGGUUAGUAACCGCUGGAAAUCUCAUAGUGGUAUGACCCUGUAAUCCUUGCAGCGCUCGUAAUGACAACACAGGUGUCGAAUUCCCUGGUAACACUUUUGUCGGUUCCAAUUGCUCGGUACAGUCCUGAAAUUCGUCAAGAGAAGGGCUCAUUGCUUCAGUUUCAAUAUCUCAUGAUGAUUCAACAAUCCACUGAUGCAUUUGGUAUUUCAAGCAUUUAUGGCUUGGUGACUAUUUUAGACCGUACCAAAAAUAAUGGCCUUUUUCCCUCCUAUCUUCUAAUUCCGUCUGAGACAAAGACUUAGAAGUAAUUCGAGAGCUUAAUUUCCCAUUCACUGUCUCACUCGCAAAACCAACACUACCACCUCCUUGUUGACCUCUAGGCAUGGGAAAUAAGGGCCGCACUAAGUUAGAUCCGUUGUUAAGAGUGCCUUCUUUUUUGAUCGGUCCAGCCACAAUAUUCUCCACUUGCCUUGCUGAAUGGUACCUUUCCACCAAUGUUUGAGGUUUAAACAACCUAAGAUAUUGGCCUAUUUUGGGUUUGAGGUUGCUAAGAAACCUCCCAAGACAGUUGAUCUAGGAACGAGUCUGCUUGAGAGACACUAACUCUGCCAUAGGAUCUAGGAACGAGUCUGACCCAAAACGUUCUCUAAGGCACCUCGAAUAAACCUCCCAAGACAGUUGAUGUACCCCCAUGCCUUCGCACAAAAAAAUGGUGCCAGUCAAGUGCCUUACCUUUGAGGUGUAGCAUGACUAUCUGGAUCUUUGAAUGGUCACCAAUUCCUUCUGCCUCAAAAUACUGUUCAAGCUUGGACCACUAACCAUAAAAAUGCUUACCAUUAAAAUGCGAACUGCCAACCCGAAAAGAGGAUCGUUCAGACUCCAUCAUAACUGCUCGUGAAGAUAUGCUUGAAUGGCUGAGAUCCACCAUUGGGGACACUAUUAAGUGUCCCUGAGUUCGAAACCCAAGUGGUGACCCCAAAACCCUUUUGCCCUUGCUGUUCACUGUAUUUCCUACAGUUGUUGGCUGUCCUUGUCCAAAAUACCGCUCGAACAAAGAAUGAAGCUCAGGACAGAGCUCUAAAUGUACCUCUGACUUGAUCUCUGCCUAAAGGUCUUUUAGUCGAGUGUCUAUCUGUGCAUCCAACUGAGACAACUCCAAUUGCAUGUGAGAAAGCUCACCUUGAAUCUACCCAAUUUCCUUCUACAUUCUAGUGGUUAUACCGUCACCAAUCAUGAGGAUCGGAAAGGUCUGAUACCUUUGUUAUGGCUUGGAUCUGGAGGAGACGAAGCAACAGAAACAGAAAAGAAAAUUUGAGAAGAAGGGAACUAGAGAGAAAUUUGAGAGAGAGACUGAGAAGUAAACAGUUAUCAAAUUCAUAUCUUUCUUCAGUUAGUUACAGACAAUAUAAUAACCCAGUAAUAGCAAUUCUUCUGACUAGCCAAAACGCACCCGUUUCAACUAGACGAAACUCAUCGUUUCAUUAACUCAUACGUAAAACGCAAUGUUUAACUAAUUAAUUUUUAACAGUCUUUAAGUAAAAUAUAAAAGGAAAAAUGAUCGUUGUUUAAAACCAUAACACAUUUAUUUUGUAGGUACAGUCAGUUGGAGGCGAAGAUACACGUGUGGGGAGAGCAGAGGCGCGUGGCGUGCGUGGGAGGGCCUGGUUCCAGCUGCGGCGCAGUCUAGUUAGGGUUUCCAAUUUUUUUGGGUUAUUGGGCUAGGGUGUAUUGGGCUAAUUGGUUUGUUUUGGGUCUAGGAUUGGGUUAUAUUUUGGGUUUAGGUUAUUAGGCUUUGGAUUUUGGGCCAUAAGGGCCUAUUGUAACUGGACUUUUAUGGUUUGUUUUUUAUUUGGUUUUAUUAUUUGUAUUUGUUGAAUUGGGCCCGGGCUAAAAUUAGGCCCUACAAUCGACAUGUUUUUUAGUAGGGUCGAUCAAAACCCAAUUAAAACCGAUGAUAUUGGCUUAGUUGACUCGGUCAAGUCUAUUAGAUUGAUAAAACCAAUUUACAUACGAUUAUUUAUUAUCAUAAAAGGUUAGUUUAAAUUUAAAGUAAUCUAAUAUGUUUAUUGAACUUCAACUAUUAAAUAAAGUAUAAGCUAAAUAUGUGUAAAUAUUCUAGAAACCAUUUCUAUAUGAUGAUAGGCUAAUUCGGAAUUAAGAUUAAUAUAUAAAAACUAGAUAGUAGGGUUAUAGUCCUCAAACUACACUUAAUUUAAUAACAUUUACAUUUUUUUUAGCNNNNNNNNNNNNNNNNNNNNNNNNNNNNNNNNNNNNNNNNNNNNNNNNNNNNNNNNNNNNNNNNNNNNNNNNNNNNNNNNNNNNNNNNNNNNNNNNNNNNAAAAAUUGGAAAAAUAUUUUAAAAUUUAAUUUUUUUUCGUAUUUUUAAUAACAUUUAUAGUUUUUUCUGUGGUUUGGUAACUUAUCAACUCGACUCUUAAUUGUAAUAAACUUUCUGACCAUUUUUGUAUUGUUAACCUAAGUCCCGUUACAACUUUCUUAAGACCUAUUGAUUGGUGUAUCAUCUCGAUUUGUUUUUAUAGUGGUGGAGAUUUGGUUUUCAAGCAAGCCUAUGAUAAUAACAUUUUUUGUUCAACUGUUGAGUACAUAGUACUUGAACCUUAAACACUUUGAGUGCUUUGAGUGAAUCUUAGUUAGGGUAUUGAUUAUUGUUAAGUUUGAAUUUCAGGUAAUUAUUGAGAUAGAGGAGACGCCUAUGUUUUUUGUGCUUUAAAAAUUUCUGCUUAGAUUGCUUUUAUUCUUUAGUGACAUGCUAGUUUCAAUUUCCAGUGCAUGAUUAUCUGUAGAUUAUUCCUAAGGCAUUGUCGGUGAAAACAAUAAAUUGAAGGAGAUUAACUUGAAUAAGGGUUGAGAAUUUUGCUUAAUGACAAACAAAUGCUUAAUUGUGGGGAUAUUUGAUAAGUGCUAAAUUGAUAUGUUUUAACCUUAUUCUUAAUGUGUUUUUGGUUGAUUAUUCGAUCUUAAUUAUGCUCCUAAUCCUUUCAAUACGUGUUUUUAUGCUUAAUAGAACAUUUGGGAGGAAAAUGAGCGAAAAAUGAGUGAAAAACAAAAAAUGGGGGAAAACAAUAGGACCCACACAGGCUGACCUAUUACACAUGUGGCAGGCCAUGCCGAUUUCGUAGAUUUACACUCUGAAUUGCAAAAAAUUUGAAUUUUAGGUUUUUUGAGCAUUUUAAGACGUAUAUAUCAGAAUUUAAUAAGAUAGGAGAGAACCUUGCUAGAAUAUUUAAGACACACCCAAGACACAACCCGACCUUAUAAAACCUCAAUCUCAUUUAAUUAUUAGUUAUUUAUUAAUGCAGAAGUAAAUUAUGAGUCAAUUUUAAAGUUUUCCUAGGUAAUUUAACCUAAGGGCAAUUUCAUCAUUUUACCACUUAUUGUAAAACUAACCUGAUUUUAGAUCUAAGUGUUUACCAUCCUUCUUUUAGUCAAAUUAUGCAAGCCUAAAAUUUUUGGCUUAAUUUGAUUUCGUUUACUUUGUCUAAUUCAAGUUUUAUUAUUAGGGACUAAAUCGUAACUUAGUCAAAUUAGAAUACCAAUUUAAAGAGACAAAAUUUCAAAAUCCCAAAACCCACAUGGGUGUGUGGGUAAGUGACAUGGGUGUGUGGAGACUGGAGCUAUCACACACAAGCGUGUGGGAUUGAAAUAUAUGAAAUAAAUUAAUCCACUCAAUUUUCCAACAACCAUGCUAUACUACCAAACCAAAUAACGCUUGAAGCUUUGAAUAGGGGCGAAUUUUUAAAAAGAAAAAUUUAGAGGAAUCAGAAUUAAAUUAUAAAAUUUUGAGAAGUUAGAAUAUAAUUUUGUCAUGUAUUAAUUUAUUAUUUUUUAAAGGGUCUUAAUAGAAAUUUUUUUUCCCAUUUUGGUUAGGCCAAUACCCCUGCCUACCUCUUUAAAUUUGCUCCAACCCUAAACCCAAUAUUUGAGUUGGAUUAACAACAAUAUAUAGGUUAGUAUUUGUGGAAGUUUGACGAAGAAAAUUUUUUUAGAGGUUUAAAUUAUAAUUUUUGGAAAGAUUAAAAUAAAUUUUUAUUUUUAAUUACCUUUCGGAUCAUACGGGUGAUUUUGAUGAUUUAAAAAUUAAAUACUUUAUAAAAUAUUUAAAACUAUUUAAAAAAUUGUAAGCCUUCAAACAAUCAACAAGAUAUAUUUUUCUCUAAAAGAUCAAUAAAAGUAUGUUUGAAAUUUUAUAUGAAUUUUUAAACUUUUUAACAAUAAUAUAUUUUAAAAUUAUAUACACCUUUCUUCACCUUUUUUAUAUAAACCUUUUUUCACCUUUUUUAUGUACACCUUUUUUAUAUUUUUUUCCUAACAUAUCAUUAUUUUCAACACUAUCGUAAUCCUUUUUUGAUAAUUCCCUUUCCAUACAUCCUUUUUCAACAUAGAAUUUCAAGAGAAAAUGUGAAUUAAUGUAGACGUGAGAAGACUUAGAGGUAAGUCACCCAAUGAAAGUGACCUAAACCGACUUAUGGAAUAAUCAAGAGUAUUAUUUUAGUCUUUGUCUUAGGUAUGAAUGAUAUCUUCUAGAUUGAAGCUAGAGCGAUUCUUAAAUGAUUGAAAUUGACUUGGAUUAAAGGAUUCAGAUGUGUUGAGAUGGAAAGUGACAGUGCAAUGUUGAUUGAAACUAUUCGUAAUGGGUUGGCCGCAGUAAGUAGUGUUGCUAAAGUAAGAUUGAUUCACGAUUGGUGUUCCAAAAAUUGGUAAGUCAAAUUAUUGACAUAUUCAGCAAAAUGCCAAUAAAGUUGUUGAUUGCAUAACUAAGGCAGAUGGAGGCGUAAUUGAGCAGCUGGUUAUCUUGAAAGAUCCUCCGCAUUAUGUGAGAUGCUAGCUUGAAGAAGAUAUUACACAGUUGCUGGUGAUUGAUGAUAGUUUUCAUUUGGACUGAUGCUCGCUUAAUUUUCUAAGCUUAUGUUCAACCAAAAAAAAAAAAGUCUAAAUUGUAAUAGAAUUAACAUUUAGUGUAUAAAAAAUAUCUUCAAAUUUUUUUUCAAUUGAAGUUUAAUUCCACAAAUAUCGAUGAUGAACCCUAAAAUGGACAUGAAAAUUACAAAAAGAAAAAGAAAAAACACAUCUAUUAUCAAACUAGCAAUCUAUGUCUAAACUUAAAUUAACAAAAUUCAUCAUGCAACCCAGUACACUAUUUUAUAUAAUAUAUAUGCUAGAUUUAUUCUAGAUGCACAUAUUUUAUUAUAUGUCUAUUACCAAAUUAGUAACCCAUCCCAAGGCUUAAACUAACAAAAUUCACCAUGCAACCGUGUAGACUAUUUUAUAUACAUAUAUACUAUAUUUAUUCUUCAUGCAAAUGUUUAUUAUAUUUAAAAAUUAAAAUAUAUGGUUGAUUGAGUUUUAGUUGAAUUAAUAUCGAUAUUGUUAUCAGUACAGAAGAACAUGAGUUCAAUCAUGUUUAAGCACGUUUUAUCUUUCAAUUUAGGAGUUGGAGAGGAUUCUCAAUAGUUAAAUUAUAUCAGUUUUUGUCUACUUAAAAAUGAUUUAUAAAUAAUAUAAGUAAAAAAAUUUUAAAAAUACAUAUUCAUAUUCAUGGGCUUUUUCAUUAUUAGACUUUUCUCCCCACAGGUAAAAGAAUUUAUGGACAGGAUGAUGUAAAAUUAUGACCUGAAUAAUUUUAAACCUUCCAUCACUGCAAAAAUGAAAUAAUAGAAAUGANNNNNNNNNNNNNNNNNNNNNNNNNNNNNNNNNNNNNNNNNNNNNNNNNNNNNNNNNNNNNNNNNNNNNNNNNNNNNNNNNNNNNNNNNNNNNNNNNNNNNNNNNNNNNNNNNNNNNNNNNNNNNNNNNNNNNNNNNNNNNNNNNNNNNNNNNNNNNNNNNNNNNNNNNNNNNNNNGGUUAUACUUUAAUUAUUGAGAACAUUUUCCACAAUUUGCCAUCAUUAUUUGUGAGUGAUUUGUGGGGUAAAAGGUUGAACACUUCUGGAUCACAUUGCGUUUAAGACGGGUCGUUGGAGUUAUGUGACACUUAAACAUAGACUGACUUUUCUAUAAUUAGUCUUUGCUUUACUUUGGGUGGAUUCGUCCAACCAGUCCAAGAAUUAUUGUAAAAUCACAAUUAAUCUUCUUAAAUGAGACUAACAUUUCAAAUUUGUCAUCACUAUUUGUGAGUGAUUUGGGGGUAAGAAGUUUAACACUUCUGGAUGACUUAAAGAAUUGUGGGUCUCUAUUUGAGCAAAACAAUUUCAACAUUUCCUCGUCUCGUUUAAUCCAAAUUCAUUUAGGAUUUUCUUAUAUCAUUUUAAUUUAUUGAUUGUUUCAAAAACGAUAAUAAAAAAUUUUCUGUUUCACAUUCAAUUUUUGGACAAGAAGAAUUUUCUAACCUAUUUUAUAUCAACUUCACUUCAAUUUUCAAUCACAAUCAAUUGCAUUCAAAAGAACCACAUAUUUUUGAAUGAAACAAAUAUUUCAAUUUUAAGAUAAACGGGUCUUUAGGGUUAUUAAUUGAGGGCCUUUUCCGCAAUUCCCAUCGUUAUUUGCUGAUUGGGUUACAACAAUCGUUUGAAGUGAAGAUAUUUCAAAAGAAGAUGAAUACUUUACUAAUAAGNNNNNNNNNNNNNNNNNNNNNNNNNNNNNNNNNNNNNNNNNNNNNNNNNNNNNNNNNNNNNNNNNNNNNNNNNNNNNNNNNNNNNNNNNNNNNNNNNNNNNNNNNNNNNNNNNNNNNNNNNNNNNNNNNNNNNNNNNNNNNNNNNNNNNNNNNNNNNNNNNNNNNNNNNNNNNNNNNNNNNNNNNNNNNNNNNNNNNNNNNNNNNNNNNNNNNNNNNNNNNNNNNNNNNNNNNNNNNNNNNNNNNNNNNNNNNNNNNNNNNNNNNNNNNNNNNNNNNNNNNNNNNNNNNNNNNNNNNNNNNNNNNNNNNNNNNNNNNNNNNNNNNNNNNNNNNNNNNNNNNNNNNNNNNNNNNNNNNNNNNNNNNNNNNNNNNNNNNNNNNNNNNNNNNNNNNNNNNNNNNNNNNNNNNNNNNNNNNNNNNNNNNNNNNNNNNNNNNNNNNNNNNNNNNNNNNNNNNNNNNNNNNNNNNNNNNNNNNNNNNNNNNNNNNNNNNNNNNNNNNNNCUUCUCUUAUGCUCCUUCCAGCUUCUUGCUUUUUGUGUGCUGAAAAUUCAAAGGAACAAAAUAUCAACCUACAUCAUAAGGCACGAAGGCCAGAACUUUAAUUUCUAGCCCGUCCGAUCCAAUGAAAGAAGAACAAAGAGUCUUGAGAUCUGACAACUUUAUUUCAUCUUCAUUUUCUCUGUUAUUUUCUAUGUUUCUUGUCAAAUACAAUGAAAGAAGAACAUAGAAAAAUGUUGCCUAUUUAUUUCCCAAUCAUCAUGAAAUUACUUGCCAUAGACUUAGAAUUUUCUCACCAAUUUUCAAGCAAUCUGACAUGAUUUCUCAAUCACAAAUAAUUGAAUUCAAGAUCUUUUUGGAUGACACAAACAUUUCAAUUUUAACACAAACCAAUAUUUAGGUUAUACUUCAGUGCUUGACAAGCACUUUCACAUUUGUGGGAUAAGAACCCUAGCAUUUUAGGAUCACAUUUAAUUCAAUUGCAUUUAAGACCUCAUGAUUUUAUUCUAUAAUUUCAGUCUUUUCAACCUUUUGGGAAAUAAUAAAAUAUCGACAUUAAACUUCUUGUUGAUGCAUUCAAUUUGAUUUUUUGAGGGGUCGUUGGAGUUAUACGUGACUUUAGCAUUGAUUGACUUUUUUAGAAUUAAUCUUUUAUACCAAUUUAAUAACAUCGACAUGCUGUAAUACCCAAUUUUGCCCCAGGCCUAUAUACUAAUAGAGUAAAACAAAAAAACAGUCCAUUUACAAAUAAAAUAAAUCCAAACCCAAUUGGCCCAAAUACAAAAAACCCUAGUGGCCCAAUAUGACCCAAAAAUUAAACAUUUUUCAGCAGCAAAAAAGGAAGGAAAACCCUAGCUGCCGCCGCCCUAACGGCAGCCAAGUCCUCCUCCGCGCAUGCCAAGCCCCCACGCGCGUGCGCCUCCUCUACAGCCUUCGUACCUGCGGAAAAAGUGGAUCCAAAUAGCAAGCAAACCGCAAAAAUCGCUAACAAUAGCGAGGCAACAGCAAAUAGGAUAGCAGAAAAAAUGGGAUAACAGACGAGAUUUUUGGGGAUUCAUUUUCUUUUAUUUUGUAUUUUCGGCUAUAAAAAGAGCCGAUUGAUUCAUUGUACUGGGGGGGAAGAAAAAAAUAAUCGAAAACAGAAAAAAAUUCCGAAGGUUUACUUCUACUUUCAUUUUAAUGUUUUAUUUUUAUUUUUUAUUUUUAUUCUAACUUUUUUUUUACAUACGAAAUAUAUAUAAAAAAAGGAGGAAAAAACUUACCCUUGAUUUCACCGAAAAAAAGGAGACUUUUGGCCUUCCGGCCGCAGUGGACGGCGGCGCCUUCACUGGCAAACGGCAGCCAACUCGGCAGUAGCUUAUCGGAGGAUGGCCGGCGUCUGGAGAAGUUGAGAGAGAAUUGAGAGUGUUUUUUCUAUUUUUUUUUUGAAGAGAAGAGAAAAUGAGUUUUUUUGUAAAAAAUUUGGCUUAUAUAAAGGUUCAAAACGGCGUCGUUUUGAGCUAGGAUUCCAAUAUCCCAAAACGGCAUCGUUUUGAGGCCGACCCACGCACCGACUCGAUCCGGUCCUAGAUCCGCGUGUUUUAUAGCGUGUGGGAAGUUUGUGGAAAUGAUCCCCUCAUUUUUAUAUCGCGUUUAGAUUGAUCCUUUUGCUUUCUUUAAAUUUAGCCACGCAUUUUAUUUUUAUUUCAAUUUCGUCCGUGCAAGACGCAGCGUUUUGGAUGGCAGGGAUUAUUUUCCCCUUUAGUCCUUCCCUGUUAUUCGCUCAUUCAGUGAAGUCCCUUUCUUUCCAUUUAUUUUCAGAUUUGCCUCAAACUUUUGUUUUUAAGCUUAAUUUAAUCCUUUUUUGUUAUUUGUGCUAUUUUAUUUUUUUUAGUUUAUUAUUAUUAUUAUUAUUAUUAUUGUUGUUGUUGUUGUUGUUAUUAGUAUUAUUACUAUUAUUAUUAUUAUUAUUAUUUUAUUUUUGUUUAUAUUUAUUUACCUAACUUUUUUUUUGUAUUAUGUACUUUUAUUUUAAGGGGUUUUUAUUAUUAUCAUCAUUUCAUUUUUUUUAUGUUAAUCCAAUAGAUUUUUUUUACUGGUUUUAUUUUGUAAAACAUAAUUUAUAUCAAAUUAUUUUCAUUUUGUAUGUUAUGGAUUUCAUAUUAUUAAAGCCAUUAAUUUUAAGUUCUUUCUUUAACAUAUUUGUAUAUAUAUAUUUGUUUAAAUCUAUCUUUAUAAAUAUCUAAUUUAUUUCUUUUAUAUAUUUCGUUAAUUUUAACUUUUAAAUAUAGUAUUAUAUAUAUUAUAAUUUAUAUUAAGUUUCCACUCCAUAUGUAUUAUUUUAAAAAAAAUUAAUAUAUGUAUAUUAUGUUAUGUAUUUUGAUUCUCUUUCUACAAUAUUUACUUUAAAAUGCAUUUCGAUACUUUUAUUUUAAGUAGUUUUUUUUUCUGAUUUAUUUCGAAUUUACAUAUAUGUAAAUACUAUUUGUUUUAAAACAUAAUUUAUUGAUUAUAAUUUCUUCUCUUGUUAUUAAUUUUUAAGUUUUUUUUUAAUUUGAUUAUUAAUUCAUUAAAUUUUUGAAUAUUGAUAUUGAUAUUGGCAUAAUGUAUGAUUGAGAUAAUUGUUGCUAUGCUUGUCUGUAUUUAUCUAUUGAUUAUUUGUUAUUCAUUGGUGUAUAUUAUUUACAAAUUAUCCUUUACGUUGUACGUUAUCAUUCACUCACAUUUUAUUUCAUUUAGAAGGUUGCAUUUGAUUAAAAUAUCGAAAUCAUUUUAUCCACAAGUUUUCAAAAUAUUCGGUAUCCAAGAUUCUCGAGAAGAUUGUGCCCUAACUUACUGGACUUCAAUUUUCCUUGUUGAAUUUAAAUAAACGAGUAUUUCUUUUUCAAUUAAAGCAUAAAAAUUCCAAAUCAAAGCUUAUCUCGACGAUUCAAAACUUUGUGUCCUAGCUCAUUCGAUAUGGCAUUUGGUUAUCUCGAGACGUGGUUUUUAAAUAAAAUCAAAUUCAUGUGUAGUCUUUGGAACUUCAAAGGAUCGUACCCUAACUUACGGCGGCCGAAAGGCCAAAAGUCUCCUUUUUUUUCCGGUGAAAUCAAGGGUAAGUUUUUUCCUCUUUUUUUUUAUAUUUCGUAUGUAAAAAAAUUAGAAUAAAAAUAAAAAUAAAAGAUUAAAAUGAAAGUAGAAGUAAACCUUCGGAAAUUUUUUUCUGUUUUUGAUUUAUUUUUUCUUUUUUUUCCCCCAAUACAAUGAAUCAAUUGGCUCUUUUUAUAGCCGAAAAUACAAAAUAAAAGAAAAUGAAUCCCCAAAAAUCUCGUCUGUUAUCCCAUUUUUUCUGUUAUCCUAUUUGCUAUUGCCUUGCUAUUGUUAGCGAUUUUUGUGGUUUGCUUGCUAUUUGGAUCCGCCUUUUUCGCAGGUACGGAGGCCGUGGAGGAGGCGCACGCGCGCGGGGGCUUGGCAUGCACGGAGGAGGACUUGGCUGCCCUUAGGGCGGCUACAGCUAGGGUUUUCCUUCCCUUUUUGCUGCUAAAAAUGUUUGAUUUUUAGGUCAUAUUGGGCCACUAGGAUUUUUUGUAUUUGGGCUAAUCGGGUUUGGAUUUAUUUUAUUUAUAAAUGGACUGUUUUUUUUGUUUUACUCUAUUAGUGUAUGGGCCUGGGGCAAAAUUGGGUAUUACACAUGUUUUUGGGUAGGGUCGAGCAAAACCCAAUUAAAACCGAUGAUAUUGGUUUAGUUGACUCGGUCAGGUCCAUUAGAUGGAUAAAAUCAAUUUUAAAAUCAGUUAUAAUGGAUUGAGGUAAUUAAUUAUCGAGUAAUGAAAUACAUAAUCAAAUCAAUUGAUUUUGUUAGAAACUACAAGAAAAUGGGAUAAGCUGAAAACUGAUUGCCCUUUAUUAAAAUUAAGGAAUCCGCCUUUUACAUGUUAGAUAAUAUGAACAUCCUAUAUAUAAUAAGAAAAAUUACGUACGAUUAUUUAUUAUUAUAAAUAGUUAGUUUAAAUUUAAAGUAAUCUAAUAUGUUUAUUGAACUUCAAGUAUUAAAUAAAGUAUAAGUUAAAUAUGUAUAAAUAUUCUAGAAAUCAUUUCUAAUUGAUGAUAGGCUAAUUCGGAAUUAAGAUUAAUAUAUAAAAACUAGGUAGUAAAGUUAUAGUCCUCAAACUACACCUCAUUUGAUUUUUCCGACAUUCUAUUUUUGAAAAAAGAAUCACCUUCUUUAAAAAAAAAAUAUGUACUAAUUUGAAAAAUUAAAACUAUCAUAUAUAUUAAUAAGUACCAACUAAGCAAUACUUAAAUAUAGGUGUGUUUUAUAAAAAAAAAAUUAUCAACUUAAAGAAGUUGCAACAAAAAUUUAAAAUUCAUUUAUCAAAUGAAUAUUUAAAACUUAUAAUCUAAACUGUGACAUGAUAAAAUACAUGAGCAUAACUUGGAUUUACCAAAAAUCUAUGUACUUUUCUAAAACUUAAAUUUUAGUCCCUGUACUUUAAUUUAGAGACAUUAAGUAACUAUACUUUUUUAUUUAAAAAUUUUGGUCCCUUCAUCAAUUUUAUCAUUAUAAUUGUUGAUUUAGUUGUUAUAAAAAAAGGUAGAAUAACUUUUUUAGCCUUAAACAUUUAUAGUUUCUGUUAAUUUGGUCCUUACUCUUUAAAAUUACAUAAAAAUGCAAAAACAUUUUAAAAAUUAAAUUUUUUUUUGUAUUUUUAAAAACAUUUAUAGUUUUUCAUUUUUGUGGUUUGGUAACUUAUCAACUCGACUCUUAAUUGUAACCAACUUUUCUGGCCUUUUUCGUACCCUUAACCUAACUCCCGUUACAAAUUUCUAAAGACCUCUUUAUUGGUGUACCGUCUCGAUUUGUUUUUAUAAUGGUGGAGAUUUGGUUUUUAAGCAAGCCUAUGAUAAUCACAUUUUUUGUUCAACUGUUGAGCACACAGUUUUGAACCUUAAACACUUAAAGUGCUUUGAGUGAAUCUUACUUAGGAUAUUGAUUAUUGUUGAGUUUGAAUUUCAUGUAAUUAUUGAGAUAGAGGAGACGCCUAUGUUUUUUGUGCUUUACAAAUUUCUGCUUAGAUUUCUUUUAUUAUUUAGUGUCAUGCUAGUUUCAAUUUCCUGUGCAUGAUUAUCUAUAUAUUAUUCCUAAGGAAUUGUCGGUGAAAACAAUAAAUUAAGGGAGAUUAACUUGAAUAAGGGUUGAGAAUUUUGCUUAAGGACAAAUAAAUGCUUAAGUGUGGGGGAUAUUUGAUAAGUGCUAAAAUUGAUAUGUUUUAACAUCAUUCUUAAUGUGUUUUUGGUUGAUUAUUAGAUGUUAAUUAUGCUCCUAAUCCUUUCAAUUCGUGUUUUUAUGCUUAAUAGAACAUUUGGGAGGAAAAUGAGUGAAAAUAAAAAAAUGGGGGCAAACUAUAGGAUGCGGGCUGACCUAUUCCAUAUAACCGUGUGACCCACACAGUUAUGUGGCAGGCCGUGUCGAUUUCGUAGAUUUUCCCUUUGAAUUGCGAAAAAAAUGCAAUUUUAGGUUUUCCGAGCAUUUUAAUAGUAUAUAUGGAAAAAAAUAAGAAGAUAGGAGAGAACCUUUCUAGAAUAUUUAAGAAAACAAUUCCAAAGACGCCAUUGAAGCCGACUCUGAAACAGAUUUUCAUCAAGAUUGAAGAUUCCCAGUUGAUUUCUUAAGAGAUUAUGAUGAGUUUCUUUAUUUCUUUUGGUUAUACUGCCCUUUGGAUGUUUUUAUUUUUAAGCAUGAACUAAUUUUCUAAAUACCUAAGAGAGAUGAACCUACGAUAGAUUGUGACACCCCAAACCCGAUCGGGAUAGACCGGCCUGAAUUCGAAGCAUUACAUAAGCCACAUAAGUGACUCUCCAGCUAACGACCACCCAAGACACACCCCUACCUCAUAACACCUCAAUCUUAUCUAAUUAUUAGCUAUUUAUUAAUGCAGAAGUAAAUUAUAAGCCAAUUUCAAACUUUUCCUAGGUAAUUUAACCUAAGGGUAAUUUUGUCAUUUUACCACGUAUUGUAAAACUAACUCGAUUAUAGAUCUAAGUGCUUACCAACCUUCUUUUAGUCAAAUUAUGCAACCUUCUUUUAGAUUUAAUAUUUGUUAAUAUCAUCUAUAUAAUCACAUGUUCGAAUUACUAAUGUUCAACAAAGCCAAAUUUCACGUACUUCAUCCAUAUUAAUGUUCGAACCACAUAACCCUGAUAUUAAUGGCAUUUGUAUACUUAAGCCAUAUCCCAACAUAUUUCAUUACAUUUCAUACAUUGAAAAUAUGUCAUCAUAUUUAUUUCAUUAAUUGAAUAUUAAACAUAACAUUUCAUAACUUCUGCACUAGCACCUAAUAAAACCAAUCAAACCAUAAUACAAUAAUAUGAUGCAAUCGCAUAUAUGCGACUUUCGUAACAUUACGACAUAGCCGAACAUGCUAGUGAUGCAUAUACAUGUAUAGUGCGCAAAAACAUUAAUCAACUGAACACAAAUAAUAUUCCCUUGCACACCUAAUUCGCAUGUAUAUAUAGAUUGUUAUACCUAGCUUCAUAUUUUAUCCUAUUAACUAAUCAUUGAAUCGAUCACACCAUGAUAAAGGUCAUAAGCUUACCAAAAUGAACCACAUAUCAAAUCUGAAUUUACAAGCACCCACAUGCGCAUACCUAUAAUAAUACUAAAAUCAACUUGAUACUUUUAACUACCCAUUAAAAGUUAACCAAAACAUGCCUAAUUCAUAAACAUCUUUUAUCAUUUGGAUCCAUACCAAAACAAUCAACCAAAACAAUUAUGAAACAUGUUCAUUUACUAUUUAACAACCGAACUUACAUGACUAAACAUUCAAGCAUAAUAUAUGUAUAUGCUUGUCACCACAACCAAUCAAAUCAACCAAACCACAAUUGAUCAUAAAACAUUUCCAUAAUUUGCCAUCACCAAUCAAAAUAAUGACAUAACCAUUACUUAACCUACGUUUCAUAUACCAUAAACACACUUUCAAAAAUAAGCUAAAUUCAUGGCCGAUUGUAAACCAAUCUUUUCAUCGCCCAAUACCGAAUCAUUUAUCAAAACAUCACAAGUAUAUAUAUAUAUCAUGACUGAAAAUGCAUAUACGUAAGCAUCGUCCCUAGCCAUUUUCGCAUGGCUUUAUAUACAAUUUCAAAAUUAACCAAAACAAAUAAUUGUCUAUACAUGCCAUAGGUUUAUAAUUCAAGCCUUAAAAAUACCGAAAUAAUGGUCGAUAGUGCGGCGAACUUCCUUGACGAUCCCCUAGCUAAUAACUAGCUUUUCUAAAUCUAUAAAACAACGAAUAAACACCCAAAGUAAGCUUGGAAAGCUUAGUAAGUCAUAAGCAAAUAAGGUAUAAUAAAGACGAUAACAACUUAUUUUUAUUUGGCCGAAUAUAACUAAACUCAUACAUAUAUAUACGGCCACCUUUCACAAGUUGUUUCACAUAGUCACAUAAUUGCAUCAAAACUUACCUUUUCAUUCGAAUCUAAUAUAAACAUAAAACAUACCUGAAUUAUUUAAACUGAACUCAUAUUCGAUCUUGCUUAUCUCUUCCUAUUAAAACAUUCGAAAUUAUUAAGGAUAUUUGGAUAGCUCAACAGUUCGUACAAUGCCAUCGUCCCAAAAGUGGACUUACAUGUAAUCAAAUAUCGAUGCCACUACCCCAGAUAGGGUCUUACACGAAGUCAUAUACGAUGCCAAUGUCUCAGACAUGGUCUUAUACGUAAAUCUCAAGUCGAUGCCAAUGUCCUAGACAUGGUCUUACACAAAAUCACAUACCAGAAUCAUAGGGUUUGUAUGGGGCUUUUGGAUGUCGUAAUUCAAUCGAUUCAUGCUUGUAACAAAUCAUUCCAUGCAAAAUUUCAUUCGGCAAUGUAGUUAUACGUACAUACAAUUAAAAUCGGCUAUGUACAAGAUAAAUUCAUACAAUUUAACAUCAUUUAUUUACUUACAAACUUACCUCAAACAAAGACGAACGGACCGAGACGACUAUUCGAUAACUUUUGAUUUCCCUCGUUCUAAAUCCAAUUUCUUCUUUUCUUGACCUAAAUUAAUACAAAUUUGACUCGUUUAAUCAUAUAUUUAUUCAAAUUCAUCCAAAAAUAAAUAAAUGGGAAAAUUACAUUUUAUCGUCUAACAUUCCACAUUUUUCACAAUUUAGUCCCUACUUCACAAAACACAAAAUAUUCAAAAUUUUACCACACCCAAGCUUGGCCAAAUUUCACUAAGGUCCCUAACAACCCAUUUCUUUCAUUUGUUUCACAUUUUGACCCUUAAAUUUUUAAAAUUCACAAUUUAAUCCUAAUUAGGCAUUUUUACUAAAAAUUACUUAAUUAAACUUGACAAUCUAACAACAUAUAUUUAUUUUUCAUCAUCAAACAACAAAAACCACAAGGUAUCAUCAAUGGCAAAUCAUGAAUACAUCAACAAAUUCAAAAAUUCCAACAUGGGCUAGCUAGUAUUCGAAGUAACGAUCUCAAAAACGUAAAAAUUUUCAAAAGUCGAGCUAAACACAUACCUUAAUCAAGCUUGGACAAUGCCGAACCUAGCUUGUUCUUUUUAUUUCUUUUUCUUUUGUAUUUUCGGCAAGAAUGAUUAACAAAUGCAUGGUUUUAUGUUUUUGUUUUAUUUAAUUUCAUUUUAACACCUAAUUUACUAUAUUAACCUUUAUAAAAUAAUAUGAAAACCUUAUAAAUUAAGCCCAAAACUGCCCAUGCUAAAGUUCAAUGGCUAAAUUACAACAUAAGGGCCCUACAUAAUAAAAGCCAUAGCAAUAUAGCACUUUAAAAAUUAGCUAGCCACUUUUGUAUUUUACGCGAUUAAGUCUUUUUUUUUAAAUCGAGUACACAAACGACAAAAUUUUCACACAUAUAAAUUAACAUGCUGUAGACACCAAAAAUAAUAUUGUUACAGACCCAUUUUGCCCCAAGGCCCAUUACAAAGUAAAUACCCAAAGCCCAUCUAAACCUAACGCAGACCCGAAGCCCACUUAGCCCAGGCCCGAUUUUAAAAAACUGAAACCCUAGGCGUCGCCCCUUGACUUUUGGCCUCCUGCCAUCGCCGCCACCGCCGCUGGACGUCCCAUCCGCGUCCAUCACCACCACCCAUCCACUUGCACCGUCACCUGCAAAGAAGAGAAACAAACAAAGGAAAAGACAACACAAACAGUGGCAAAGAUCGGCUAUAAAAGCCAACAAAAUGUAACCUUUCUUUUUUUCGGGUACUCUUUGUAACAAAACAGAGAUUAGCAAAAAGAAAUAAAAUACAAACUAAGUUUUAAGGUGCUUUCGAGUACUCUUCUUCAUUUUUUAUUUUAUUUCUUAUCUUUUUUUGUUUAUUUAUAUAUGUAAAAUAAAGAAAAGGAAAAAGAAAAAAACUCACCUGAUUCAUUUUUUGGUUGCGCCGCCGUUGGGAUCUACCCAUCGUUGAAAUCAGCCUCGAAAGGAUGAGUUAGAGGGUCUCUCCUUUGGAUCUUUCGGCUAAACGAGUCUAGCCUUUAAUUAGGCCUUGGAUCGGGGACUAAAUUGCCCUUUUACGCAACGCCAACCACCACGCAUGAUGGCGCUACAGCGGCACUGUGUGGGCUCAAAGUUCGGGCGUUUGAGAGGGGGAGGAGAAAGGUUUUCUUUUUUUUUUUGAUUUGUUUUUUUUUAAAAAAAGAAGUGAGAUGCUGAAUUUUUUUGAAAGAGUUUGGGUUUAAAUAACCCCCUAAAACGGUGCCGUUUGGGCUUAGGGUUCAGAGACCAAAAAAGGCGUCGUUUUGGUCUCUGACCCGCGCGGUGAACCGACCCGAGGGGAGGAUCCGCGUGUUUCUGACUCUUGGGUUAUUUGUGCAAUUAGUCCCUUUGAUUCUGUAGCGAUUUCAUGGAAGUCUUUCACAUAUUUGCAAUGUGGCCACAAAAUUUUAUUUUUGUCUCAAUUCGGUGCAUUACUACACAGCGUUUUGGGGCUUUGGUUUAUUUACCCUGUUAGUCCCCCCUCUUUCAGCAUGCGUUACGAUUUAGUCCCUCUUGUCCUUUUUUUAUUUUUGAUUUUGCCCCGUAUUUUCGUUUUUAUUUCGAUUUAGUCCAUAUUUUAGCAAUUUUAUUAUUUAGUUAUUAUUAUUAUUAUUAUUAUUAUUAUUAUCUUAACUAUUAUUAUUAUUAUAUUUAUUAACAUUAUUGUUAUUAUUAUGUCUUUUUUUUUUUAUAUUCACUUAUGAAACUUUUAGAUAUAUUUGUUUUAAUAUAUUAUUAUCAUGAUUGUUUUUAUAUACAUAUACGUAUAUAUAUAUUUUUCUAACUUAUUUAAUAUAUAAAUACUCAAUUUUAUAUACAUACCUAUAUAUAUAUGUUUUUAUAUAUUAAAAUAUGUAUAUUAUUUAUAUAUUUUAUUUUAUUUUAUUAUAUUUUAUAAUCCAUAUAUGUAUAUAUUUUCAUCUACAUACAUAUGUUCUUAUGUUUUGUAAUAUUUAUGUAUUCCUUUCUUAAUAUAUAUAUGUACAUAUUUUAACCUUUGUAAACACAUAUACAUAUACACGCAUAUUUUAAUUUAUGUCCAUAUAUAUCUCUUUACAUUUAAUUGUAUUUACUACUUAUUUAUUUCAUUUUCUUUAUUAUUUUGAAUGAAUGUUUUAAUUUAUUUGUUUAUAUACAUUGUUAUUUUAUACGAUUGUAGGUAUGACUUUUAUUUAUUUUAUAUUGUUGCUAUUACUCGUAUCAUUUUUAUACUUUUGUGUGUGUAUUAUGAUUUUACCACGCAUAACAACAAUGUAAUUUGUUUUCACAUUUUACUACGAUUUUCGUGUUUUAUUUUACUCGAUAUAACAAAAAUUAGUUUUAAAAAAAUAAUAAAAUAAAAUUUCGUGUUUAGAUUCGAGAGGAUCAUACCCUAACUUACUGGGUUUCGAUUUUCAUAAUAAAUCUAAAUAUACGAAUCUUUUCAAACUCAAGUUUUUAAACGAUCUCGGGAAUUAAGAAAAGAUCGUGUCCUAACUUACUGGGCAUGAUUCAUUUUUUAAACCCGAGAUAAUAAAAUAUCUUUUAAAUGAGUAAAUUUUCAGCAUUCGUUCGCGUAUCGGGAAUUUGAGAUAUUGUGUCCUAACUUACUGGAUGUGAUUCUCUUUCUUGAUUAACGUGAAAUAUGCCCAUUUUCCCAAAAUUUUUAACAUUUUAAUACAAGGAUCGUAUUUUUAAAAUUCUUUAAAGUUUUCAAUUUUCGAUAUCAAGACAUUAGCUAAUCAACUAGGUACCAAUUUCUGGGCGUUACGAGGGUGCUAAUCCUUCCUCGUACUUAACCGACUCCCGAACCCGAUUUCUGAAUUUCGUGGGCCAAAAUUGUUGUUUUAAUAAAAUCAAACCGUUUAUUAAAAACCACUUUUCGAGGUGAUCCAAUCACACCUCAUAAAAAGGGAUUGGUGGCGACUCCCCUUUCAUUUUUUCAAAACCCAAGUCAACCCCGUUUUUCAUCAAAAAAAUGGUGUCAACAGCUUGGCGACUCCGCUGGGGACAUCGAAUAAGUGAGUCGAGCCACGAUGUGAUUAUUUUUUGUCUUUUUUUCAAAAAUUAAAAACUUGGUUUAAAGUUACGAUCCUUGCACUGCACUUCAUUCAUCCUUAUUACGAUUUUCAUCGUUGUGGUUUAUGAUUGUUAUGUUUCGGUAUCUUUUUGCAUUGCAUUGCAUGAUCGUUGGUCACACCGUUUUAAGUGGGAGUGAGAAACUACGCCUUCGUGAGGUUUUCACCUCCGCAUAGGAUAGUGAAUCGCUUUCGGGAUACAUCUGUACCUAUGUCUUUGUGAGGUUUUCAUCUCCGUAUGGCCAUAGGGAAAUGUAUUCCCCUGAACUGAACUCGAUCAAUAUGAGCCUAUAAUGGGUGAGGAUCGAGGAAUCUGCCGGUUUGGGUACCUUUACUCUAGAACUAAACCACAUAUAGUGAGCCAUAGGAACCGACCUAGAUGGAACUACGCCAAACCUUAAGUGCUUACCCAAAUGGCUGCUUUAUUUAUUGUCAUUUACUCUAGAUCUUGUUCUGUGUUUAAUACUGAUUUGUUUGUUUCUGAUUGCAUGGCAUUUUCAUUCUAAAAGAGCUGUUGAUUCACGUUCAGUAUCUAGAUAGAAAGCUUAUCAUGGAAAAGGGGUUUUUUGAUAAAGUAGAAGAUAAUGCGGCUGUGUGAAUAUGGGCUAAGACGAUGCAACGGGAGAAAGGAUAUAGUCUUACCGAGGGGCAUAUGUCAGAAUUGUGGGAUUUCACCCGUAUUAGUGUAAUCUAGAAUGAUCUUCGAGAAAUGAAAGAAAUUUGGGAUCAAUGGGAUAACAAGACCAAACAGUUGUUCUAUUGUAACUACGGUGACCUACCUUAUCUGCUCAGUAUCAAAGUGGACAAGUAUUUAUUUCGAGCCCUUGCUCAAUUUUAGAAUCCUGCCUACAGUUGUUUCACCUUUGGAAAAGUGGACUUGACGCCUACUGUGGAGGAGUAUAUGACCUUGCUUCGGUGCCUAAAGAUUCAAGUCGACAAGGCUUAUUCUAGAGCUGCUGGUGCCCUUCCGUUGUUAAAGAAAUUAAUAAACAUCACUGGGAUGAGCGAGCGGUGGGUUGCUGCCCGAAUCCAGCAGAAAGGCGAUAGUAAAUGCGUUCCUUGGAAAAGCUUGCGAGAUUUGGUGCUAGUACAUCCUGAUAUAAAGAAAAGGGUCGAUGUCUUCGCUUUAGGUAUCUAUGGAUUAGUGGUCUUCCCCAAAGCAUUAGGACACAUAGACGAGGCUGUUUCUGAUUUAUUUGAUCGGCUCAGAAAAGGGGUUACUCCCGUUCCAGCAAUACUGGCUGAAACUUUCAGAUCCUUGAAUGCGUGUCGGAGAGCAGGUGAAGGAAGGUUUAUAGGGUGCGCGCAGCUCUUAUUGGCAUGGUUUCAUAGUCAUUUCUGGAAAGUGGAAAAAGUCUCUUAUCAGGUAUUCUCUGGUAGCUAUUCCCCUUUAGAAGAAUUAGUAGCUACGCCAAGGCGAGAUGAUGUUUCAGAGGAAAAAUGGAUGGCGAUACUCCAGAAUCUUCAAGAUGAAGAUGUUGAAUGGAGGGCUCCUUCGUUGAUUUCUGAUGAGAUUUUAUACCGGUGCGGGGAUUUUGACUGGGUUCCUCUGCUCGGAAUAUGGGGAGCUAUCGGAUAUGCUCCUCUACUCGUAUCAAGAUAGUUUAGAUCACGACAAUUCAUACCAGCAAUGCAAGGGUUGCCCAUUGUGAAUUUUCCUAUAAGGAGGACAAUUACAAGAAAAGGGUUCGAGAAAUGUCAAAUGCCUGAAACUAAACUCGCCGAAUGAAGAUCUUAGCUAUAGGUCCGGCAAUGACCCCCGAAUACAGUCAAUGGCAUGAUCAAAGGGUCAACGACAAUAUCCCGGUGUCAAAUCCAGAAACUGCUCGAUCUUUAGAGGAACACCUACAAGUAUUGCCCUCUGAGGUAGAAAUUAUCAAAAAAGAAUUUGAAAAAAGGAGCUUAGAGUUAGGGAAGAAAAUAGAGCAACUAGAGGAAGAAAAAAUGCAAUUAGGAUUGGAUGUGGACAUUCAAUAAUUAGAGGCUGACAAAUUGAGAAAAGGAAAGAACAAGGCAGAAGAAGAUUUAGACAGCCUGAAGAUGGACUACAAGAAGUUGCGUAGGUCAAUAAGAACUGCUGGCUUGGGUAAAACGUCAGAACAAUAGCGACAGGAAAUUCAGGAGGAAAAGAUGAAAACUAAUCAAUAGGAAAAGAUAUUUCAGGAUACUCGAGCUCGAGAAGUUGCUCUGGAAAAGAGUCUACUAGCCUGCCAAAACGAGAAGACAGAGCUGAAAGAUCGAGUAACUGAGCUAGAAAGGUCACUUCACCAGCAUCGUAGUCGUAAUUCUGCGGUUGAAUUAAAGGCAAGCUUGAACAAAAUUGAAGACUGAAAGGGACAAGUAGGGGAGCUCGAGGAUGCAUUGUAAAACAGCGAACUCCGAAUAGAGCUUCUGGAAAGAAAUAAUGAGCAGUGGCAAGGGCAAUUCCAUCGGUCUCAAGACCAUAUUAGAGAAAGAGAUUAUAUUAUGGGUGAGGCGGUGGCUCAAGUACACGAAGUAGCCGAGCACCUACAGACUCUAGCAGUCCAAGCAGAUGUGUUGAGUUUGAAGUAUGAGUCAGAAUCGAACCGGGGCUGAGACUUAGCUUGGCUUCUUAGGAAGGUUAAGGAUUUGGGUAUAAGGGCAAAGCCGUAUAUGUAAUCUAUUUUAUGUAAAGAAACUUCUUCUCUAGUAAAGUUUUCUAAUGAAGUUGAAUUAGAAUCUGUGCCUCUUUUUUUACAUUUAUUUCAUGCAUUGCAUCACAUCAUAUGCAUUAAUAACCAUUAAUGAACCUUAAUUGAAUAAAAUUAUUUCAGUUAACCUGGAAAAUCGACACUGUUACGGCACCCGUGCUAAGUCAAAAAUUAUGGAUCAAAGGUUGGAAAAGCUAGAGCGACUUCAAAAGGAAACGCAAGACCAGUUGCAGGCGCAAAUGAAAGAACAUAUGGAAAAGAUCUAGCAGGACAUGGUACAAAAGAUGAAGGAGUCUCAAGAUGACUUAAUGACUAAGUUGACGCAAUUAAUAACCAAAGGAGUAGAUAAAGGGAAAGGUCAUGUGAUUUACGAUGAAGAAGAAAACAAUGAUGAACCACUUUUUCCUCCAGGUUUUACGCUUCCGCAUGCGCAAGUUCAGACUGAACCACAUCCAUGGAGACCUUCUGUUUCGAUUAGACCUCAGCAUUUUCAAGGUGAUGUUUUAAUUCCAAAGAACCUUCAGGUCGGAUCUGGCUCUAAUCUUGGUGAUAAUCUAAUUAAUUUUGCUAUCCUGAAUUUUGAUGAAGUAGUUGAGAAGGACAAGGUGAAGGAAGAGUUUCCAAAGCAAUUUGAGGAGAAAUGGAAAUGGAUUGAAGAGAUGUUUAGGGCAAUAGAAAGCAUUGACAGCUAUCAUGGAAUAGAUGCAAAAGAUCUGAGCUUGGUUCCGGAUUUGGUGCUUCCUUACAAAUUUAAGAUGCCAAAAUUCGAGAAAUAUAAUGGGACCAGUUGUCCAGAAGCCCAUAUCACUAUGUUCUGUAGGAGAAUGACGGGGUAUAUUAAUAAUGAUCAAUUAUUAAUACACUGCUUUCAGGAUAGCCUUACAUGAGCGGCGUUAAAAUGGUACAAUCAGCUAAGCCAAACCAAAAUUGCUACUUGGAGAGAUUUGGCACAGGCAUUCAUGAAACAGUACAAUCAUGUCUCAGAAAUGAUGCCUGACAGGAUAACUCUGCAGAAUUUGGAGAAGAAAUCGAACGAAAGCUUCAGACAGUAUGCGUAGAGGUGGAGAGAAGUGGCGGUUCAGGUGCAACCACCGCUUUUGGAAAAAGAAAUGACGACGCUUUUUAUUAAAACAUUGAAAGCCCCGUUCAUCACUCACAUGUUGGGAAGUGCUUCAAAGAAUUUCUCAGAUAUAAUCAUGAACGGCGAAAUGAUCGAGCAUGCUAUUAAAAGUGGAAGAAUAGAUGGAGGGGAAAACAAUAGAAGGACAGCCCCGAGGAAAAGAGAAAAUGAAGUGAAUAAUGUGAAUGCCUACAGUAAGUCAAUUACCGUGAAUCAACCAAGGAAAGUGGUUGCUAAUCAGUAGGGCUCAUCGAAGCAAGAGUCGAGAAUGAGGCAAAAUACUGAGAAGCCUCAGUUCACACCCAUUCCAAUGACAUAUAAGGAGCUGUACCAGAAUUUAUUUAAUGCACAUGUUGUCGCUCCUCGUUACUUGAGUCCUCUACAACCCCCGUAUCCAAAAUGGUAUGACACGAACGCGCAAUGUGACUAUCAUGCUGGAAUUUCAGAACACUCAAUAGAAAAUUAUACUGCUUUCAAGAAGGUAGUGGAAGGACUUAUCAAAUUGGGUGUUGUUAAAUUUAGUGACUCACCCAACACAGAAAGUCCAUUGCCCAAUCAUGAUGAUAAGGGAGUGAAUAUGUUGAGCGAAUGUACGGGGAAAGGAGUCAAGACUGACAUUGCUGAAGUAAAAACUCCAUUGAAACGGGUCUGGAAAGAGAUGGCAAAAAGGGGGUUAGUUAUUUCAGAUUUUGAGGAAGGGUAUGAGAUGGGAAACUAUUAUGAAUUCCACGGUAAAACAGGGCACGAAAUCCAAAAAUGUGAAGGAUUCAGGGCUCUGGUUCAAAGUAUGAUGGAUAACAAGAAGAUGAGGUUCUAUGAAGAUACGGAAGAAAGGAAGAGCAUAUGUGUGACAGAAUCAGGAAUAGGGACUCUGAAAAUAAAUCCCUCUGUGGUCAUUAUCUCACACCCUAAGAGUAAUGAGGAUAGGCCUCAGGUAACACCAAAAAUUGUAAUCCAGAAACCAUCAAUUUUCUCAUAUAAGGAUAGCAAAAAGGUUCCGUGGAAUUAUGGGUGCAAUGUGACUAUCUUGGGAAGAGAAGCGGAAAGAAAUCAGGAAAUAGGAUCUUACACGAGCAAUGGGAAACGAUAUGACGCUCAAGCAGAAUCGUCAAGGGAAGAGAAUUUGAAGAAAGAGCAGAGGAAAGGGAAAAUAGUACAAGUUGAACCAUUGGUUAAUGAACCAUUAAAAGAAGAGGAGGCGGGGGAGUUUUUGAAGUUUUUGAAACACAGUGACUAUAGUGUUGUGGAGCAACUACACAAACAGCCCGCCCGCAUUUCUGUAUUAGCUCUACUCCUAAGCUCAGAAGCACAUCGGAAUGCAUUUUUGAAAGUACUAAAUGAAACAUAUGUGGCCAAUGAUGUUUCGGUAAACCAGGUGGAUCAGUUGGUCAAAAAUAUAGGUGCUGACAAUUUUAUUUUCUUCAAUGAUGAUGAAAUACCAUCUGGAGGAAGGGGUUCUACUAAAGCCCUGCAUGUUACUGUCCAAUGCAAAGGGUACACACUCCCGAGGGCCUUGGUUGAUAAUGGAUCUGCAUUGAAUGUAUUACCUUUAUCCACUCUUGGUCAGUUACCGACGGACAGUUCGCACAUGAAAGCAUGCCAGAGCAUAGUAAGGGCAUUUGAUGGAACGAAAAAGAGAGUUAUGGGAAGAAUUGAGGUACCGUUAAGGAUUGGCCCAAUUACUUAUGAGGUGGAUCUCUUGGUAAUGGAUAUUAAGCCUUCCUACAACUGUUUAUUGGGAAGGUCAUGGAUACACUCAGCCGGGGCAGUACCUUCAUCAUUACAUCAAAAGGUGAAGUUAGUGUCGGAGGGUCAGUUGGUAACAAUAGAUGCGAAGGAAGAUAUUAUCGCAACGGUAACUAGUGAUGCAUCUUAUGUGGAAAUUAGCGAUGAGGCACUGGAAUGUUCUUUUUGGUCAUUAGAAUUUGUGAAUGUGAUGUUUAUUGCUGAAGGAAGUAAAAUUUCGGUACCGAAAAUAUCCAGGACCACGGAAAUGGGGUUGCGAUUGAUGAUGGGAAGAGGAGCUUCACCAGGGAAAGGAUUGGGAAAAUAUCUUCAAGGAAAGAUUGAAGUACCGAUGCUGAGGGAAAAGUUUGAUAGUUUUGGCUUAGGAUACAAGCCAGACAUGAGGCAGAAGAAGAAAGAAGCACAGAAAAGACAAGAGAAAAGAAGGGCACGUUUGAAUGGAUAUGAAGCUAAGUGGGAACCUUUGACCUUUCCCUACUUAUCUGUAUCUUUUGUGUCGGGCGAAUUUAUUCAUCCUGAGCGUGGAAUGUCUAGUAACAAGGGUAUUGAAUAAAUGAGGGAAAACGUUCAUAUCAACACUAUAACGGAGGAAAGGGCUUUGUUGGAGAUCUGCCCUUACGAACCUGGGAGCGAGCUAAACAAUUGGACUGCGGAAGAAAUCCCUAUAGUCUUUCGGGCUUAUUCAGAGUAAUGCCCAGAACAUUCCUGUUGUUUUUGUCUAGAAAUGAUAUGAAAUCUUUUGUGAAAGAGGCUUGAGCCUAAAAUAUCAUUAUCCUAAUGAAAUAUACAUUUACAUUCAUUUUGAGCAAUCAUUCUUUUUUCUUUUCAUACAAGUAAAUAUCUUCCAUUUGAUUAAUUGUCUUCCAAAUAAUUUUUUCAUUUGUAACCUUAUUGUACAAAUAAUUAUUCAUAAAAUUUAUAUAUUCUUUGAUGCAUUCCAUCAUAGGUCCUCAGAUAUCAAUGACAUGAGUGAUGUUGCUUCAAACACGAAGUUUAUUUUUGAGCAAGAAAUGUGUUUGGAGGGAUCUCACGACUUUGAAAAUGAUGAAGACAAUGGUGUAUCCCCGGACUUGUUGAGGAUGGUGGAACAAGAGGACAAAUAGAUCCUACCUUAUAAGGAAUCUUUGGAAAUCGUGAGCCUAGAGGAAGGAAAAGAAGUGAAAAUUGGAACUGAAAUCACCGCAAAGACAAAACAGGACCUCAUUAAAUUGCUCCGAGAGUUCAAAGAUGUUUUUGCAUGGUCAUACCAAGAUAUGUCCGGGCUAAGCACUAGCAUUGUGGUACAUCGUCUGCCCAUAAAAGAGGAUUGUAAACCCGUUCAGCAGAAACGCAGGAGAAUGAGACCUGACAUUGUGUUGAAGAUAAAAGAAGAAGUUAAAAGGUAGUUCGACGCGGGAUUCUUACGAGAAAUCAAAUAUUCAGAUUGGGUAGCAAACAUCGUCCCCGUUCCCAAGAAGGAUGGAAAGGUGCGAAUGUGUGUGGAUUAUAGAGACUUGAACAAGGCUAGUCCAAAGGACAAUUUUCCACUACCUCACAUUGAUACUUUGGUAGAUAACACGGCAGACUACUUAUUAUUUUCUUUCAUGGAUGGCUUCUCUGGAUACAAUCAAAUAAAGAUACAUCCCGAAGACAUGAGGAAAACCACAUUCAUUACCUUAUAGGAAACAUUUUGUUAUAAGGUAAUGCCCUUUGGAUUGAAGAAUGCGGGACCAACAUAUCAAAGAGCUAUGGUGACUUUGUUUCAUGACAUGAUACAUAAGGAGAUCGAAGUCUAUGUUGAUGAUAUGAUUGCAAAGUUGAGAACUAAAGAAGAGCAUGUUCAAGUCUUAAAAAAGUUAUUUUUGAGAUUAAGGAAAUUUCAGCUCAAGCUUAACCCGGUAAAAUGCACGUUUGGAGCCAGAUCAGGGAAGUUAUUAGGCUUCAUAGUUAGCAGAAAUGGGAUUGAAGUUGACCCAGACAAAGUAAAAGCAAUACAAGAUUUGCCUCCCCUGCGCACUCAGAAGGAAGUUCGAGGUUUCCUUGGGAGAUUGAAUUAUAUUGCUCGGUUCAUCUCACAACUAACAGAGAAAUGUGAUCCAGUAUUUCAUCUUUUGAAGAAGCAUAAUCCGGGUGAAUGGAACGAUGGAUGUCAGAGGGCUUUUGACAAGAUAAAGCAAUACUUGGCUAAUACUCCAAUACUAUCGCCGCCAAGUCUGGAUAAGCCAUUGAUACUGUAUCUAACGGUGUUUGAGAAUUCCAUGGGAUGGGUAUUGGGCCAACAUGAUGAGACGGGAAAGAAAGAAAGGGCAAUAUACUAUCUCAGCAAGAAAAUUACUGAUUGCAAAAUGAGAUACUCGCCAAUUGAGAAGUUGUGUUGUGCUUUAAUCUGGGCAACCCGGAGACUAAGGCAGUAUAUGUUAUAUCACACAACUGGGCUGAUUUCAAAACUGGAUCCUUUAAAGUAUAUGAUGGAAUCAACUGCUUUAAAUGGGAGAAUAGCUAGAUGGCAGAUUCUGCUAUCUGAGUUUGACAUAGUAUAUGUAACUCAGAAGGCCGUAAAGGGCAGUGCGAUAGCUCACUUCUUAGUUAGUAGAGCUUUGGAGGAUUAUGAGUCUUUGGACUUCGAUUUCCCAAAUGAAGACCUGAUGUAUUUGGCAAACACUAAAGAAAAUCCUCAAAUAGAUCACGUAUGGAGGUUAAAUUUUGAUGGAGCUUCAAACUCUACGGGUAAUGGAAUCGGGGCAGUCUUGGUAUCCCCAAAUGGAGAUCAUUAUCCUGUUGCUAGCAAGUUGGACUUCGAUUGCACAAAUAAUAUGGCAGAAUAUGAAGCAUGUACUAUGGGCAUUCGCCCAGCCAUUGAGCGGAACAUCAAAGUGUUAAGAGUAUUUGGGGAUUCUGCAUUGGUGAUAUACCAACUCAAAGGGGAAUGGGAGACUAGAGACCCUAAGUUAAUCGGUUAUAGAAAACUGGUCCUCGAUUUAGCUGAUGAGUUUGACGAUAUCACCUUCUGUUAUCUCCCACGAGAGGAAAAUCAGAUGGCUGAUGCAUUGGCUACUCUAGCUUCAAUGUUUCAGGUGAACAGACUUGAGGCAAUAAGGCCUAUUCAGAUGAGUAUCUAUGAGACCCCAGCUCAUUGCUACAAUAUUGAGUAGGAGGGAAGAGAUGAUUGUCCUUAGUAUCAGAGUAUCCUACAGUAUGUGAAGAAUCGGGAGUACCCUAAUCGAGCAACAGAGAAUGACAAAAGAACUCUGAGAAGAAUGGCCAUUGAAUAUGUCUUAGAUGGGGAAGUAUUAUACAAAAGAAGGAAGGAUCAAGUACUGUUAAGAUGUGUGGAUGCCGUGGAAGCCAAGAAAAUUUUGGAGGAAGUCCAUGAAGGUAUUUGUGGGACGCACGCCAAUGGUUUCACGAUGGCUAGACAGAUCAUGAGAUUUGGGUACUAUUGGCCCACCAUGGAAGGAGAUUGCCUUGAUUAUGCCAAGAAGUGCCACAAAUGCCAAAUUUAUGGAGACAAAAUACAUGCGCCUCCUUCACCUUUUCACGUCAUGGCCUCUCCUUGGUCUUUUUCCAUGUGGGGUAUGGAUGUUAUUGGGCCGAUAUCACCAAAGGCCUCUAAUGGGCAUCGCUUCAUCUUCGUGGUUAUUGAUUAUUUUACCAAGUGGGUGGAAGCUGCUUCAUACGCAAACGUCACGAAAUCAACAGUCAGCAAAUUCUUAAAAAAGGAGAUCAUUUCUCGAUAUGGAAUGCCUGAGAAAAUCAUAUCCGACAAUACGUUGAAUUUGAACAAUAGCACAAUAGCUGAGGUUUGCAGCCAAUUUAAAAUCAAACAUCAUAAUUCAUCGCCGUAUCGUCCAAAAAUGAAUGGUACAGUUGAGGCGGCCAAUAAGAACAUUAAAAGGAUUGUGAGGAAAAUGACUGAAACUUACAAAGAUUGGCAUGAGAAGUUAUCAUUUGCUCUCCUUGCCUAUCGAACAUCUGUUAGAACUUCUACAGGGGCAACACCUGUUUCUCUAGUCUAUGGAAUGGAUUCAGUAUUACCCAUUGAAGUUGAGAUCCCUUCUCUACAGGUGUUAUCUGAACUACGGUUGGACGAGGCUGAAUGGGUCCAAUCUCAGUACGAUCAGUUGAACCUAAUAGAAGAAAAGAGGUUAAGAGCUAUUCACCAUGGGCGAAUGUACCAGAAACGAAUGAUGCGAGCCUAUAAUAAAAAGGUCCGCCUCAGAGAAUUUCGUGAAAGGGACUUGGUGCUAAAAAAGAUUCUUCCUAUGCAAAAGGAUUUGAGAGGAAAAUGGAUGCCAAAUUGGGAGGGUCCUUAUGUUGUAAAGAAGGCCUUUUCUGGUGGAGCUCUGAUUCUAAGUGAGAUGGAUGGUAAAAAUAUGCCAAACUCUGUAAACGCAGAUUCCAUCAAGAAAUACUUCACUUGAGGGAAAAUGAACCAAAAUGAAAACUCGCAAAGGGCGCUUUGCUUCCCUAAAAAAACUUUGGAGAGGCUAAGAGGAAAACCCGUAAAGGGCAUCUUAGACCAAAGGGGGCUUGAGUCGAAAACCCAAAAAAAGACGGCUCAAGUAUUGAUCAAAUUAGGGCAUGAGAUGAUUUGAGCGGGCCGAAUUUUAAUUGGGGCAUAUGAUGAUCUUGCUUUACUUGAACCAACAAGAAAGGGUACGUGACAUCUUGAAGCAUUGACCGAGUACUGCGGAUCUCCUAAACACAUAUCAAAAUCAGAAAGGCCUUCAGGAAGUUUGAACAAAGAAAUUCAAGCUGCGAUAACUGGGGCACUUAGUUCUUAUUAUUGAUUGUGUUAUCCUUGAAAAUACCUUUUAUUCUUGUUAAGAUACACAUUCUUAAUCAACUUUUUGUUAUUCUUCUUCCGCUAUCUUUGAUAUUUUUCUUUCGAGUUAUGAUCGGAGCCAGCUUUGUUCUUAUUCAUUGUUGUGACCUUUUUGCAAACAUGUUCCAUUGGAGUAAUGAUUAAUGGAUUAAUAAAACUUUCACAAAAGAAGUUUUGCAUAUUACUCUGAAAAGUUCUAAAUAAUAUAGGAACCUGAAACAGGACUAUUGUUUAGAACAUACCAAGUUUAAAGGUUGGAAAUUUGAGAAGGAAUAGUUUAAAUUUAGACUUUCUCUUUGGAUUUUUGUUGUCAAAAGCAUUGAUUGAACAAAAUGACAAAGAUGUCAUAUUAACGAUAAGGUUUCAAUAAAAGAGCAGGCAAUGAUCAUCAGGCAAUAGGAAGAGGUUGCCUCGGAGAGUAGAGCCUUCAUUUGCACAUGAGUCUUUGGUACGACACCUUGGGAAUGGUGUAAGGAACCAGAACGAUUCAGAUCUUGUACCCUUGAAUUGUGAUAGGAAAGGAUUGAGAACAGCCACAUAUUUAUUGGAUUACAAUGGGGGGUAACUUAGCUAAAUGUUUCUUUAGAAAAGUUAAUCAAACAAGAAAGUACUAUAACACAUCAGUCACAAAGCCUUAAUAAACUUCGAGUAACGAUAACCUAAGCGAGAUCAUUCAUGAAAAAUAAAAUUCUGCAUCCAUGCAAACACCAUUCACACAUGUCUAGUUAGGAGCAUUUGAUUCAUUUUGAUCAUGCCAUCUUAAUCAUUAGGCAUAAUUAGGUUCAUUAUACAGGUCUUAUUUCCCUGAGAUUAUGGUGGAACAGACCGAAGAAUUUCAAAUCUUAUCUCCCUGAGAUUACAGCGGAGCAGAUUGAAGCUAGUAAUCCUAUCUCCUUGAGAUUACAGUGGAGUGGAUUAAAAUAAAGGAUCUUAUCUCUCUGAAGUUACAGUAGAGUAGAUCGUAUCAGGUCCUAUCUCCCUGAGAUUACAGCGGAGCAGAUUGAAGCUAGUAAUCCUAUCUUCCUGAGAUUACAGUGGAGCGGAUUAAAAUAAAGGAUCUUAUCUCUCUGAAGUUACAGUAGAGUAGAUCAUAUCAGGUCUUAUCUCCCUGAGAUUACAGCGGAGCAGAUUGAAGCUAGUAAUCCUAUUUCCCUGAGAUUACAGUGGAACAGAUUAAAAUAAAGGAUCUUAUCUCUCUGAAGUUACAGUAGAGUAGAUCGUAUCAGGUCUUAUCUCCCUGAGAUUACAGCGGAGCAGAUUGAAGCUAGUAAUCCUAUCUCCCUGAGAAUACAGUAGAGCAGAUUAAAAUAAAGGAUCUUAUCUGUCUGAAGUUACAGUACAGUAGAUCGUAUCAAGUCUUAUCUCUCUGAGAUUACAGCGGAGCAGAUUGAAGCUAGUAAUCCUAUCUCCCUGAGAUUACAGUGGAGCGGAUUAAAAUAAAGGAUCUUAUCUCUCUGAAGUUACAGUAGAGUAGAUCGUAUCAGGUCUUAUUUCCCUGAGAUUACAGCGGAGCAGAUUGAAGCUAGUAAUCCUAUUUCCCUGAGAUUACAGUGGAACAGAUUAAAAUAAAGGAUCUUAUCUCUCUGAAGUUACAGUAGAGUAGAUCGUAUCAGGUCUUAUCUCCCUGAGAUUACAGCGGAGCAGAUUGAAGCUAGUAAUCCUAUCUCCCUGAGAUUACAGUAGAGCAGAUUAAAAUAAAGGAUCUUAUCUCUCUGAAUUUACAGUAGAGUAGAUCGUAUCAAGUCUUAUCUCUCUGAGAUUACAGCAGAGCAGAUUGAAGCUAGUAAUCCUAUCUCCCUGAGAUUACAGUGGAGCGGAUUAAAAUAAAGGAUCUUAUCUCUCUGAAGUUACAGUAGAGUAGAUCGCAUCAGGUCUUAUCUCCCUGAGAUUACAGUGGAACAGACCGAGGAAUUUCAGAUUUUAUCUCCCUAACGUUGCAGUGGAGCAGACUAAAACCAUAAACUUCGUCCCCCUGAAGUUGCUACGAAGAAGAUCGAAGCUACAAGUCAGAUCUUUCUGAAGUGCAGUGGAGUAGAUCGACGCAACAAGACAUAGUGGAUUGAAAUAAACCUAUUUGAAGAAGGGAAGCGUCAAAAGAAGUCGAAAUCCGGCGAAACCAGGCAAAAUUGGUCUUUCUUGGUCUUUGCUCUGUUCUCGUUACACAACAACGAGCAAAGAGGGGCAGCUGUUACAGACCCAUUUUGCCCCAAGGCCCAUUACAAAGUAAAAACCCAAAGCCCACCUAAACCUAACCCAGACCCGAGACCCACUUAUCCCAGGCCUGAUUUCAAAAAAGCCCCUUGACUUUUGGCCUCCUGCCAUCGCCGCCACCGCCACUAAACGUCCCAUCCGCGUCCAUCACCACCACCCAUCCACUUGCGCCGUCACCUGCAAAGAAGAGAAACAAACAAAGGAAAAGAUAACACAAACAGUGGCAAAGAUCGGCUAUAAAAGCCAACAAAAUGUAACCUUUCUUUUCUUCGGGUACUCUUUGUAACAAAAGAGAGAUUAGCAAAAAGAAAUAAAAUACAAACUAAGUUUUAAGGUGAUUUCGAGUACUCUUCUUCGUUUUUCAUUUUAUUUCUUAUCUUUUUUUUGUUUAUUUAUAUAUGUAAAAUAAAGAAAAGUAAAAGGAAAAAAAAACUCACCUGAUUCGUUUUUCGGUUGCGUCGCCGUUGGGAUCUACCCAUCGUUGAAAUCGGCCUCGAAAGGCUGAGUUAAGGGGUCUCUCCUUUGGAUCUUUCGGCUAAAUGAGUCUAGCCUUCAAUUAGGCCUAGGAUCGGGGACUAAAUAGCCCUUUUGCGCAACGCCGACCACCACGCAUGGUGGCGCUACGGCGGCGCUGUGUGGGCUCAAAGUUCGGGCGUUUGAGAGGGGGAGGAGAAAGGUUUUCUUUUUUUUGUUUUGUUUUUUUAAAAGAAAAGAAGUGAGAUGGUGAAUAUUUUUUGAAAGAGUUUGGGUUUAAAUAACCCCCUAAAACGGCGCCGUUUGGGCUUAGGGUUCAGAGACCAAAAACGGCGUCGUUUUGGUCUCUGACCCGCGCGGUGACCCGACCCGAGGGAAGGAUCCGCGUGUUUUUGACUCUUGGGUUAUUUGCGCAAUUAGUCCCUUUGAUUCUGUAGCGAUUUCAUGGAAGUUUUUCGCAUAUUUGCAAUUUGGCCACAAAAUUUUAUUUUUGUCUCAAUUCGGUCCAUUACUGCGCAGCGUUUUGGGGCUUUGGUUUAUUUACGCUGUUAGUCCCCCUCUUUCAGCACGCGUUACGAUUUAGUCCUUCUUGUCCUUUUUUAUUUUUUAUUUUGCCCCGUAUUUUCGCUUUUAUUUCGAUUUAGUCCAUAUUUUAGCAAUUUUAUUAUUUAGUUAUUAUUAUUAUUAUUAUCUUAACUAUUAUUAUUAUUAUAUUUAUUAACAUUAUUGUUAUUAUUAUGCCCUUUUUUUUAUAUUCACUUAUGAAACUUUUAGAUAUAUUUGUUUUAAUAUAUUAUUAUCAUGAUUGUUUUUAUAUACAUAUACGUAUAUAUAUAUUUUUCUCACUUAUUUAAUAUAUAAAUACUCAAUUUUAUAUACAUACCUAUAUAUAUAUAUAUAUGUUUUUAUAUAUUAAAAUAUGUAUAUUAUUUAUAUAUUUUAUUUUAUUUUGUUAUAUUUUAUAAUCCAUAUAUGUAUAUAUUUUCAUCUACAUACAUAUGUUCUUAUGUUUUGUAAUAUUUAUGUAUUCCUUUCUUAAUAUAUAUAUGUACAUAUUUUAACCUUUGUAAACACAUAUACAUAUACACGCAUAUUUUAAUUUAUGUCCAUAUAUAUCUCUUUACAUUUAAUUGUAUUUACUACUUAUUUAUUUCAUUUUCUUUAUUAUUUUGAAUGAAUGUUUUAAUUUAUUUGUUUAUAUACAUUGUUAUUUUAUACGAUUGUAGGUAUGACUUUUAUUUAUUUUAUAUUGUUGCUAUUACUCGUAUCAUUUUUAUACUUUUGUGUGUGUAUUAUGAUUUUACCACGCAUAACAACAAUGUAAUUUGCUUUCACAUUUUACUACGAUUUUCGUGUUUUAUUUUACUUGAUAUAACAAAAAUUAGUUUUAAAAAAAUAAUAAAAUAAAAUUUCAUGUUUAGAUUCGAGAGGAUCGUACCCUAACUUACUAGGUUUCGAUUUUCAUAAUAAAUUUAAAUAUACGAAUCUUUUCAAACUCAAGUUUUUAAACGAUCUUGGGAAUUAAGAAAAGAUCGUGUCCUAACAUACUGGGCAUGAUUCAUUUUUUUAAACCCGAGAUAAUAAAAUAUCUUUUAAAUGAGUAAAUUUUCAGCAUUCGUUCGUGUAUCGGGAAUUUGAGAUAUUGUGUCCUAACUUACUGGAUGUGAUUCUCUUUCUCGAUUAACGUGAAAUAUGCCCAUUUUCCCAAAAUUUUUAACAUUUUAAUACAAGGAUCGUAUUUUUAAUUAGGUACCAAUUUCUGGGCAUUACGAGGGUGCUAAUCCUUCCUCGUACGUAACCGACUGCCGAACCUGAUUUCUGAAUUUCGUGGACCAAAAUCGUUGUUUUAAUAAAAUCAAAUCGUUUAUUAAAACCACUUUUCGAGGUGAUCCAAUCGCACCUCAUAAAAAAGGGAUUGGUGGCGACUCCCCUUUCAUUUUUUUGAAACCCAAGUCGACCCCGUUUUUCAUCAAAAAAAUGGUGUCAACAAAUAUUAAAAUAUUUUUCUGACUCAGAUUUGUAGUCCCAAAACCACUGUCCGACUAGGGUCUAAACCGGGCUGUUACAAAAUUAAUUUUAAAAUCAGUUAAAAUGGAUUAAGGUAAUUAAUUAUUGAGUAAUGAAAUACAUAAUCAAAUCAAUUGAUUUUGCUAGAAACUAAAAGAAAAAGGGAUAAGCUAAAAACUGAUUGCCCUUUAUUAAAAUUAACGAAUCCGCCUUUUACAUAUUAGAUAAUAUGAACAUCGCAUAUAUAAUAAGAAAAAUUACGUACGAUUAUUUAUUAUCAUAAAAGGUUAGUUUAAAUUUAAAGUAAUCUAAUAUGUUUAUUGAACUUCAACUAUUAAAUAAAGUAUAAGCAAAAUAUGUGUAAAUAUUCUAGAAACCAUUUCUAACUAAUGAUAGGCUAAUUUGGAAUUAAGAUUAAUAUAUAAAAACUAGAUAGUAGGGUUAUAGUCCUCAAACUACACCUAAUUUAAUAACAUUUAUAUUUUUUUUAGCCUUAAACAUUUAUAGUUUUUGUUAAUUUGGUCCUUACUCUUUAAAAGUACAUAAAAUUGCAAAAAUAUUUUAAAAAUUGCAAGAAAACAACUCCAAUGACACUAUUGAAGCCGACUCUGAAGCAGAUGUUCAUCAAGAUUGAAGAUUCCAGUUGAUUUCUUAAGAGAUUAUCAUGAGUUUAUUUAUUUCUUUGGGUUAUACUACCCUUUGGAUGUUUUUAUUUUUAAGCAUAAACUAAUUUUCAAAAUAUUUAAGAGAGAUGAACCCUAUGAUAGAUUGUGACACCCUAAACCUGACCGAGAUAGAUUGGACCGAAUUCGAAGCAUUACAUUAGCCACAUAAGUGCCUCUCCAGCUAACGACCACCCAAGACACACCCCGACCUUAUAACACCUCAAUCUUAUCUAAUUAUUAGUUAUUUAUUAAUGCAGAAGUAAAUUAUAAGCCAAUUUUAAACUUUUCCUAGAUAAUUUAACCUAAGGGCAAUUUUGUCAUUUUAUCACCUACUGUAAAACUAACCUUUUUAGAUCUAAGUGAUUACCAACCUUCUUUUAGUCAAAUUAUGCAAGCCUAAAAUUUUGAGCUUAAUUUGAGUUCGUUUACUAUGUCUAAUUCAAGUUUUAUUAUUAAGGACUGAAUUGUAACUCAAACAAAUUAGAAUACUAAUUUAAAGAGACAAAAAUUCAAAACCCCAAAACCCACACGGGCAUGUGGGUAAGUGACAGGGGUGUGUGGAGACUGGAGCUAUCACACACAGGCUUGUGGGAUUGAAAAAUAUGAAAUAAAUUAAUCCACUCAAUUUUCCAACAACCAUGCUAUACUACCAAACCAAAAAACACUUGAAGAUUUGAAUAGGGGCGAAUCUAAAAAAAGAAGAAGAAGAAGAAUUAGAAUUAAAUUAUAAAUUUUUGAGAAGUUAAAAUAUAAUUUUAUCAUGUAUUAAUUUAUUAUUUUUUAAAGGGUCUCAAUAGAAUUUUUUUUUCCAUUUUGGUUGGGCCAAUACCCCUGCCUGCCUCUUUAAAUUUGCUCCAACCCUAUACCCAAUAUUUGAUUUGGAUUAACAACAAUAUAUAGGUUAGUAUUUGUGGGAGUUUGACGAAUCUUAGAUGUUUAAAUUAUAAAUUUUUGAAAGAUUAAAAUAAAUUUGUAUUUUUUAUUAACAAAAGAAAAAAGAAAAAAAAACAUGUGUAGACAAGUCAAGAGACCUUUGGGAUCAUACGGGUGAUUUUGAUGAAGUUAAUGGUUAUUUUGGUGGAGAGGGUGAAAAGGAAACAAAUGAUUCAUUAUAUAUAAUAUAAUUAUGAAAUUCAAGCCAUAUAUUGUAUGUUUCAUACAUAAAAAUUUCAUGGGACGUCCAAAGGUUAACAUAUCAAUUGAUUUAUGAGUUUACACUUUUUUUAUAAUGUUGUACUUUUGGUUUUUGUGCAAUAUGAUACAUAUAUUUGGUAAAAAGUUAUAUAUUUUGAUACUUAAAGGUAACAUUGUUAAUUUUUUAGUGUUUUAUCUGAAUUUUAGAGUUUAUUUAAUGAACAUUAAUUGUUAAUAUUGUUUUGUUUAUUUUUUUAUGAUUUUGUUAAUAAAAUAAAUUUCAUGUUAAUCUUGUUAUCUUUCUUAUUUUAGAAUUGAUUACAUGAAAGUUAAUUGCUAAUAUUAUUAGUUAACUAUUAGUUUUCUUCAAAUCAAAUUAAAACCCGAAAGGUCCCUCUUUUUUUAUAUUAGUUUUAGUUAUCCAUUAAAUUUGUUUCUUUGUAAUAAAAUUAAAUUAUAGAAAUAACAUUAAAAUUUUCAAUAAAAAUAAUUCACAAUAAUUAUACAGAAUUUAAUUUUCUUUCAAAUGCUACAGUUAAUAAGGAAAGUGAAUAUAGUACAUAUCAAUAAAACUUUUAAAAAAGAAAUAUUGUUUAAUUAGUUAAUUUAAAAAUUAGCGUCUAAAAACUGUCAGAAUGAAAUAUUAGAUUUUAUAAGAUUUCAUUAUUCUAAAAAAUAAAAUAUGACAAUGCUUAAAAAUUUUAUUAAAAAAGUUUUAAAUUUUAUAUAAAAUUUAAAAAAAUAUAAAAUAGUACUAAAAAUUUUUAUAAGCAAAUUUAAAUAUUAAUUAGUAAAUUAUUUUUGUAAUAUUUAUAUGUAUUUUCAUUUUUAUAAAUACUAUUAAAACUUAUUUAAAAAAAUUGAAUGCUAUUAUAUGAAAGUUAAAAUGAUCUAAAAACAUUUUUUAAAAUUUUAAAUACUUUAUAAAAUAUUUAAAAUAUUUUAAAUUAUAUCAUAUAUAUUCUACAUAUAUUAAGAUUCUGAAUCAUUAAUUAUAUAUCUACAUAUUAUAAUAAAUUCAUCUUUCAAAAUUUUCCUAAACUAUAUUCAUAAUAUUAUAAAUAUAUUAUAUCAUAAAUAUUCUUUCAAAUGUUUUUAAUGUUUAUUAAUAAGUUAAUUUAUAAAAUAUUCUUUCAGUAAAUUAACGUGAUGAGAUCGUUAGUUGCUUGGAUUUGGUGAUGGGGACGAGGAGAAAAGGGAUGGAAGUGAAGAGAAAUGUUGGGAAAUUGAAAGGGUUAGCGAGGGAGGCCUCCAUGAAAGGUGGUUCUAUGGAUAUGAACCUUCAAGCUUUUGUGGAUGAUGUUGCUCAAGGUUGUUGCAAGUAAAUUUAAAAAUGUUUUUUUAAUUAUUUUUUGUUAAAAAAUAUUUUUUCUAUGUGAUAACUUCUGAUGAUUUUUGUCUGUAACAUUAGACAGGUUAAUAGUUAAAUCGUUCAAACUGACAGAUUUCGCUAAAGGGAGAGGUCAAUUGAUUUUUUUUGGAAUCAUUGAGAACUCAAUUGGUGCACUUUUUUCAUAAAGACUAAAUUAAUUUUUUAAUUUGUUAUCGCUGAGGGCUACAGUAAUAAAAAAUUUUGAGGCAAAAAUGGAAUAACGUCCCAAAAAUCUAAUACUUAAUUUGUAAAAUUUUAUCAUUAAUAAAUAUUUGCCUUAGUGGUUAAGUAUUCAAGACGUGUCUAUAAUAUCUUGUAUUCAAGUCCUUAUGUGAAUGGAUUGUUAUUAUUUUUUUUGCGCGGGUCGGGUAGGAGGUUGAGUUUGAGUCCAGUUCGAACUCUGGAAAAAGGUGGUUAGUUAUCUGAGAUGGGGUUAGUGCUUAGUAGAUUUGGAUUUGGUUUAUUUUAAAAUUUAUUAAUUAAUUUGUUAAAAAAUUAAAUAGUUUUUUCCUAAUUUUUGGCUCACCAUUCUUUCUUUUGUUUUUCUUUAUGCUUUCUUUUUCUUUUCUUUUUCUGUUACCUUUCAAAUCACGUCGAUUUGUUCCUAUUUUGCUUUUGAGUUUUUCUUUUCUUUCCUUUACGCUCCUCUACGAUCGUGUCUUAAUUCCUUCAUUAUUUUCUCUUUGUUGGCGUUGCUCGUUCGAGAGUGGAUUAGUUUCCGUUUUGAUGUGUUUUUACGUGGUUAAUAAAAGAAAUGUGUUAAUUUUUGGAUUAUGGAGUUGAUCGUUUUUAAUCAAUUCUCCAGUAAGUUGACUCGUUUGCUGUUGUAAUGUGCUAGGGUAAGAGAUUAAUUCUGAUUUGGGCCUGUGUGGUUGUGUAGAUUUUCCAUGUGAAUUCGUUUGGUAUUUUUAGGUUAAAUCAUUCUUUAAAUCGUAUUGCUACCAUCGCUAAUGUGAUGUUUUAAUUUAUGCAUUUAGGAUCUGGUAGUCUUGUAGGUGUUUUCGCAUAAACAAUUCGAACCAUGUGUAACGAAAAACUCGACAAUAACGAGCGACGAAAGCUAAAAAAUUGCACUGUCGAUGCCACACGGUCAUGUGACAAGCCAUGUGCUAGACCGUGUGCAACACACGAUCUGGGCUAGUUGAGCCGUGUGGAACAAGAAACUAAGAAAAUCCAAUCUAACAAAGAAAAUAACUUGAUGUCCAAAAGCUACCAUGAACCGUAAUUCAUGGGAAGGCUUGUUGCUCAUUUUAUUGGUUUCCAUUUUGACUUUUGCAAAAGAAGUUUGAAUUUUGAAGAGAGCCUAGUACGUGAGAGCAAAAGAAAGAAUUCUAUAAAGAUUUUGAAUUUUGAAUUUUGAAUUUUGAAGCAAAUUUUCAUUAAGAUUGAAGAUUUGUAAUUGAUUUCUUAGGAGAUUAUCACGAGUUCCUUAAUUUUUUCAGUUAUAUUGCCCUUUGGAUGUUUUUAUUUUUAAUCAUGAACUAAUUUUCUAAAUACGUAAGAGAGAUGAACCCUAUGAUAGAUUGUGACACCCCAAAGCCGACCGGGAUAGACCGGCCCAAAUUCGAAGCAUUACAUUAGCAACCUAAGUGACUCACUAGCUAACGACCACCCAAAACACACCCCGACCUUAUAACACCUCAAUCUUAUUUAAUUAUUAGUUAUUUUAGAGAUUCUUAGCUUUGACAACUUCUCUCCACCACUUCUCUUACGCUCCUUCCAGGAUCUUGCUUUUUGUCUGUUGAAAACUCAAAUGAACAAAAUAAAGUGAAUUUAUGAGUUUUGUUUUCUUUUAAAAAUAUUUUUAAUAUUUUUGUGGAUAUCAAGAGAUACCAAAAAUUAUUUCAUUAAGAAAUUUUAAUUCACUCGAAAAGUUAGUGUUUUAUUUCAAGGGAUCAUAAUUAAUCAUUAGAUUUCUGAAUUUUAAAUUUUGAAUUUUUUGACAAUUGCGUAAUUAAUAAGUACCAAUUUUGAGUGUUGUAGGGCUAGUACANNNNNNNNNNNNNNNNNNNNNNNNNNNNNNNNNNNNNNNNNNNNNNNNNNNNNNNNNNNNNNNNNNNNNNNNNNNNNNNNNNNNNNNNNNNNNNNNNNNNAUUUGUCCUUAUACUUUGAUCUAAAUAUUUUGAUCUAAUAAAUGUAAAAAAACCUUUUAAACAAAAUAAGGUUGAAAUAAUCUAUUUGUCUUUAUACUUUGAUAAAAUUUAAGAUUUAGUCUGUAUACCUAAAAGGUUAAAAAUUAAGUCUUCUUGUUUUUAUUUAAAAAUCUUAGUCCUAUCGUUAAUUUUUUUUUGUUAAAAUUUAUCAACUUGACAUAUUAAUUAGGUUUCCCUUAUAUGUCGUGGUAUACGACUAACACAAAAUAAACAAGUUGACAAAUUCUGACAAAAAAUAUCAAAGAUGGUAAUAAUUUAAUUAAAAUUUUUAAAUUGAAAAAGUAGGGAAUUAAAUUUAUAACUUUUAAAGUACAAAAAAUGAACUUAUUGAAAUACAAGAACUAACAACAUAUGUUAAAAUAUUACUAGUAAAUUAUAUAUCUACAACAAGAAUUGUAAAAUUCUGCACCUUUCGUUAUAAUAUGAUUUAUUAAUUUUAAAUUUUUUACAGAAUAAUAUGCUUUAAACUAUUUUUUGUAUCAUUUAUAAAAAUUAUAAUAAACUUACAAAAUGAUUUCAUCAUAUUUAAUUAUUAACGGGAAAAAAUGAUACCAUAUAUAUUUUGUAUAUAUUAAGAUUCCGAAUCAUUAAUUAUAUAUCUACACAUUAUAAUAAAUUUAUCUUUCAAAAUUUUCCUUAUAAUUAAAUCAUAAAUUACAUUUAUAAUAUUAAAAAUAUAUUAUAUCAUAAAUAUUCUUUCAAAUAUUUUUUAAUGUUUAAUAAUAAGUUAAUUUAUAAAAUAUUCUUUCAAGAAAUUAACGUGAUGAGAUCAUUAGGUGCUUGGAUUUGGUGAUGGGGGAUGAAGAGAAAAGGGAUGGAAGUGAAGAAAAAUGUUGAGAAAUGGAAAGGGUUAGCGAGGGAAGCCGCCAUGAAAGUUUAUUGGUUCUAUGGAUAUGAACCUUCAAGCUUUUGUGGAUGAUGUUACUCAAAGGUUGUUGCAAGUAAAAUUUAAAAAAAAAAAGAGGUAAAAAGAAAAAAAUAUUAGAGCUAAAUUUGUCAUUAUGACUAAAAUGUAAAACCAAAAUUUUUUAAAAAUGGAAAAUUUACAAAUUUUGUCACUUAUGUUUGCUUAAAAUUAUAGUUUUGGUCACCAAUCUUUUAAAGUAAAUAUAUGGUCACCAAUAUUAUCCAUUUGUUACUUUGUAAUAACUCACCUUAAACUUCAGUAAUUGACGAGCGCUUUCACAAACUGUGGAUGACUUGGGGAUAAGAACUUCAACAAUUCUAGAGUUAAAGUGUAAAUUUACUAUUAUAUUAUAAGUAAAUAUUGAAAUUUAUCACUAUAAUUGAUACUUGUCAUUACACUUUGAAAAUAUAAAUAAAUUUACCAUUUAACUCAUAUGUGAUAGAACUUUACAAGUAAACUUAAAAUUUUAUUUAAUUUUGUCACUAAAUUUGAUUUAUUUAAUUAAAUUUACAACUCAAUAUAGAUUUUGGUGACUUAAAAUAAAAUUAAUAAAAAAAACUAUUCUUUCAGAUAAUUUUUUAAUGUUUAAUAAUAAGUUGAUUUAUAAAAUAUACUUUCAUUGGACACAAGCAUCCAAGGCGGUGAACAAACCACUUGUCAAAUUAAUUUGGAGAUGUCUUUUUUUCUAAAUCAAGUAAAUUUAUGAGUUUUGCAUUUUUUAUAAAAAUAUUUUUAAUAUUUUUGUGGAUACCAAGAGAUUAGGGGUGAGCAAAACUCGAUUCGACUNNNNNNNNNNNNNNNNNNNNNNNNNNNNNNNNNNNNNNNNNNNNNNNNNNNNNNNNNNNNNNNNNNNNNNNNNNNNNNNNNNNNNNNNNNNNNNNNNNNNUAUUUUUUAAUUCCAAAAUACAUAGUGACAAGAAUCUGAAGAUAAUUGAAACAACUAAGCAAGCAAAGAAGCUAAUCAGUAUAUAAAAAAUUAAUAAAUAAAUUAUGAGGUGAUGAAAGUUAAUAAAAAAUUUGAUUAAGGUAGACAAAUUUUAUUACGAUGGGUGACAGCGGUUACAAGGACCCAAAAUUAUUUUUUAAAAUUUAACUCGAAUAAAUAUAUUCGAUUCGAUUCGAUUCGAAUUCCAUCUCACUCGACUCGAUUCGAGAAAACUUCAAAUAAAGGUAGGAUGAUAAAAUAAGAUUUGAAAACUCGAUUAACUCGAAAAUUUUUGAUUCGAUUCGAUUCGAUUCGAUCGAAUGCUCACCCCUACAAGAGAUACCAAAAAUUAUUUCACUAAGGAAUAAAUUAGUGUUUUAUUUUAAGAGUUCACAAUUAAACAUUAAAUUUUUUAUUUUUAAAUUUAGAAUUUCUUGACAAACGCGUAAUUAAUAAGUACUAAUUUUGGGUGUUGUAGGGUUAUUACAAUCUUGCCUACACGUAACAGAUUCUUAAACCUACUUUUUUUUUCUAGAACUCAAUGCAAACCUCAAAUUUAUCUUUUUAAAAAAAUUUUAAAAUAUCUAUAUAAAAGGUGAUUUUUUUUAUCGAUCACACUUAAGAAAUUUUAAAAAUUAUUAAUUUUUUUGAAAUUUAAAUUGAUCUAAAAACAUAUUUUUAAGUGCUUUAACCAUCUGGUGCUAAUUUCUUUAUUAUAUUAAAUGCUUGCAAUCACUCCUGAUAUAUUAUACUUGAGUUGUGACAGAGCCAAUUAUCAACGUGCCAUAAUGUUCUAUUGGUGCUGAAACUGAAGUUUUAGUUAUAUUAAUAGAGCUUGUCCUUCAACGCGUAUAAUAAGUGUUUGUUAUUUUUUUCCUUCAAAUUGUAUGAUCUCAUUCAUUAAAUGAAUUAAUGAAUUUCUUUUUAAAAAUAUAAUUCUAAAAAUUAAAUACUUUAUAAAAUAUUUAAAACUAUUUAAAAAAUUGUAAGCGAUAAAACAAUCAACAAGAUAUAUUUUUCUCUAAAAAAAUCAAUAAAAAUAUGUUUGAAAUUUUAUAUGAAAUUUAAAAUUUUUUAACAAUAAUAUAUUUUAAAAUUAUUUACACCUUUUUUUUAUAUAUUUUUCCUAACAUAUCGUUAUUUUCAACACUAUCGCAAUCCUGUUUUGGUAAUUCCCUUUCCAUACAUCCUUUUUCUACAUAGAAUUUCGAAAGAAAAUGUGAAUUAAUGCAGACUUGAGAAGACUUAGUGGUAAGUCACCCAAUGAAAGUGACCUAAACCGACUUAUGGAACAAUCAAACAAUAAUUUUGUAUCUUAUAAUAUAUUUAAUUACAUUUAUUAGUUUAUCAAUCAAAACUUAAUUAGAAUCCAUCAAUAUUUCACACAUAGCAUAAAAUUCACUUUUAAAGUAUUUGGGUUGUAUUUAUAUUAUAGGAAAUAGACUUAUUCUUGAUGCACAUGUUUUAUUAUAUUUAAAAAUUAAAAUAUAUGAUUGAUUGGGUUUUAGUUGAGUUAGUAUUAGUAUUGUUAUCACUAUAUGAAAAAGUGAGCUCGAUCAUGCUCAAAUGCGUUUUAUCCUCCAAUUCAAGAGUUGAGAAAAAAUUAUUGAUAAUUAAAUUAUACAAUAUCUAAAAAGCAUUUAUAAAUAAUAUAAGAAAAAAAAAGAAAAAAAGAAGAGAAACAUAUUCAUAUCGAUGGGCUCUUUCAUUAUUAGAAUUUUAUUCUCUCACAAGUAAAAGUAUUUAUGGAGAGGAUCAUGUAAAAUAAUGACCUGAAUAAUUUUAAACGUUUCAUCAUUACAAAAAUGAAAUAAUAGAAAAGAAAGACUACCCAUUUUAUGAAAUAUAAAUUUUAAAUGAAUUUUAAAAUCUUUUUAUAGAAAGCUAUUUUUUUAGGUGAUUCACCAAAGAAUAAAAAGAUGGGAGGUGAUUCCUCCUUUUUAAUAAAACCUUGUGCUUUUACAAACACCAAAUUAUUCCUAAGCUUUACAUUAAUAUACAUGAUUUAUUUUUUCGUUAUUAUUAUUUCUAUGAUUAUAAUAUUAUACUUAUUGGACUAUAAUCAUAACCAUGUUUAUUAUCAUUCAAUAAAAAGAAAUAAGUGUUGGAUGUAAUGGCAAGGUACAUUACAAUCUUAAUAGGAGAUUAGGGUUUUGGACAAAGGAAGAAUAUGAUUUGAAUUUUGGAGACGACAUUCUUAAAAUGAGCAACCACGGGGCCCGAUUAUGAACCAUAAAAUGAACAUGAAAAGUACCCAAAAAAACACGUCUAUUAUCCAAUUAGUAAUCCAUCCCAAGGCUUAAAUUAACAAAAUUCACCAUGCAACCGUGUAGACUAUUUUAUGUAUAUACUAUAUUUAUUCUUCAUGCAAAUGUUUAUUAUAUUUAAAAAUUAAAAUAUAUGAUUGAUUGAGUUUUAGUUGAGUUAAUAUCGAUAUUGUUGUUAGUGCAAAAGAAUGUGAGUUCAAUCAUGUUUAAACGCGUUUUAUCUUCCAAUUUAGGAGUUGGAGAGGAUUCUCAAUAGUUAAAUUAUAUAAUUUUUUGUCUAUUUAAAAUUGGUUUAUAAAUAAUAUAAAUAAAAAGAUUUAAAAUAUAUAUAUUCAUAUUGAUCGGCGUUUUCAUUAUUAGACUUUUUUCCCUACAGGUAAAAGUAUUUAUGGACAGGAUGAUGUAAAAUUAUGACCUAAAUAAUUUUAAACCUUUCAUCAUUGCAAAAAUGAAAAUAAUAGAAAUGAAAGACUAGCCAUUGUAUGAAAUUUGGCAGGCCAUGUCAAUUUCGUAGAUUUGCACUCUGAACUGUGAAAAAAAUACAAAUUUUAGGUUUUUCAAGCAUUUUAAUUCGUAUAUAUGAAAAAAAAAAAAAAAGAAGAUAGGAGAGAACCUUCCUAGAAUAUUUAAGAAAACAGCUCCAAAGACACUAUUGAAGCCGACUCUAAAGCAGAUUUUCAUCAAGAUUGAAUAUUCCCAGUUGAUUUCUUAAGAGAUUAUCAUGAGUUUCUUUAUUUCUUUCGGUUAUACUGCCCUUUGGAUGUUUUAAUUUUUAAGCAUGAACUAAUUUUCUAAAUACCUAAGAGAGAUGAACCCUAUGAUAGAUUGUGGCACCCCAAACCCGAUCAGGAUAGAGCAGCUCGAAUUCGAAGCAUUACAUUAGCCACCUAAGUGACUCUCCAGCUAGCGACCACCCAGGACACACCCCAACCUUGUAACACCUCAAUCUUGUUUAAUUAUUAGUUAUUUAUUAUUGCAGAAGUAAAUUAUGAGCCAAUUUCAAACUUUUCCUAGGUAAUUUAACCAAAGGGCAAUUUUGUCAUUUUACCACCUAUUGUAAAACUAACUUGAUUUUAGAUCUAAGUGUUUACCAACCUUCUUUUACUCAAAUUAUGCAAGCCUAAAUUUUUUAGCUUAAUUUGAGUUUGUUUACUAUGUCUAAUUCAAGUUUUAUUAUUAAUGACUAAAUUGUAACUCAAACAAAUUAGAAUAUAAUUUAAAGAGAAAAAAAUUCCAAACCCCAAAACUAACACGGGCAUGUGGGUAAGUGACACGGGCAUGUGGAGACUGGAGCUAUCACACAUGGGCGAGUGGGAUUGAAAAAUAUGAAAUAAAUUAAUCCACUUAAUUUUCCAACUACCAUGCUAUACUACCAAACCAAAUAACGCUUGAAGUUUUGAAUAGGGGCGAAUCUAAAAAAUAUUAGAAGAAUUAUAAUUAAAUUAUAAAAUUUUGAGAAGUUAUCAUGUAUUAAUUUUUUAUUUUUAAAGGGUCUUCAUAGAAUUUUUUUUCACAUUUUGGUUGGGCCAAUACCCCUGUCUGCCUCUUUAAAUUUGCUUGAACCCUAAACCCAAUAUUCGAUUUGUUGUGGAAGUUUGAUGCAUAAAAAUUUCUUUUUUAGAGGUUUAAAUUAUAAAUUUUUGAAAGAUUAAAAUAAAUUUGUCUUUUUUUUAUUAACAAAAUAUAAAAAGAAAAAAAAAACAUGUUUAGACAAGCCAAGAAACCUUUGGGAUCAUACAGGUGAUUUUGAUGAUGUCUCAUCCAUAAAAAUAAUCUCUUUAUACUGUAGGCUUGCUGAAUUUCUUUGAAAGGCCCAAAGGUAAUUUAACAUUCACAAAAUAAUCUCUAAAUACUGUAAAGACAAAUCAAAUCCACAGCAGCAUUAGAGUUGAUUAAGCUAAGCAUUGGCAAAUAUUACUUUGAUUUUGCAUGCAAUAUUGGCAAAACCCCCUCCUACAUUAGAAAAACAACAUAAUCCAUGUAACAUUGAUAGCCCAAUACAAAUUUCAUCAAGAAAAAAGUCUCUUUGUUUAUUUGUAGAACAUGAUAGUAAAGAUAUGGAGUUUCGUACGUUCUUCUUGUUGUCCUCCUUUAGUUUCCCUUGAUCAACAACCACUAGCCAAAAACACAAUUAGAUUAGAUUAUGAAUGAUACUUUCAACUAUGACAAUAUUAAAUACAAAACACUCUAAAUAACUCUAAAUAAAUGGAAAGCAGCAAAUUACCUGAUAAGGCAAGUUAGCUGAAUUAAGACCAUUGUGUUAUACUUGUCUUUGAAUUGAAAAUUUUAGAAGAAAAUAAAGAGAAAAAGUUAGAAAAUACUUGAAAACAGAUAAAACUUAUAUGUCAUUGAUUGGAUAAACUACAAUCACCUAUAAUAGACCUUGUACUUGACUUUUGUUGAGGGAGAUCGACUCCUUUAGGAGAAGUCUUUUGAGUGUUGUUUGCUAGGCAAUCGGUGCUGCCCUCAACAACUAAUGGUAGUGUCCCCAUGUCGGGAUUUAAAAUUUAUAUUGAAUUACUUUAUACUUAAAUUUAUGAGAACCACGUAUUUAGAACUUAAAUUUGUGUUUUAAAAUAACUUAUGAUAAAUAAUGAAAUGUAUAAUUUGAAACUAUUUAAUAAUAACACAUAGCACAUCUACUAUGUUAAAAUAAAAAUAGAUUAAAUUGUAAGUAAAACAUAAUUUAAACAUAUGAAUACAUCAAAUUAAGAAUAAUAAAUGAAUACAGUUAUUUAUGAAGAGAGCAUACUACGUGAGAGCAAAAGAAAAAAUAUAGUUUAUUAAUUUUUACGAAUACCGACAUAUUAUAUAUACGAUUAAAAUUCAGAAUAGAUUAAAAAUGUUGAAUUAAACAUAAAAUUAAGUNNNNNNNNNNNNNNNNNNNNNNNNNNNNNNNNNNNNNNNNNNNNNNNNNNNNNNNNNNNNNNNNNNNNNNNNNNNNNNNNNNNNNNNNNNNNNNNNNNNNNNNNNNNNNNNNNNNNNNNNNNNNNNNNNNNNNNNNNNNNNNNNNNNNNNNNNNNNNNNNNNNNNNNNNNNNNNNNNNNNNNNNNNNNNNNNNNNNNNNNNNNNNNNNNNNNNNNNNNNNNNNNNNNNNNNNNNNNNNNNNNNNNNNNNNNNNNNNNNNNNNNNNNNNNNNNNNNNNNNNNNNNNNNNNNNNNNNNNNNNNNNNNNNNNNNNNNNNNNNNNNNNNNNNNNNNNNNNNNNNNNNNNNNNNNNNNNNNNNNNNNNNNNNNNNNNNNNNNNNNNNNNNNNNNNNNNNNNNNNNNNNNNNNNNNNNNNNNNNNNNNNNNNNNNNNNNNNNNNNNNNNNNNNNNNNNNNNNNNNNNNNNNNNNNNNNNNNNNNNNNNNNNNNNNNNNNNNNNNNNNNNNNNNNNNNNNNNNNNNNNNNNNNNNNNNNNNNNNNNNNNNNNNNNNNNNNNNNNNNNNNNNNNNNNNNNNNNNNNNNNNNNNNNNNNNNNNNNNNNNNNNNNNNNNNNNNNNNNNNNNNNNNNNNNNNNNNNNNNNNNNNNNNNNNNNNNNNNNNNNNNNNNNNNNNNNNNNNNNNNNNNNNNNNNNNNNNNNNNNNNNNNNNNNNNNNNNNNNNNNNNNNNNNNNNNNNNNNNNNNNNNNNNNNNNNNNNNNNNNNNNNNNNNNNNNNNNNNNNNNNNNNNNNNNNNNNNNNNNNNNNNNNNNNNNNNNNNNNNNNNNNNNNNNNNNNNNNNNNNNNNNNNNNNNNNNNNNNNNNNNNNNNNNNNNNNNNNNNNNNNNNNNNNNNNNNNNNNNNNNNNNNNNNNNNNNNNNNNNNNNNNNNNNNNNNNNNNNNNNNNNNNNNNNNNNNNNNNNNNNNNNNNNNNNNNNNNNNNNNNNNNNNNNNNNNNNNNNNNNNNNNNNNNNNNNNNNNNNNNNNNNNNNNNNNNNNNNNNNNNNNNNNNNNNNNNNNNNNNNNNNNNNNNNNNNNNNNNNNNNNNNNNNNNNNNNNNNNNNNNNNNNNNNNNNNNNNNNNNNNNNNNNNNNNNNNNNNNNNNNNNNNNNNNNNNNNNNNNNNNNNNNNNNNNNNNNNNNNNNNNNNNNNNNNNNNNNNNNNNNNNNNNNNNNNNNNNNNNNNNNNNNNNNNNNNNNNNNNNNNNNNNNNNNNNNNNNNNNNNNNNNNNNNNNNNNNNNNNNNNNNNNNNNNNNNNNNNNNNNNNNNNNNNNNNNNNNNNNNNNNNNNNNNNNNNNNNNNNNNNNNNNNNNCCAUUCCAUCUGAAAGCUCCCUUUAUAUACAUAUCCAAAACUCCUGAACCAAGCAUAUUGCUUUCCUCAAAUCAUAGUGCUCGUGAAAGUUCAGCAUGUGAAAUUCUUCUCGGUGUCUUCAAAGACAACAAAUCAUCUUUAAUUGGUAAAGCUGUACUCCUCCUUUGGCAUCUUCUAUACAUAAUAGUUAAGACUAUUAGUACUACGACAAUACCAAUUGUUGGUAAACCAUACCUAAAAGCAUGCAAUAUAAUCAUUUGAGAGUUCUUGUGGAUGUCGUUUUUGCAAGGUGGGACUAGCAAUCUAGGUGGACCACAAAGAGCAUAAUUCUUCAUGAAUGAUGUACUAGAAAAGUUUGAAAAACAUCCUUUGCUGGGAAUUUCCCCUUCAAGUCUAUUGGAAGACACAUUAAAAUACUUUAGAUGUAAAAGCUUUUCCAAAGAUUUGGGAAUGACUCCAGAGAGACUGUUAUUGCAUAAAUCCAAGAAUUCCAAACUAGUCAACCCAUCAAAUGAUUCAGGGAUAUGACCAUGUAGUAUAUUAUUUGAUAAAUCUAAUGAAACCAAAGUUUGAAGACCCCCAAAUGAGGAUAAGAUAUCGCCCGUGAGAAGAUUCCUUGAAAAAUUUAGUUUCAGUAGACUCCUCAAAUUUCCAACAUCAAUAGCAUGUGAAUUGUGAAGAUGGUUUGAUGAUAAAUCUAUUUCUAAGAUAUCUUUAAGAUUCCACAAAGUUGAGGGUAUUGUAGAACUCAAUUUGUUGGAAUCUAAGUAAAGAUAUCCCAAAGAAGUUAAAUUACCCAAACAAGAGGGUAUGGAUCCAUGCAGCUUAUUCAACCCUAAAGACAUCUCGUAUAGUCUCUCCAAAUCACAAAGGCUUUCUAAGAUGGGCCCUCCUAAUUUAUUAGAGGAAAGAUCUAGAGCUUGGAGAUUUCGCAGUCCUCCUAUUGAUGCUGGAAUGAAUCCACUUAAUUUAUUAUGGCGAAGUUGUAAAAGCAAAAGGUUGGUUAAGUUACCUAUUUCCAUAGGAAUAAUGCCUUGAAGCUCACAAUUAGAGGCAUAAAAGUAUUGAAGGGAUUUUGAAAGGUUCCCGAUAUAAGUAGGAAGAACGCCACUCAAUGGAUUUCCUGAAACAAUUAUUCUUUUCAAAUGCUUGCAAUUCGUCAAAGAAGAAAGAAAGCUCCACUCAUGAUCAGUAGCAGAUCCUGUGAUCAAAUUAUUGUUUACGAUUCGGAACCAUUCAAGGUGUCUUAAGUUGCCAAGCGUUUUAGGGAUUGGGCCAGAGAAUAAGUUAUCUCCCAAGUCUAGUUCCUUCAGCAUGGAAGCAUUGGAGAUAGAGUUGGGAAUGUUUCCUCUAAGUUUAUUUCCCCACAAUACAAGAAUCUCAAGCUUUGGAGCAUUGGUGAUGGGUGGUAAAUUACCUGUAAAAUAGCAUCUUUUAGUAUACAUAUUCACAAAAUAUAUAAUACACUAAUAAUUUUUUAAAAUAUUGUAAAACUUGAAAUAAAAUAAAAAUAAAAGUUUGGCAUGAGAAUAUGGCAUCUAAUCAAUCUUAAAAAUGAGAUUGAGACUGAAUAAUAAUUAGUUAUGAUUUGGGAAACAAAAAUGUUAAAGCCAUUAUUUAUCUUUAUUAAAUUAUAGUGUAAAAUUUAAAGAUUAUUAUUUGCUCAAAAUUUUUGUAUUUUUCGUAUGUUUGAAAUUUAAUCUUCAUAUUUUUUUAUUUUCUGUGAUUUAGUCUCUCUACUUUUUGAAUUGAAAAUUUUAGGUUCAUCUAUUAACACUGUUAAAAAGUUUUUGUGUUAGUAUGGCAUUUUGAAAAAUAAAACAAACUUGAUAUCUAUGUUUUUAAUUAUUCCAAAUAUUGUUUUACUAUUUCAAGAUAAAUUAUUUGUGUCUAGACCAAUAUCUUAAGAACUAUUGUUGUAUGUUUAAUUAUUCUAAAGAAUUGUCGAUUGAGUGUCAGCUUGAUUGGCAUGUACAUUGUUGCUAAUGUAGGAGAAUGUGGGUUUAAGUAUGCUGAAGUGCAUUAUCCCCCUAUUUAAGAAUUGGGGAGUUUGUAAAGUACUAAAUUUUGAUAUAUUUUUUAAAAUAUUAAAAUAUUAUUAAAAUAUUUUUUAUAAAAUUGAUUGUACCUCAAUAUACAAUUUUAAUAUCAAAUUUUUAAUUUUUUUAAAAAUAUUAGCGGAUAUAUACUUUAUUUCAAGUUACACAAUUUUUUUCCAGUUUUUAACCCUCUUUUUUUAAUUUUAAUUAUCUUUUAUAAUUUCUGAUAAUUUUUUACAAUAUUUAACAAUUUCUAACUAUUUUUAAUAAUUUUAUUAUUAAUCACAAAUUUAAAAAUUAACAAAUUUUUAUUUUUAAAAAAAUUAUAUAUUUAUAAUGUAGUUAUUUUUUAUAAUUUUAUUUGAAAUUUUAAAAAAAAAUUGGUUUUUUUAGAUGAUGAUGUCAUCAUGAUGUCAUCAUAUGACACUUGGCAAUUUAUGAUUAGUUGGAUAUCUCAAUCUAUUUUUUUAACGUCCAAUAGAUUAAACCGAGAAUACCUGAUAAUGUUAGAGACUACACUAGGAAUGUUUGAUAAUAUUAGGUACUAAAGUGGGCCAAAAAAAAAAAAGAGCAAUAUGGUGUAGGGAAUAAACUAUGCAUUAAGCCAUUAAAAAUAUAUCUAUAAUAUAUAUAAAUGCAUGGAUUUUGAGAAACUUUUGAACUGAUAAUUAUAUAGUCUUUCUUGUUUACUAUAUUAUUGAAUUUGUUAUUUUAAAUAUUUUUUAUUACUUUUAAGAUUUAUAUAAGAAUUGUGGUUUUACUAAAAUAUUUGGUUAAGUAAAUUCACUUCAUAAGAAAAUUUAGCAUCCUUAUAAAUAACAAUUUUGAUUCUAUUAAAAAUAUUAUUUUAAAAAAUAUAUAAUAAUAAAUUAAUUAUUUUUUUAAGCUUAAUGAUUUUUCGAGUUUCUCGUUACACUUCUAGUUCUAUUUUAACACGAAAGCAAACACAAGAUAACCAUUACCUAAUACGAAAACCAAAUCACCAAUUGAGACAAAUUUUCUGGAACCCGAUUUACAAAAUCAAUUUUACCAAUAACAAAGUUAAUGAUGAAAUUAAGUCCAAAUCUCCAACCUUGAUUCUUACCCUCAAGAAAAAGUAGUCCAAAUAACGAUUCUAAGUCGUCGAGUAACUAAUCGCCUUGUGAACUACACCUAAAACCAAAACAAUUGAUUAACAUCGAUAAAUCACACCAACCAGAACUCAAAAUAAUCGAAGCUAACGAAGGCAAGAUUCCAUAACAGAAGAGAAGUAGGCAAUACUUACGCACGAAUCAAAUUACACUCAACAUAGCAGAGUAUCCACCACCGAUUCGGAAAGGCAUAAAGAACAACAUUCAAGAAUGAACAAAAGAUUGAGAAAAGAACAAGAGCAGGAAAAAGAAACGAAAAUUGAGGGCCUUCUCUACUAAAAUCCACGUGAAAGAAACGAAAGUAAUAAAGAAAAAAAAAAAUAGAACCAGAAAGGGGAAAGAAAAAAAUGGAGAACAUGUAAACAAAUGGGAGCAAAAAUUGGGGAUUGGAAUUAUUUUAAUCAAUUAAUUCCCCACCAUUUAAAAAAACAAUAAAAUAAAAUAAAUAUCUUAAUAACCACCCACUAAACUUAGAUAAUUACCCAGAUUCUUUUCAAGAAUUUGAAUUUAAUCUAAACUUAUCCACUUGAACAACACAAAGCAUAAAAUAUUUCACUUGCUUGCAUGGAAGCUUGAAUACAUGACCAAAGAGUACUCAAGAAUUUAACCACUAAACCAGUAAAUUUAUUCUUGUCAUAGAUUUAACGAUAAUAAUAUUUAAGCUGGAUAAACAGAGAUAGACUUAGAAACAAAAAUAAUUGAAUUUUCCCAAAGAAGUGCAACUUAAACUCAAGACCUUAAACUCACAAUUAAGAGACUUCACCACUAAAACAAACACUUUCUAAUGACAAAUUUUAACAAAUUAUGUAUACGAAAUUUGGGAUGUUACACGGAAAGUGGAGGGAUGGGAGGAAGGAGUGAACAAGUGGAAAUAAAAUAAAUUGAGUAUGAUUAAUUGGAAAGAAAGUGAGAGGAAAGAAGAUAAGAGAAAUGAUCAUUUUCCAUUCCAAUGAAUAAAAAUGAAUCAUUCCAAAUUGGAAAGAUGAGAUGAGAGAAAAUGAUAAAUAUGUGUAUGUUAGUUUAAAAGAAUGCAUUUUUGAAAUGAUUUAUUUUCUUUCCUUUCAUUUUUUCAACUCUACCAAGCAUUGAAUGGAACUGGAAUAAAAAUUGAAAGUAGAAAACUAGAAGGAUGAAAAACAUAAUUUUUUAUUUUCAUUUUUCUAUUUUUCCUACCAAACACAACUAUGAAAUUUUCUACCCGUUAAAUCUUCCAUUCUUUCAAUUUUUGUUACACUCUAGACAGCAAAACUUAAAUGUUGAAAAUUUAAUUCCAUAGCAGAUAGAUUACGAAGUGAAACUAAACGCUAAAAUGAUUAUAUUAUGAAUAUGAAAUCUCCAUUAAUUCUGAAACUGUAUUACCAAUGAAGAAGUAUUGAUUUCUAAUUGUAAAAAUGUGACGACAACAGGUUUACUUUUACAAGUAAGAAUUUUUUGAGCAUCCUUCAUAUUUUUACAAUUAAAAGCCAACUCCAUAGCCAAUUUGCUUUGACAAUGAACUGUGUAUCUUCAAGACUUCCAGCUUCAGUACAGAUUAAGUUGAGCAUUGGAUGAACUUGCCAAGGCUUCUCAGACCAUUGCACUUCUUCCACUAUAUUCAGCAUUUCUUGGAAAUAUUCAUGCAAUACUAUUGGUAACAUGGCUCUUUGACAUUAGAAAAGUAGCAAAAUUUGUGGAACUUUGAUAGCCCCAUUGACAAUAAGGAAUGAUGGGUUCCAUUCUUCUUAUUAAUCUCCCUUUUUUCCCCUUGAUUAAGCACUGGUUAUUUGAAAGCAAAACACAUAGUUGGAUUAGAUUGUAAAAUUAGCACCUAAAAACAUAAUUUUCAUUUUAGCACAGGGUGAUUUAGAUGAAACAACUCUAAUUUUUAAAACAAAUGCUGAACACACAUUAACUGAAAGGAACAAACCUGAAGAGGCAAGGAAGCUCAACCAAGACCACUGUGAUCUAUUUGUCUCAACAUUAAACAAUUAAAGAAGAUUAGAUAGAAACUUAGAGAACACUUCCAAAGAUAUAAGCUUUCUUCAAUUCAUCAAACGAUUACAUAAAUUUCUUAAAUUGCAAUCAAACAUAACAAACCUUAUACUUGACUAAAAGUAAACCAGCUUCCUCAUCAUUUAGGCUUCUCUACCAAGCAAUGUUUCAAAUGUUACAAGGCUCAGCAUGGAACCCAUGGAUAGGUUUUAGGAGGCCUCUCUGAUACAGAAACAAUAUGAAGUGCAUUAACAGAUCAACAACUCCUAUUGGUAGGAAAUUCAAACAUCCUUAGUUUAAGAAAAUUACAUUUUAAUAGAUCAAAUUCAGUAUAGAAUAUCUUUACCUUGUUCUUAGCUUGGCGCCUUUGACUUGUCAGCCAUGUUACAAUACGAUUCAAUUGCUUUAACUCACCUUCUGGGGUUCGAUACCUCAAAAACUUUUAACGCCAAUGACAAGAUAACAAAUAAUUUAACAAGUAAAUGAAAUUGAAAUGCAUACCUUAAAACUCCUUUUUGGUACAAAAGUAAAAACACAUUUUACAGAAAAGAAAGCAAGGAAAAAUCCAAAUAUAGAAGUACAACAAUGUUGAAAUCCCAAGAAAAGAUAAAAGAACAUGAAAAUUAACUAACACAAGCAACUAAGUAGACAAAUAAUCAGUCUAACACAGAAAUAACUUAAUCCCCCAAUGCUAUCAUAGAGUGAAAUUGUUGGAAGGGUCUGCUUCUGCUACUACUUCUGCUGUUGAGAGACUUGCAAAGAGAUCCUAGUACAUAAGGGCAAAUGAGUGAGCAAAGAGUUUACGUAUUAUAUAUGGAACAUGAUUCAUCGAGGAUGAAUCUUAUAUAUAUAUAUAUAUGGUUAAAAUACAAAAAUAAAAUUAAAUAUGGAGUUAAACACGUUACCAAGAGUAAGUUAAUAACCACAAGCAUACUCAUCGUUCGAUGAUGUUUAGAAACCUUUGUUUGAUCUUUUUUAGCUCAACCACAACAUCCUUCAUAUCUUUUCUUUCUUCUGGCAACUCAGCUGAACAAUCCAAAGCUAACUCCAUGAUAGAAGAAAUACAAUUUGCUUUAAUAACAAAAUUCUCAUCCUCUCUUCUUAAUAAAUCAGCAUCCACAAUGUCUAUCAUUCCUUCAGAUAAUAAUCUUUUCACCCAAUGCCUUAUGGUCAUUUCAUCACCAAAAAUUUCAUCUGUUGGCUUUUUCCUAGUGAAAGUUUCUAUGAGGACAAUUCCAUAACUAUAGAUGUCACAUUUUAUAGAAACAAUUCCCGUUGAUCCAAAUUCUGCAUUUCAAGCAUAAGUAAUCCUGAAUUAUUUCUAAUAUGUUUACCACUAUAUAUAGACAUACACGAAAAAUAAUCAUUAAUUAAAAAACUCAAAAAUUCACCUGGUGCCAUAUAACUAAUAGUUGCAAGAGUCAUGGUUUGCUUCACUACAUCACCUUCUCCCAACAAUUUCGCAAUGCCAAAAUCUCCCACAUGAGCAACCAUGUCUUCAUCUAGUAGAAUAUUGCUUGGUUUUAGGUCACAAUGAAUUAUAGGUGUUGGAUGUCCAGUGUGGAGAUAUUCUAGAGCAGCCGCAACAUCUACCAUUAUGUUGAUCCUUUGUAUGAUAUCAAGGAAACAACUGUUUGAAUGUAACCAUUUCUCAAGAUUUCCAUUAGACAUGAAAUCAAGCACCAAGGCUUUGAAGUCAACAUUGGAGCAGCAAGUAAUGACCUUGACAAGAUUACGAUGAACUAUGUUACGCAUAGCUUCACAUUCAAUGUCAAAACUCCUAAAUGCUCCUUCUAUUUGCAAAUUGAAAACUUUUGUUGCAACUUCCAUUCCAUCCGAAAGCCUCCCUUUAUAUACAUAUCCAAAACUUCCUGAACCAAGCAUAUUGUGCUCCUCAAAUCCACUAGUUGCCCGUGAAAGUUCGUCAUGUGAAAUUCUUCUUCAUGUUCCCAAACGUAGUGAAUCAUCCGUAAUUGGUAGAGUUGUACUCCUAAUUCGGAAUCUUCUAUACAUAAUAACUAAGACUAGUAGUAACAUGACAAUACAAAUUAUUGGUAAACCGAACCUUAAAUCAUGCAAUACACCCAUCUUGGAAUUUUUGCGGAUGUCAUUUUUGCAAGGUGGGACUAGCAAUCUUGGUGGACCACAAAGUGCAUAAUUCUUCAUGAAUGAUGUGCUCGGAAAGUUUGGAAAACAUCCUUUGGUAGGAAUUUCCCCUUCAAGUCUAUUGAAAGACACGUUAAAAUACUUUAGAUAUAAAAGCUUUUCCAAAGAUUUGGGAAUAACUCCAGAGAGAUCGUUAUUGCAUAAAUUUAAAAAUGUCAAACUAACCAAACCACCAAAUGAUUCGGGGAUAUGACCAUGUAGUAUAUUAUUUGAUAAAUCUAAUAAAACCAAAGUUUCAAGACCUCCAAAUGUGGACAAGAUAUCUCCUGUGAAAAGAUUCCUUGAUAAAUUUAGUUUCAGCAGACUCCUCAAAUCUCCAACAUCAAGAGCAUGUGAAUCGUUAAGGCAGAUUGAUGAUAAAUCUACUUCUAAUAUAUGUUUAAGUUUCCACAAAGUUGAGGGUAUUGCCGAACUCAAUUUGUUGGAAUUUAAAUAAAGAUAUCUCAAAGAAGUAAUAUUACCCAAACAAGAGGGUAUGGAUCCAUCCAGCUUAUUCAACCCUAAAAACAUCUCGUAUAGUCUCUCCAAACCACGAGGCUUUUUAAGAUAGGUCCUCCUAAUUUAUUUGAGGAAAGAUCUAGAAUUUUUCAUUCCUCCAAUUGAUGUCGGAAUAAAACCACUUAAUUUAUUAUGGUCAAGUUGUAAAAGUAAUAGGUUGCUUAAGUUACCUAUUUCUAUUGGAAUAUUGCCUUUAAGCUCACAAUCAAUAGCGUAAAAGUAUAUAAGGGAUGCUGAAAGGUUCCCAAUAUUAGUAGGAAGAGUGCCAUUCAAAGGAUUUUCUGAAAUAUCUACUCUUGUCAAAUUCUUGCAAUUUGUCAAAGAAGAAAGAAAGGUCCACUCAUGAUUUAUAGUAGAUCCCAUGGUCAAAUAGUUGUUUGCUAUUCGGAACCAUUCAAGGUGUCGUAAGUUACCAAACGUUUCAGGAAUUGGGCCGGAGAAGAAGUUAUCUCCCAAGUCUAGAAGCUUAAGCAUGGAAGCAUUCAAGAUAGAGUUGGGAAUGUUUCCGCGAAGUUUAUUUCGAUGCAACGAAAGAACAUUCAGCUUUGGAGCCUCGAUCAUGGGUGGCAAGGUACCUGUAAAAGUUUCAUCUUUUAGUGUGUGUAUAUAUAUAUAUAUAUAUAUAUAUAUAUUCAUUCAAUACCAAAUUCUCGAUAUAUAUAAUAAACAAAUACAGUUUUAAAAGGAAAAUUGUAAAACUUCAAAUCAAAUAAAAAUAAAAAUUUCACAUGGAAAAAUGCAAUUAAAUCAAUAUUAAAAAUGACACAUAAUAAGAAGUUCUGAAUAGUAAUUAGUCACUUAUGAUUUGUAUUAAAUAAUAAAAAUAAAUAUAACCAUUUUUAAUAAAGUGUGCAUAAAAAAUUAAAAUAAAAUUUUGAUUAAUUGAUAAAUUUAAGGUUUUACAUAUUGAUGUGAGUUCAAAUCUCACCAUAAUUUUUUUUGCUUUUUUUAAAUAAAAAGUAUUAAAUACCUUUAAAUAAUAAAAUUUAUUUUAAAUACAAAAGAAUAUUAUUAUAAUUUCUCUAAUCGAGUUUGUGCUUGGUUAACUCUUGACACUUAACCAAGCACCAACUUAAUAAGACACUUAAAUUACAAUAUAGAUAUUCACAAUCACCAAAAAAGUAAAAACUUUAUAGUUUCUAAUAACAAAUUUUAAUGAUUUAUAUAACAAGAAACUUUCUAAUUCACAUAAUUUUUUUUAUAAAUAAUAUAUUUAUAUAAUCUAAUCUAUUAUAUUUAUAUUAAUUAUAUAUCAUCAGUAAAUUUUUAUGAUCAAUUUACUGAUUAUUAAGAAGAGUAAAAAAUUAAAUUAAAAUAAUGAAUAAUUUAAUUUACAAUAAACUAUUUUUUACAUUUUGUACAUAUGCUUUAUGAUGAUAAUUAAAAAAAUGUAUUAACACUAUUUCUGAAUUAACAAAAAUAAUUAAUAUAUUUUAAUUAUAUUUAUUAUUUAUUAUUUUGAAUAAUAUUGCUUUUUUUAAUUACAUGAAAUAAAAAUAUAUUAAUUAUAUAUUAAAUAUGAUACAUAUGCUUUAAUUAUGGCUUAAAUUUUAUUAAUAUAUUUGAACUAUUAAAUAAACUAAAAUAUUUUAAUUAUGUUUAGCCAUUUGAAUAAAAAACUAAUUAAAAAAUUUAUUUAAAAAAUUAAAUGUGUAAAAUCAAGUGGAAUAUCAUAAUCUAUAUAUAUAUAAAUUUAUAAUGUGAGAAAUGAUUAUAUGAAACUGAGAUAUCAUGCCAUUUGUAUUUCUAGUAAUUUAAUGUCAUUUUAUUAUUUUCAUUUUAAAUUUCAGCAUAUCGUGUUGGAUUGAAUUUUUUUUUCAGGAGAAAAAUGUUGAAAUGACAUUAAAUUAUUGAAAAUGAAUACAAAUGACAUGGUAUCUCAAUUUCAUAUAAUCUCUUUUCAUUUCAUGUAUAUGUAAUACGUGGUUGUUUCAAUUUUUAAAAUAAAAUAUAUUUUCCACAUUGGUUUCUUUUCUUCCAAAGAUUAAGUAUUUCUAAUAUUUUUAUAUUUGUUACUUAUAUAAAAUAGAUUAGUUUAUGCAAUAAAAAAUUAAUUACUUUUUUAAAGCUUAAUGGAAAUUAAAAGUUUUAAAAUAAAUCAAUUCAAUUAAAUUUUAUUGUUUAUUAUCAAAUUAAUAAAUUUUAAUGAAGUAUAUGAUCAAAAAAGAAGAAACAAAUGAAAGUGAAAAACCUACCUUCCAAAUUGUUGUCAUAUAGAUAUAUUCCUUCGAGCAUAGUUGAAUUAAAAAUGCUUUUCGGAAUCAGCCCACUGAAUUUAAUUUCUAAUAAACUUAGCAUCUGAAGCUUGUAACAUUCACCUAUACUUGAUGGAAUAUUACCAGAUAAUUCAUUUGCAUCCAAGUAAAGCCCUUCAAGCUUGGGACAAAGGUGACACAAAGCAUUAGGCAAACUACCUGCACAAAUAGUUGAAACAUCAGGGUGUUAAACUACAUAUUUUGUUAGCAUAAGUCAAAAGAGGUUUUCUUUUCUAUUCUAGAGUAAUUUGGAGAUGUUAGAUUUUAAUAUAAUUAAGUGUAGAUUUUCUCAUCAAGUUAACUAUUUUACCUUGAAUGAAAUAAAAUGUUCUUACUUUUGUUAUCCAUUACAAAUCAAACUCUUUUAUUAAAAAAAACUUUAAAUUAAAGAAAUCAAGGAAAUUCAGUACCUUCUAAGUUAUUCAACCCCAAAUCUAAUUCUUCAAGUCUAGUCAGAUUUCCAAUACUUUUUGGAAUGAUCCCCGUAAAUUGAUUGAAGUACAAUGAGAAAUAUUUAAGGUUGUUGCAUUUGCCUAAACUUGAUGGAAUGCUACCGGAUAAUCUAUUCAAACUCAAAUGAAGCACUUCAAGCUUGGGAAGAUGUCGACACAUAUCAUUAGGCAAACUACCUGAUAGGCUAUUUCUGAAGAGACUAAUAAACUUCAGAGAAGAAAUCUUGAAGAUGGAAGAUGGAGCCUAGCCAGAUAAUUGAUUCAAUCCCAUAUUCAAGAUCUCUAGAUUGGACAUGUUAACAAGUGUUUGAGGGAUUGUGCCUGAAAUGUUAUUAUUUUCCAUUUGCAACCUUCGAACUCUGUGUAAGUUCCCAAGCCAUGAUGGAAUUUCCCCAUUAAGACGGUUGUAGCUUAAUCGAAUGAUCCUCAAACGAUGCAAUUGGCCCAAUUCUUUAGGCAGAUGGCCAUAGAAAUUGUUGCUACUCAAGUCGAGAGAAAGUAGAAAUGAAAGAUUUCCAAGGUGUGGAGAGAUAGUACCGCUAAGAUUCAUGCUUGCAAGAUUCAAAGCUAUUACUCUUUUAUGGAGGAUGCCACAUGAAACACCAAUCCAAUUACAAACAGAGGUAGAGGCCGUCCAACUGUUUGCCAAGACAUUUUGAGGACCAGCAAUGCGAUCCUUAAACUCGAGAAGCGCAAACUGAUCGGAGUUUAGAUUCCUGGCUGUCAUAGCCAAGCAAAGUACGGAACAUGGUAUGAAAAAAGCUAAAACAAGAUGAAAGCAAGUGUUGUAGUUCAUGAUUGCAAGACGGAAUAAGGCAAGAAAAUAAAAAGUAGGAAAAGGGAAGUUGAAUUGAUAAAAUAGCCCAGAGAGCAUGCUUUAAUAUGUUUCAACCCUCCCACACUUCUCCUACAUUAAAUUCAGUGGUGUUACAACAUUAAUCCAGAUUUUACAUUUUAUCGUGGAACUUUAUAAAUUUUUAUGAUGAAAAAUGUAUUUCAUAAAUUUAAGACUACGCUAAAAAUUAGAAAGGAAAGCAAAUUUUUGCAGAAAUUUCAAAAUAAAUUUUCAAAAAUACGUACUAAGAAGCAAAUUUUCAAAAUUUCUCCUAAAUUUUCUUCACAAUAGUCCACAUAAUCCAUAAAAAAAUUAAGAAAUAUAAUAUUUUUAAUUACUAUAUAUUCUUUUAUUUUUUUCACAAUAACAAAUUGGUUAAAAUAUGCUAUUAAUCCCAAUACUUUUUCAAUUUAAAAAUUCUAGUCCAAUCUAGGCCUGUUUUUGACAUUUUUGGAGCCCUAGCCGAAACUAUAAAUCAGAUCUUUUAAAAAAAUAUAAAAUGUAAUACAAUAAAAUAAAUCAAAUACUUGUAAUUUCAUUAAAAUAAUACGUUUUAUGACAUUAAGCAAAUAAUAUAUUUUUCUAACAAAAUUUUAAAUUUUUUUUCAUUCAACCUACUCCUAUGUCAUCAAUUACAAAACACAAAAAAUUAUAAAAAAAUAUGUUCUACGAGAAUUCUGAGAUGCAAAAUCAUUAAUGAUAACAUCAACAUCAAUAUUUUCCGAAAAAUCCUUCUUGGUUGAUAAUAUUGUCAGACCAUUCAACAGUUCUUGCGACAUUGACAACUUCAAGAUUCAUUUCUCUAAUAGGCUCCUUUUCGACUAAAAUGUCUCUAGUUUUGUUAUCAAGAUUAGCCCAAUUUCUAGGAUGACAAAUAUCCAAAGAAGGAAUCGUUUGUUCUUCAUCAAUGUCAAUGUCAUGAGGAAUUGCUUGUUCUUAAUUAAGAUCAAGAUUUUCAAGAUUUGAUAUAUUUGGCACAUUAUUAUGCUCAUUUGGAUCAUUAAUUUCAUCAUUCUUGUUGACAUCAUUGUGCAAACUCUCAUUUGAUUGAUCCAAAUUUACUAAAAACUACAUUUUUAAAAACGAAUUUAUCAAUAGGACCUUUCUGUGAUAUUUUUUUUAACUCUUCAGCAUGUUUUCUCUUUUUCUUUUUUUUCACUUUUAGAUAAAUGCUUUUUAGGCAACACUAUAUAUAAAAGAUAAAUCAAUUACUUAAGUAACACAAGAAAAUAAACAAUAGCACCUGAUAAAAGAUUCUAAGUUGAAUAUUUGCUUUCACAUUUGGUAAUUCCAAAACUCAAAUCGAGCGACUGUAAUUCUUUAAAGGCUUAAGGGUGCAAAAAGCCCUCAAACUUUUUCAAAAAGAGUAAUUAAGCACUUGCUUUUUUUUUUUUUACACUCAUUUGGUUACUUGAACUUUCAAAAAUACAUAAAAAAAAACCCUUAAACUGUAACACACCAAAAUUUAUAAUUUUGUUAUUGUGAAAAUUUGCCACACAAAUAUCUGUUAGCUAUAGUGGUUACUUGUUUUGGGAGUGUUUGGGAGGUCCCAAGUUCAAGCAUUUGCUUGGGAAAAUUUUGGUAUUUUGAAUGAAUUAGGCCUUACUCUUGUUCAAUGGGCUUUUAUUUGAUUGUUGGGUAAAUUACAUUAGAAUGGGUCUAUUGGUUUGGUGGUUAAAUGGUGUGUUAUUAUGGUGGAGGUAUUGUGUUCAAAUCCCUAUGCAGGCAAGGGUAUUAUUAUUAUUUGCUCAGAUUUCGGGAUAGAGUUGCGUAAUAGGUGGAUUUUGAGUAGUGGAUAUGUAGUGAGAAUUAGGGGAGAAGAUUAAGGGAUUUUAGGGGUUAUCGAGAUUUUAAUUUAUUUUUUCCAUAACCGAAUUUUGACUCUUUUUUCCAAAAAAAUUUUGCCGUCUAUUUUUCUUCCUCUCCUCUUGCCAAAAAUCUCUGAAUUUUUCCAUCUUUCUCUUCUUUUUCUUAUUCUUGAUUUUUCCCUAAUGCAUUUAUUUUCCUUCGUUUUCGCACGCGGUUAGUGCUACCUUAGUUCUGGUAAGUAUUUCUCUUCGUUUCUGUCAUGAAUCUCCUAUCGACUGAAGUGGUAAUGUUUUUUCUCUAUGAUUUGGGCGUAGGGGGCUCUACUGGUGAAUUCAGUGUUUUUGUCUUAACAAUAGUUAAACAGAGGGUUAUUGUUGGUAGUAAGUUGGGUUUCUGGUCGUUCUUGGUUGUCAAUUUGCUUGUAAAUCCGUUAAAUUGAUAUUGAGUAUCUUGAUUAUAGGAUUUGGAGUGCUCGAGGACUAUUUUAGAAUCAAACAAAACCAGGUGUGUACCAAAAAUGCAAAAAAAAGGAUUCGACAAAAAGUCAAAAUUGUUUGCUGUUUGGACAGCAACAGUAGGCUAAAUUUAUAAAAUUGUCAUAAAUUGUGGAAAUAGAAUUAGAGGAUGAACAAAAUAUGGAAUUCAAGCUUAUUUAGUAUAGUUUCUCAUAAAAGAAACAGUGUAAGUAAUGAAACUAUAAAUCAUGAGUUAUAAUAAACUUUGUGAGACAAGAUCAAAAUGAAUUCGGGUUCCCCUAUUUUGACUUUGGAAAAUCAUUAAAAAUUGGAGAAAAAUAAUUAGGGCUUAAAAUUUACAUGUUUAAAUUAUUAAUGAGUCUAUUUUCAAUAGAAAAAGAUGGAAACUUCAUCCAAAUUUUUUACAAAAAGAUAAUUAAUUUUUAGCAAAGAAUGGUCAAAGCUAGCAAACAAAAAAUAGUGGUAAGUUUGAAGAUUUUACUAUACGUAUUGGCUGAAGCAAAAAUUCUUAAAAUUUUAUGGUGGAAAGGUAUCUAAGUCUAGUUUCAAAAACAUUAAGAAAAUUUUAAUUUAAAAUUCUGUAGCUCAAGAUAUAAAUAAUUUAGUAACAGUGACUCAAGUAGACAGCUUUGAAGGAACACACAAUUAAAUAGUGAAAACAUAUAUGAAUAUUUAACUAGCACGGGUUACAUUAAAAAUGGAUCACGUGACCAAGGCCAAUUUGUGCUGAGUGGGCCACAUGGAUAUGUGAACCCAUUUUUUUGAAAAGUUUUGUAAGGUUGUACGGGUCGCCCAAGUCGACUGUGGACCUACUAUAGGGUCGGUAAGAUUUACUUAGAUCCCUAUAUAUGUGAUCUAUCUGUUUGAUUUCUAUACCGAGCAUGACUUAUGAUAUCUGAAUGUAUGUACUAUUAAUUGCAUAAUGGCAUGACAUAUUUUGUAUGUUGCAUUGCAUCGGGGUGGGUUGAUGAUAUUUGGACGAAGUGUCUAAAAGGCUAUUAAGCAUGUUAUCUGGUAGCUCAGCUGCAACAUUCUAAUUAUGUGCCGCAUUUUAGUACAACAUUGUGUGUAGGGAUGGAUGGAUUGAUUUAAUCCCCAUAUGAUGUGUAGGGUUGGACGGAGAUGGUGUGUAGAGGCUGGUGGGUGACGGAGAUGGUGUGUAGAGGCUAGUAGGUAGGAUUCUAAGUUACUGUAUCUGAUAUGGGCUAAGGCCGUAAUGUAUUUCUUAGACUGUAUCUGAACGGGCUAAAGCCCAAACUAAUUCUUUGACGGGCCUAGGCCCCAGACUGUAUCUAACUGAACUCUGUUGAUUAUUUGUAUGUAUGUUUUUCGUGGAGAUUACACACAGAGUUUGCAAAAACUCACCCUUUCUUUGUUUAAUCUAUACAGGUAAUCCCCAGACUUUACGGGUUAGUGUAGCGGAGGACUCGACGGUGCCACACGUAAGUUUCUGACUGUUUUUCGCUAAUUCCUAGAAUUUAUUACUUAUUUGGGGUUUUGAUGUAUCUUCUGGAUUAUGAAUUGGUUGGCUUUAAAUUUGAGACUUUAUGCUAUUUUUACUUUUUUUAAACUGCAACUCCACAAAACACGAUUUUUUUCUAAAAAUUAAUGAUUUUCGUAAAUAGAAGUGAUUUUUCGUAAAUUAAUUGGUUACAAAAGUUUCCGCUAAGAGACAAGUUUUAAAGCAAAUCAACUAGUUUUUUUUCGAAUUAAAUAAAAGCUAACUUACUAUAACGGUUUUUAAACUCAACAAUCUUCUCUUCAAAUUUACUGUAACAGUUUUUAAACUCAACAAUCUUCUCUUCAAAUCCCUUUCUAUGUGACAUUGCCAGAUUCGACCAUAACGUCUAGAUUGGGUUUGUGAUGUUAGAUUUAGUGGUAUGAGAGCCAGAUUAGAAAACUCAGUUGUGGGUUUGGGUUUUAAAACUUUGUUUUAAAGAAAUGAUUUUUAAAUGGUUUGAAAUAUUUUUAACUUACUAUGUGAUACACUGAGUCUCCAGUGCCGAUUCUGUAAGUGUUCUAAAAACUGUGAUAAGUUUUUGAAAAUAUGAGUAGUAUAUUCUAAAACUACUAUAAGUAGUACAUUGUACUGAGAACACUAUAGAUAGUGUAUACUGAAAAGAGUAACGAAACUGAAAACUGUAGUAAGACUGCGAUUUGUGAUAACAAACUCUAAACUUCUGAUACUAUUUUGCAUAAAAUAUAUACUAAUAGAUAUAGAAACUAUAACUAAUUCAUAAAACUGUUAGUGUUACAAAUUCUACGAUGAGCGCACGAGGUAUCCGCGGACGGGGUACUAGAGGCCGAGGUAGAGGUCGUAGAAGGGUUCGAGCUGAGUCUUCAUUGUUAGACAGCAUGCUGAAUAUGGAUACAAGUGAGAUGCCAGUUUUACCUGCUACAUAGACUGGGUCUCAUAAUCAUAUGGCUGGGGACGUCGCCUUGUCCCAGGCUAUGCUGAGGAUACUAGAGAGGGUCAGUGGGCCUAACACUGGAUCUAGAGGUCGACGGUCAGUUACGGACUUUGGUCUAAUGUGGAUGAACUAUUCAGUGGUUUCAUCGGAGUCACCCCUAACGUGGCCGAGUAUUAGAUGGAGGCCACAAAAAGAAUCAUGGAUGACCUGGACUUUACCCCUGAACAGAAAUUGAAAGAGGCUGUUUCUUUACUUUGUGAUAAAGCAUACCAAUGGCGGCUGACCGUUAAGGAGGGCACUUAGCCCGAACGACUAACUUAGGAUUUUUAUAAGUCUAAUUUUCAAAGUAAAUAUGAGGUCGAGUUUUUGAGAUUGAACCGCUAUGUGUGAGGCAUGGUGGUGAUUGAAUAUGAGCAUUGUGUCCACUUCGAGGAUGGACUUAGGGAUAGUUUGAGAGCUCUGAUAGCUCUGCAAAGGGAGUGUGACUUUUAACACUAGUAGAUAAGGCUUAGACCACAGAGGAGGUGAAGCGUGCUGAGUGUCAAAACUGGGAUAAGAAGAGAGGGAAGAAUAAGAGGAAUUCAGAGCCCUCAAAUUCUAUGAUGAGGCCUAAAAAAUGUCAGAUUUGGUGGGCCAGUUAGAGUUGGGGCACUUUUGCACCUAUUAGGAUCACGCAUUGUGGGCAUUCUGGAAGACAUCAUCCGAGCAAAUGUUGGAGGACGACUGGAGCUUAUUUAAGAUGUGGGUCUACUGAGUACUGUGUUCAAGAAGUCUGCUGAGGGCCAAUCAGGUGCAAGCUCUGGGCUCUAGUACUACACAACCACUAAGGGUAGUUCAGUAGCCACUUAGGGGCCGUGGUCAAGCUAGAGGUGGUAAUGGUAUGGGUUGUGGGUAGAGAGCAUUGGGCAGAGGUGCUGGACAGGCUAGGGAGAGACAGUCGACCCUGCUACUCAUCAUCGAGAGGAUAGAGAUGCUUCAAACAUCAUCACGGGUACGUUUCUUAUUUUUGGUGUGCUUUACACUGCAUUGAUAGAUAUAGGAUCUACACAUUCCUAUGUUGUUUGUUCUGUUUCCAAAAACCUAGGGAUUUCAGUUGAGAGUACUUCUAGUUAGGUGACUAUGUUGAACCUGCUGGGUUAAUCUGUUAGAGUUAGCAAAUAGUAUAGGGAUGUUCAUUAAGAGGUUCAAUAGAUGAAAUUUCUGGAUGAUUUGAUAGAGCUUUCAUUUGGGGAGUUCGAUAUGAUAUUGGGGAUGGACUGGUUAGUCAAGCACCAUGUCAUUUUAGAUUGUACGACUGAGAGGGUCGUAUUGAGAACUGAAGGGGGUAAUGAAGUAGUUGUGAUUGGAAAAUAUCGAAAUUACUUGGCUAAUGUGAUCUCUACAUUGGUAGUUGAGAAACUGGUUUGCAAGGGAUGUGAGAUGUAUUUGGCCUACAUAAGUGUUUUUACUUCUAAGGACUCUACUGUUAAGGACAUCAGAACUGUAAGGGAUUUUCUGGAAGUCUUUCCUGAGGAGCUACCAGGUUUACCUUUGAAUCGAGAAGUGGAGUUUGGGAUUGAGCUUUUCCUUGGUGCAACUUCAGUGUCUAUCGCUCCUUAUCGAAUGGCACCAAAGGAGCUUAUAGAGCUCAAGGCUCAAAUUCGGGAGUUAUUGGAUCGUGGGUUCAUCCACCCUACUAUGUCUCCAUGGGGGCACUGGUACUAUUUAUUAAGAAAAAGAAUAGAUCCAUGAGGAUAUGUUUAGACUACUGAUAACUAAAUAAGUUGACUAUUAAGAACAAGCAUCCACUUUUGUUGACUGAUGAUUUGUUUGACCAGUUUCGAGGGGCAUCUGUGUUCUCCAAAAUUAACUUACAUUCUGGGUAUCAUCAGUUGAGGGUUAAGGAGACUGAUGUACAUAAGACGAUAUUUAGGACUCGUUAUGGUCACUAUGAAUACCUAGAUCAGUUUGCAGUGGUGUUCAUCGAUGACAUAUUGUUUAUUCGAGGACUGAGGAUGAGUAUGAUGAGUACCUUAGGAUUAUUCUUUAGAUUUUAAGGGAAAAAUAGCUCGAUGCCAAGUUCAGCAAGUGCGAGUUUUGGUUACGUGAAGUAACAUUUUAGGGUCAUGUGGUGUCUGCUAAGGGGAUUCAAGUCGAUCCUCAAAAAAUUAAGGUUGUAUUGGAUUGGAAGCAAGCUAAGAAUGUGUUUGAGAUCCACGCUUUUUGGGGCUAGUAGGUUAUUGCCAACGGUUUGCGGAAGGAUUUCACUGAUCGCAACACCCUUGACUAAGCUAUUACGUAAAGGUGUACCUUUUGACUAGACUAAUACGUAGCAAAAGAGCUUUGAGAAGCUUAAAACUGUACUGACUGAGGCUCUUAUUUUGGUACAGCCUGAACCUGGAAAGGAGUUCACGGCUUAUAGUGAUGCAUCACAUGUCAGUUUGGGAUGUGUGUUGAUGCAGGAUGGUAAGUUGGUUGUAUAUAUGUCUCAUCAGCUUAAGGCUCACGAGAUGAACUAUUCGAUGCACGAUUUAGAGUUGGCCACUGUAGUCUUUGUAUAAGAAUCUGGAGGCAUUAUCUGUACAAUGAGAAGUGUAUUAUCUACACCGAUCAUAAAAGCCUCAAGUAUCUCUUCACUCAGAAGGAGUUAAAUCUUAGGCAGCGUAGAUGAGUUGAGCUGCUUAAGGAAUAUGAUUGUACCAUUGAGUACAAUCCCGGUAAGGCCGAUGUGGUGGCUGAUGCAUUGAGCAGUAGGGCUAUGACAGAUGUAAGAGCCUUGUUAGCUCGACUUAGCCUACUCGACGAUAGAAGUCUAUUGGUAGAACUUUAGGUUAAACAGACAUGGAUUGAACAGAUUCGAGGUAAACAGUUAGGGGACAAGUCUCUCAGGUUGCAUUUCCAUCCUGUUGAGAAUUGUGAUACUACUGAUUUUGAGAUAAACAGUGAUGGGGUACUUCGUUUCUGCGGUCAGAUUUGUGUACCAAAUGAUAAGGAUUUAAGGCAGUCGAUUCUGAAGGAGGCGUAUGGUAGUCCCUAUACUAUGCAUCCUGGCAGGAACAAGAUGUAUCAAGAUCUUUAGAAAUUAUACUAGUAGCUAGGGUUGAAGUGUGAUAUUACUAACUUCAUCGCUCGCUGUUUGACUUGUUAGCAGGUUAAGUCUGACCAUCUGUUACCUUCGGGUUUGCUACAGCCAGUUAAGAUACUGUUAUGGAAAUGGGAGCGAGUAACGAUGGACUUUGUUAGUGGGUUACCUCUAACACCCACUAAAAAGGAUUCUAUGUAGGUCAUCAUAGAUCGAUUGAUCAAGUCUGCUCACUUCAUCCCAGUAAUGACAGACAUUUCUCUUCAGAAAUUAGUUAAGCUCUAUAUAUCAGAAAUAAUAAGACUACAUGGGGUACCUGUCUCGAUUAUUUUCGAUAGGGAUCCUCGUUUCACGUUUUAAUUUUGAAAGAGGCUUCAUGAGGCUCUGGGUUCAAUAUUAGAUUUCAGUACUGCUUUCCAUCCUCAGACAGAUGGUCAGUCAGAGAGGGUGAUUCAGAUACUGGAGAACAUGUUGAGGAGUUAUGUUAUUGAUAUCUGAGGUAGUUGGGAGGAGUACUUACUGUUAGCAGAGUUUACCUACAAUAAUAGCUUCCAAUCUAGCAUCCAGAUGGUACCUUACAAGGCACUGUAUGGUCGUAAGUGCCGCACUCUUUUAUGUUAGACUGAGUUGGAGCGACGUGUUCUAGGUCCUGAGUUGGUGUCUGAGACAGAGGAUAAUGUUAGAUUGAUUUGGGAUCGUUUGAAAGCGGCUUCUGAUAGGCAAAAAUCUUAUGCGGAUUUGAAGAGGUGUGAGAUCGAGAAUCCUGUGGGGGACUUAGUUUUUCUUAAGGUCCUUCCAUGGAAAAAGGUUCUGAGGUUCAAUUGCUAGGGCAAUCUGAGCCCACAAUUUAUUGGACCUUAUCACAUUUUGAAACAUGUGGGACCUGUCACUUAUCAAUUAGAGUUACCUACGGAGUUAGACUACAUUCAUGAUGUUUUUCACGUUUUGAUGUUAAGGCAUUACCGCUCUGAUCUUGCAUGUUGUUUCUGUUGAGGAGAUUGAGGUUAGGCCAGACUUGACUUUCGAAGAUGAGCCGGUUCAGAUUCUGGAGCGUGAUGUAAAGGUCCUUCAGAAAAAGUCUAUUCCCUUAAUGAAGGUUAUUUGGCAUAAUAAUAGCACUAAGGACGCCACGUAGGAGCCUGAGGAUAUGAUGUGUCAGCAAUAUCUUCAUAUAUUUUGAUCAGGUAAAAUUUCAAGGAUGAAAUUUUCUUUUAGGAGGUAGGGUUAUAACGCCCCAAAAUUUUUAAUUUCAUUAUUGUAAAAAUAUGACACAAAUAUCUGUCAGUUUUAGUGGUUACGUGUUCUGGGAGUGUUUGGGAGGUCCCAAGUUCAAGCUUUCGCUUGGGAAAAUUUUGAAAUUUUGAAUGAAUUAGGCCUUACUCUUGUUCAGUAGGCUUUUAUUUGAUUGUUGGGUAAGUUACAUCAGAAUGGGUCUGCUGGUCUAGUGGUUAAAUGGUAUGUUAUUAUGGUGGAGGUUUUGUGUUCGAAUCACUAUGCAGGCAAGGGUAUUAUAAUUUUUUGAUCAAAUUUCAAGAUAGAUUUGUGUUAUUAUGGAGUGCUCAGGGCUGUUUUAGCAUUAAACAAAACCAAGUGUGUACCUGAAAUGCAAAAAAAAGGAUUCAGCGAAAAGUAGAAAUUGGUUGCUGUUUGGACAACAACAAUAGGCUAAAUUUGAAAAAUCUCCAUAAAUUAUGGAAAUCAAAUUAAAGGAUAAAAAAAUAUUGAAUUAAAGCUUAUUGAGUCUAGUUUCUCAUAGAAGAAACAGUGUAAGUAAUGGAAUUGUAAAUCGUGAGUUAUAAUAAACUUUGUGAGACAAGGUCAGAAUGAAUUCGAGUUCUUCUGUUUUGGAUUUGGAAAAUCAUCAAAAAUUGGAGAAAAAUAUAAAAUUUACAUGUUUAAAUUAGUAACGAGUCUAUUUUCAAUAGAAACAAAUGAAAACUUCAUCCAAAUUUUGUACUAAAAGAUAAUUAAUUUUUAGCAAAGAAUGGUCAAAGUUGUCAAAUAGCAAAACAGAGGUAAGUUUGAAGAUUUUACUGUACGUAUUGAUUGAACCAAAAAUUCUAAAAAUUUUAUGAUGGAAAGGUAUCUGAGUCUAGUUUCAAAGACAUCAAGCGGAGUUUAAUUUGGAAUUUUGUAGCUCAAGAUAGAAAUAAGUUAGUAACAGUGUCUCAAGUAGACAGCUUUGAAGGAAUACACAAGUAAAUAGUGAAAACAUAUAUGAAUAUUUAACUAGCAUAGGUUACAUUAAAAAUGGAUCAUGUGGCCAAGGCUAAUUUGGGCCGACUGGGCCAUAUAGAUAUGUGAGCCUAUUUUUUUGAAAAGUUCUAUAGGUUACACGGGUCGCCCAAGUCAACUAUGGACCUACUGUAGGGUCGGUAAGCUUUACUUAGACUCCUAUAUAUGUGACCUAUCUGUUUGAUUUCCAUACCGAGCAUGACUUAUGAUAUCUGAAUGUAUGUACUAUUAAUUGCAUAAUGGCAUGACAUAUUUUGUAUGUUGCAUUGCAUCGAGGUGGGUUGAUGAUAUUUGGAGGAAGUGUUUGAAAGGCUAUUAAGCCUGUUACUUGGCAGCUCAGCUGUAACCUUCUAAUUAUGUGCCGCAGUUCGGUACAGCAUGGUGUGUAGGGAUGGGUGAGUUGAUUUAAUCCCCACAUGAUGUGUAGGGUUGGCCGGAGAUGGUGCGUAGAGGCUGGUGGGUGAUGGAGAUGGUGUGUAGAGGCUGGUUGGUAAGAUUCUAAUUUACUGUAUCUACAUUCUGUAUCUGAUAUGGGCUAAGGCCGUAAUGUAUUUCUGAGACUGUAUCUGAACGGGCUAAGGCCCAAACUAAUUCUGUGACAUGCCCAGGCCCCAGACUGUAUCUAACUGAAUUCUGUUGAUUAUCUAUAUGUAGGUUUUUUGUGGGGAUUACACACUGAGUUUGCGAAAACUCACUCUUUCUCUGUUUAAUCUGUACAUGAACGGGUCGGUACAGCGGAGGAUUCGGCGGUGGCCACACGUAAAUUUCGGACUGUUUUCCGCUAAUGCCUAGAAUUUAUUACUUAUUUGGGGUUUUUUAUGUAUCUUCUAGACUAUGGACUGGUUGGCUUUAAAUUUGAGAUUUAUACUUUUUUAUGGUUUUUUUUAAACUGCAGCUCCAAAAAAAACACGAUUUUUUCCUAAAACUAAGGAUUUUCAUAAAUAGAAAUGAUUUUCCGUAAAUUAAUUGGUUGUAAAAGUUUCUGCUAAGAGACAAGUUUUAAAGCAAAUCAACUAGUUUUUUUCCCGAACUAAAUAAAAGCUAACUUAAUGUAACAGUUUUUAAACUCAACAAUCUUGUCUUCAAUUCCCUUUUCAUGUGACAUCGCCAGAUUCGAUCAUAAUGUCUAGACCAGGUUUGGGGUGUUACACAAACCUUUUCAAAAAAAGCAAUUAAGCCCUGCUUUUUUUUUCUACACUCAAUUGGGUUCUUGAACUUUCAAAAUGCAUCAAAAACAACCUCAAACUUUUUCAGAAAAAGCAAUUAAGCUCUUCGUUUUAUUAAAAAAUAGAAAAAAAUUAUAAAAAAAUAAAAUCAAUAAAAAUUAUACAUAUACAUAUGAUGUGGAAAAAAAAAGAUGAUGUGUGAUCUUUUAAUUGGACAGGACCGUGGAUGAUGUGAUGGAAAAGAUCUAUAAAAUAAUUUUUCCUAAUUUAAGGGUUAGAGAGGGUUACUAUAGUUAAAUUAUAUCAAUUUUUUAAAUAUUUAAAAAGGAUUUAUAAAUAAUAUAAGUAAAAGAUAAAAAAAGAAAGAAACAUAUUCAUAUUUAUCGGCUUUUUCAUUAUAAACUUUUUUUGUUCAUGUAAAAUUAGGACGUGAAUAAUUUUAAACGUUUCAUCAUUGCAAAAAUGAAAUAAUAGAAAAAAAAAAAAAAAGACUAUAUGAAUUUGCAUUUGGUUCUUUCUUUUAAUACUUGUCAUGGGUGUAGAAUUCUCUCACCAGUUUCCAACAACUUGACGUGAUUUCUCAAUCACAAUUAAUGUUUUUGAAUGAGACAAACAUUUGAAUGGGUCUUUAGGGUUAUAAUUAGUCCUUGCUUUACUUCGGGUGGAUUCUUCCAACUAGUCCAAGAAUUAUUGUACAAUCACAAUUAGUCUUUUUGAAUGAGACAAACAGUUCAAAUGUAACAUAAACGGGUCUUUAGGGUUAUACUUUAGUUAUUAAGAGCCUUUCUACAAUUUGUGAUUGAUUUGAGGGACAAGAGGUUGAGAUUGCAUUUAACAUGGACUGACUUUUCUAUAAUUAGUCCUUGCUUUACUUUGGGUGGGUUCUUUUUAAAUGAUUUCUCAAUCACAAACAAACUUUUUAAAUGAGACAAACAUUUCAAUUUUAACAUAACGGGUCUUUAGGGUUAUUCUUUCAGUUAUUGAGAAUAUUUUCCACAAUUUGUCAUUACUAUUUGUGAGUGAUUUCUGGAUCACAUUGCAUUUAAGACGGUUCUUUGGAGCUUUUCGUAUCUUUAACGUAGACUGACUUUUCUAUAAUGAGUCCUUGGUUUGCUUUGCAUGGAUUCUUCCAACUAGUGUGAUCCUUGGCAUUACUUUUCAAACACUGACGAAAUUAAUUUGAAGAUAUCUGUUUUUUUUUUUUUUUCAAUAGAGUGAAUUCACAAGUUCUAUUUUCUUUUAAUUGUUUUUUUAGUAUUUUCAUGGAUUUCAGGAGAUAUUGAAAAUUAUUUUACCAUGAAAUUUUAAGUCAUCGAAAAGUAAGUGUUUUAUUUCAAGGGAUCACAAUUAAACAUUAGAUUUUCCACUUUUAACUUUUUAAUAUUUUUAUAAUUAUAUAAUUGACGAAGUACUAAUUUUGGACAUUGUAGAGGUGUUAUAACAUUCUUUAUGCAUAACCGACUAUUAAACUCACUUUUUUCUCUAGAAUUUAACACAAAAUUCAAAUUUAUCUUUUUAAAAGAAUUUUAAAUCCCUUUACAAAAAAAAAAGAAGUGAUUUUUAAGUGAUGAAUUGUACUUAACAAAAAAAUCAAUGGUGACUCCCUUUUAAAAAAAAACCCUUUUUAAAAGAAUUUUAAAAUCUCUUUACAAAGGAAAAAAAAAAAGCUAUUUUUAAGUGAUGAAUCACACUUAACAAAAAUAUAAAUGGUGACUCCCUUUUAAUAAAACCUUCUGUUUUUUUUGGAAAGACCAAAAUUUCAUUCCCCAGCUAUUUAAUUUGUUCUAUUUUAAUAAUCUAAACUGUUAGCUAACUUUUCCACAAUUCUACAUCUCUAUUUGUGAGUGGGCACAAAAACUUGGACAUUUCUUGAUGAAAUUUAAUUCAAUUGCAUUUAGUAUCACAUGAUUUUCUUUUAUCAUUUUAAUCUAUAAACUGUUUCAAAAACAAUACCACGUCGACAUUAAAUUUGCUACUACAUAUUCAAUUUUUAGACGGGACGUUGAAAUAUUAAUUUCACUAUGAACCAAGGGAGAUAUAAAUGUUUUCAUUGGUUUGAAAGUAAGAUUCUCUCAACAAUUAAUUAUAGAUAAUUCAUAAAUGAAUAAAAUUUUAAUUAAUAUUUUAUAAAUAUAUCAAAUGUGUUAAUUAAUUAUGAUUUUAGGUACUUUUUUGUGUGAAUUAAGUGAAAUAAGCGACAUAAACAAUAAAAAAGAACUAGAUCUUCAAUGGGGAAACUUCAAAAAUUUGAAGACCUUCUCUCCUAUCUUUAACUUGUCUUGUGAUUCUAUCAACUUCUCCAUUAUGUUCCCUAGGGAUAUGUUGAAUGCCCUAAUGUCUUACUCUGGAUAAAUUUUGGUGAAUUCUCUUGAUUAGAGUAGAGUCUAACUCAUUACAGGCCUCAUUUUGAAUUGCUAUGACUAUCUCCAUGUUGUCAGUUUAAAUUAUCAUGCUGCCGUAUUUCCACUCCAAAAGAAGCGUUACUCCAUCUAAGAUGUCCCAGAAUUCAGUUUCUAUAAUAGAGCGAAAGCCCAAGUACCUGUUGUAACCUAGAAUCCAUCCUCCAUUCUGAUCUCGAAAAACACCCACGACUGCAGCAAAACCGGUUCCCUCAUGAACAAAACCAUCAGGUCUUAAGCAAACCCAAUUAAUUGUCCAAGAUCGAAGGUGGUAUUGGGAUAUGCAAAGCCUCCUUAGUUACCUUAUUAUUAGAGAAUCCAUAGUGUUUAGCCUAACUAUAUGAUACUUUGAUGAUAUCAUUUUAACACCAUGGAAUACCCAGAAAUAAAAGUAAAUUAUGAUUUUUCCAUAUCUGCUACACUGUAAGACAAAAGAAACAUUGCCAAUCAAUAUCCCCUAGAUGUAUUUGAUGAUGAUUUUUCAUAUUCGAAGCUAGCCACUCUAUUAGGUCUCGUGAGAAGAAUAGAGGUAUCUUAUCCGCAGGGACAAUGAUCUCCCAAAUAUCUCUAGCUGCAGAACAAUCUCAAGGCAUGUACCACAUCUUCAACCUUGAUAUUACAGUACCAAUACUAUCCAUACUAAUAUGCCUCCUCAUUCUUUCCAUAUUAGUUAGCUGACGUUGCUAGAUGGCAAGCCAAAUGAAGUAUUUAACCUUUUGAGGUCCCUAGAAUUUCCACGAAAGUUGCUAAACACUCUUUUUUUGGGUAACCAUGUAAGUGGGCAAUCCAUCGCCAAAUUAAAAUGAGAUGGGAUAAGCUUACAGAGAGGACAAACGUUAGGAAUCCAAGGAUCUUUCUAGCAUUUAAUACUGCAACCAUCUCCCAUUGACCAAAUUAAGUUUUCUCAAAUCAGUGGCCAAACUUUCGCCAGACUUCUCCAAAGAAAGGAACCACUACUUUGAGCCAAGGUUUCUGGUAAGCCAUUCUGGACUCUAUAUUUAUACUUCAGGACACGACCCAUAUAUCUUCCAAGUCUAAUACGAUUUUAAAGCUAAUUUUCAUCAUGAAAGCCAUGUUAUGAUCUUGUACUUGCCUUAACCUCAAACCACCAGUUAGUUAUCGCUGACUAACUGAAUCCCAACAAACCAACACCUUUUUCUACCUCUAUUAGAAGGUUCCCAUAUAAAUUGUCUUACCAAACACUCAACCUCAUCACAAAUAACUUUGGGAAUCAUCAUAGACUGCAUAAAAAAACUUAAUAUCAUUAGAAGCACUGAUUGAGCAAGUGUAGCCCCUCCAGCCAAAGAAAGUUUCCACGCAUCCAAACUAUCCAACUUGCAACAAAUCUUGUCCUCCAUGAACCUUAGGGUGCCAUUUGUAACUCGCUCAUGGAAGAUUGGUACACCUAAAUAAGUUUCCAAAUUAUUCACUUUAUGAAACCCUAAAAAGUUACUAAUCUCCCAAGCUAAAUCCUCAUCAACCCCUUUAAAGAGAAUCAUGUUGGUCUUUUUCACAUUUAUUCAAUGUCUAGAAAACUAACAAAAACUGUUCAAUACACCCUUGGGAAUGUGGGCUUGUUGAACAUUGGCUUGACCAAAAAUAAUGAGGUCAUCUGGAAAAAAAAGUGAGAAAGAGGUGGACCCAAACGGGUCAAUCUAAUCGGAACCCAAAGUUUUGAGUCAAUGUGGGCCUGAAUGCUAUGACCAAGCCACUCCAUACACAAGACAAAUAAGCACAGAGAUAGAGGUCAACCUUGACAAACCACUUUAGCCGGCUUAAAUUUUGUGUAGGAAUGCCAUUCUAAAGAAUCUGUAAGGUAGAGUUAGUAAUAGCAGACAUAAUUACAUUAAUGAGAGAAUUCGGGAUGCCUACAACCUAUAAAGAAUAAUGAAAAUCAUGAAAUAUUAAUAUAUAAUAAUAUAUUAUAAUGAUAAAAAUAGAUAAUAAAACUAAAUAUUAAUAUAUAGUAAUGAUAUGAAGACUUAAAAUCAUGAAAUAUAAUAAAAUGAUAUAUACAAAAAUAGAUAAAUGAAAGUAUAAACAAUAUAAAAAUAACAGGAAUAUUAAUAAUGGCAAUAAUAAUAAUAACCAAAAGGACUAAAUUAUAAUUUAAAGAAGCUUAAGUCUAAAUUUUAAAAUAAAAAUAGAAAUAGCAAUCUGAAGGGUCAGGAUGAAACGCGCAAAAAGAUAUAGGGACUGAUUGGGAAAUUAAUUCCUGUUUCUCUAAACGACGCCGUUCCAUUGAGGGAUUAAAAUGAAACACGCAAAUUAUAUGAGGGAAAGUAAUCUGUCUCCCCAAAACACUGUGUUUUACGCAGGAUUAAAAUGAAUAAAUUAAAACUAAACAAGGUAAAUUUAAAAGAACAAACCAACAAAAUUGCAACACUGAGAAGAUAUGGGGGCAAUUGUGAAAUAUCCCCUGUGGACCCAAAACACGCGGAUCUGGUAGUGAUCGGGUCGGGUCUCAGGUCAAUGGCCUAUACGACGUCAUUUUGAGGUCAUGAAGCAGGCCUCAAACGACGUCGUUUCACAGAAGUUAUAAAACCCCAAAAGAAAUUUUGAAUAUUUACCUGCCAUUUCAAAAUAGAAAAGUGGUAAAAACCUUGACCAUAUUCUCAAUUCUCUCCCAGAUAAUGUCUCUAAAAGUGGUGGUUUCUUUACUGCCACCGCUGGCCAAGACUCCAACAAAGCUUACGCUCUUGGGCUGUGCAGUGGAGACUUAAAUCCACACGAUUGUUAUGGCCUUGUGAAAUCCGCGGUUCCUGAUCUCAGAGAUAAAUUUCCCGAUCAGAAAGAAGUCAUUUCAUGGUCAGGUGAUCCCGCAUGUACUGUACGAUUUGCAAAUCGCCCCUUUUUUGGAAUCCUGGAGCUAGAGCCUACUACUGCUGGCACUAUCACGCACGACGUCGGCUCCAACUUACGACGAUUUGAUACGAUUUGGGAGAGUUUAACAGACGGUUUGGUGAGAAACGCUUCCAACGGCUCUUCUAGUCGUAAAUAUGCAACUGGCGAAGCAUAUUUUAUAGUAUCUCAAAACAUAGACGCACAAAUGCAGUGAACUCCAGACAUAUCACAGGAGGAAUGUGAUUCCUUCCUAUUGACACCAUUUUCUUGACGAAAAACGGGGUCGACUUGGGUUUUGGAAAAUGAAAACGAAAAUGGGAGUCGCCACCGAUCCUUUUUGAUGAGGUGUGAUCGGAUCACCUCGAAAAGUGGUUGUUUUUAAUAAACGGUUUGAUUUUAUUAAAACAACAAGUUUGGUACAUGAAAUUCAGAAAAACAAGUUCGGGAGUCGGUUACGCACGAGGAAGGAUUAGCACCCUCGAUACGCCCAAAAUUGGUACCUAGUUUAUUUGUUAAUGUCUUAAUGUCGAUCCUUGUAUUAAAACGUUGAAAAAUUUUCAGGAAAAUGGGCAUAUUUCACGUUAUUCGAGAAAGAGAAUCAUAUCCAGUAAGUUAGGGUACAAUGUCUCGAAUUCCCGAUAUGCGAAUGAAAAAUGCUUAUUUAAAAGAUAUUUAACUAUCUUGGAUUUAAAAAAGGGAUCACGACUAGUAAGUUAGGACACGAUCCUUUUUUAAUUCCCGAUAUCGUUUAAAACUUGAGUUUGAAAAGACUCGUGUAAUAAAGUUUAAAAGAAUAUUCAAUUAUUUAAAUCAAAUGAAGAAAUCGCAACCCAAUACCUUAGGGCACAAUUUCUCAAAAUAUUAAACAUUGAAUAUUGCAUUUAUUUCAAAAAAUCCUCGUUUCGAGAAAACAACGUGUCACAUCCAAUGCGUUAGGACACAACAUAUUGAAUUCUCGAUAACGAGCUUUUUAUCAUUUUUAAAAGAGUAAUCUCGAUUAUUUAAGUUCAACGAAGAAAGUCGGAACCCAAUACGUUAGGGCUCAAUUCUCUCGAAGAUCCAAAAUACCGAAUAUUACUUAUUUCUAAAAUUUCUUUUUCGAAAUCUAAAUAAAAAUGGGUGUAAUGGAAUAACGAUGAUAAUGAUGUAAGUAAAAUAAUAAUACGAGCAAUAGCAUCAAAGAUAAUAUAAAUAAAAAAGGACAAAUCAAUAGCAUCAAAAUAAAUAUAUAAGCAAAAUAAUACAAGCAAAGGCUACGAAGUAAAAUAAAUACAGAGACGAACUAAUGUAAUACACAAUCACAAGCAUAUGAGCAAUAAAGUUAAAACAUUCAUUCUAAAUAAUGAAAAUAUAAAUAAUGAAAUAAACAAAGAAAAUGUAUAAAAAUAUAAAAAAAUAAAAGAUAUAUAUAUGUGUAUAGAUAUAAAUUAAUGAAAUACGAAAAAAUAUAUGUAUUUACAUAUAGUUUUAAGUUAUGAAACAAAAUAAAAACAUAUGUGUAUAUAUAAUUUUAAGAUAUAAAAUCUAUUAAGGUAAAUAUAUAAAGCUUUUAAGUUUUAUAAUAAUAAAAAAUAUGCGUAUAUAUUUAGUAUUAAAAAAAAGAAAUAUACAUAUGCAUGGAAAUAGUUUUAAGUUACAAAAUAUAAAAAAAUAUGUAUAUGUACAUGCACGUAUAUAAAGACUAUAAAAGGUAUGCAAAAGUAUAUAUGUAUAUAUAUAUAUAUAAGCUAUUAUGUAAUAAUAAUAUGAUAAGUAACAAUAAUAUAAAUAAUAAUAAUAGAAAUAAUAAUAAUAAUAAUAAAAUUACUGAAAAAAGGGACUAGAUCGAAAUAAAAAAUACUGGGAGAAUUCGAAUUAAAUAAAAAGACUAAAAGGACUAAAUUGUGACACGCGCCGAAAGAGGGGGCCAAAAAGGAAAAAUAAGUCAAAGUCCCAAAACGCAGCACUGAAAUGGACCAAAUGAAACAAAAAUAAAAAAUUGCAGGGCUAAAUUAAAAAUAAGAGAAAAUAACGAAAAAGGAUCAAAUUGUAAUACACUGCAAAAUUAGGGGGACUGCACGCGCAAUUAAUCCAUUAGGAGAAAACACACGGAUCCUCCCCUUCGGGUCGGGUUGACGCGCGGAUCUCCCUCACUAAAACGGCGUCGUUUCAUGUUUAAUAUAAAUACUAAAAAUAAGCUUAAAAAAAGCAGUUUCAUCAUUUUUUAAAAAAGUACAGAGAGAAAACUCUCUUUUUCUCUCUCUCAAACCCCAAUUUCGGCCAUGGUUCGACCAAGGAUUCCGGCCAGCCUCCGCCAUAGCGCCACCGUGUGUGGCUGUUGGAGGUUCAAAAUCAGACCUUUUUGGUCCCUUUUUUAAGCCAAACGUCUCUAGGACGUGAACCCAAGGCCAAAUCCCCGGAAAAAGGAGCCCAAAACCUGAAGAACGAGAAGAACCGUUCAUCUCCUCUUCCUCUGGCGCGGCGCAGGUAAGGUUUUCUUCCCCUUUUUUUUGAUUUUUUUAAAGAAAUAAAGUCGAAAUAAAUACUAAUGAAACAGAAAAAUAAAAGAGAAACAGAGAAAUAAAAGUUGAAAUCACCUUAGUUUUUUUAAACUUUAAAUGAGUGUGUAAAAAAGGAGAGAACCCCCAUUUACAGUGUUCGGCUUUUGCCGAAAGAGAAAGAAGAAAAAAAAUCCAGAAAAAUCCCCCCUUUUUGUUGUUGAAGUUCGGCCCUUUUUAUCUAGCCAAAGAAAAGAAAAAUAAAAGACUAAAAAGCUACUGUCCAUUGCUUUGUUUUCUUUUCUGUUUCUAUUUCCUUUUCGUGUUUGCAGGUGGCUGAACAGUGCAGGCACCGAUGGGACGUGCGGCAGUGGCGGCAGGUCAAGUGGCCGACCCUAGGUUGUGGCGCUAGGCUAGGCUAGGGUUUCAGAAAACUGAAACCCUAGUUUGAAAUUUGGGCCUGAUUUGGAUGUUGGGCCUGGUUGGGCUUCGGGUUUGGGUUCAAUUGUAAAUAGGUUUUGGGUUUGUUUGGGUGUAUUCCGGGUUUUUGGGCCGGUGUUUAGGGGGUUGGGUUAUUUAAUUUUGGUAAUGGGCCCGGGCAAAAAUGGGCUUGUACAGCUGCCCCUCUUUGCUUAUUGUCGUGUAACGAGAACAAAGCAAAGACUAAGAAAGACCAAUUUUUGCCCGGUCCUGCUGAUUCUUGACUUGUUCAACGCCUCUCUUUUCAAGUAGCUAUAUUUCAGUCCACUAUGUCUUGUCACUUCAAUCCACUCCACUCCACUUCAGAAAGACAAGACUUGUAGCUUCAAUCCACUCUGUUGUAACUUUAGGGGGUGAGAUCUGCUGUUGUAGCUUCAAUAUUUUUAAUUGCAAUGUCAGGGAAGUAAGAUCCGCUAUUGUAGCUUCAAUCUGUUCCACUGCAAUGCUAGGAAAGUAAGAUCCGCUGUUGUAGCUUCAAUCUUUUUAAUUGCAAUGUCAGGGAAGUAAGAUCCGCUGUUGUAACUUCAAUCUGUUCCACUGCAACGCUAGGAAAGUAAGAUCCGCUGUUGUAGCUUCAAUCUUUUGAAUUGCAAUGUCAGGGAAGUAAGAUCCGCUGUUAUAGCUUCAAUCUGUUCCACUGCAACGCUAGGAAAGUAAGAUUCGCUGUUGUAGCUUCAAUCUUUUGAAUUACAAUGUCGGGAAAGUGAGAUCCGCUGUUGUAGCUUCAAUCUGUUCCACUGCAACACUAGGAAAGUAAGAUCCGCUGUUGUAGCUUCAAUCUUUUAAACUGCAAUGUCAGGGAAGUAAGAUCCGCUGUUGUAGCUUCAAUCUGUUCCACUGCAACACUAGGAAAGUAAGAUCCGCUAUUGUAGCUUCAAUCUUUUGAACUGCCAUGUCAGGGAAGUAAGAUCCGCUGUUGUAGCUUCAAUCUGUUCCACUGCAAUUCUAGGAAGGUAAGAUUCGCCGUUGUGGCCUCAAUAUUUUAAUUGCAAUGUCGGGGAAGUGAGAUUUGCCGUUGUAGCUUCAAUCUAUUCCGCUGCAUCGCCUGGGAAGUAAGAUUCAUCGUUGUGGCUUCAAUCUUUUAAAUUGCAAACUAUGGUUUCUUCGAUCUGCUUCGCUGUCAGUACAGGAAGGCAAGAUCUGCUAUCUCAUUGGUCUGUUCUCUAGGGAACAUGACCUGUAUAAUCCAUUUGAUGGACCUAUUUAUGCCUAGUGAUUAGGAUGAAAUGAUCAGAAUGAAUCAAAUGCUCCUAACUAGAUGUGUAUGAAUGACAUUUGAUUGAAUGCAAAAUGUCAUGAAAAUGAUUCCUUAAUGCUUAGGUUAUCAUCACGCAAAAGCUUAUUAAGGCUUUAUCACUGACGUGCUACAACGCCUUCUUGUUCGGCUGGCAUAUCCAAAGAAACACUUAAUCUGAUUGCCCCUUACUGUGAACGUUGAAGUUCAAUCCACUGGGACAUAAAAUUUGUACCAUCAAUCUCCCACUGUAACCCAAGGGUAGAAAUAUAUGGCUUUUCUUAAUCUUCUCCUAUCGCAAUUCAAGGAUACAAAAUGUGAAGCUCUUUGGUCCUUUACCUCAUUCCUAGGUGUCAUACCAAAUGCUCAUGCACAAUUGCAAAAUUUUCUUCUCCCAGAAAACCUUUUCUUAUCACUCGGUAAUCCUUGCUUGUUUGUUCAUUGAAGCUUUGUCACCAACACGGCAUCUUGUCAUUUUGUUCAAUGUUUGGACAACAAAAUCUAAAAGGAUAGUCUUUAACUUAGACCCUUCCUUCUUAGAUAUUUCACCCUUUAAACUUGGUGUUUUCUGAACAAUAGUCCUAUUUCAGGUUCCUAUAUUAUUUAGAAACUUCUAGAGUAAUAUGCAAAACUUCCAUUGUGAAAGUAUUAUUAGUCCAUUAAUCAUUAUUCUAAUGCAACAUGCUUGCAAAAGAUCAUAACGAUAGAUAAAAUAGAAUUGAUUUGAGAGCAUAACUCGAAAUGAAUAAAGUAUCAAGGAUAGCAAGAAUAAAAAGAGGAAUUGAUUGGAACAUGUAUCUUGAAAAAGAAUGAAGUAUUCCAAGAACAACAAAUUCAAUAAAUAGUAUGAAGGUUAGGUGCCCCAGAUAUCGCAGCUUGAACUUCUCUUUACAAACUUUCUGAAGACCUUUCUGAGUUUGACAUGUGUUUAGAAGAUCUACAGGACUUUGCCGAUGCCCCAAGACAUCGCCUUACCCUUUCAGGUAUAGCAAGAUCACCACAUGCCCUAAUCUGAUCACUUCAUGCCCCAUUCUGAUCAAUAUUUGAGCCGCCCUUCGGGUUUUCAACUCAAAUCCCCUUUGGCCUAAGGUGCCCUUUGCGGGUUUUCCCCUUAGCCUCUUCAUUUUUAUGAAUUAUAGAGCAUGCUCCACCGCAGUGAAUCAAAUUCGGUGGAGUGGAGGACUUUUUUUCACUACUUUAUGCUCUAUGCUCCAAGUUUUGUAUUCUUCUUCCGAGACCUGCAAUGGGAAAAUAAAAAAAAUAAGAAACAAGUCUGAAUUAACUUUGAAAAUUAGAAAUUUUCAACAAAAUUGAAAUAAAAUAUAAUUAAUCCACAAAAACUAUAAAAUGCAAUGAAAACGAACCUAAAUACUAAAAUUACCACCUAAAAUGCUAUAGAUACUAUAAUAACUCUAAAUAUGAUAGUUAUCAGAAGCGACCUGAAGAAGCCAAUCGUGUAGAUGAUUUCAACUAUUGCAAAUACCAUCCAUCGAUUAGGCAUCCUCUUCAGAAGAUCACCGAGUUUAAAGAAAAAAUCAUACAACUCCAUGAAGAAGAAAAAAAUCAUGUUUGAAAAAGAAGUGGCAUUAUCAAACUUGACUUCAAUGCUUUGGUUUCUCAAUACAAUAUUAUGGACAGAUUCAUCAAAUUUGGCUCUUUCAAUCCUAUUACACUAGCUCUAAGUAGAAGUAAGAUGGUGAAUUUCGAAGGGAUUGGGGGCAAUCAUCUAUUUUUGGAAUAUCAGAAUGGUCAUGAUUGGACUCUAGCCACAUGUCAAAGAAGCCAAUGAAAAGCAUCUCUCCUAGGUAUAAGCUUAUAUUGUCACAUUGCUCCUAAGCACGAACUUCAUCCAAAAUGAUGAUGCUGCUAAGCAUGACCUUAAACUGUUCAUCUAAUGCUCCUAAUAAGGAGCCUAAACUAUUCAACCCAGACGGUCAUGCUUUAAGCACAAUCUUAAACUAUUCAUAAAAACUAAAUGAUGAUCCAAUGAAGCACGAGCUUAAACUAUUCAUACGAAAUAAAUGAUGACCUCCUAAGCAUGAAUUUAAAUUGUUUAGACAUAAUAAAUGAUGAUACUCCUAAGCACGAGCUUAAAUUACAGUCCAAAAAAAUUUAAACUACGUUAUAACUUGAUCUUUUAAAAAAGAAGGUACAUAGAUAGCCUGGUUUCAUUGCCAAGUUCAGUCUAUAUGAAAAUAAUAAAAUUGAGGGUGACCUUUGAAACAAAUUCUUCAAAGUAGGAAGCAAAUAAAAUUUCAAGACUUGUCCCCUUUCUACGCCCAACAAAAUUCAGAAUUCAUCAUUUGUUAUUACUGUAAUAAUAUCUCUUACUAAAUUAAUGAAAGGAUAAAUCAAAAAAUUAAAUCCUUUUAGAACUCUCUUAGAAAGAAACCAUAUUCUUUAAGGAUUACUUUAUCUCUAAUUAAUUAAAUUAAUAAAAAAUGAAUAAUAAUAAUAGAGUUAAAUUUCUACAAGAACUCUUAUAUCAAAGUGAUUGACACUAUAAAAAUGGGUCACCUCUAAGUCAUCCUACACAUUCACAAGUUCAAGAAGUUGAAAAAUUCAUUACAAAAAUAUUUGAAGAAAUUAAAGUAGAAGAAAUUCUGAUGAACAUCAUAUCAAUUGAGAGGAGGAUGACAACAGAAGAGAAGAAUCAAAAGGAGUUUUGUUUGUAAAGAAAUUCAAAACUUGUACAGUCUUCGAAAUUAUAAAUAAAAUUUGACGUAAAAUUUUCAAGUAAAUUUUCAACUUGAAAUUUGUGUGUACAAUAUAUAUGGGAAAGAAUCCAUUUACAUUAUAUAAAACUAGUGUAUGUAUAAUACAGAAAUAUUUAGUACAUUAUCAAUAAAGUUUUUAAACUAUGCACCUGUGAUUAAAACCAAAAUAAUAAUAAUAAUAAUAAUAAUAAUAAUAACCAAUCACUUUAUUUGACUAAUUUUUCCCUACAAGUCUUUAGUAUGGAGAGAAAUCAGUUUAAUCAGUCUUUGGAGCUAUUAACUGACUUUUCCACCAUUGAUUUGAAAAUCAUAACCCAUCAAUUCGCUUUAAAUGAAACGAGAUCCACGAGUGUUUGGUGUUAUAUUUUUAAAAUGUAUUUACAUGAUUGUUUAUUAAUUUUAUUUCUUUAUAUUUAAAUCAAAUGUAAUAAAUUGUUGAAUUUAUAUACUUCUUAUUAUAACAAUAUAUGGACUAUCUUUCUACUUCUCUUUUUAAUUUAAUUUUUUGUAACUCUUCACAAUUUAUUUUGAAAAACAUUGAAAAAACUCAAUUGGAAAAAGUCUUUAAAUUAUUUUUAAAUUGUAACAAAUAUUAUUAUUAUUAAGAUGUUUUUCUUUUUAUAUUUUUUAUAAAAUAUAUUAAAAAACAAUUAGAAUAAUUUUAAGAGAAAAAAACUCAUACACGGUAGAAUUUAAUCUAACGAUAUCAAAGUUUUAAAGCCUCAACUUUAACAUUUCAACCGAAAUUCCAUUAGUAUAUAAAUAUUUUACAAAUAUAGAUUUUAUAUAAAAAUAUUUAUGUAAACUUUUUUUUUAACCCGCAUAACAAGUAUACCAUAUUUAGAGAUAUUCAUAGCUAGGCAGUCCACUUUGGUUCAAGCUUCAGCUUAGGUUUCCGAUCUCAAGUUGGCCCAAUUCAACUUACUUUACUAUUUAAAAAUAUAAAUAUAUGUCUAUAAUUAAAUUUUCUGUGAAUAUUUUCUGAUAGAAUAUUUUCUGUGAAUGAGGUUACGAUUUCAAACAUUUCAGCUCGAUGAUUGAUUAGUUAUUGCACGAUGCCUUUGAAAAAUUGUUAAUAUGCUAUUUUAUAUUGGAUGUAAAAUACUAAACGUUUUGCAACUUUUCAAUAAAACAACUAGAGAUUUUCUUUCAUUAUAUUGUAAUGAUUUUUGUUGUUGUUUUUACGUAUGUUAAUUGAUGGAUUUGAUAAUUUUUUCUAAUUUUGAUACUUCAACUAUUUUUUUACAUUAAUCCUCAAAUUUGAAUUUCAGUCACACAUUUUAAUAUUAAAAAGUGAUAAUGUGGCACUCGCACAUCGUCGCCUAAUUUAUCUCUGAAAACCCUUACCAAAAUCUUCACAUUUCAAACUUGGAAGAUUGUGCCUCGUCAUUUUCCUCCGCAACCUCUCUUUUUCUUUCUUCUUAUUUUAAAAGUUUAUAAUUUGGUAUUAUUUUGUUUUUGUUAAUGCAGUUUUCAAAAAUUAUGGAGAUGAAGCAUUUAUCUUCAGUUGGAGUCAACCCUAAUUAAACUGUACCACCGUUUUCCUUUCAAAUGUAACUCAAGAGUGUGAGUUUUUAAGUGUUUUCUAAUGUUUAGAGUGACGGAUCUCUCUGUUGUUAAGAGCAGUUUUACCACAAUCGACUCCGAUCUUAACCUUCUCUUGUUACAAAGCGUGAUUGUCAAAACAUUAGAAAACAAAGUAGCCUGUGACACGCGGUUAUUAGUUAAUUACUAAAGUCGCUGCUUGAGUUGAAGAAACGUGAAAAUAACCCAAAUUAAAAUACUAGUAUAGUCAAUCCAACGCCUUAUUUUGGAUGAAACGAAGCUCUCAAUUUUAAGAUAAACGGGUCUUUAGGGUUAUUAAUGGAGGGCCUUUUCCACAAUUGCCAUCGUUAUUUGGGGGUGAUUCGGGGAUAAUAACUCCAACAUUUCUGUAUCACAUUUAAUUCAAUUCCACAUUCAAUUUUUAAGUUUUAGAGAGAUGAUUGGGUUACAACAAUGGUUUGAAGUGAAGAUGUUUCAAGUGAAGAUGAAUACUCUACCAAUAUAUAAGUCAUAAUUUAAAAUUCAGGUUAUGUUUCAUUUCAACGAAGUUAAAUGUUAAGAUUGAAGUUAAACCUUUUAGAGGUUGCUCACAAAAGGAUCAAACCUUUAUAAAAGUGCUUAAAUGAAGGCUAAACUUUUUAAAAUAGACAAAUAAGGCCCUAACAUUUUAAAAGGUGUUCAAAUAAAGGCUUCUCAAAUGUUGUAUAUCAGCUUAUGUGUUUUACUCUAAACAUAUCAGCAUUUAUCUAUAUUUUUUCUACAAAUUGGGUUGAAGUGCAUGAAAAAUCUUUAUUUCAGCACUUCUGUAAACGUUAAACUCUUAUUUGACAAUUUUGAAAGGUUUGAUCCUUAUGUGAGCAACCUUUAAAAGAUUAAGCACUAAUUUAACAAGUUGAGAAAUACCUAAAUUUGUUUUCAUGAAUCAAGAAAUUAAAAAAACAAGCAUGUUGAGAAAUAUUUUAGAGAUUCUUAGCCUUGACAAGUUCCCUCCACCAUCUCCCUGCCUCCAGUCCCACCUCUACUCUUAUGCUCCUUCCAGGUUCUUGCUUUUUGUGUGUUGAAAAUUCAAAGGAACAAAAUAUCAACCUACAUCAUAAGGCACGAAGGAAGACCAAAGAGUCUUGAGAUCUGACAACUUUAUUUCAUUUUCAUUUUCUUUGUUAUUUUCUAUGUUUCAUGUCAAAUACAAUGAAAGAAGAAGAUAGAAAAAUGUUGCCUAUUUAUUUCCCAAUCAUCAUGUAAAAAAUAUAUAAUGUCGGUAAUGACAAUAUAUCGCAAAGAAAAAUAGAAAUAGAAAAAUAAAGAACACACAGAUUUUACGUGGAAACCCUUUCGGGAAAAAACCAUGGGCAGAGGAGAAGAAAAUUCACUAUGUCAAAAACUUAAUUACAAGAGGAGUAGACUAUGCCUAUUUAUAGGCUUGUAAACCUUAUUCUAAUAGGAGUGAAACUCCUUAUUCAAAUAAUAUCAAAUAGAUGGAGUUUAAUAAGGUUUAGAAACAUUAUUUUAAAAUAAAAUAAAAGAAGUAUAAUUCUAUAGGGAUUUUACUUUUAUUUUAUUUUACCACAGUAUUUUAUUUCAAUAAGGAUUUGGGUCACUUAAUUCUAACACAUCACGAAAUUACUUGCCAUAGACUUAGAAUUUUCUCACAAAUUUUCAAGUAAUCUGACAUGAUUUCUCAAUCACAAUUAAUUGAAUUCAAGAUCUUUUUGGAUGACACAAACAUUUCAAUUUUAACACAAACUAAUAUUUAGGCUAUACUUCAGUGCUUGACAAGCACUUUCACAUUUGUGGGAUAAUAACUCUAGCAUUUUAGGAUCACAAUUAAUUCAAUUGCAUUUAAGACAUCAUGAUUUUAUUCUAUAAUUUGAGUCUUAUCAACCUUUUGGGAAAUAAUAAAACAUCGACAUUAAACUUUGUUGUUGAUGCAUUCAAUUUGAUUUUUUGAGGGGUCGUUGGAGUUAUAUGUGACUUUAGCUUUGAUUGACUUUUUUAGAAUUAAUCUUUUAUACCAAUUUAAUAACAUCCACAUGUUUUUGGGUUGGGUCGAGCAAAACCCAAUUAAAACCGAUGAUAUUGUCUUAAUUGACUCGGUCAAGUCCAUUAGAUGGAUAAAAUCAAUUUUAAAAUCAGUUAUAAUGGAUUAAGGUAACUAAUUAUCGAGUCAUGAAAUCCAUAAUCAAAUCAAUUGAUUUUGUUAGAAACUAAAAGAAAAUGGGAUAAGCUGAAAACUGAUUGCCCUUCAUUAAAAUUAAGGAAUUCACCUUUUACAUGUUAGAUAAUAUGAACAACCCAUAUAUAAUAAGAAAAAUUACUUACGAUUAUUUAUUAUCAUAAAUGGUUAGUUUAAAUUUAAAGUAAUCUAAUAUAUGUAUUGAACUUUAACUAUUACAUAAAGUAUAAGCUAAAUAUGUAUAAAUAUUCUAGAAAUCAUAUCUAACUGAUGAUAUUGUUUUAGUUGACUCGGUCAAGUCCAUUAGAUGGAUAAAAUCAAUUUUAAAAUCAGUUAUAAUGGAUUAAGGUAACUAAUUGUCGAGUAAUGAAAUCCAUAAUCAAAUCAAUUGAUUUUGUUAGAAACUAAAAGAAAAUGGGAUAAGCUGAAAAUUGAUUGCCCUUCAUUAAAAUUAAGGAAUUCGCCUUUUACAUGUUAGAUAAUAUGAACAUCCCAUAUAUAAUAAGAAAAAUUACUUACGAUUAUUUAUUAUCAUAAAUGGUUAGUUUAAAUUUAAAGUAAUCUAAUAUGUGUAUUGAACUUUAACUAUUACAUAAAGUAUAAGCUAAAUAUGUAUAAAUAUUCUAGAAACCAUUUCUAACUGAUGAUAGGCUAAUUCGAAAUUAAGAUUAAUAUAUAAAAACUAGAUAGUAGGGUUAUAGUCCUCAAACUAGAUAGUAAUAAUAUUAAUUUGAAGAUAUCACUUUUUGAAUCCAUAAGUUUUGUUUUGAUUUUUUUUUUGUAAAAAAGAUAUCAAGAGAUACCAAAAAUUAUUUUACUAAGAAAUUUUAAUUCACUCAAAAAGUAAGUGUUUUAUUUCAAGGGAUCACAAUUAAACAUUAGAUUUCUCAUUUUUAAUUUUUUUUUGUUUUUUUAACAACUACGUAAUUAACGAGUACCAAUUUUGGGUGUUGUAGGGGUACUAAUCGACUCUUGAACCCACUUUUUUCCUCUAGAAUUCAAUGCAAACCUUAAAUUUAUCUUUCUAAAAGAAUUUUAAAAUCUUUUUAUAAAAGACUAUUUUUUUUAGGUGACUAAUCACACUUAAUAAAAAAAAUCGGUGGUAAUUCUUUUCCAAUAAAUGUAAAAAACUUUUUAAACAAAAAAUAACAGACAUGUCUAUGUUUCCUAGGUUAUCUCAUAUUAAAAUCCAAAGAAAAUAAAAAGAUUCUAACAAUUAUUGCUUUUUAGUGUUGCUUUAGGGAAUUUAAAUGUAUUUAGUUAGAUUCCAAACCUACCCGUAGAUUCUUUCCUAUCCCAAGAUUAUUACGUAUAUUUAAAAUCAACAUUCAUUAUUUUCACCCUAAAAAAUAUUCUACAUUCAUUAUAUUACUAAAGUAGUGAUUAGAGUGAGUAAAAUCUGAUUUGAUUCAAAAAAAUCGAAAAGAAAUUCAAAAUUCGAGUUAAUUGAUUAAGUUAUUUGAUUCAACUCAAAUAAGUAAUUGGAGUUUUGAGUUCAAGUUGAGUAGAAUUUACAAUUCGAAUAAUAGAUUGGUGUAACCAUGUCAAUUUUGAAAUUGAGCAAAUUGAUCUCUCUCAACAAAAAUUACAAAAAAAUCAAAAUAAUUUUCAAAAAUUAAAAAUACGAUAAAAAUUCCAAAUUAUAUAUUUUUUAUAAAAAAAUUCUGAAAAAUAUAUAAAGAAAUUUAAAAUUUAAAAAAUUUUCUAAAAUAAUAAUUUUGGGGACUUAAAUAACUUAAUUAAUGAUUCAAUUUUAUCAUACUAAAAUAUAUUUUUUUAUUUUGCUUUGAAAAAGCUUUUAAAUAUAUACGAUUUCAAAUUUAUGUGCUUUAACAUGAGAUUAUUACAUAUUUAAAUACAUUUAAAUCCACGUCUAGAACUACACAUAUCUAGAACUACUCAUAGCCCCUCUCCAACCCAUAAAUAGGAUGAUAAUGCGUUUAAACGCACUUGAACCCAUGUCUUCCUGUAUUGAAAACAAUGUCCAUGUUAAUUGAGUUAAUACUCAAUUGACAAUUAGAAUUUGUAAAUUUAACUUUUAAUAUUUUAGACACAUAUAGUAAAUCUCAAUGUAUAUUUUAGCGUAAUGAAUUUCUAUUUGUUUAAAGAUGCUUACGGCUCUCAACUGAGAUGCCUGAUUUCCCAACAUAUAUUUUAACUUGAUUCCAGCCUUGUAAAAUGGGGCAAAAUUUAACCUUUUGUGACACAUUGGACAUCUUCUUACGAUACUUUUGAUAAAAUUGUGGCUACAUAAACCCACCAUUUUCAUGUUCUUUGCACUAAGAAAUAGUAUAAUUUCAAGGAUUAGUUAACAAAAGUAUAUGAAUAUGAAGGGUUUUCCCACUAUUUUUCUUUUUAUUUGCUUUGUUUUAGUUAUUACAAAUUGUUUCAUGGUGGAAGCAGAUACAUGCAAACCCAGCGGUAAGCUUAGAGGCAAAAAGCCUCCUCUAGGUAAAUGUAACAAAGGCCAUGAUUCUGAUUGUUGCCAAGAAGGCAAGUUUUAUAACACGUAUACAUGUUCGCCGCCGGUUUCAAGUCAUACCACGGCAACCCUAACUCUCAACGGAUUCGGUCCGAAGGAGGACGGUGGCGGUCCAUGUGAAUGCGACAACAACUAUCAUAAAGAUUCAGAAUUGAUCGUGGCACUUUCGACGGGGUGGUUCAACAAGAAAAAACGGUGUAUGAAUUAUAUUAACAUUCACGGUAAUGGAAAAACUGUUAAAGCUAAGGUAGUCGAUGAAUGUGACUCGACGGUGGGGUGUGAUGAUGAACACGAUUACCAGCCUCCGUGUGCCAACAACAUCGUCGAUGCCUCAGAUGCAGUUUGGGAUGCCUUGGGAGUGUAUGGAGAUAAACGUGGCGAAAUGGAGAUAUACUGGUCUGAUGCUUGAUUAUAUUUUUCUGCCUCUCCGUAUUUGCCAUUGUUUCAAGCAAGGGUUGUGGUUCGUUACUCUUUAGGCGCAUGAUAUGUGGUCCUUAAUUAUAUCUAAGGCCUGAAAAUAAAGUUUUAAUUUUAACUAUUUGGUCCUUAAUCUAGGACCUUGUCCCCUUGCUUAAAUGGUCUAAUUCUAUUUAUGCGCUAUUAAAAUACAAUACUUUAAUUUAGUUCAUUUUAACCACUUUUAUGAAUUUUUUUAUCUUUUUCCCUUUCUAAAAUUUUAAUUAUUCGAUUUAAAUCAUUUUAGGACCAAAUUUUUAAUUUGACCCUUAAAUUUUUAUUAUCAAUCACAUGCAACAUUAUAUGAAGGCAGUCUACUCAGCAUAUAUCCAAGUUUAUAGAUUUUAAUAGAAAAUACUUACAAUCCUAAUGGUAGGACUAAGUUUUUUAAACUAGAAAAGUAAGACGACUUAAUUUUUAACUUUUUAAGUACAAGGAUUAAAUUUUAAAUGUUGUCAAAGUACAAUCACUAACAAAAUAUUUUGAUCUAAUAAAUGUAAAAAACUUUUCAAACAAAAUAAGGUUGAAAUAAUUUAUUUGUCCUUAUACUUUGAUAAAAUUUGAGAUUUAGUCCUUAUACUUAAAAGGUUAAUAAUAAAGUCUUCUUGUUUUUAUUUAAAAAUCUUAGUCCUAUCGUUAAUUUUUUUUUGUCAACUUUACAUAUUAAUUAGUUUUCCCUUAUAUGUCGUGGUAUAUGACCUACACAAAAUAAGCAAGUUGAUAAAUUCUGACAAAAAAUAUCAAAGAUGAUAAUAAUUGGAUUAAAUUUUUUAAAUUGAAUUUAUAACCUUUAAGGUAUAAGGAAUGGAUAUCAAAUUUUUAUAGGAAUAAAGGGACUAACAACAUACUUUAACCACAAAAUAAUAUGAGUGAUUAGAAUGAAUCUAAAAGAGACUACCAACAUAUUUAUAACUUUGAAAUCUCCUUCGAUCAUCCUUUUUCUACGUUGAAAAAGAAAAUUAAUUAGCAUCUAAAGUGUCAAUUAGUGAAACCUUCAAAAGAAAAUGUAUAACUUAUAAUAUAUUUAAUUACAUUUAGUAAUUUAUCAAUCAAAACUUAAUUAACAUCCAUCAAUACUUCUAAAUUUUCCAUUUAACUCAGAUUUAACGGAAUUGAUUUUCCGGAAAAUCAUUUCCAACUUUUCCAGCGUUUGAUUGGCGGAAAACAUUUUCCAUUUGGAAAAUGAACUCCAAAACAAGGGAAAAUGGAUUACAUUUUAGGGAAAAUGUCUUACCCUUUCAAUUUCCGUAAGACAUUUUCCGUGCUCUCCUCUCUAUCGCCUCAUUCAUUCCUUCAUUUCCGGUAGAAAACUGCUUCUGUUUAUCGAUUUUCCAGUAACUUAUUUUUUUAAUUAUUCAAUACUUGUUUUUUAACACAAUUACAAAUAAUUUAUUUGAUAAUAGUUUUUUUCAAUUUAUAACGAUUAAUAUUGUAGCUUAAUAAUUGAGUAUUAUUAUAAAUAAAUCAUUGCAAUAUAUGUAAAAAUAAUUUAAAAUAUAAAAAUUUAUUAAUAUAUAUUAAUAUAUGUAAAAACAACUUUUUCAGAAAAUAUUUUCAGGGAAUCUGCCAAACAGCAGAAAAUAUUUUACACAGAUUCAAUCAAACACCAGAAAAUAUUUUCUAGUAAAUCAUUUUACAGAAAAGCAAAACAUUUUCCAGAAAUCAUUUUACGGAAAACAUUUUACUAGCAAUCAAACAGACCCUAAAUUUAAUUUGUUCAAUAUAGAUUUUGGUGACUUAAAACAAAAUUAAUAAAAAUUAUUCUUUCAGACAUCUUUUUAAUUUAUAAAAUAUACUUUCAUUUGACACAAGCCUCCAAGGCGAUGAACCACUGAUCAAAUUAAUUUGGAGAUAUCUUUUUUUCCAAAUAAAGUGAAUUUAUGAGUUUUGUUUUUAUUUUAAAAAUAUUUUUAAUAUUUUUGUGGAUAUCAAGCGGUACCAAAAAUUAUUUCACUAAGAAAUUUUAAUUCACUCGAAAAGUUAGUGUUUUAUUUUAGGGGUCAUAAUUAAUCAUUAGAUUUCUCAAUUAUAAAUUUUGAAUUUUUUGACAAUUGCAUAAUUAAUAAGUACCAAUUUUGAGUGUUGUAGGGCUAGUACAAUCUCCCUUACACAUAACCGACUCUUGAACCUACUCUUUUCUUUAGAAUUCAACGCAGACCUCAAAUUUAUCUUUUGAAAAGAAUUUUAAAAUCUCUAUAUAAAAGGUGUAAAAAUAUAUGUUUUAUUAAUUACUAUAUAUUCUUUUAUUUUCAGAAUAAUAAAUUGUUUAAAAUAUGCUAUUAGUCCCUAUAAUUUAAAAGUAUUUGGGUUCUUGAGUGCAUCAAAUUCCUCCUUUUAUUAUUAAAUGUUCUAUUUUAGUUACUCUAAUUAAAUAUAUCCAAAUUGUAAUAGAGUGAACAUUUAUUAUAUAAAAAAUAUUUUAAAUUUUUUUCAAUUGCAGUUUAAUUCUAGUAGAAAUAUUUCAUUUAUAAAAUCAUAAAACUUUAAAAUAUUAACUUUUUUAAAUAAAAAAUUAUUUUUUAACAGUAAAUGUUGACUUUAUUAACACAAAUGGGUCUUUAGGGUUAAACUUCAUAAAUUGACGAGCUCUUCCACAAACUGUGGAUGAUUUGGGGAUAAGAACUUUAAUAAUUAUGGAGUUAAAGUGUAAAUUUACCACUAUAUAUUAUAAGUAAAUAUUGAAAUUUAUCACUAUAUUUUAAUUGAUACUUGUCAUUACACUUUGAAAAUAUAAGUAAAUUUACCAUUUAACUCAUAUGUGAUUGAACUUUACAAGUAGACUUAAACUUUUAUUUAAUUUUGUCUCUAAAUUUGAUUUAUUUAAUUAAAUUUACAACUCAAUAUAGAUUUUGGUGACUUAAAACAAAAUUAAUAAAAAACUAUUCUUUCAGAUAAUUUUUAAUGUUUACUAAUAAGUCGAUUUAUAAAAUAUACUUUCAUUGGAUGCUUGAGCGGAAAUCAACAGAUACCAAAAAUUAUUUCACUAAGGAAUUAAUUAGUAUUUUAUUUUAAGGGUUCACAAUUAAAUAUUAGAUUUUUCAUUUUUAAAUUUUGAAUUUUUUGACAAUGCGUAAUUAACAAGUACUGAUUUAGGGUGUUUUAGGGUUAUUACAACCUUGCCUACACGUAACAGACUCUUAAACCUACUUUUUUCUCUAGAAGUCAACGCAAACCUCAAAUUUAUCUUUUUAAAAGAAUUUUAAAAUAUCUAUAUAAAAGAUGAUUUUUUCAGAUCACAUUUAACAAAAUUUUAAAAAUUAUUAAUUUUUUUAAAAUUUAGAGUGAUCUAAAAACAUAUUUUUAAGUGCUUUAGACCAUGCGGUGCUGAUUUCUUUAUUGUAUUAAAUGCUUGCAAUCACUCCUGAUAUCUUAUACUUCAGUUGUAACAGAGCCAAUUGUCAACGUGUCAUAAUGUUCUGUUGAUGCUGAAACUGAAGUUUUUGUUAUAUUAAUAGAGCUUAUCCUUCAACACGUAUAACGGGUGUUCGUUAUUUUUCCCUUCAAAUUGUAUGAUCUCAUUCAUUAAAUGAAUUAAUGAAUUUUCGUUUAAAAAUAUAAUUUUAAAAUUUAAAUACUUCAUAAGAUAUUUAAAACUAUUUAAAAAAUUGUAAUCGUUAAAACAAUCAACAAGAUAUAUUUUUCUCUAAAAAAUCAGUAAAAAUAUGUUUGAAAUUUUAUACGAAAGUAGUGUUGCUGAAGCAAUACUGAUUCACGACUGGUGUUCCAAAAAUUGGGAAGUCAAAUUUCGACAUAUUCAGCGAAAUGCCAGUAAAGUUGUUGAUUGCAUAGCUAAGGGAGAUGGAGGCAUAAUUGAGCAGCUGGUUAUCUUAGAAGAUCCACCGCAUUAUGUGAGAUGUUGGCUUGAAGAAGAUAUUAGACAGUCACUGGUCACUGAUGAUAAUUUUCAUUUGAAUUGAUGCUGGCUUAAUUUUCUAAGUUUAUGUUCAACCAGAAAAAAAAAUAUAUGUCUAAAUUGUAAUAGAAUUAAUAUUUAGUGUAUAAAAAAUAUCGUAAAAAUUAUUUUUUUUUCAAUUGCAAUUCAAUUCCACAAAUACUGACGAUGAACCCUGAAACGAACAUGAAAAUUACCAUAAGAAAAAAAACACAUCUAUCACAAACCAGCAAUCCAUGCCUAAACUUAAAUUAACAAAAUCUGUCACCGCAACCCGGUACACUAUUUUAUAUAAUAUAUAUACUAGAUUUAUUCUUGAUGCACAUGUUUUAUUAUUUUUAAAAAUUAAAAUAUAUGAUUGGCUGGGUUUUAGUUUAGUUAGUAUUAGUAUUAUUGUUAGUGUAGGAAAAAGUAAGUUUGAUCAUGCUCAAAUGUGUUUAUCCUCUAAUUCAAGAGUUGGGAAAAGGUUAUUGAUAAUUAAAUUAUACAAUAUUUAAAAAGCAUUUAUAAAUAAUAUAAGGAAAGAAAAAGAGAAACAUACUCAUAUCGAUGGGCUCUUUCAUUAUUAGACUUUUUUUUCUCUCACAAGUAAAAGUACUUAUGGAGAGGAUCAUGUAAAAUAAUGAAUAAUUUUAAAUGUUUCAUCAUUGCAAAAAUGAAAUAAUAGAAAAGAAAGACUAGCCAUUUUAUGAAUAUGGACGACCCAUUUUAUUUAUAAUUUUUUGUGUUUUUCUUUUUUUCCGACUUUUUCUAAUGUCAAGAGUUGGGAAAAAGUUAUUGAUAAUUAAAUUAUUUUACUAUGAAAUUUUAAUUUAACUGGAAAAUAAGUGGUUUAUUUAGAGGGAUUACAAUUAAACAUUAGCACUUCAGUAAAGGUUAAACUCUUAUUUGACCAUUUUGAAAGGUUUGAUCCUUAUGUGAGUAAUCUCUAAAAAAUUGAGCACUAAUUUGACAAGUUGAGAAAUACCAAAUUUGAUUUCAUGAAUCAAUAAAUUAAAAAAAAAUGUUGAGAAAUAUUUUAGAGAUUCUUAGCUUUGACAAGUUCCCUCCACCAUCUCCCUGCCUCCAGUCCCACCUCUUCUCUUAUGCUCCUUCCAGCUUCUUGCUUUUUGUGUUUGAAAAUUCAAAGGAACAAAAUAUCAACCUACAUCAUAAGGCACGAAGGCCGGAACUUUACUUUCUAGCCCGUCGAUCCGAUCCAAUGAAAGAAGAACAAAGAGUCUUGAGAUCUGACAACUUUAUUUCAUUUUCUUUUUCUUUGUCAUUUUCUAUGUUUCUUGUCAAAUACAUUUGAAAGAAGAACAUAGAAAAAUGUUGCCUAUUUAUUUCCCAAUCAUCAUGAAAUUACUUGCCAUAGACUUAGAAUUUUUUCACCAAUUUUCAAGCAAUCUGACAUUAUUUCUCGAUCACAAUUAAUUGAAUGCAAGAUCUUUUUGGAUGACACAAACAUUUCAAUUUUAACACAAACCAAUAUUUAGGUUAUACUUCAGUGCUUGACAAGCACUUUCACAUUUGUGGGAUAAGAACUCUAACAUUUUAGGAUCACAUUUAAUUCAAUUGCAUUUAAGACCUCAUGAUUUUAUUCUAUAAUUCAGUUUUAUCAACCUUUUCGAACUCAAUAAAACAUCGACAAUAAAUUUGUUGUUGAUGCAUUCAAUUUUUUGAGGGGUCUUUAGAGUUAUAUGUGACUUUAGCAUUGACUGAAUUUUUUAUAAUUAAUCUUUUAUAAUAAGGUAAAUAUAUCAAUUUUAAUAAUAUCGAUAUGUUUUUUAGUAGGGUCGAGCAAAACCCAAUUAAAACGAUGAUAUUGGCUUAGUUGACUCGGUCAAGUCCAUUAGAUUGAUAAAAUCAAUUUUAAAAUCAGUUAAUCAAAUCAAUUGAUUUUAUCAGGUUCAGGUUUCGUGUUUUAAUUAUGAGUUUGGGCCUGUCUCAUAUGGGCCCAAUGAUUGGGCCCGAUAAUUUUGGGCCAGCUGGGAUUGGGUAAUUGGGUUUAAUUUUGGAUUUGUUUGGGCUUUAGCCCAUUAGUGUUUUUGUUUUUUUUUAAUUUUAAUAAUAAUAAUAAAAAAAUAAUAAUAAUAAAUAAGAAAAAUACAAAAGUUAAAACUUACAUUUUGACUCCUAACUUUCCUAAAACUACAUUUUAACCCCCCUAACUUUCUUAAAAUUACAUUUGACCUCCAAUUUUCCUAAAAUUAUAUUUUGACCCCAAAUUUUCCUAAAAUUACAUUUUUCCCUAGAAGUUUUACAUCAUUUAUAAUUUGGUCCUUCUAGCACAAAAUCCCUAGCCGCCAGGUGCGAUUUGCGCACCUACCCCCCGAUUUUUCGGUGAUCAGCCUAGGGUGGUGGCCCUCCUCUCAAGCUACCUACUCCUUGAAAAAAUCAACAAUAAAAGGGGGGUUUUUUCCCCCAAAAAUUCGACAACCAAAGAGGAAAAAAGCAAGCAAAAAAAAAAAAACACAGCAAAAAAUUGAAACAAAAAAUAGGAAAAAAAACUUCAAAUUCGGUCGGCUUCCUCUUGAAUUGAUUCACGGUUGGUGUUCCAAAAAUUGGGAAGUCAAAUUUCGACAUAUUCAGCGAAAUGCCAGUAAAGUUGUUGAUUGCAUAGCUAAGGGAGAUGGAGGCAUAAUUGAGCAGCUGGUUAUCUUGGAAGAUCCACCACAUUAUGUGAGAUGUUGGCUUGAAGAAGAUAUUAGACAGUCGCUGGUCACUGAUGAUAAUUUCAUUUGAAUUGAUGUUGGCUUAAUUUUCUAAGUUUAUGUUCAACCAGAAAAAAAAAUUUGUCUAAACUGUAAUAGAAUUAACAUUUAGUGUAUAAAAAAUAUCUUAAAAAAUAUUUUUUUCAAUUGCAAUUCAAUUCCACAAAUACCAACGAUGAACCUUGAAACGGACAUGAAAAUUACAACAAGAAAAAAAGCACAUCUAUUAUCAAACUAGCAAUCCAUGACUAAACUGAAAUUAACAAAAUUCAUUAUGCAACCCGAUACACUAUUUUAUAUAAAUAAUAUAAGGGAAAAAAAGAGAAUCAUAUUCAUAUCGAUGGGCUCUAUCAUUAUUAGACUUUUUUUCGGCCAAAUUACCAAUAAAAGCACCUUUUUUAUCUAAAAUUACUGAAAUGGGACAGGUCCUAAAUUAACUAUCGGAAUGGGCCAAUUUCCACUAAAACGCGUCCAUGUCAGCGCGUUAUUAGGUGAAAAAUUAGGAAAACGCUUCCUCAAGGAAAUGCUUUGUCCACGUGGACACAAAGCGCGCCCUCAAGGACGCGUUUUGUGUCCACGUGAACAAAACGCUUCCUUGAGGAAGCAUUUUCGUCGUCCGUUUACAUUAUGGUUUUGGGUUUAGGGUUAGGGUUUUGGGUUGUUGAGUUUAGGAUUUUAAAGGAAAAAUUUAAAUAAGUAAGGUUUAGGGUUUAGGGUUUCUUAAUUAAAUUAAUUAUAAAAUUUUCAAAAUUAGAUUAGGGUUUCAAGUUUAUGGUUCUUAAGGAAAAAAUCAAAUAAAUUAGGGUUUAGGGUUGAUUAAAUUAAUUAUAAAUUUUUAAAAAAUUAGAUUAGGGUUUAAUGUUUAGGGUUUUUAAGGAAAAAACUCAAACAAAUUAGGGUUUGAUAUUUAGGGUUAAUUAAAUUAUUUGUUAAUUUAAAAAAGCUCCCACGUGGACGCUCUUUUGCUACAGUAGUUCCUGAAAAAUAAUUUUGAGAAAACGUUUCUGAGCAAAUAGUGGCAAAAAUGCUUUAAACAGGAUGCAUCGUCAGUAAAAGUACUGAAAGAAGCUCCCACGUGGACGCUCUUUUUCAACAGUAGCUCCUAAAAAAAUAAUUUCGAGUAGACGUUUCUGAGCAAAUAGUGUCAAAAAAGCUUUAAGCAGGAUGCAUUGUCAGCAAAAGUACUGAAAGAAACUCCCACGUAGACGUGCUUUUGCUACAGUAGCUCCUGAAAAAAUAAUUUCGAGUAGACGUUUCUGAGAAAAUAGUGUCAAAAACGCUUUAAGCAGGAUGCUUUGUCAGCAAAAGUACUGAAAGAAGCUCCCACGUGGAUGCUCUUUUCCUAUAGUAGCUCCUGUUUGGCCUGAGGCUAUAAAUGAGGAAAAUUUUUUUCUCAAAUUGCAUAAGUUAUAGCAAAAAAAAUUUAGAGAGGCUAAGAAGGAUAGGAAUUGUAGAUGAGUGAACGUAUUAGUGCUGUUAUUUACUAUGAUGGUGAGGUUCGUCACACCGAGAACGGUGUUGUUUUUUUAUUGGAGAAUACAGUGCGACUGGUUUUUAACCAGAACAUAGAUUUGACAGAACUUCGUAAAAGAAUUAGGCGUAAAAUAUUCAGAACGACGCCAAUGAAAGUUCUGUCUAUUACAUAUUGGUUUUAUUCUUCUGUUGAUCUGGUGACAUAUGACUCGUUCAACAUAAAAGGUGCUCAUAACUUGGAGGUAAUAGUGCAGACUCAUCUCACUAGUGGAGCAUCCUAUAUUUAGUUAUAUGUACAAUUUAUAUCGCCAAAUGAUGCACUAGUGACUGCUGUUCGAGAGGUAUACACGACCCUUGCCCGACACUUGGUUAGUGGGUUACAAAAUACAGAACAACCCAUGUUUGGUAGCGGUAUGGAAUACACAUCCCCAGCACGACACUCUGUCAGUGGAUGGGACAUGUACCUCGGUGGGUCGAUGUUUGAUGCUGGAAAUACGCACUGAGGAACGACAUCAACUUCUAGUGGUUGGCAAUCUACAUCCAAUUGAAGAUGUUAUGAAACGCCCAGAAGAAAGGGAUAAUGUACUCCCUACGACGUCUACUGAUGAGGGGACCUUGUACGUUACAGAUAAUGGUGGGUUAGAAGAUGACUCCGAUGUGGAUCCACCUCGAGAGCCAGAGCCCGAUGGUGCAGAAGUUGUAUUAUUUUCUAAACCAGAGCCUAUUCCAACCGAACUUGAAGAUGUUUAAGGGGGUUCAGAUGAAGAAGAAGAUUCACGAUUUAGGGCAUACUCGCCUCCAGCCCACAUGCAUAAUGUUGAUCUAUCUACAGAUGAUGCAUUAGAGUUUCCAGAUCUACCACACAGAAUGCGUGAUCAUACAAGUUUGUUAUUGGAUUCAGGUGAAUUUGAAGUUGGUAAGGAGUUUUCCAAUAAGGAUAGUUUUAUUGGUGCACUGAAACAACAUAACAUCAAUAACGGCAUUAACUACAACGUGGUUAAAUCCAAAGUUGAUAAGUUUGAGGCAAAGUGUGCAGUGCAAGACGGUACAUGUUCAUGGAAUAUCUACGCCUCGUUGAGGAAAAUGACAAGGUUGUGGGAGAUAAAAAAGUAUGAAGGUCCACAUACAUGUGCUGCAGGUACAAUAUUUAGGGUUUUUACAUUUGCUAUUAUUAUGUAAUGUUGCAUUAUUUAACGUACUUCGUUGACAGGUAUUUCACAAGAUCAUCCCAAGAUGGAUUCAGCUAUGUUAGCUAGCUUGAUACUACCAACGAUGAAGGCAGAUCCUAGGACUUCAGUGCCAGUCUUAAUUACCAAUAUUCGUAGCCAAAUGGGGUACACACCCUCUUAUCGCAAGGCUUGGAUAGCUAAGCAGAAGGCGUUGGAGAAGAUGUAUAGUGGGUGGGACGCUUCAUAUAAUGAAAUAUGGCAGUGGUGUCACGUGCUAGAGAGAUACGUCCCUGGUUGUAUAACAGACCUUGAAAUAGAACAUACGUACUACAACAACCGAUUACUACGUGGAUGCCAAGUGUUCAAACGACUGUUUUAAACCUUUAAGCAAUGUCGAGACGCAUUCUAUACUGCAAACCAUUGGUACAAAUUAACAGUACCUUUAUGUUUGGUAGAUAUACCCAUCGACUAUUGCUAGCAGUGACACAGGAUGGCAGUGGGAGAAUUAUUCCAAUUGCAUUUGUAAUAACAUUGGGGGAGUCAGCUGAUGACUGAGAUUUCUUUCUAUCUAGGUUAAGGAGGCAUGUAUGCCUCCAACCUGAUAUCUGUGUUAUUUUGGAUCGAGGCACUGGAAUACUAGCUGCAAACGAGCGACAGUGAAGCCUAUGGCAGUGCACACACCAUUAGUAUUGCCUAAGGCACAUUGCUUCUAACUACUACAGGCAAUAUCCAUCUAAAAGUGAACGAUGACAAGUGACCAACAUGGGUAUUUAGUCUCUAUUAAUAUAAUUUCGUUCCUCAUUUUGAAUUUAUUCUAAAUGAAAGAGUGGUAUGUAAUAUUCGCUAUGAACUUAUAUUGACAGGGUAUGAAAUAAGUAAAGACGUUUUUCAUGAGAUGUUGGCAGUUUUGCGUUCAGUUAACAGUGAAGGUGUGGACUACUUCUGUAACAUACCUUUCGAACAGUUGACACAAGCAUACAACGACGGCCUACGAUAUGGUCAUAUGACCUCAAACCUGGUUGAAUGCAUAAAUUAUGUUCUAAAAGGAACUCGACAUCUACCGAUAACAUCGAUUGUGCGAAGAAUAUUUUCACUUAGCGGCGUUAUUUCCAAAGUGAGCAGCGAGUUAUGCGACCCAAAUGCAAGGAGGCCAUGUAUGGUGCAGGAAGGUAUUGUAAGAAAUUAACAAGGUAAAGGCGAGGGCGAACACCAUGCACACAGUGUGUCACGAUCGAGACAACUUAUGGUUUCGCGUGACGGAGUUUGACAGACCGCACCAAGGUGUUAUUGGAGGGCAAUAUCGUGUUCACUUGCGAAAUAGGACUUGCGACUGUGAGAUGUUUGACACACUUCGUUAUCCAUGUGCUCAUAUAAUUUCAGGUUGUCAGAAUCUCUGACUGGAUUCCAUGAGCUAUGUCGACGAAGUGUACAAAUUAGAAAACAUGUACAACGUCUGGAGACACGUAUUCCUAUCGGUCCCAGAUGAACGCAAGUGGCCGUCUGUAUCGCUUGCUCCAUUUAAGUUGUUACCAGAUAGAGAAUUACGUCGCAAACCAAAGGGUCGACCUUGCUUGACUUGAAUACGUAACAAUAUGGAUAUCCGAGAAAUAGCCAAUCAACAGAAGUUGUGCUAAUGGUGUAGGAACCCAGGCCAUACAAGCAGAUCAUGUCCAAAUCGCAAUAGUUGAACGUUGUUGUAAAAAACUAUGUUGUAUUAUUUAUAUUUUAUUACAUGAAAUAAUAUAGAAAUAUUCAAAAUAUUACCUUUGUCGAAACCAUUUUUAAAUUUGAAAAAUAGGGAUCGACUUUUGAAAAUAAAAUGGGAGUCGCCACCGAUCUUUUAUUAAGGUGUGACCGGUUCACCGUUAAAAAUGAAUUUGGUCCGCAAAAUUUUGAGAAAAUAGAUUCCGGAGUCGAUUACGCACGAGGAAGCGUUAGCACCCUCGUAUGCCCAAAAUUGGUACCGAAUUGAUUGUUUGAUGUCUUAAUGUCAAAACUUUGAAAAGAUUCUAAAAUACGAUCCUUUGGUGAGAAAACUUGAAUAAACUAAAUUGAAUGAUAAGACACACUUAUCUCGCAGAAAUAAAUUGCCAUACUCAGUGAGUGAUGGGUGUCGAAUCCACCAAUAUAAACCUACGCCUUAGUUUGCAAAUUAUGCAGUAUAGGGAGUAGGGUCGAUCCCUCAGAGACUAGUUUACUAUAAAUUGUUGCUCGUUUGACCAGAUUAAUGUCGGGGCAGCUGUCGUGCCCAAGACAUUCGAGGGAUAAAAAUUUGGAAACCUGAAAUUAACAGAAAAAUAACGUCAAAAGUAAAAGUUGAAAACAGAAUAAUAAUAACUGUGAAAUAAAUAUUAAGAAAAAUUAAUUAGAAUGAGCUCAGCUUUAGGCGCGAAUUUUCCUCGUCUUUGAACCGAUCCUCGAAAUUGGAUGAACUCCUCUUUUCCAAUAAGCUAGUUAUAGCUACCAAGGACGCCUCGGACACCAACUCUUCCUUGUGUAAAUUAGUUAUGGAACGUCUAAUAACUAAUUCUUACUGAUUGAACAACCACGAAACGUUCGUGAUUUAGAACUCCGGCAGCUUUGCGUUCUAGAAGAGCCUAGCUCGAACCAAAGCCCUCAACCGCGUGGGACAUUUAAAUCCGGUUACUACCUCCCUUGACGGAACCAAACAGCAAUCUCCACUUGGCACGCCAAUGUGUUCACAGAAAACCGAUUAGAAACGUUCCUUUUGGAAUUCCAACUGUACGUCUAAUCACACUAAAUCAAACGACGUCUUUUUUGACUUAGUGUUGAUCUGACUUUAUGAGCUGACAAAAUCAUACUCUUAAUCCGGUGAAGUAAUAAGUACUGGAAUUUUAGGAGUUAAAUGGCUCGGGUUCGUAACUCACGGGUUUUAACGAGGCUAAUUUCGGCCUAAAGCUGAAAAUGAGUUUAGUUGGCUAAGGUUUGGGACAUGUUGGUAUUUGAUAAAUAAGGUAAAUGGGUGAAAAGGUGAGUGAUGUGAUUGAGUAUGGGGGUUGGAAUAUAUUAAAGUGGGAUGGUUGACUAUUUGGAAAAGAAUUGAAAAAGGAAUUGCAAAUGGCUUGAUAUGGUGAUUAGCAACUGGAAAUUAAAAUUUAAAGGAAAGGAAACUAAAGAAACAACAAAGCUACAUGAGAAAAGAGAGAAUGUAUUGAAAGAAGAAUGCUUGAUAUUUGAUUGAUGAUUUGAUGAACAAUACAUGCUCUAUUUAUACUAGAGGAUUUACUAAUUUAGGAGCCAACUAGUCAUAGAAAAUUAAGGAAAAAAAAUAUUCCAUGACCAAAAAUAUCCCAAAAUAAUCUCCCCCACUAAAUCAACAAAAUUUUCAGCUAAUUAAAAUUGGAAAAAUUCUACUUUUGCCCUCCUUCUUUGCUUCUUUCUUUAAUUUGGCCCAAUUGUUUCCUUUUUCUUCUAUUUAGCCCCAAAUUGCAUUCCUGCACAAAAUUCAAUAAAUAUGGCAAAGUUAGUGGUGCAUUCUCAUAAAUUAACCAAUUUAAUUUCAUAAAAUAUGUAACUUUAGCAUUUAAUCAGUGAGUUAGGGUGCAACAAUUCAAUCUUCGAAAUUAAAUUCGUCCCCUCUUUUUUUUUUAAGAAAAUCAUGUGUUUUAAGAAGGUUAUUCGAUUAUUUAAGUCAAUCGAAAAAUCAAAAUCCAGUAAGUUAGGGUUCAAUUUCUCGAAAUUCCUAAACAUCAAACAUUGCUUUUAUUUUAAAAUCGAGAUAACAAAAUGUUGUAUCCAGAAAGUUAGGAUCCAACAUUUUGAAGUCUCAAAAGCUUUAUUUUGAAGUUGUAUGGUUUUACCAAAAUAAACGCUUGGCUAUUCAAAUUCGUCGAGAAGAAUUGGAGCCCAGUAAGUUAGGGCACAAUUCUCUCGAGGGCUAUGAACACUAGGUCCUUUUGAAAUUUAUGAAAUAAAAAUGAUUGUAAUGCUCCAAUAAAAUACAAUUUUACAAAUGAGACAUAACUGAAGCAAUAUAUAAUGUAAAAAAUAAAUAACAACCCAAAUAUACACUAAUAAGUGGCAAACAAAUAGUAAGUAAAUGCAAAUAACCAUAAUGAUUUUAAUUAUAUUAUACAAACAUCGAUGUCAAUGUACAAAAACUAAAUAAAUUUAUCAUAAAUUCAAAAGAUACAUUAAGAUAAUAAAAAAAAACAAUACAUCCUAUGUAUGAAAGUUUUUAAAAUAAAUUACAUAUAUGAUCUUCAAAAUAGACACAAAAUAUAAUAAAACAUUAAAUAAUUGGUAUUUGAAAUAAAUUGGAAAUAAAUUUGAAAUAGACAAUAUACAUUUGUUAGUUUGAUAUAUAAAUAAUGCAUAUAAAAAUAUAAUAAUAAUGAUAUAUAUAUAUAUAUAUAUAUAUAUACUAGUAAAAAAAUAGAAUAGGGAAAGUAUAUUAUUGAAUUUAAAAUAUAUAUAUAUAUAUAUAAAACCGGUUUAAAAGACAUAUAUAAAUAAAAAUUUAAAACUAAUAAUCAUAAUGAAAUCAAAAUAUUAAUAUAUACUUAAGAAAAGAAUAAUUUCAUGAGUUAUAUAUAUUUAUAAAUAAUAGUAUUAUAAAAAAACAAAAAAAUUAUUAUGUAAGUAUUUAUUAUAUAGGAAUAUAUAAAAAGAUAAUUUUACAAAAUAAAACAUCAAAAACUUGUUUAAAUUUCCAUAAAGUAUAUAAAAUAAUCAAUGAUGAGGUAAAUAAUAAUAUGUUAAAUUUAAAACAAAAAAAUAUAUAGUAGGCUUAAAACAUUAAUGUAUGAUGAAUUUAAAUAAUGCUAAUAAUGAUUUUAAAAUAAUAAUAUAUCAUAUCUUAAAAUCGCACUAAUAAUAAAAUUAAAAAAUAAUAUCAAAUUUAAACAUUAAAAUAAGAUAAGUUGUUAAAAAUAAAUAUGUCAAACUAAGAAUUAAUUAGAAUUAGAAUUAAAUAAAAAAAAACUAAAUUUCUAGUAGAAUUAGAAAAACGAGCUAGAUUGAUAAUUGAUUCAAAACUGAGGGAUCAAAACAGAAUUAAACGCAAAUGCUAAGAUGUUCAAAUCCAAUCAGCGAAAAUGGCGGCGUUUAAAUAUGGAUCUAAAUGAAAUAAAAAUAAAAAUGCAAUAACAAUUUAAAAGAAUUGAAAGAAAACUGAAUCAAAAUGAAAGCCAAUACAGAGGGUUUCAAUGCGCAAAUUUCCCCUUAAUUUCAAAACGCGCAGAUCCUCCCUGAAUCAAGUCGGAUCAUCGGGUCAAGGCACCAAACAGUGCCGUUUUUUUGAAACAUUUAAAAGCGUAAAAAAAACCUAAAUCUAAAGAUUUUUGUUCAAAAUGCAAAAGAAAGUGGGAGCGCCGCUUUUGGUUUUUCAUCUACUAUCGCAACUCAACCUCUCAGAUCCCCAUCUGUUCCGAUUGCAACGAGAGAAACAGGGAUCCGACCGUCGCACUCUGAAGGUAAACUCUCAUCCUUAAGCCUCUCUUUUUCUUUGUUUAGUGUAUUCGUAGAGAAGCAAAAAGAGAAAGAAAACAGUGAAGAAAAACGAAAAAGGAAAAAAAAAUCAAUAUACCUCUUAAAUCUGCUCCUUUUCUCUUUUUCUUUUCAUCUUUUUUAUUUCAUAUCUCUCUCUAAAAAAAAAGCCCUCGAUCGAGUGCAUCCAUGGGGGUUUUUAUAACCCCAAAAUAGAAGAAAAAUAAAAAGAAUACAAAUUUCUUUUUUCUGCUUUUCUCUUGCUGUUUGUUUGUGUGUUGCACAGGUACGGCCGUACGGAGGUGGUGGCGUGGCGUGCGUAGAGAGGAAGACCGAAAGCGUUGGAAGCUGUGCGGCGCGAUAGGCUAGCUAGGGUUUCUGCUUGUGAUUCUUUUUGUUUUGGGCUUCAAUGUAAUUAGGCCGAGGUAUUUGGACCAUUGUUUGUAUAACUAGACAUUUGGACUUUAGUUAUAUAUAUUUUAUUUGGGUUUUAAUAUCCGUAUCGGGCCGGGCAAAUUUGGGCCAUUACAACCUUAUUUAAAAGAAUUUCUAUUUUAUUAAAAUUAUAAAAGUAAAUUUCAAUUACUUUAUUCAAAAUAACCUUUUAUUUUAUUACAUGAAAUAACAUAGAAAUAUUCAAAAUAUUGCCUUAUUUAAAAGAAUUUCUAUUUUAUUACAUGAAAUAAUAUAAAAAUAUUCAAAAUGUUUGUACAAAUAUGUUAAAAUAAAAAUCAAUCUCCGUGCCCGCCGGAUUUAGUGUCACAUGGCGGUCGUUGACGGUUACGCGCUGGGUUCCUCCUUUGUCUAGCUUCUGGUGGGGGUUGUGGUUGCUCUGGUGGGGAUUCUAGUUACUCUGGUAGGGGAUCGAGUUGCCAGUGUUGGGAGGAUGACCUACCUUGAUAGAAUAGUGAAUCUUGCGGUGUUUGCAUCACGAACGGCGAAGGCGUUUGAAACCCAUAAGGUGAUGGGGAUUGGUAAAAAGAAGAGCUCCCCGACGGCCCCUCGUGCGAUCCAUGUUGCGACUGUGGCCUAUAGAUUGGCAGUCCACUCGGCGACAUUGAUAAUGGAGAUGAACUGGGCCAUGGAUUCCAACCUGCCAUAGGACUAGAAAAAGGAAACAUAUAAGGGUUAGGAUACAAAAAAGGGCUACAAUACGCACCUGGCAUCAUCUGAAAAGGCUGUGUUGUAGGUGUCGUUGGUUGAAGUGUUGGGUCGGGUGACUGUGACGGUGUUGUUGCUGGGCCUGGUGAUUGUUUGGGAGCUGUUGAUGCGCUUACGUCGUCGUCCGUUCUUCUUGGAUUUAAAGGGCCAUGUCGUUCCCUUUGGACACGUAACUACCGCUGCCUCUCCUCUGCCGACAGUAAAUACGGCUUGCUAUGGAUCCUAAACCAUGGGAUGUAUUCCGCCAUGCAGCUAACUCUAGAACGAUGAUUGGUUCCCAAGUUGGUAUAUAAUCAUACUAAUCUUCCCACAUUUGGAUGUACUGUGACCAGAAUCUUGGCCAAUCUGUAUGCAAUUGCCGUAGGUCGAUUUUGUGAUGGUCAUCCAACACCUCAGGUGCCACGGGAAUCAGUUGUCAAAAUCCAAAUUGCCGUAAUACUCUGUCCAUACUCUGUGCGACUGGUGCAUCUCCAUGGUCGCUAAGUUGACCAAUGGGACUUUUACAUGCCAAGCGUUUGGAUUUUGGAAGUACUCAUCUGGAAUUACUGCCCGAAUUGCCAGAUCCUCGUAUGGUGUCCAUUGAAACUAUAUGAACAUGAUGGAAAUAUUAGUUAUAUACAUAAUACAUAAUACUAAAUACUAAAUACUAAAUACCGAUCGACUAUCUCAUGAUGGAAAUAUCUAUUUUAUUUAAUACUUACUUGUGCUUCUGACUGUUGGUCUAAUAGAAACCGUAUAUCUUCAAGAGAGGUAGGAAAUCCAACAUAACUUGUCGAAUGGUUCCACCUAAUUAAAUAAAUUUUUAGCAUACAAUUAUAUUUUAAAUCUACGUAAUAAUUGUAAAAUCUAAUAUAAAAUUUACCUCGUUAUGUGUGGGAAGGUAUAUGGGUGGUCCACUCGAGGACAUAAAAAUGGAAAGCGAAAUCGUGCCCAUGACUGCAGUAGUGAGAGACAACCUCCGAUUUUCGCUUUAUUCGGUCGCUUCGGCCCACACAUCUCCAGGUACAAUGUUGCCAACACGGUAAACCCCUAACUAAAUUCACCAGCUGCUCUAAAAUCAACGAGUUUCAGCAGCCAUCUUAGAUGUACAAGGUUCCGUGACAAGUCCGGCAUCAGAUAACCUCCAAUUAUCGGAAGAAUGUAUGCCCGAGCAUAUCUGAUUCUUUCUAGUUCGAUAGAAUCAUCAUCCGGCUCUAGGAAUGUGUCUCGUAACCAGCCUAUCUCGAUCCGACCUCCGUUGAUAUUAUCCGAAAUAGCGCCUAAAAGCUCGUAGCAUACCGCUCCCCAAUCACCAGAUUGAACAUACCCAGUGACUACGUACCCGUCCACCGGCAAUCCCAAUUGCAAAUUUACGUCUUCCAAAGUGAUAGUACACUCUCCACAUGGAAUAUGGAAUGUGUGCGUCUCGAGUCUCCACCUCUCAAUCAACGCACUAAUGAGCUUCGGUUCCAACUUGCAUCCCCGACCUACCAUUGCCACGUGCCAAAAACCCGCUUCCCGUAGGUAAUUCUCUACCAACGGUGAUGGAGGACCAUGCAUAUUACAGAUAUAGCAUUGCAAUAUCCGAUCUAUAGACUUUUAUAAGAAAUAAUAAAAUAAAAAUUAUUUAAAAUUUCAUAAAUCAAAAAAAUCUUAAAUAAUAUUUAAAAGUUAAAUUUAACACUUAUCAUUUUCAUUUGUUCGAUGGAUAUGUGCUUGUUAUCGAAACAAAUUAAUUCUCCGGCCAUUGAGAGGAAUUUGAGAGGAAAUUUUUAUGAUUUAAAAAAAAUAAGAGAAAUUUAAAAAAAAUUAUGAUUUAAAAAAAUUCAAAAAAAAUUAAAUUAAAGCUUUUUUUAGAAUAACUAAAAAAAUUAAAGCUUUUUUUGAGAGGAAUUUGAGAGAAUAUUGGAGAGAAAUUGAGAGAAAGGAUUUAGGGGUGAAAAAAAUGAAAGGGGGAGUUUAUAGUUUUUUUUUUUUUUUUUACCAUUGGGGGUGGUCACCAACGGUAAAAAAACUAGCCGUUGGUACUGUUCACGCGCGGGGAAAACGCUUCCCCAAGGAAGCUAUUUGUCCACGUGGAUGCGCUUUCUAGGAAUUGGCCCAUUCUAGUAAUUAAUUUUUCACCGGGCCUAUUUCAGUAAUUUAAAAAAAAUGGACUUUUAUUGGUUUUUGGCCCCUUUUUUUCUCUCACAAGUAAAAGUACUUAUGGAGAGGAUCAUGUAAAAUAAUGACCUGAAUAAUUUUAACCGUUUCAUCAUUGCAAAAAUGAAAUAAUAGAAAAGAAAGACUAGCCAUUUUAUGAAAUAUAAAUUUUAAGAAUAUGGACUAGCCAUUUUAUUUAUAAUUUUCUGUGAUUUUCUUCUUCUCUAACUUUUUUUUAAUGUCAAGAGUUGGGAAAAAGUUAUUAAUAAUUAAAUUAUUUUACUAUGAAAUUUUAAUUUAACUAGAAAAUAAGUGGUUUAUUUAGAGGGAUUACAAUUAAACAUUACCUUUUCAAAUUUUAAAAAUAAAAUUUUCUUUACAACUGCAUAAUUAAUAAGAUAUCAAUUUUGAGUGUUAUAACCUUCUCAACGCAUAACCAACUCUUGAAUUCACUUUUUUCUCUAAAAUUCUACGUAGAACACAAAUUAAUUUUUAAAAUGAAUUUUAAAAUCUCGCGAUUUUUUUAGGUGAUUCACCAAAGAAUAAAAAGAAGGGAGGUGAUUCCUCCUUUUUAAUAAAACCUUGUGCUUUUGCAAACACCAAAUUAUUGCUAAGCUUUACAUUAAUAUACAUGAUUUAUUUGUUUGUUAUUAUUAUUUAUAUGGUUAUAAUUUUAUACUUAUCGGACUAUAAUCAUUACCAUGGUUAUUAUCAUUCAAUAAAAAGAAAUAAGUGUUGAGUGUAAUGGCAAUGUACAUUACACUCUUACUAGGAGAUCAGGGUUUUGGACAAAGAAACAAUAUGAUUCGAAUUUUGGAGACAACAUCCUUAAAAUGAGCAACCACAAAGCCCGAUUAUGAACCAUAAAACGAACAUGAAAAGUACAAAAAAACACAUCUAUUAUCAAAUUAGUAAUCCAUCCCAAGGCUUAAAUUAACAAAAUUCACCAUGCAACCGUGUAGACUAUUUUAUGUAUAUACUAUAUUUAUUCUUCAUGCAAAUGUUUAUUAUAUUUAAAAAUUAAAAUAUAUGGUUGAUUGAGUUUUAGUUGAAUUAAUAUCGAUAUUGUUGUUAGUGCAGAAGAAUGUGAGUUCAAUCAUGUUUAAACGCGUUUUUCUUCCAAUUCAGAAGUUGGUGAGGAUUCUCAAUAGUUAAAUUAUAUAAGUUUUUGUCUAUUUAAAAUUGAUUUAUAAACAAUAUAAAUAAAAAGAUUUAAAAAAAUAUAUAUAUAUAUAUAUAUAUUCAUAUUGAUGGGCUUUUUCAUUACUAGACUUUUUUCCUUACAGGUAAAAGUAUUUAUGGACAGGAUGAUGUAAAAUAAUGACCUGAAUAAUUUUAAACGUUUCAUCACUGCAAAAAUGAAAAUAAUAGAAAUGAAAGACUAGCCAUUGUAUGAAAUUUAUAAUUGAACUGUCAACAAAAUUGGGAGAAAUUUUUAAAUUUUAUGAAAUUUUAAAAUUAAACUGUCAAUAAUAGAAAAUUGUGCGCCUGAGUGACUUGGGAUAAGAGGUUGAACAUUUCUGGAUCACAUUACAUUUAAGAUGGGUCUUUAAGGUUAUACUUUAGUUAUUGAGAACAUUUUCCACAAUUUGCCAUCGUUAUUUGUGGGGUAAGUGGUUGAACACUUAUGGAUCACAUUGCAUUUAGGACGGGUCUUUGGAGUUAUAUGAUACUUUAACAUAGACUGACUUUUCUAUAAUUAGUCCUUGGUUUACCUUGGGUGGAUUCUUCCAACUAGUCCAAGAAUUAUUGUACAAUUACAAUUAAUCUUUUUAAAUGAGACAAACAUUUCAAAUUUGUCAUUACUAUUUGUGAGUGAUUUGGGGGUAAGAAGUUUAACACUUCUGGAUGUCUUAUAAAAUUGUGAUUAUACUGUUUGAGUAUUGACUCAGUUUUCCACAAUUGUGGGUCUCUAUUUGAGCAAAACAAUUUCAACAUUUCUUCAUCUCGUUUAAUCCAAAUGCAUUUAUGCAUUUCUUAUACCAUUAAAUUGGCUGUUUCACAUUCAAUUUUUGGACAAGUAGAAUUUUCUAACCUAGUUUCCAUCAACUUCAAUUGAAUUUUCAAUCAAAAUCAGUUGCAUUCAAGAGCACCACAUCCUUUUGGAUGAAACAAAAUUUCAAUUUUAGGAUAAACGGGUCUUUAGGGUUAUACUUCAUUUAUUGAGGGCCUUUUAAUUUCCACAAUUGUCAUCACUAUUUGCGGGUGAUUUGGGGAUAAUAACUUGAACAUUUCUGGAUCACAUUUAAUUCAAUUUUUAAAUUUUAGAGAGGUGUUUGGGUUACAACAAUUGUCAUCAUUAUCCUUAAUAGAACAUUUGGGAGGAAAAUGAGCAAAAAAUGAGCGAAAACCGAAAAAUGGGGGCAAACUAUAGGACCCAAACGGGCUGACCUAUUCCACACGACCGUGUGACCCACACGGUCGUGUGGCAAGCCAUGUCAAGUUCGUAGAUUUGCACUCUGAACUACGAAAAAAUAUGAAUUUUAGGUUUUGCGGGCAUUCUAAGAUGUAUAUAUGACCAAAAAAAAAAAAAGAAGAUAGGAGAGAACCUUCCUAGAAUAUUCAAGAAAACAACUCUAAAGACACCACUAAAGCCGACUCUAAAGCAGAUUUUCAUUAAGAUUGAAGAUUCCUAAUUGAUUUCUUAGGAGAUUAUCAUGAGUUUCUUUAUUUCUUUCAGUUAUACUGCCCUUUGGAUGUUUUUAUUUUUAGAUUAACUAAUUUUCUAAAUACCUAAGAGAGAUGAGCCCUAUGAUAGACUGUGACACGCCAAAGUCGACCGGGAUAGACUGGCCUGAAUUCGAAGCAUUACAUUAGCCACCUAAGUGACUCUCCAGCUAACUACCACCCAAGACAAACCCCGACCUUAUAACACCUCAAUCUUAUCUAAUUAUUAAUUAUUUAUUAAUGCCGACGUAAAUUAUGAGCCAAUUUUAAACUUUUUCUAGGUAAUUUAACCUAAGGGCAUUUAUGUCAUUUUACCACUUAUGGUAAAACUAACUCGGUUUUAGAUCUAAGUGUUUUUUGACUUCUUUUAGUCAAAUUAUGCAAGUCUAAAAUUUUUAGGUUAAUUUGAGUUCGUUUACUAUGUCAAAUUCAAGUUUUAUUAUUAAGGACUAAAUUGUAACUUAAACAAAUUUGAAUACCAAUUUAAAGUAAUAAAAAUUCAAAACCCUAAAACCCACACGGGCAUGUGGGCAAGUGACACGGGCGUGUGGAGACUGGAGCUAUCACACACAAGCAUGUGAGUUGAAAAAUAUGAAAUAAAUUAAUCCAUUCAAUUUUCCAACAACCAUGCUAUACUACCAAACCAAAAAACGCUUGAAGCUUUGAAAAGGGGUGAAUCUAAAAAAAAAAAAUUAGAAGAAUUAGAAUUAAAUUAUAAAAUUUUGAGAAUUAAAAUAUAAUUUUAUCAUGUAUUAAUUUAUUAUUUUUAAAGGGUCUUAAUAGAGUUUUUUUUCCAUAUUGGUUGGACCAAUACCUCUACCUGCCUCUUUAAAUUUGCUCCAACCCUAAACCCAAUAUUCGAUUGGAUUAACAACAAUAUAUAGGUUAGUAUUUUUAGAGGUUUAAAUUAUAAAUUUUUGAAAGAUUAAAAUAAAUUUGUAUUUUUUUAUUAAGAAAAUAUAAAAGAAAAAAAUAUGUUUACACAAGCCAAGAGACCUUUGGGAUCAUGCGGGUGAUUUUGAUGAUGUUAAUGGUUAUUUUGGUGGAGAGAGUGAAAAAGAAACAAAUGAUUCAUUAUAUAUAAUAUAAUUAUGAAAUUCAAGCCAUAUAUUGUAUGUUUCAUACAUAAAAAUUUCAUGGGAGGUCCAAAGGUAAUAAAUGACUUGUAGGCUUGCUGAAUUCCUUUGAAAGGCCCAAAGGCAAUUUAACAUUCACAAAAUAAUCUCUAAAUACUGUAAAGACAAAUCAAAUCCACAGCAGCAUUAGAGUUGAUUAAGCUAAGCAUUGGCAAAUAUUACUUUGAUUUGGCGUGCAAUAUUGGGAAAACCCCCUCUUACAUUAGAAAAACAACAUAAUCCAUGAAACAUUGAUAGCCCAAUACAGAAGUGUUUAUAUAUGUGUUUGAGACUAGUUAUAUUUGGCUUAAUUGAAAUAGAUUAUAUAUGUUUUUAUGACUAUUUAUUUGCUUAAGACUUACUAAGCUUUUAAAAGCUUGCUUUGUGUGUGUUCUUUCCCUAUUUUAUAGAUAGUCGAAGCUAGCUCGAGCUCGAAGAUCGUCAAGAAUUGUCGUCACACUAUCGAUCGUCAUUUUAGUACUUUUGAAACUUGUAAAAAUAGUAUAUGGCAUGUAUAGGCUAGUAAUCAUGUGAUAUGUUUUUGGGUUGUGGUUUUAGCCAUAUAAGUUGGUUUGUAAAUGGUGUAGUUGUUGGAAGUUACUUUAGCUAUGCAAAUGAGCUUAUUUUAUGAAUUGACAAAUGGUAGGUGAUGUUUAUUUGGCAAACUUGGUAUAGUCAUGUGGUUAAUUAUUCGGUUAGAUGUUAAUGUUAGUAUGUGUUCAUAUUUACUAUGUGAUGACUAUGCUAUGCCAUGUAAAUUUGACUAUUUGGUGUGGAUUAUUAUUAACCUAUGCUAUGCCAUGUAAAUUUGACUAUUUAGUGUGGAUUAUUAUUAACCUAUGUGAUGUAUAAAUUAACCUAUUUGGUGUGGAUUAUUAUUAACCGGCGACGUAUUCAGGUUAGGGGUGUUACAUGAGGCGCUUUUGGUAAAUACAUUACUGAGUUGGUGACCUGAUUGAGGGUAACACCAACUCAAUAAAACUCUUAAAUAUUGACUACAAAUCCUAUCACACACUUAUGAGUAUGAAAACACAAAUUUAGAAUACAAAGAUGUGUUUAAAAAUAACAUAGAAUAAAGAAUGAAAUUUAUGGUUUGAAACUAAUUAAUAAUAACACAUGAAAUAGAAUGAAAUUUAUGGUUUGAAACUAAUUAAUAAUAACACAUGAAAUAUGUAUGAUAUCAAAAUGAAAAAAAAAAGAUUAAAUUGUGCAUAAAACAAAAUUUUUUCCUGUUACAUCAAUAAAGUUAUAUUUAUUACCCUCGCCAAUUGUUUGUCAUUAAGAACAUUAAAGUAUCCUUGAAUGAUAUAACUGAUUCUAAAUAGAGUUGAUGUAUGGUUGGCUUAGGAUACCAAGUCAGUUAGGGGCUUAAGAUUAUUAAAAUAUUCUUAUUUUAAAGGGAAAUUAAUAUUAUUAUAAGUGUAUUUUCACCUUUUCAUACUUUUAUAUAAUCUUCAAGUAAAACAAUUGAAAAAUAUUAUGUGAGGCUCAAACACAAGACUAAAAAAAUUCAUAUAGAAAACGCUUACCACUCCACUAAUAAUCAUUUGUUAAUGUAUUUUUGGUAAAAAGACCUCUCCAAUCCCUCUUAAUUUCACAAUUGCGCAAAUUAGUCCCUCUCAAAAAAAAUGGAGCAAUUUAAUCCCUAUCAAUUUUGAAAGUGAGUAACUAAGGACAAUUAAUUAUGGUGUUAAAUUCUUCCAUCAAUUGUACAUAAUUUUGAUUAGUACAGUUAUAAAUUUAACUUUCAAUGUUUAUAUAUUUUGUCAUUUUGGCCUUAAUUUUUAAAAAAAUUUAAGAAAUUCAACCUCAACAUUUACAUAUUUACACAAACGUUGCAGGAAAACUUUGUUAAAUUAAGACCAAAUUGCAAAGUGUGUAAAUUUUGAGGGCUAAAUUUAUUAAUAAACCAGCCAAAAUCAUGUACAUUUUAUGGAAUGUUAACAUCUUGAUUAAUUAUUCUUAGUUGCUCACUUUCAAAAUUAAUAGGGACUAAAUUGCUCUGACUUUUUUAGGGUAACCAAUUUCCUCAAUUUGGAAAUUGAGAGAGACUAUUGAGAUCUUUUUAAUAUAAAAUUAAUAUAUUUUUUUUAUAAACAAUAAAAGAACGUUGACAUUGAAUUUGCUGUUUCACAUUCAAUUUACAGAGAAGAAGAAUUUUCUAACUUAUUUUCCAUCAACUUCACUCCAAUUUUCAAUCACAAUCAAUUGCAUCAAGAGCACCACAUCUUUUUGGAUGAAACAAACCUCUCAAUUUUAAGAUAAACGGGUCUUUAGGGUUAUUAGUUGAGGGCUAUUUCCACAAUUGCCAUCACACACGGGAGUGUGGGAUUGAAAAAUAUGAAAUAAAUUAUUUCACUCAAUUUUCCAACACCCAUGCUAUACUACCAAAUUAAAAAAAGGCUUGACGCUUUGAAUAGGGAAGAAUUAGAAUUAAAUUAUAAAAUUUUGAGAAGUUAAAAUAUAAUUUUAUCAUGUAUUAAUUUAUUAUUUUUAAAGGGUCUUAAUAGAAUUUUUUUCCCAUUUUGGUUGGGCCAAUACCUCUGUCUGCCUCUUUAAAUAUGCUUCAACCCUAAACCCAAUAUUCAAUUUGGAUUAACAACAAUAUAUAGGUUAGUAUUUGUGGAAGUUUGACGAAUAAAAUUGCUUUUUUAGAUGUUUAAAUUAUAAAUUUUUGAACGUUUAAAGUAAAUUUGUAUUUUUUUAUUAACAAAAUAUAAAAAAAAAAACAUGUUUAGACAAGCCAAGAAACCUUUGGGAUCAUACGGAUGAUUUUGAUGAUGAUAAUGGUUAUUUUGGUGGAGAGGGUGAAAAAGAAACAAAUAAUUCAUUAUAUAUAAUAUAAUUAUGAAAUUCAUGCCAUAUAUUGUAUGUUUCAUACAUAAAAAUUUCAUGGGAGGUCCAAAGGUAAUUAAAUGACUUGUAGGCUUGCUGAAUUUCUUUGAAAGGCCCAAAGGCAAUUUAACAUUCACAAAAUAAUCUCUAAAUACUGUAAAGGCAAAUCAAAUCCACAGCAGCAUUGGCAAAUAUUACUUUGAUUUUGUAUGCAAUAUUACAUUAGAAAAACAACAUAAUCCAUGAAACAUUGAUAGCCCAAUACAAAUUUCAUCGAGAAAAAAGUCUCUUUGUUUUGUAGAACAUGAUAGUAAAGAUGUGUUUAGUUUUCCUUGAUCAACAACCACUUGCCAAAAACACAAUUAGAUUAGAUUAUGAAUGAUACUUUCAACUAUGACAAUAUUAAAUACUAAACAUUCCAAAUAACUCUAAAUAAAUGGAAUGUAGCAAAUUACCUGAUGAGGCAAGCUAGCUCAAUUAAGACCAUUGUGUUAUACUUGUCUCUAAAUUGAAAAAUUUAGAAGAAAAUAAAGAGAAAGAGUUAGCAAAUACUUGAAAACCGAUAAAACUUAUAUGUCAUUGAUUGGAUAAACUACGAUCACCCAUAAUAGCCUUUACCUUGCAACCAUCUACAUGAACCCAUAAGACUCUUAGCGGAAUCAAGAGACAAGACCCUAACAUGAGAACAAUACCAUUUGUUGAUGCCUUUAUUAAUAGGGCCGUACCUAGGAGAGUUGGCAGGGGUCCCGACCCUCCUUAAAAUAAAAAAAUUUCUAUUUAGGCCCUUUAAAAUUUUUAAAAUUUUAAAUUAAUAAACGUAAAAUUGUACUUUGGCCCCCCAAAAAAUUAUAAAACUUUGAUUUAAUCCUUUAAAAAUUAUAAAAAUAUUGGCUAUUAAAAUGGUGAAAUUACAUUUUUACUAUUGUAAAAAUUACAAUUUAAUUUCACCCCUAAAAAGAUUUUCUGGCUUCGCCCCUAAUAAAAUCAUUGGCAAAAGAUUAAAAUAAAAUUAUAUCAUAAAUAAUAAAAAAACUAAGAAAAUCCAAUCUAACAAAGAAAAUAACUUGAUGUCGAAAUUUAAUGCAUUUUAUUGGUUUCCAUUUUGAUAUUGCAAAAGAAGUUUGAAUUUUGAAGAGAGCCUAGUACGUGAGAGCAAAAGAAAAAAAAUGGUUUAUUAAUUUUUACGAAUACCGACAUAUUAUAUAUAUGAUUAAAAUUCCAGAAUAGAUUAAAAAUGUUGAAUUAAUGAUAAAAUUAAGUGUGAAAUAAUAACCACAAGUGUACUCUUUACUCACCAUCUCUGUUAAAAAUGUUGGAUGUUGUUUAGCAACCUUUGUUUGAUUUUCUUCAGCUCAACCACAACAUCUUUCAUAUCUUUUCUUUCUUCUGGUAACUCAGCUGAACAAUUCAAAGCCAACUCCAUGAUAGAUGAAAUACAAUUUGCUUUAACAACAAUGUACUCAUCCUCUCUUCUUAAUAAAUCAACAUCUGCAAUUUCUAUCGCUCCUUUAGGCAAUGAACUUUCCAUCCAAUGCCUUAUAGUCUCUUCUUCAACAAAAACAUUAUCAGUUGGCUUUUUCUUCGUGAAAGUUUCUAUAAGGACGAUCCCAUAACUAUAGACGUCAGAUUUUAUAGAAACAAUUCCUGCUGAUCCAAAUUCUGCAUUUCAAGUAUAAUUAGAACAUCAUUCAUCCUCAAUUAUUUCUAAAACGCUUAUUCAAAUAUAUAUCCACAUACACGUGAAACAAAAAUAUAAAAUGCAAAUUAGUAAAAUAAUCAUACAAAAAUAAAAAAGAAUUCACCUGGUGCCAUAUACCCAAUAGUUGCAAGAGUCAUGGUUUGCUUCAUUACUUCACCUUCUCCCAACAAUUUGGCAACGCCAAAAUCUCCAACAUGUGCAACCAUGUCUUCAUCUAGUAAAAUAUUGCUUGGUUUUAUGUCACAAUGAAUUAUAGGUGUUGGAUGUCCAUUGUGGAGGUGUUCUAUAGCUACCGCAACAUCUAUCAUUAUGUCGACCCUUUGUAUGAUAUUAAGGAAACAAUUUUCAGAAUGUAACCAUUUCUCAAGGUUUCCGUUAGAUAUGUAAUCAAGCACCAAGGCUUUGAAGUCAACACUUGAGCAGCAAGUAAUGACCUUCACAAUAUUACGAUGAACUAUAUUACACAUAGCAUCACAUUCAAUGUCAAAACUCCUAAAUGCUCCCUCUGUUUGCAAAUUGAAAACUUUUAUUGCAACUUCCAUUCCAUCUGAAAGCCUCCCUUUAUAUACAUAUCCAAAACUCCCUGAACCAAGCAUAUUGCUUUCCUCAAAUCCAUUAGUUGCUCGUGAAAGUUCAGCAUGUGAAAUUCUUCUCGGUGUUUUCAAAGACAACAAAUCAUCUUUAAUUGUUAGAGUUGUACUCCUUCUUUGGCAUCUUCUAUACAUAAUAGUUAAGACUAUUAGUACUACGACAAUACCAAUUGUUGGUAAACCAUACCUAAAAGCAUGCAAUAUAAUCAUUUGGGAGUUUUUGUGGAUGUCGUUUUUGCAGGGUGGGACUAGCAAUCUAGGUGGACCACAAAGUGCAUAAUUCUUCAUGAAUGAUGUGCUAGAAAAGUUUGAAAAACAUCCUUUGCUGGGAAUUUCCCCUUCAAGUCUAUUGAAAGACACAUUAAAAUACUUUAGAUAUAAAAGCUUUUCCAAAGAUUUGGGAAUGACUCCAGAGAGAUUGUUAUUGGAUAAAUCCAAGAAUUCCAAACUAAUCAACCCAUCAAAUGAUUCAGGGAUAUGACCAUGUAGUAUAUUAUUUGAUAAAUCUAAUGAAACCAAAGUUUGAAGACCCCCAAAUGUGGAUAAGAUAUCGCCCUUGAGCAAAUUCCUUGAUAAAUUUAGUUUCAGUAGACUCCUCAAAUUUCCAACAUCAAUAGCAUGUGAAUUGUGAAGAUGGUUUGAUGAUAAAUCUAUUUCUAAGAUAUCUUUAAGAUUCCACAAAGUUGAGGGUAUUGUAGAACUCAAUUUGUUGGAAUCUAAGCAAAGAUAUCUCAGAGCAGAAAUAUUACCUAAACAAGAGGGUAUGGACCCAUGCAGCUUAUUCAACCCUAAACACAUCUCGUAUAGUCUCUCCAAACCACAGAGGCUUUCUGAGAUCGGCCCUCCUAGUUUAUUAUUGUAAAAAGUUAGACUUUGGAGAUUUCUCAUUCCUCCUAUUGAUGCUGGAAUCAAUCCACUUAAUUUAUUAUAGCCAAGUUGUAAAAGGAAUAGGUUGGUUAAGUUACCUAUUUCCAUAGGAAUAAUGCCUUGAAGCUCACACUUUUUGGCAGAAAAGAAUUGAAGGGAUUUUGAUAGGUUCCCGAUAUAAGUAGGAAGAACGCCACUGAAUGGAUUUCCUGAUACAUCUAUUCUUCUCAAAUUCCUACAAUUCGUCAAAGAAGAAAGAAAGCUCCACUCAUGAUCAGUAGCAGAUCCUGUGAUCAAAUUAUUGUCAAAGAUUUGGAACACUUCAAGGUGUCUUAAGUUGCCAAGCGUUUUAGGGAUUGGGCCAGAGAAUGAGUUACGUGCCAAGUCUAUAAUCUGAAGCAUGGAAGCAUUGGAGAUAGAGUUGGGAAUGUUUCCGGUAAGUUUAUUUCUCCACAAUAAAAGAAUCUGAAGCUUUGGAGCAUUGGUGAUGGGUGGUAAAUUACCUGUAAAAUAGCAUCUUUUAGAAAACAUAUUCAUUGAAUACCAAAUUCACAAAAUAUAUAAUACAUUAAAUAAAAACUGUAAAACUUUAAAUCAAUUAAGGAUAAAAUUUUUGCGUGAUGAAAUCAAUUAAAAAGUUGAGACAUAAUAGGAAGUUUUGAGUAGUAAUUAGUCCUUGUGAUUUGAAUAGACAAAACAUAUAAAACACUAAUAAUUUUUUAAAAUAUUGUAAAACUUGAAAUAAAAUAAAAUAAAAGUUUGGCAUGAGAAUGUGGCAUCUAAUCAAUCUUAAAAAUGAGACUGACACUGGAUAAUAAUUAGUUAUGAUUUGGGAAACAAAAAUGUUAAAGCCAUUGUUUUUAAUGUAAACUGGUAUGAUUUUUAUCUAUUGGGAUAAUUAUUUAUUUUUAUUAAAUUAUAAUGUAAAAUUUAAAGAUUACUAUUUGCUCAAAAUUUUUGUAUUGUUCAUAUAUUUGAAAUUUAAUCUUUAUAUUUUUUAUUUUCUGUGAUUUAGUCUCUACUUUUUGAAUUGAAAAUUUUAGGUUCAUUUAUUAACAUUGUUAAAAGGUUUUUGAGAUAGUAUGGCAUUUUGAAAAAUAAAAUAAGCUUGAUAUCUCUGUUUUUAAUUAUUCCAAAUAUUGUUUUAUUAUUUCAAGAUAAAUUAUUUGUGUCUAGACCAAUUUCUUAAGAACUAUUGUUGCAUGUUUAAUUAUUUUAAAGAAUUGUCGAUUGAGUCUUAGAUUAAUUGGCAUGUGCAUUGUUGCUAAUGUAGGAGAAUGUGAGUUCAAGUAUGCUGAAGUGCAUUAUCCUCCUAUUUAUGAAUUGGGGAGUUGAUAAAGUACUAAAUUUUGAUAUAUUUUAAAAUAUUAAAAAUUUAUUAAAAUAUUUUUAUAAAAAUUGAUUGUACCACAAUAUACAAUUUUAAUAUCAAAAUUUUAAUUUUUUUAAAAAUAUUAGCGAAUAUAUACUUUAAAGUUACACAAUUUUUACUAGUUUUUAACUUUAUUUUUUAAAUUUUUAUCGUCUUUUAUAAUUUCUAAUAUUUUUUUUAUAAUUUUUUACAAUAUUUAACAAUUUCUAACAAUUUUUAAUAAUUUUAUUAUUUAUUACAAAUUUAAAAAUUAACAAAUUUUUAUUUUUUUAAAACAAUUAUAUAUUUAUAAUGUAGUUAUUUUUUUAUAAUUUUAUUAAAAUUUUUAAAGACUUUUUUGGUUUUUUUUUCUAGAUGAUGAUGCCAUCAUGAUGUCAUCAUAUGCCACAUGGCAAUUUAUGAUUAGUUGGAUAUCUCAAUCUAUUUUUUUAACGUCCAAUGGACUAAACCAAGAACACCUGAUAAUGUUAGAGACUACACUAGGAAUGUUUGAUAAUAUUAAGUAUGAAAGUGGGCAAAAAAACAUUAAGGAUUAAAAAAAAGAAAAAAAAAAGAGCAAUAUGCUGUAGGGAAUAAACUGUGCAUUAAGCCAUUAAAAAUAUAUGUAUAAUAAAUAUAAAUGCAUGGAUUUUGAGAAACUUUUGAACUGAUAAUUAUAUAGUCUUUCUUGUUUACUAUAUUAUUGAAUUUGUUAUUUUAAAUAUUUUUUAUUACUUUUAAGAUUUAUCAUAUGUAUGGAUAAGAAUUUUGGUUUUACUAAAAUAUUUGGUUAAAUAAAUUCACUUUAUAAGAAAAUUUAGCAUCCUUAUAAAUAACAAUUUUGAUUCUAUUAAAAAUAUUAUUUUAAAAAUUAUAUAAUAAAAAUUUAAAAUUUAUAUUGAAUUACUUUAUACUUCAAUUAUUAUUAGAAACUUUAUCAUACACAUACGUGUAUGAGAAUCACAUAUUUAGAACAUAAAUUUGUGUUUUAAAAUAACUUAUGAUAAAUAAUGAAAUGUAUAAUUUGAAACUAUUUAAUAAUAACACAUGGCAUAUAAAUCUUAUUGUUUAAAGUUUAAUGGAAAUUAAAAAAAUUAAAAAUAAAUCAAUUCAUAUAAAUCUUAUUGUUUUUUAUCAUAUUAAAAUGAUAAAAGUAUAUGACAUAAAUAGAAGAAACAAAUUCAACACAAUGUUUUUGGAGUUUGGAAAAAAUUAAAGUGAAAAACAUACCUUCUAAAUUGUUGUUAAAUAGAUCUAUUUCUUCGAGCGUAGUUGAAUUAAAAAUACUUGAUGGAAUUUGACCUGCACACAUAGUAAAAAAAUUGAAGUGAAAAACAUAUCUUCUAAACUGUUCAACUAAAAAUACUUUUGUUAUCUAUUACAAAUCAAACUCUUUUGUGAAAAAAUUAUUACCAGAUAAUUCAUUCCAACCCAGGUAAAGCCUUUCAAGCUUGGGAAGAUAUUGACACAUAUCAUUAGGCAAACUACUUGAUAGGCUAUUGUUGGAGAGAUUAACGGUCUUCAGAGAAGAAAUGUUGAAGAUAGAAGUUGGAAUCUGACCUGUAAGGCCUUUAAUUGCUUGAAUAUUAAGCAUUUCCAAACUAAGAAGAUUACUGAUUUCCUUAGGAAUUUGACCUGCAGACAGUCGAAAAAUCAUUAUUUUUCAGCACUUGUUUUUCUUCAAAUUAACUAUUUUGCCUUGAAUGAAAUAAAAAUUUCUUCCUUUUGUUAUCUAUUACAAAUUAAACUCUUUUAUAAAAAAUACUUUAAAUUCAAGAAAUCAAGGAAAUUGAUUACCUUCUAGAUUAUUAAACCCCAAAUAUAAUUCCUGGAGUCGUGUCAGAUUUCCAAUACUUUUUGGAAUGAUCCCCCUCAAUUGAUUAUUGGACAACGACAAAUUUUUAAGGUUGCUGCAUUUGCCCAUACUUGAUGGAAUGUUACCAGAUAAUUCAUUCCAACUCAGGUAAAGCCCUUCAAGCUUGGGGAGAUGUUGACACGUAUCAUUAGGCAAACUACCUAAUAGGCUAUUGCUGGAGAGAUCAAUAAUCUUCAGAGAAAAAAUCUUGAAGAUGGAAGAUGGAACCUGACCAGAUAAUUGAUUGAAUCCCAAGUUCAAGAUCUCUAGAUUAGACAUGUUAACAAGUGUUUCAGGGAUUGUGCCUGUAAAGUUAUUGUUUUUCAUUUUCAGCCUUCGAACUCUCUGUAAGUUCCCAAGCCAUGAUGGAAUUUCCCCAUUCAGAUGGUUGUAGCUUAAUUGAAGGAUCCUCAAAUGAUGCAAUUGGCUCAAUUCUUUAGGGAGAUGGCCAUAGAAAUGGUUGCUACUCAAGUCGAGAGAGAGUAGAAAUGAAAGAUUUCCAAGGUGUGGAGGGAUAGUACCCCUAAGAUUCAUGCUUGUAAGAUUCAAAGCUAUAACUCUUUUAUGGAGGAUGCCACAAGAAACACCAAUCCAAUUGCAAACAGAGGUUGAGACCGUCCAAUUGUUUGGCAAGACAUUUUGAGGACCGGCGAUGCGAUCCUUAAACUCGAGAAGUGCAAACUGGUCGAAGUUGAGAUUCCUGACUGUCAUAGCCAAGCAAAGUACGGAACAUGGUAUGAAUAAAGCUAAAAGAAGAUGAAAGCAAGUGUUGUAGUUCAUGAUUGCAAGACGGAAUAAGCCAAGAAAAUAAAAAAAAAGUAGGAAAAGGGAAGUUGAGUUGAUAAAAUAGUUUGGAUGAUGAAGAAAAGCCCAGACAGCAUGCUUUAAUAUGUUUCAACCCUCGCACACUUGAUAAACUUGAUAAAAAUAUUUUGAUCUAAUAAAUGUAAAAAACUUUUUAAACAAAAUAAGGUUGAAAUAAUCUAUUUGUCCUUAUACUUUGAUAAAAUUUGAGAUUUAGUCCUUAUACUUAAAAGGUUAAAAAUAAAGUCUUCUUGUUUUUAUUUAAAAAUCUUAGUCCUAACGUUAAUUUUUUUUGUCAAAAUUUGUCAACUUUACAUAUUAAUUAGGUUUCCCUUAUAUGUCGUGAUAUAUGACUAACACAAAAUAAGCAAGUUGAUAAAUUCUGACAAAAAAUACCAAAGAUGAUAAUAAUUGAAUUAAAAUUUUUAAAUUGAAUUUAUAACCUUUAACGUAUAAGGAAUGGAUAUCAAAUGUUUAUAGGAAUAAAGGGACUAACAGCAUAUUUUAACCAUAAAAAAAUAUGAGUGAUUAGAAUGAAUCUAAAAUUUUAUAGAAAUAAAAGAGACUAACAACAUAGUUAUAACUUUGAGAUCUCCUUCGAUCAUCCUUUUUCUACGUGGAAAAAGAAAAUUAAUUAGCAUCUAAAGUUUCAAGUAAUGAAACCUUGAAAAGAAAAGGUGAAAGUGAUUUAUCAAACAAUAAUAGUCUAACUUAUAAUAUAUUUAAUUACAUUUAGUAAUUUAUCAAUCAAAACUUAAUUAACAUCCAUCAAUACUUCAUACAUAAGUAAAUUUACCAUUUAACUCAGAUUUAACUUUGCAAGUAAACUUAAAGUUUUAUUUAAUUUUGUCACUAAAUUUGAUUUGUUCAAUAUAGAUUUUGGUGACUUAAAACAAAAUUAAUAAAAAAAAUUAUUUUUUCAGAUAUGUUUUUAAUAUUUAAUAAUAAGUUAAUUUAUAAAAUAUACUUUCAUUGGACACAGGCAUCCAAGGCGGUGAACCACUGAUCAAAUUAAUUCAGAGAUACCUAAAUUUGCUUUCAUCAAUUAAUUAAGAAAUUAAAUUUUUAAAAAAAAUUGUUGAGACCUCAUGAUUAUCUUUUAUAAUUUCAGUCUUAUCAACUAUUUUGAAAACAACAAAACGUCUUACACCAAAACCUAAAAAAUAAAAACGUCGACAUUAAAUUUGUUGGUAUGCAAUCAAUUUUAAGAUGGUUUUUGGAGUUAUAUAUCACUUUAGCAUUGACUUACUUUUCUACAGUUAGUCUUCUCCAACAAGUUAAAUAUUUCAAUUUUAACAACAUUGAAAGGUUUUGGCGUAGAGUCGAGCAAAACUCAAUAGAAACAGAUGAUAUAGGUUGAGUUGGCUCGGCCAAGUCGAGUCGACUUGUUCAAAUUAGUUAAAUUAGUAAAUUUUAGGGUGCAGUUAGAAUUUUUUAUUUUGAGAUGCUAAGAUGAAAAACUUUGAGUUGCUAAAACAAAAAUUUUGUAUUUAAAAAGGCAUAAAUUAAAUUAUUAAGUUUUUCAAGUUUCCAUUUAAUCAAAGGUUAAAAAGGACUAAAUUGAAGCUUUUUAUUUUUAAGAAAGGCUGAAUGACAAAUUGCUCAAAGCCCAUGCCCCUAGCUAUACGCCCCUGUUAAAAUCAAUUUUAAAAUUAGUUAUAAUAGUUGAAGCGAAUUGAUUAUUGAGUAAUGAAACACAUCAUUCAACAAAAUAAACAAGUUGACAAAUUUUGACAAAAAAUAUCAAAGGUGAUAAUAAUUAAAUUAAAAAUUUAAAUUGAAAAAAUAAGGAAUUGAAUUUAUAACUUUUAAAGUAUAAAGAAUGAAUUUAUAACUAACAUAUUUUAACCACAUAAUAAAAGUAGUUAUGGAGAGUAUCAUGUAAAAUAAUGACCUGAAUGAAAUAAGAAUAGAAAAGAAAGAGUAGCCAUUUUAUGAAAUUUAUAAUUCCAACUGUGAAUAAAAUAUAAAUUUUAUGAAUGUGGACAAGACAUUUUAUUUAACUUUUUUUAAAGUCAUUUUGUUUGUUUCCUAACCACCAUGAAAUUACUUGUCACAAUUCAUCUUUUUAAAUGAGAAACAUUUUCCACAAUUUGCUAUCACUUUAACAUACACUAACUUUUCUAUGAUUAGUCUUUGGUUUGCUUUGGGUGCAAUCUUCCAACUAGCCUUAUCAGUGGUUUGACUUUCCAACAUUUAGUGUAUCACGAGUUUUGUUUUCUUUAAAAAAUAUUUUUGUGGAUAUUAGGAGAUAAUGACAAUUAUUUUACUGUGAAAUUUUAAUAAAACUGAAAGAUUAGUAAUUUAUUUUAAGAGAUCACAAUUAAACAUUAGGUUUCUAAUUUUUUAAUUUUAAAUUUUUUUGACAAUUGCAUAAUUAAUAAGGUACCAAUUUUGAGCAUUGUAGGAAUGCUAUAACCUUCCCUACGCAUAAUCGCCUCUUGAGCAUGAUGGAUCCUAGACCUUAUCCUCUAUUCUCGUAUCACAAAUUGCUUUGAGUGUGAGUUCGAACAAUCACAUAUUAAGCACAAAACCAGAAAUGAAUUAUUACUUUCAAUGGCAAAGUAAUUCUCUCUCAAUAGAAACCAAUAAAAUUGUAAUUCCAAGAAAAUAAAAUUUAGUUUUUGAAAAUAUAUUCUCACUGCUUUCUAGCAGAAUAACAAUAUGUGAAACUCAUGUCAAUGUUAAUAGCUCUACCAGUACUAUCUAUUUAUAGGGAGAGACAUGAGAAUCCUGGUUGAAUUAGUAAAACACAAGUAAUAUUUAUUUCAUAGAAAACAAUAUUCUACUCUAAGUAGAUCAAGUUUGGAUGACGCAUGGAUCGAAGCUCAAUCUAGGAGAAAAAAAUAAAGGAAUUUUCUCUGUAACGAAAAUCUGAGAUUGUACUAUUUUCGAAGUUAUAAAUAAAAUUAUACGCCAAAUUUCAAGUCAAUUUUCAACUCAAAUUUUAUAUAUACAAAUUUCUAAUACACUUGGUGGGACAUUCUUUGACUUUUAUCUAUUCUCUCAAAAAGUUAAAGUUCAAAGUUGCAUUAAACUCAAAGAAGAUAAUCACUAGUAAACCAGCUCACAAGCCUGCUCAAGCUAAUCCUACAACUCUUUCCACUUCAUCAUCAAACACCAAUGUUCUUGCUUAUCCUUAUGGAAUUAAACAAAAGACAAAAGCUCUUUAAGAGUUAUUUGAAAAGACAAAAGAUUCAGAUGUGUUGAGAUGGAAAGUGACAAUACAAUGUUGAUUGAAACUAUUCGUAAUGGGUUGGCUACAAUAACUAGUGUUGCUGAAGUAAGACAGAUUCACCAUUGGUGUUCCAAAAAUUGGGAAGUCAAACUUCGACAUAUUUAGCAGAAUGCCAAUAAAGUUGUUGAUUGCAUAGCUAAGGCAAAUGGAGGCGUAAUUGAGCAGCUGGUUAUCUUGGAAGAUCCUCCGAAUUAUGUGAGAUGCUAGCUUGAAGAAGAUAUUAGACAAUCACUGGUGACUGAUGAUAAUUUUCAUUUAGACUGAUGAGCGCUUAAUUUUCUAAGCUUAUGUUCAACAAAAAAAAAAAAUUAAAUGUCUAAAUUGUAAUAGAGUUAACAUUAAGUGUUUAAAAAAUAUCUUAAAAAUUAUUUUUUCCAAUUGCAGUUCAAUUCCACAAAUAUCGAUGAUGAACCCGGACAUAAAAGUUACAAAAAAAAAACACAUCUCUUAUCAAACCAGCAAUCCAUGUCUAAACUUAAAUUAACAAAAUUCGCCACGCAACCCGGUACACUAUUAUAUAUAUAUACUAGAUUUAUUCUAGAUGCACAUGUUUUAUUAUAUUUAAAAAUUAAAAUAUAUGGUUGACUAAGUUUUAGUUGAGUUAGUAUUGGUAUUAUUGUCAUUGUUGGAAAAUGUGAGUUUAACCGUGCUCAAAUGUGUUUUAUCCUCCAAUUCAAGGGUUAGGAAAAGGUUAUUAAUAAUUAAAUUAUACCAACUUUUAUGAUAUUAAAAAAAGGAUUUAUAAAUAAUAUAAGGAAAAGAAAAAAAAAAAAGAGAAACAUAUUCAUAUUGAUGGGCUCUUUCAAUAUUAGACUUUUUCUUUCUAUCACAAGUAAAAAUAUCAAAGGUGAUAAUAAUUAAAUUAAAAAAUUUAAAUUAAAAAAAUGGGGAUUGAAUUUGUAACUUUUAAAGUAUAAAGAAUGAAUUUAUAACUAACAACAUUUUUUAACCACAUAAUAAAAGUAGUUAUGGUAAAAUAAUGACCUGAAUAACUUUAAACGUCUCAUCCUUGCAAAAAUGAAAUAAUAGAAAAGAAAUAAGUGUUGGGUGUAGUGACAAUGUACAUUAUACUUCUAAGGGGAGAUCAGGGUUUUAGACAAGGGAAGAAUUUUAAACCUACUUUUUUUCUCUAGAACUCAACACAAACCUCAAAUUUAUCUUUUUAAAAGAAUUUUAAAAUAUCUAUAUAAAAGGUGAUUUUUUUACCAAUCACACUUAACAAAAUUUUAAAAUUUCUUUUUUUGAAAUUUAAAGUGAUCUAAAAACAUAUUUUUAAGUGUUUUAGACCAUCCAGUGCUGAUUUCUUUAUUAAUUUGAUUUGUUCAAUAUAGAUUUUGGUGACUUAAAACAAAAUUAAUAAAAAAUUAUUUUUUCAGAUAUCUUUUUAAUGUUUAAUAAUUAACUUACAUAAAAUAUGUGUCUAAGGCGGUGAACCACUGAUCAAAUUAAUUUAGAGAUACCUAAAUUUGCUUUCAUCAAUUAAGAAAUUAAAAAAAAAAUUGUUGAGACCUCAUGAUUAUCUUUUAUAAUUUCAGGCUGAUCAACUAUUUUGAAAACAACAAAAACGUCUUACACCAAAAACUAAAAAAUAAAAACGUCGACAUUAAAUUUGUUGGUAUGCAAUCAACUUUAAGAUGGUUUUUGGAGUUAUAUAUCACAUUAGCAUAAUUGACUCACUUUUCUACAGUUAGUCUUCUCCAACAAGUUAAACAUUUCAAUUUUAACAACAUUGACAGUCUUUAGGGUAGGGUCGAGCAAAACUCAAUAGAAACAGAUGAUAUAGGUUGAGUUGGCUCGGCCAAGUAAUUUAUUUUUAAAACAAGUAAUUUAUUUUAAGAGAUCACAAUUAAACAUUAGAUUUCCAAUUUUUUUAAUUUUAAAUUUUUCUGACAAUUGCAUAAUUAAUAAGGUACAAAUUUUGAGCGUUGUAGGAAUGCUAUAACCUUCCCUACGCAUGAUGGAUCCUAGACCUUCUCCUCUAUUCUCAUACUACAAAUUGCUUCGAGUGUGGGUUCGAACAAUCACAAAUUAAACACAAAACCAUAAUUAUUAUUUUCAAUAGAAAAGUAAUUCUCUCUCAAUAGAAACCAAUAGAAUUGUAAUUCCUAGAAAAAUAAAAUUUAUUUUUUGAAAAUAUCUUCUCACUACUCUCUAGCAGAAUAACAAUAUGUGAAACUUAUGUCUUGUUUUAAUAGCUCUAUCGGUACUAUCGAUUUAUAGGGAGAGACACGAGAAUCCUGGUUGAAUUAGUAAAACACAAAUAAUAUUUAUUUCAUAGAAAAAAAUAUUCUACCCUAAGUAGAUCAAGUUUGGAUGACGCAUGGAUCGAAGCUCAAUCUUGGAGAAAAAAAAUAAAGGAAUUUUCUUUGUAAAGAAAAUAUGAGAUUGUACUUUUUUCGAUGUUAUAAAUAAAAUUAUACGCCAAAUUUUCAAGUCAAUUUUCAACUCAAAUUUUGUAUGUACAAAUUUCUAAUACACUUGGUGGGACAUUCUUUGACUUUUAUAUAUUCUCUCAAAAAGUUAAAGUUCAAAGUUGCAUUAAACCCAAAGAAGAUAAUCAUUUGUAAACCAGCUCACAAGCCUGCUUAAGCUAAUCCUACAACUCGUUCCACUUCAUCAUCAAACACCAAUGUUCUUGCUUAUCCUUAUGGAAUUAAACAAAAGACAAAAGCUCUUUAAGAGUUAUUUGAACAGACUUCUUUAACGGUAAAUUACAAUCCACUCUAUGAUGCUUCUUCGCCCAACUCAUGAAUUAAAAGAAGUUUCUACUCAUGGAUCAAGUGUAGCCCGCCAGUUAUCAUUAAGGAGAAAACAGAGUCAAUCAAGUGAAAAUUAUAUUCCAACAUCUCCCCAGAACCAAAUUUCAGAGUGAUGAAUGUCAUGACAACUGACACUACAUUCUUAGAAGAAUAAGUAGAUCUCUAGCAAAAACGAUGGAGAGUCUUACUACAAGCAUAAAAGGAAUGGAUGAUCAAACUGAACAUCUUAGUGGAAGUAACCAAACCUUUUCCAGCGAAACUCAACAUCCUCUUCACAAAGUUGUUGGAAUCAAAAUUGUUGAAGGACUUUAAAGUGUUUCUUUAGAUCAACUCAAGGAGCUUAUUAAAGAAACCAUUAAAGAUCAAGUCAAAAGUGUUGCUUCGCCUUCAUAUACAUACUCGAAGUCAUACAUUUGGAGGAUUUAUCAUUUGAAUAUGCCUGAACAUUAUCCACCUCUAAUACGGCUGUCUGAAUAUAUUCCGAGAAAACACAACAAGAGAAGGGUGAUAGUCUAAUAGAGGAGUACACGACUUUGCUUCAUUGCCCGAGGAUUCAAGUUGACAAAGCUUAUUCAAAAGUCGUCAACGUCUUGACCCUUUUUAAAGAAUCUAACGAGAAUUACGAGGAUAAGUGAGCAGUGAGUCGUAGCCUGGCUCAAGCAAAAAGGAGCUAGUAGAGGCACCUAUUGGAAAAUUCAUGAUAUUUAUCUUAACAUCCGGAUGAAGAAAAGGAUCGAUGUCUUCGCCUAGAGUAUGAGGGCAAAGCUGUAUAUAUAUUCGCUUUAUGUAAAGAGAAUUGUUUUCUAGUAAAGUUGUUCUAACAUAAUUGAAUCAGACUUAACGUCGUAUUCAUUCCAUUCAUCUGCAUUACAUUUCAUUGCAUGCAAAAUUUCACAAAAGGAUACUAAUUAAUCAAAAUUGUUACAGUUACCCUGGAAACUAACGAAAAUCCACCAACUAAAUAUCGCUACGGUAUCCGCUGCAAAACCAAAGAAAUGGAUCAAAGAUUAGAAAGAUUAGAACAAAUGCAAAAAGGUAUGCAAGAUCAGUUGCAAGCGCAACUACAAGAACAAUUAACGAAAGUACAACAGGAGAUGAGGGAUCAGAUACUAGAAUCUCAAAGAAGCAUGAUGAGCCAAUUAACGCAGUUACUAGCCGGAGGGCUUAAAAAAGGGAAAAGCUAAGUGGUCAACAUUGGGGAUGAUAAUGAAGACCUUGCCUAUCCCUCAAGUUUUACCCCGAUAAGUGUCCAGGCCCAACUAGACGCGCGUCUACAAAGGGCACCCGUUACUAUUAGACCCCAACAAUAUCAAACCGGUACCUCGGCACCAGUGAACUACCCAACAGGCUUAGGUUCCAAUCUGGGGGACAAUCCAACCAAUCCUGUAGUUCCUAAUUUAGACGAAAUGGUAGAAAUAAAAAAAAGCAAAGGUGGAACUGCCAAAAAAACUUGAAGAUCGGUAUAGGUGGUUAGAAGAAAAACUCAGAGCAAUGAAAAAUGAUGAUUACCAUUAUAGGGUUGACGCCAAGGAUCUGAGUUUUGUUCCAGAUCUAGUACUCCCACCAAAAUUCAAGACUUCAAAAUUUAAAAAGUAUAAUGAGACUAGUUGUCCUAAAGCUCACAUCACGAUGUUCUGCCGAAGAAUGACAGGAUACGUUAAUAAUGAUCAAUUGUUAAUUCAUUACUUCCAAGAUAGUUUGAUUGGGCCUACUGCCAAAUGGUACAACCAACUGAGCCGUGCUAACAUCCACUCAUGGAAGGACUUGGCACAAACUUUCAUGAAGUAAUACAGCCAUGUAACAGACAUGACACCUGACAGAAUUACACUGCAGAAUAUGGAAAAGAACCAAAGUGAGAGCUUCAGGCAAUAUGCCCAAAGAUGGAGAGAGGUAGCGACAUAAGUCUAGCCACCUUUUCUGGAGAAAGAAACCACGAUGCUUCUCAUCAACACUCUGAAAGCCCCAUUCAUUAACCAUAUGUUGGGAAGGGCUACCAUGAGCUUCUCAGAUAUAGUAAUGUCUGGCGAGUUUAUUGAAAACGCGAUGAGGAGUGGAAAGAUAGACGCGGGAGAAAGCGCCAAAAGAUCAACCCCGAAAAAAAUGAAAAUGAAGCGAAUAAUGUAAGAAAAGGGUAUUCCAAAUCGGUCAUUGUAGGUGAGCCGAGGGCCGUGACUACUAACUAUCAAGCCCUCUUCAGGCAAGAGUCUAACUCGAGGCAAAGCACUGAAAGACUCCAGUUUACACCCAUCCCAAUGACAUAUAGGGAGCUGUAUCGGAAUCUAUUUGAUGCACAUGUGGUAUCCCUAUUCUAUAUGAAACCCAUACAACCUCUAUUUUCGAAAUGGUAUGACGCAAAUGCUCAACGAGAAUACCACGCGGGAAUAAUAGGACACUCAAUUGAAAACUGCACUACAUUUAAAAAGUUAGUUGAAAGGUUUAUUAAGAUGGGCAUCGUGAAGUUUGACGAUCCAUCAUGACCUAAUUUGACAGGAAAUUCGUUACCUAGUCGUCAAGACCCAAGGGUAAACGCAAUAAUUGAGAAUGGAGGAAAGAGAACCAAAACCAACGUUGCAGAAGUAAAAACCCACUGAAAUGGGUUUUGAAACAAAUGAUAGACAUGGAAUUAAUAAUUCAGAAUUUAGAGGAGAUACCAAAAGAGAUGAGGAGCUACUGUGAGUUUCACGCUGAAGAGGGCCAUGAAAUCCAAGAGUGCGCUAAAUUCAAAGUUUUGGUGCAGAGCCUAAUGGAUAAUAAAGAGUUGGAAUUCCUUUAAGAAGUCAAAGGCCUGGAAGGAAUGUUAGGGAAUCUAAACAUUGACGCCGUAUCCAAAAAGGGAGCUGGGGAAGAGAAUUUAUCAGGCAUUUGCCUUUACACACCUGGGAGUGUUUUGACUAAAGGGACUGAGGAAGAGAUCCCUGGAUUUUUUAGACCUAAUUCGGAGUAAUGUCCAAAACACACUUGCUCUAAGCCUAGGAGAAAUAAGAAUCCUUUUGUGAGAUAGGCUUAUGUCCAACAUCUUUAUUUCAAUAAAAUGCAUCCUUGUUUAUCACUUCGAGCAAAUAUUCUUUUAUUGUUUCCAUUUCAUUCAUAAUCAUACCAUAUAAAUAAAUAUUCUCAGAUUCUUUUGUUCUUUGGAUCUUCCUUCAUCCCUAUAACAGGUCUCCAGAUAUCUAUGAUAUGAGUGACUCUGCUAUUGACUCAGAACCUCCUUUUGAGCAAAAUAUGUGUCCAGAGGAACCACAGGACUUUGAAGAUAACCGGGACUAUAACUUAUCUCCUAAUUUGUUAAGGAUGGUAGAACAAGAUGAGAAACAGAUCCUACCUUAUAAAGAAUCAAUAGAAUCCAUGGCCUUUCUCUAUAUAGGGCAUGGAUGUCAUUGAGUUGAUCUUGCCAAAAGCUUCUGGCAGUCAUCAAUUCAUCUUUAUGGUUGUCGAUUACUUCACUAACUGGGUGCAAGCUGCUUCAUAUGCUAAUGUCAAAAAGUCGACAGUCAGCAAAUUCUCAAAAAAAUCAUAUGUCGGUAUGGAAUGCCAAAAAGGAUCACAUCUGACAAUGCACUAACAACAGGGCGAUAAUAGAAGUUUGCAGUCUGUUCAAGAUUAACAUCAUAUCACCCUAAAAUGAAUGGUGUAGUGAGGGCAAAAAAACCUCUACCGGGGCAAUGCCUUUCUCUUUGGCUUAUCGUGGUUUUGCCCAUUGAAUUUGAGAUUCCUUCUCUUGGAGUUUUUUUGGAUCCAAUCCCGACUAAAGAGCAAGGUUCAAAGUUAUCUGUCAUGGUCAAAUGUACCAAAAACAAAUGAUACAAGCUCACCAAAAAGGUUCGCCCCAAAAAAUUCCAUGAGGGUGACCUGGUAUCGAAGAAGAUCCUUCUCAUACAAAAGGACUUUAGAAGAAAGCAGAUGCCAAAUCGGGAAAGACCUUAUCUGGAAGACCUUAUCUGGAAAAGCAUUGAUUUUGACCAGGAAUGAUAACAAGGGAUUGUCUAAUCCUAUGAGUUCAGAUUCAAUCAAAAAUAUUUCAUGAAAAUUAAUAAAAAAAUAGAAAAGAAAAGAAAAAUUAAAAAAAAGAAAGGCCAAGGUGAAAACCCGCAAAAGGUACCUUGAGACUAAAGGGAUUUUGAGUUGAAAACCCAAAAAAGGGCGGUUUAAAUUUUGAUCAAAGUUAAGGCAUGUGGUAGUCUUGUCCUCUCCGAAUUAACGAAAAGGAGGGAUGCUACAUCUUGGGGCAUCAACAAAGUCUUCUAGGACUUCUAAGCACGUAUCAAGUUCAAAGGGUCCUCAAGAAGUUUUGUAUAAAGAAGCUUAUAAUACCCAAUUUUCGCCCGGGCCCAUGCAGAUUAAAUAAACAAAAAAUAAAAACCAAAUAAAAUAAAAUAACAGUCCAAAAGUAAAAAAAAACACAGAAACAUUAGCCCAAUAAAAUCCAACCCAGCUAACCUAACCUAAAUUACCUAGAUACAUUAAGCCCAAUAAGUUAUAAGCCCAAAAUCAGUUACCCAAACCCAAACCCAAACCCAAAUAACCCAACACCAGCCCAAAUCAAAGCUGAAACCCUAGCAGUUUCUGGAACAGUCUAGGCACCGCAUCUCCCUCACGCAAUAUAUGUGCGCCUUUGACUCCUCUCACGUAUGUCGCACUAGAUUCACGCGCGCCUUCUCCAGCCUAUACCUGCAACAACCCCAAAACGAACAGAAACAAAUAGCAAGAAAAAAAUAAAAAUAGAGGAAACUAGAAUAACAGAGAAAAUAGAAAAUAUUAAAUAAUUUUUCUAUUUUUUUGGCUAUAUAAAGCCAUUCAAGACGUUUUAAAACGGAUCCGAUUUUUGAAAAAAAUCAAUAAAAAAAGAAUGAGCAUAUAGCAGAGAUUCGAAGGUGAUUUCAGUUUUUUUUUAUUUUUUUUCCUUUUUUCAUUAUUCAUGUGCUAAAAUGAAAGGAAAGAUGAAUAAAAGAAGGAUGAGCUUACCUGGUGGCCGAUCUUCCUUCUACUCCGUCGCAAUCGGAGUUGGAUGGAAGUUAAAGGCAUGAAACGGCGCACAGAGGGGAGGAGAUUAGUUUUUUAUUAGGGUUGAUUUGUGAAUAAUGAAUGGCUGCUAAUUUUAGGUCUCAGUUUACCUAAUAUGUGACGAAAGAAACGUCGUCGUUUAGGGCCUAUUUCAGUGGCCCUAAAACGACGCCAUUCAGCUGCCAUCAACCCGCACAUUAACCCGAUCCGGUUCCAGAUCUGUGUGUUUUAUAGCGCGUAGGAAAUUUGCGCGAUUGGUCCACCUCUUUUCUAAUGUAUUUAAAUCAAUUUUUUCAUUCCUUUCAAUUUUCCCCCAUAUUUUGCUUUUGUUUCAUUUUGACCCAAGUUGUACACAGCGUUUUGCUGGGAUGGGAAUUAUUUCCCACUUGGUCCCCGAAGUUAGUCGCGCAUUGCAUUCGGCCCCUCUGCUUUAUUGUAUUUUCUUUUUUUUCUUUUCAUUCUACUUUUAGUUUAAUUUAAUCCCUACUAUCUUAAUGUGCUUGAUUUCAUUUAAUUUAUUUAAUUAUUUAAUAUUACAUUAUUUUUUAUACAUUAAUUUUUUUAAUCUAAUAUUAUAUAAUGACUAAACUCAAUAUUUUUUAUCUUAUAUUAUUUUACGUUUUAUGUGUAUUAUUGUUUGAAGUUUUUUUUUCAAAUUUUAGAUUUUUUUUAAAUUUAUAAUGUAUUAUUAUUAAUAGUAUAAAUUUAUUACAUAUCAUUUUUUAGAUUUAUUAUGUAUUGUUGUUUUAAAAUUCAUUAUACAUUGUUAUUUUAAAUUUAUUGUGUAUCAUUACUUAAGUUAAUUGUUUUUAUUUUCUUUUAUGCAAAUUUGAUAUUUAUGGAUAUUUUCUUGAUUUUUUUAUAUUUCUCUUAAUUCAUUUUUUAUAUUUUUUUGUAUUUUUAUAUAAAGAUAUUUUAUAGAAUAUUAUUUUGUAUAUAUACAAUUUAUUUAUUUUAUAUAUAAUUUAUGCUAUAUGUAAACUUUUGUAUAUAUUAUUUAUUUUAAAGAUUUUGUAUGUAUACUUUAUUGAUUUACUAUUUUCUUUCUUUCAUGCCAUUUUUUAGUUAUUUCAAAACUUAUACAUUGGAUUUGCAUUUGUGUUAAUUUGCUUGCUUUAUAGGAUUUACUAGCUUUUAAAAAUGAAUGCUAGUAUUUGCAUAAUGUAUAAUAUGAGAUGGUUGCCCUUAUAUAUGUUGUAUUGUUUAUUUGUAUUUUAUUGAUUUUUCGUUGCUCAUUAGCUUAUAUUUAGCUUACGAAUUUUUCUUUCGCAAUGUACAUUGCCAUCCCAUUGCGUUUUAUUCAUCAAAAAGAUUAUAUUCUAUUUAAAUAUUAAAAUUGUUUUACUCAAAAGCUUUCAGGAUAAUACAAUACUCAAAAUUUGGGGUCUUCGAAAGAAUUGAACCCUAACGUAUUGGGUUCCAAUUUUUCUCGUUGAAUCUAAAUAACCGGAAAUAUUCUUUAAUCAAAACACAUAAAUAAAAAGCUCAUUCUCGGGAAUUCGAUACGUGUGUCCUAAUGCAUUGGAUAUAACAUGUUGUUUUCUCGAGAUGAGGAUUUUUCUAAAUAAAAGCAAUAUUUAGUGUUUGGGAAUUUUGAGAAAUUGAACCCUAACUUACUGGAUUCUGAUUUUUUCGUUUAACCCAAAUAACCAAAUAUUCUUCUCAAAAUGCAUAAGUUUCAAAAGUUAAAAGAUAAACUUAAUUUUGAAGAUUAAACUGUUGCACCCUAACUCACUGAGUGUGACAAUUUAUUCCUUCAAAAUAAGAGUGUCUUAUCAUCCAUUGCAGCUUAUUCAAAUUUUCCUUUCAAAGGAUAGUAUUUUAAAAUAUUUUCAAAUUUUCAACACUAAGAUGUUAAUCAAUCAAUUCGAUACCAAUUUUGGGCGUUACAAGGUUGCUAACCCUUCCUCGUGCUUAACCGACUCCCAAACCUAUUUUCUCAAAUUUCAUAGACCAAAAUUGUUAUUGUAAUAAAUCAAACUGUUUUAUUAAAAUCUCAAGGUGAUCCGAUCACACCUCGAAAAAAGAUUGGUGGUGACUCCAUGUUCAUUUUUAAAAGUCGAUCCCCAUUUUCAAAUAAAAGUGGUUUUGAUAGCUUAGCGACUCCACUUGGGAAACUUGAGAGUCAAGCCGUAAAAUUGAUUGUUUUUUGUCUUAUUGUUGAAAAUUGAAAUUUUGAUUUGAAAAAUUACGAUCCUAAUUACAUUUAUUUGUGGUAUGAUUGCUGUAAAUUGAGUUUUAUAUCUUGGCAUCAUGUUGCAUCAAGAAUGCUUAGUCUUACCUUUUAAGUGGGAGUGAGAAACUAGUCCUUCGUGAGGUUUUCACCUCCGUGCAGGAUAGCGGAUCACUUUCAGGAUACAUUCGUACCUAUGUCUUCAUGAGAUUUUCAUCUCUGUGCAGCCAUAGGGAAAUGUAUUCCCUUGAACCGAACUCGGUCCGCAUGAGCCUAUAAUGGGUGAGGAUCGAGGAAUCUGCUGGUUCGGGUACCUUUGCCCUAGAAGCCAAACCACAUAUAGUGAACCUUAGGAACUUGCCCUAGAUAGAACUAUGCCAAACCCCUAGAGGUCACCCGAGUAGGUACUCUAUUUAUUCUCUUGUUUACUUUUACUUUGUACUAACUGGUUUUUGUUUUGUUUUUAUUAUGAUUGCAUUACAUUUGCAUCUUAGAAAAGAGGUGUUGAUUCAAGUUUGAUUACUAAAUUAGAGAGCUUGUCAUGGAAAUCGAAUUUUUUGAUAAAGUGGAAGAUAAUACGGUUGCCUGAAUAUAUUCCGAGAAACACAAGAAGAGUGAUGGAGGAAUACAUGACUUUACUUCGUGGCCUGAGGUUUCAAGCUGAUUAUCCAAGAGCCUUCGACAUUUUAACUUCCUUAAAGAAGCUGAUGAGCAUUACGAGGAUAGGCAAACGAUGGAUUGCGACCAUGAUCAAGAAAAAGGAGUUAGUAGCGGCAUCCAUUGGAAAUUCGCGAGAUUUAUCUUAACAUCCAGAUGAAGAAAGAUCGAUGUUGUCUUUUGGAGUAUGAAGGCGGGGCCGUACAUGCAUCCGUUUUAUGUAAAAAAGUUUGUUUUCUAGUAAAGUUUUCUAAAUGUAAUUGAAUCAGAAUCAACAUCUCUUUAGGCAUUCAUUUCAUGCAUUUGCAUUACAUGAUAUCAUAUGCAUUAAAAUCCACUAAAAGAGUCUAAUUGAUUAAAAUUAUUUCAGUUAAUUUGGAAAACCAACACCCUUACGGUACCCAGGCACAGACUAGAGAAAUGGACCAAAGGUUGGAGAGAUUAGAGCAUAUGCAAAUACAAAUGCUAGAGCAAUUGACCAAAUUUCAACAGGAUAUGAAAGAUCAGAUGCUAGAAUUUCAAAGAAAUAUGAUGAGCCAGUUAACCCGGUUGCUAGCUGGAGAGUUAGAAAGAGGGAAGGACUCAGUCGUCCACUUUGGGGUUGGUAAUGAGGAUCUUGCCUAUUCCUUAGGUUUUACCCCGAUAGGUGUCCAGGUCCAGCCAGAUGAGCAUCCACAAGGGGCACUCCUUAAUAUCAGAUCCCAACAAUAUCAGACUGGUACAUCAACACCAGUGAAUUGCCUGACAGGCCCAAGAUCCAAUCUGAGGAACAAUUUAGCUAAUCCUGUUGCUCUGGAUAGUCCAGCAGAAAUAAAACAAGCGAGUGUAGAGUACCGAGAUACUAUAAAGGCCUCAAGGAAGAAUGGGAAUAAGGGGGAUAAUUCAGACAGAUAUAACAAGGGUCACUCAAAACUAAUCACUGUGGGCCGGCCAAAGAUAGAAACCACUAGCCAUCCGAGCCCUUUAAAGCGAGAAUCUUGCACGAAGACAUAUACAGAAAGGCCUCAGUUCACGCCUAUACCGAUGUCAUAUAGCGAGCUAUAUUAGAGCCUAUUUAAUGCACAUGUCAUUGCCCCUUUCUACUCAAAAUUUACAACCUCCAUAAAUGGUACGACACGAAUGCACAGUGGGACUACCAUGCAGGAAUUACAAGGCAUUCCAUACUUAUACAUUGGAUUACGAAUAUUAUUUUUAUAUAUUUUUUAUAUAUAUUUUUUGUAUUUUUAUAUAAAGAUAUUUAAUAGAAUAUUAUUUUGUAUAUAUACAAUUUAUUUAUUUUAUAUAUAAUUUAUGCUAUAUGUAAAUUUUUGUAUAUAUUAUUUAUUUUAAAGAUUUCGUAUGUAUACUUUAUUGAUUUACUAUUUUCUUUCUUUCAUGCCAUUUUUUAGUUAUUUCAAAACUUAUAAAUUGGAUUUGCGUUUGUGUUAAUUUGCUUGCUUUUUAAGUUUUAGUAGCUUUUAAAAAUGAAUGUUAGUAUUUGCAUAAUGUAUAAUAUGAGAUGGUUGCCCUUAUAUAUGUUGUAUUGUUUAUUUGUAUUUUAUUGAUUCUUCAUUGCUCAUUAGCUUAUAUUUAGCUUACGAAUUUUUCUUUCGCAAUGUACAUUGUCAUCCCAUUGCAUUUUAUUCGUCAAAAAGAUUAUAUUCUAUUUAAAUAUUAAAAUCGUUUUACUCAAAAGCUUUCAGGAUAAUACAAUACUCAAAAUUUGGGGUCUUCGAAAGAAUUGAACCCUAAUGUAUUGGGUUCCAAUUUCCUCAUUAAAUCUAAAUAACCGGGAAUAUUCUUUAAUCAAAACACAUAAAUAAAAAGCUCAUUCUCGGAAAUUCGAUAUGUGUGUCCUAACGCAUUGGAUAUAACAUGUUUUUUUCUCGAGAUGAAGAUUUUUCUAAAUAAAAGCAAUAUUUGGUGUUUGGGAAUUUCGAGAAAUUGAACCCUAACUUACUGAAUUCUGAUUUUUUUGUUUAACCCAAAUAACCAAAUAUUCUUCUCAAAAUGCAUAAGUUUCAAAAGUUAAAAGAUAAACUUAAUUUUGAAGAUUAAACUGUUGCACCCUAACUCACUAAGUGUGACAAUUUAUUCCUUCAAAAUAAGAGUGUCUUAUCAUCCAUUGCAGUUUAUUCAAAUGUUCUUUUCAAAGGAUCGUAUUUUAAAAUCUUUUCAAAUUUUCAACACUAAGAUGUUAAUCAAUCAAUUCGGUACCAAUUUUGGGCAUUACGAGGGUGCUAACCCUUCCUCGUGUGUAACCGACUCCCGAACCUAUUUUGUCAAAUUUCGUAGACAAAAAUCGUUAUUUUAAUAAAUCAAAAUGUUUUAUUAAAAUCUCAAGGUGAUCUGAUCACACCUUGAUAAAAGAUUGGUGGCAACUCCAUUUUCAUUUUUAAAAGUCGAUCCCCGUUUUCAAAUGAAAGUGGUUUCGACAAAGCUUAUGCUACGAUAUCUGGGGCACCUAUUUUCAUCUUAUUCAUUUCAUAUCUUAGCAAAAUUUGAUAUCUUGAUUAAUUUAUUCAUUUCGAGCUUUGCUCUCAAUAAAAUUUCAUCUUGUCUAUUGUGAUAAUCUUUUUCAAGCAUUUUUCAUUAAAAUAAUGAUUAAUGGACUAACAAUACUUAAGGAAAAGGAGUUCUGAAUAUUACUCCAAAUGCUUCUAAAUAGUACGAGGACCUGAAAUAGAACUAUUAUUUAGAACUAACCAAACCUAAGGGUUGGAAACAUUUGAGAAAGAAUAGCCUAAAUUAUGGCUAUUUCUUUGAGUUUUCUAUAAAAAAUACCAGCUGAGUAAGAAGGUAGCGUAUACGUCAGUGAUAAAACCUUGAUGAAGAACGAGCAAUGUCAACCCAAGCAUUAAAAGGAGAUCAUUCUCAAAAAAAGAAAAAGAAAAAAAAUGACAUUCUGUAUCCAUGCAAAUAUUAUUUAGGAGUAUUUGAUUCAUUCUGAUUAUGACAUCCUAAUCACUUGGCAUAAAUAGGCCCGUGAAAUGGACUCUACAAGUCAUGUCACCCAAAGAAUGGUGUAACAGGUUAAUGAAGCCGCUAAUCCUAUACCCCUGAAGUUGCAAUGGGAUGGAUUGAAGAUCAUAUUAAACCUUAUCUCCCUGAAGUUGCAAUGGAACGGGUUGAAGUUACUAGUCUUAUCUCCCUGAAGUUGUAGUGGAGUAGACUGAAGAUAGAGAAUCUUAUUUCCCUGAAGUUGUAGUGGAACGAAUUGAAGUUAUAAAUUACAGAUCUUAUCUCUCUAAAAUUGCAGUAGAGCAGAUCAUAGCAAACCUUAUCUCCUUGAAGUUGUAGUGGAGCAGACUGAAGAUAGCGAAUCUUAUUUCCCUGAAGUUGUAGUGGAACGGAUUGAAGCUAUAAAUUGCAGAACUUAUCUAUAUGAAGUUGCAGUAGAGCAGAUCAUAUUUUAUCUCCUUGAAGUUGCAGUGGAACAGGUUAAAAAUAAGCCAAUCUUAUCUCUUUAAAGUUGCAGUGGAGCAUAUUGAAGAUAGGCUACAAAUCUUAUCUCUCUGAAGUUGCAGUGGAGCAGAUUAAAGCCACAAACCUUAUCUCCCUGAAGUUGCAGUGGAGCAGAUUAAAGCCACAAACCUUAUCUCCCUGAAGUUGUAGUGGAGCAGAUUAAAGCCACAAACCUUAUCUCCCUGAAGUUGCAGUGGAACAAGUUAAAAAUAACCAAUCUUAUCUCCCUGAAGUUGUAGUGGAGAAGAUUGAAGACAUGCUACAAAUCUUAUCUCCUUAAAGUUGCAGUGGAGUAGAUUAAAGCCACAAACCUUAUCUCCCUAGAGUUGCAGUGAAACAGGUUGAAGAUAGCAAUCUUAUCUCCCUGAAGUUGCAGUGGAGUAGAUUGAAGCCAUUAAUCCUAUCUCCCUGAAAUUGCAGUGGAGUGGAUUAAAACGAUGAAUCCUAUACCCUAUACCUCUGAGGUUGCAAUAGGUCGGAUAAAAUCUACCAUAGCAAGUCUUAUCUCCCUAAAGUUACAGUUAAGCAGACUCAAACUGCGAGUCUCAUCUCCCUGAAGUGGCAGUGGGUUAGAACAAGGUUACUUGAAGAAGAUGAGCACCAAGAGAUCGAGAUUCGACAAGACCAAACAAAAUUGGUCUUUCUUAAAAGUCUUUGCUCCGUUCUCAUUACACGACAACGAGCAAAGAUGGGCAGCUAUAGCAGGCCCAAUUUGCCCAAGCCCAGAACCAAAUAAAUAAAACCAAAAAAUAAAAGAGUCCAAGUCCAAAUUAUUACAAACACAAAUUAAAAACCCUAGUGGCCCAACAAACCCAAAGCCUAAACAUCUUUUCAGAAAAAAAGAAACCCUAGGCUUGCCCUUCAACCGCCGCUCCUCCCACGCACGCCACCACUGCCACACGCCAUCCUCCACGCGCCUAGUACCUGCAAACAAGAUAAAAAAGCACAACAGACACAGAGAAAAAAAUAGUAGCAAAAAGAGUUGUAUUUUUUGGCUAUAAAAGCCAUGAUUCAUCAAUGUAUUUUUUACAGACAUAAAAUCAAUACAAAAAACGAGCAAUCAGAAACAAAAUUUGAAAAAAAGGUGGUUCUUUUGUUUACUUAUUUUUCUUCUUUUCUACUGAUAUUUCUACUAGUUUUUAAGGAAAAUAAAAAAGAAAGGAGUCGAAUCUUACCUUUUUCUCAUAUUUUCACCGCCGAAAAUGGCUGAGGUCUAUCCAUUCUAAUGAAAAUCGAUAAUUUUUUGGGCUCAUGGAGUAGAAGAGCCAAAAAUGGCCUUUUUGGAUUUUUUGGCCACCGUGGACGGCGAUGCCGUCGCCGGUGACUGGUGUCCGGCACGAUGGCCGACGACCGGGACCAUGGCCGGACUUGAAGGGCUUUAAGAGAAAAAGAAGGGAUUUCAAAAUUUCAUUUAAAAACUCAAGCAGAAUGAAGGAUUUAAAUUUUUUUUUGUUUAUAUAGCAAGGCCAAACGACGUCGUUUUGGCCAGUGAGCAUAGGUUCCAAAACGGCGUCGUUUUGGCCUAACCUGAUUUUUGACCUGCCCCUGUUAGAGGAUCCGCGUGUUUUUUUGCAAAAUGGGUUAUUUACACGCUGGUCCCUUCCGUUUUUAUGGCCUAUUGCGAUUUGGUCCCAUUUUUUUCUAUUUUAAAUUUCCCCUCAUAAUUUUAUUUUUAUUUCAUUCAGGUCCUUUACAGAAUGGCGCGAUUAGAGGACCUGGGAUAAUUUCCCAGUUAGUCCUGUUUCUUUUGCGCGCAUUCCAGUUGGGGCCCUAUUUGCCACUUCUAUUUUAAUUUAUUAUGAUUUAUGCCCUUAAUUUUGUUUUGAUUUCAAUUUGAACCUAAUUUGUUUAGAUUCAUUAUCUAUUUAUUACCAUUAUUUGUUUGCAUUUUUUUAUAUACCAUAAUUUAAUAAUAAUAAAAAACAUUAACAUUUAUAUAUUUGUUUGAUUCUUUCCUUGUUUAUUUAUAUAAUAUUUGAAUUCAAACCUUAUUCAUAUUUGACUUAUCAAUUUAUCAUUUUUUUAAACAUUUAAAUUUAAUAUUAUUUUAUCUAUUUGUUCAUUUUUUUUACUUUUAAAAUAAUUAAAUUUAAUAUUAUGUAUUAUUUCAAAUUUUUUAACAUAUGUAUUUAUUUGCACAAUUUCAACCCUUAAUCAAAUUUUCAUUUAUCUUAUAUCUUUUUCGUGUCAUCAUUUUGUUAUUACUCCAAUCAUGUCAUGAGCCGUGUUUAAACAUUUUUCUUUACACUAGAAUCCAAAAAAAUAAAUAUGUAUAGUUUUAAAUAUUACAUGUGUAUUUAUUCAAAGACUUUUGGGAAUAAAGGUAAUAUUUCGUGUUUUGAGCUUCGAGAAAUUGUGCCCUAACUCACGGGGUUUCAAUUCUCUCGUUGAACUCAAAUAACCGAUUAUCCUUUAAAAUUAAAAUAACAAAAUUUAAAAUAAAAAAAGACAAGCUCAUUCUCAAAGGUUCAAGGUGUUGUGUCCUAACUUACGGGAUGUAAUAUUUUGCUACUUCGGGACGAGAAAGUCUUAAACGCGCGUUUUGACUUAUCCAAGCUAUUUUAACUAAAAAUAACAUUAAUAAAAAAGGAUCGUAUUUUCAAUUCUUUCCAAGUUUUCAACUUUCGACAUUAAGACAUUGAUUAAUCAAUUAGGUACCAAUUUUGGGCGUUACGAGGGUGCUAAUCCUUCCUUGUACGUAAUCGACUCCUGAACUCAUUGUUCUGAAUCUCGUAGACCAAAAUUGUUAUUUUAAUAAAUUAAAUCAUUACAAGGUGACCGAUCACACCUCAUAAAACUGAUAGGUGGCGACUCCCGUUUUAGUUUUUGUUUUUAAAUGAAAAGUCGACCCCUCUUUUUAAAAAAAAAUGGUUUCGAUGCACACCACACAUUUUCAAAAUAAAUCAUAUUAAAAUUAAUCCUAAUUGCAUGCCUUUUUAAACAUACCAUAAAAAAUGAAGUAAAAAAAUUCAUGUUUAGGUCACCUGCGAACCCACCCACAAAGAAACCUAGCAGCUCACAUCAACCUGGUAAGCACCAGCUCGAGACCUACUCGCGACCCCAGCUCAUUGCUAGCCCUACGAACCACUAGUUUGCUACUAUCCUGCGAUCCCAAAAGAUUGACGAACCUAGACACACAACUCCCCUUUUGUUUUAACAAACUACUCAGGUGGAUGGCUCACUCGCGAACUCCUCUAUUGUAUUAAAUGCUUGCAAUCACUCCUAAUAUAUUGUGCUUGAGUUGUAACAGAGCCAAUCGUCAACGUGCCAUAAUGAUCUAUUGAUGCUGAAAUUGAAGUUUUUGUUAUAUUGAUAGAGCUUGUCCUUCAACGCAUACAACGUGUUUGUUAUUUUUUUCCUUCAAAUUGUAUGAUCUUAUUCAUUAUAUGAAUUAAUGAAUUUCCCUUUUAAAAAGAUAUAUUUUUAAAAAUUAAAUACUUUAUAAAAUAUUUAAAACUAUUUAAAAAAUUGUAAGCCUUAAAACAAUCUACAAAAUAUAUUUUUCUCUAAAAAAAAUCAAUAAAAGUAUGUUUGAAAUUUUAUAUGAAAUCUUCUUCACAUUACUCCACAUAAUCCAUUAAAAAAAACUUAAAAAGUAUAUUUUAUUAAUUACUAUAUAUUCUUUUAUUUUUAGAAUAAUAAAUUGUUUAAAAUAUGCUACUAGUCCCUAUAAUUCACAAGUUAAAAGUAUUUGGGAUAUCUAGUGCAUCAAAUUCCUCCUUUUAUUAUUAAAUGUUUUAUUUUAGUUACUCUAAUUAAAUAUAUCCAAAAUGUAAUAGAGUUAACAUUUAUUAUAUAAAAAUAUUUUAAAUAUUUUUUCAAUUGCAGUUUAAUUCUAGUAGAAAUAUUUCAUUUAUAAAAUCAUAAAACUUUAAAAAUAUUAACUCUGUUAAAUAAAAAAUGAUGUUUUUUAAACAGUAAAUGUUGACUUUAUUAACACAAAUGGGUCUUUAGGGUAAAACUUCAGUAAUUGACGAGCUCUUCCACAAACUGUGGAUGAUAUGGGGAUAAGAACUUCAAUUAUUCUGGAGUUAAAGUGUAAAUUUACCACUAUAUUAUAAGUAAAUAUUGAAAUUUAUCUCUAUAUUUUAAUUGAUACUUGUCAUUACACUUUGAAAAUAUAAGUAAAUUUACCAUUUAACUCAUAUGAGAUUGAACUUUGCAAGUAAACUUAAAAUUUUAUUUAAUUUUGUCACUAAAUUUGAUUUAUUUAAUUAAAUUUACAACUCAACAUAGAUUUUGGUGACUUAAAACAAAAUUAAUAAAAAAAACUAUUCUUUCAGAUAAUUUUUUAGUGUUUAAUAAUAAGUUGAUUUAUAAAAUAUACUUUCAUUGGACACAAGCAUCCAAGGCGGUGAACAAACCACUAGUCAAAUUGAUUUGGAGAUAUAUUUUUUUCUAAGUCAAGUGAAUUUAUGAGUUUUGCUUUUUUUUUUAAAAUAUUUUUAAUAUUUUCGUGCAUAUCAAGAGAUGCCAAAAAUUAUUUCACUAAGGAAUUAAUUAGUGUUUUAUUUUAAGGGUUCACAAUUAAGCAUUAGAUUUUUCAUUUUUAAAUUUAGAAUUUUUUGACAAUUGCGUAAUUAACAAGUACUACUUUUGGGUGUUGUAGGGUUAUUACAAUCUUCCCUGCACAUAACGGAGUCUUAAACCUACUUUUUUCUCUAGAACUCAAUGCAAACCUCAAAUUUAUCUUUUUAAAAGAAUUUUAAAUGCUUGCAAUCACUCCUGAUAUAUUAUACUUGAGUUGUGACAAUGUCAAUUGCCAAUGUGCCAUAAUGUUCUAUUGAUGCUGAAACUAAAGUUUGUUAUAUUAAUAGAGCUUGUCCUUCAACGCGUAUAAUGGGUGUUUGUUAUUUUUCUUUUUCAAAUUGUAUGAUCUCAUUCAUUAAAUCAAUUAAUGAAUUUCCCUUUAAAAAAUAUAAUUUUAAAAAUUAAAUACUUUAUAAAAUAUUUUAAACUAUUUACAAAAUUGUAAGCAUUAAAACAAUCAACAAGAUAUAUUUUUCUCUAAAAAAUAAAUAAAAAUAUGUUUGAAAUUUUAUAUGAAAUUUAAAAUUUUUUAACAAUAAUAUAUUUUAAAAUUAUUUACACCUUUUUUUAUAUAUUUUUCCUAACAUAUCAUUAUUUUUCCUAAUAUAUUAUAAAGUUUCUAAUUGUAUAGCUAAGGCAGAUGGAGACAUAAUUGUGGAAGUUUGACGAAUAAAAAUUUUAAUUUUAGAGGUUUAAAUUAUAAUUUUUUGAAAGUUUAAAAUAAAUUUAUAUUUUUUAUUAACAAAAUAUAAAAGAUAAAAAAACAUUUUUAGAGAAGCCAAGAAACCUUUGGGAUCAUACGGGUGAUUUUGAUGACGUUAAUGGUUAUUUUGGUGGAAAGGGUGAAAAAGAAACAAAUGACUCAUAUAUAUAAUAUAAUUAUGAAAUUCAAGCCAUAUAUUGGAUGUUUCAUACAUAAAAAUUUCAUGGGAGGUCCAAAGGUAAUUAAAUGACUUGUAGGCUUGCUGAAUUUCUUUGAAAGGCCCAAAGGCAAUUUAAAAUUCACAAAAUAAUCUCUAAAUACUGUAAAGACAAAUCAAAUCCACAGCAGCAUUUGCAAAUAUUACUUUGAUUUUGCAUGCAAUAUUGGCAAAACCCCCUCUUACAUUAGAAAAACAACAUAAUCCACGUAACAUUGAUAGCCCAAUACAAAUUUCAUCAAGAAAAAAGUCUCUUUGUUUUGUAGAACGUGAUAGUAAAGAUGUGGAGUUUCGUUCUUCUUAUUGGCCUCCUUUAGUUUUCCUUGAUCAACAGCCACAAGCCAAAAACACAAUUAGAUUAGAUUAUGAAUGAUACUUUCAACUAUGACAAUAUUAAAUACAAAACACUCCAAAUAACUCUAAAUAAAUGUAAAGCAGCAAAUUACCUGACGAGGCAAGCUAGCUCAAUNNNNNNNNNNNNNNNNNNNNNNNNNNNNNNNNNNNNNNNNNNNNNNNNNNNNNNNNNNNNNNNNNNNNNNNNNNNNNNNNNNNNNNNNNNNNNNNNNNNNNNNNNNNNNNNNNNNNNNNNNNNNNNNNNNNNNNNNNNNNNNNNNNNNNNNNNNNNNNNNNNNNNNNNNNNNNNNNNNNNNNNNNNNNNNNNNNNNNNNNNNNNNNNNNNNNNNNNNNNNNNNNNNNNNNNNNNNNNNNNNNNNNNNNNNNNNNNNNNNNNNNNNNNNNNNNNNNNNNNNNNNNNNNNNNNNNNNNNNNNNNNNNNNNNNNNNNNNNNNNNNNNNNNNNNNNNNNNNNNNNNNNNNNNNNNNNNNNNNNNNNNNNNNNNNNNNNNNNNNNNNNNNNNNNNNNNNNNNNNNNNNNNNNNNNNNNNNNNNNNNNNNNNNNNNNNNNNNNNNNNNNNNNNNNNNNNNNNNNNNNNNNNNNNNNNNNNNNNNNNNNNNNNNNNNNNNNNNNNNNNNNNNNNNNNNNNNNNNNNNNNNNNNNNNNNNNNNNNNNNNNNNNNNNNNNNNNNNNNNNNNNNNNNNNNNNNNNNNNNNNNNNNNNNNNNNNNNNNNNNNNNNNNNNNNNNNNNNNNNNNNNNNNNNNNNNNNNNNNNNNNNNNNNNNNNNNNNNNNNNNNNNNNNNNNNNNNNNNNNNNNNNNNNNNNNNNNNNNNNNNNNNNNNNNNNNNNNNNNNNNNNNNNNNNNNNNNNNNNNNNNNNNNNNNNNNNNNNNNNNNNNNNNNNNNNNNNNNNNNNNNNNNNNNNNNNNNNNNNNNNNNNNNNNNNNNNNNNNNNNNNNNNNNNNNNNNNNNNNNNNNNNNNNNNNNNNNNNNNNNNNNNNNNNNNNNNNNNNNNNNNNNNNNNNNNNNNNNNNNNNNNNNNNNNNNNNNNNNNNNNNNNNNNNNNNNNNNNNNNNNNNNNNNNNNNNNNNNNNNNNNNNNNNNNNNNNNNNNNNNNNNNNNNNNNNNNNNNNNNNNNNNNNNNNNNNNNNNNNNNNNNNNNNNNNNNNNNNNNNNNNNNNNNNNNNNNNNNNNNNNNNNNNNNNNNNNNNNNNNNNNNNNNNNNNNNNNNNNNNNNNNNNNNNNNNNNNNNNNNNNNNNNNNNNNNNNNNNNNNNNNNNNNNNNNNNNNNNNNNNNNNNNNNNNNNNNNNNNNNNNNNNNNNNNNNNNNNNNNNNNNNNNNNNNNNNNNNNNNNNNNNNNNNNNNNNNNNNNNNNNNNNNNNNNNNNNNNNNNNNNNNNNNNNNNNNNNNNNNNNNNNNNNNNNNNNNNNNNNNNNNNCUAUACAUAAUAGUUAAGACUAUUAGUACGACGACAAUACCAAUUGUUGGUAAACCAUACCUAAAAGCAUGCAAUAUAAUCAUUUGGGAGUUUUUGUGGAUGUCGUUUUUGCAGGGUGGGACUAGCAAUCUAGGUGGACCACAAAGUGCAUAAUUCUUCAUGAAUGAUGUGCUAGAAAAUUUUGAAAAACAUCCUUCGCUGGGAAUUUCCCCUUCAAGUCUAUUGAAAGACACAUUAAAAUACUUUAGAUAUAAAAGCUUUUCCAAAGAUUUGGGAAUGACUCCAGAGAGAUUGUUAUUGGAUAAAUCCAAGAAUUCCAAACUAAUCAACCCAUCAAAUGAUUCAGGGAUAUGACCAUGUAGUAUAUUAUUUGAUAAAUCGAAUGAAACCAAAGUGUGAAGACCCCCAAAUGUGGAUAAGUUAUCGCCCAUGAGAAGAUUCCUUGAUAAAUUUAGUCUCAGUAGACUCCUAAAAUUUCCAACAUCAAUAGCAUGCGAAUUGUGAAGAUGGUUUGAUGAUAAAUCUAUUUCUAAGAUAUUUUUAAGAUUCCACAAAGUUGAGGGUAUUGUGGAACUCAAUUUAUUGGAAUCUAUGUGAAGAUAUCUCAAAGAAGUAAUAUUACCCAAACAAGAGGGUAUGGAUCCAUGCAGCUUAUUCAACCUUAAAAAUAAGUUGUAUAAUCUCUCCAAAUCACAAAGGCUUUCUGAGAUGGGCCCUCCUAAUUUAUUAGAGGAAAGACCUAGACUUUGGAGAUUUCGCAGUUCUAAAACCAACAUAUUGGUUAAGUUACCUAUUUCAAUAGGAAUAAUGCCUUGAAGCUUACACCCAUCGGCAAAAAAGUAUUGAAGGGAUUUUGAAAGGUUCCCAAUAUAAGUAGGAAGAAUGCCACUCAAUGGAUUUCCUGAAACUGAUAUGGUUUUCAAAUUCUUACAAUUCGUAAAAGAAGAAAGAAAGCUCCACUCAUGAUCAGUAGCAGAUCCUGUGAUCAAAUUAUUGUCAGAGAUUUGAAGCACUUCAAGGUGUUGUAAGCUGCCAAGCAUUUUAGGGAUUGGGCCAGAGAAUAAGUUUUGUGACAAGUCUAGUAUCUUAAGCAUGGAAGCAUUGGAGAUAGAGUUGGGAAUGUUUCCGCUAAGUUUAUUUGUCCACAAUAAAAGAAUCUGAAGCUUUGGAGCAUUGGUGAUGGGUGGUAAAUUACCUAUAAAAUAGCAUCUUUUAGUAUACAUAUUCAUUGAAUACCAAAUUCACAAAAUAUAUAAUACAUUAAUAAUAAGAAGUUUUGAGUAGUAAUUAGUCCUUGUGAUUUGUAUAGACAAAACAUAUAAUACACUAAUAAUUUUUUAAAAUAUUGUAAAACUUGAAAUAAAAUAAAAAUAAAAGUUUGGCAUGAGAAUGUGGCAUCUAAUCAAUCUUAAAAAUGAGACUGACACUGAAUAAUAAUUAGUUAUGAUUUGGGAAACAAAAAUGUUAAAGCCAUUAUUUAUCUUUAUUAAAUUAUAGUGUAAAAUUUAAAGAUUAUUAUUUGCUCAAAAUUGUUGUAUUUUUCGUAUAUUUGAAAUUUAAUCUUUAUAUUUUUUAUUUUCUGUGAUUUAGUCUCUCUACUUUUUGAAUUGAAAAUUUUAGGUUGAUUCAUUAACACUGUUAAAAAAGUUUUUGUGUUAGUAUGGCAUUUUGAAAAAUAAAAUAAACUUGAUAUCUAUGUUUUUAAUUAUUCCAAAUAUUGUUUUACUAUUUCAAGAUAAAUUAUUUGUGUCUAGACCAAUAUCUUAAGAACUAUUGUUGCAUGUUUAAUUAUUCUAAAGAAUUGUUAAUUGAGUCUUAGCUUGAUUGGCAUGUGUAUUGUUAUCAAUGUAGGAGAAUGUGGGUUCAAGUAUACUGAAGUGUAUUAUCCUCUUAUUUAUAAAUUGGGGAGUUGAUAAAGUAUUAAAUUUUGAUAUAUUUUAAAAUAUUAAAAAUUUAUUAAAAUAAAUUUUAUAAAAAUUGAUUGUACCACAAUAUAAAAUUUUAAUAUAAAAUUUUUAAUUUUUUUAAAAAAUAUUAGCGACUAUAUACUUUAUUUCAAGUUACACAAUUUUUACUAGUUUUUAACUUUUUAAAAAAAAAUUUUAACGUCUUUUAUAAUUUCUAAUAAUUUUUUAUAAUUUUUUACAAUAUUUAAAAAUUUCUACCAAUUUUUAAUAAUUUUAUUAUUUAUUACAAAUUUAAAAUUAACAAAUUUUUAUUUUUUAAACAAUUAUAUAUUUAUAAUGUAGUUAUUUUUUAUAUAAUUUUACUUGAAAUUUUAAAGAUUUUUUUGGUUUUUUUCUAGAUGAUGAUGCCAUCAUGAUGUCAUCAUAUACCACAUGGCAAUUUAUGAUUAGUUGGAUAUCUCAAGCUAUUUUUUAAUGUCCAAUGGACUAAACCAAGAACACCUAAUAAUGUUAGAGACUACACUAGCAAUGUUUGAUAAUAUUAGGUACUAAAGUGGGCAAAAAAAAAUAUUAAGGACCAAAGUAAAAAAAAAAAAGAAAAGAAAAAAAAAUGCUGUAGGGAAUAAACUGUGCAUUAAACCAUUAAAAAUAUAUCAAUAAUAUAUAUAAAUGCAUGGAUUUUUUGAAACUUUUGAACUGAUAAUUAUAUAGUCUUUGUUGUUUACUAUAUUAUUGAAUUUAUUAUUUUAAAUAUAUAUUCUUUUACUUUUAAGAUUUAUAUAAGAAUUUUGGUUUUCCUAAAAUAUUUGGUUAAGUAAAUUCACUUCAUAAGAAAAUUUAGCAUCCUUAUAAAUAACAAUUUUGAUUAUAUUAAAAAAAUUAUUUUAAAAAUAUAUAAUAAUAAAUUAAAAUUUAUAUUGAAUUACUUUAUACUUCAAUUAUUAUUAGAAACUUUAUCAUACACGUACGUGUAUAAGAAUCACGUAUUUAGAACAUCAAUUUGUGUUUUAAAAUAACUUAUGAUAAAUAAUGAAAUGUAUAAUUUGAAACUAUUUAAUAAUAACACAUGGCAUAUCUACCAUAUUAAAAUAAAAUAGAUUAAAUUGUAAGUAAAAUAUAGUUUAAACAUAUGAAUACAUCGAAUUAAGAAUACUAAAUGAAUACAGUUAUUUAUGAUGAUGUUGUUGUCAAUUCCUAAGUUGGUGUCGAGUUAAUUUGUGACAUCAUAUAUUUAAGUGAUAAAUUUAAGGUUUUAUGUAUUGAUGUGGAUUCAAAUAUCACCAUAACUUAUUUAAAAUAAAAAACUAAAUUACCCCAAAUAAUAUAACUUAUUUUAAAUAAAAAAAUGAUUAUAUUCAACACUAAAUCAAUUUUUAGAUUUUGUACAAAUGAUUUAAUGAUGAUAAAAACAUUAUUACCACUAUUUUUGAAUUAACAAAAAAUUAGUGAUAUAUUUUAAUUUUAAUUUUUUUAUUUUUUAUUGUAUACUAAAUAUGGUACAUAUACUUUAAUUAUAACUUGAAAUUUUAUUAUAUAAAUUAAUAUAUUUUAAUUAUAUUCAACCAUUUGAAUAACAAAAUAAAAAAAAACUAAUUAGAAUAAUUUAAAAAAAAUUAUUUAAAAGCUAGUUAAAAAUCACGUGGUGCAACAGGUGAUAUGAGAAUCUAUGUAUAUAAAUGUAUAUGUAUAUAUAUCGUUCUUUCAUUUUUUAAAAUAAAUAUAUUUUCCACAUUGGUUUCUUUUGUUAUACAGACAAAUGAUUUCUAAUGAUUUUUUAAAAAAAAUGUACUUAUAUAAAAUAGAUUAGUUUAUGAAAUAAAAAAUAAUUUAUUUUUUAAAGUUUAAUGGAAAUUAAAAAUUAAAAAUAAAUCAAUUCAUAUAGAUCUUAUUAUUUAUUAUCAAAUUAAAAUGAUAAAAGUAUAUGACCAAAAUAGAAGAAACAAAUUCAACACAAUGUUUUUGGAGUUUGGAAAAAAUUAAAGUGAAAAACAUACCUUCUAAUUUGUUGUCAUAUAGACCUAUUACUUCGACCAUAGUUGAAUUAAAAAUACUUGAUGGAAUCUGACCUGCACACAUAGUCAAAAAUUAAAGUGAAAAACAUACCUUCUAAUCUGUUCAACUAAAAAUACUUUAAGCAUAUUUUUUAAGGUUGUUGCAUUUGCCCAUGCCAAAUGGAAUGUUACCGGAUAAUUCAUUCCGACUUAGGUAAAGCCCUUCAAGCUUGGGAAGAUGUUGACACAUAUCAUUAGGCAAACUACCUGAUAGGCUAUUGUUGGAGAGAUCAAUAGUCUUGAAAGAAGAAAUGUUAAAGAUCAAAGUCGGAAUCUGACCUGUAAGGCCUUUAAUUGCUUGAAUAUCAAGCAUUUCCAAACUAAAAAGAUUACCGAUUUCUUUAGGAAUUUGACCUUCAGACAUAGUCGAAACAUCAAGGUGUUAAAUUACCUAUUUUGUUAGUGUAAAUCAAAGAGGAUUUUUAUUUUUUUUUCGUUAUGAAAUAAUAAGGAUAUGUUAGAUUCUAAUCAUAUUUAAAUAUAUAUUAGUUCUUGAAAGAAAGAGUUCUUAUUUUUGGUAUUUAUAAUGCAAAUAUUUUUUUAAAAAAUUUAAAAAAAGGGGGGGCAAAUGUGUUUAAACUAAAGACAUCAAGGAAAAGGCAUACCUUCUAGGUUAUUUAACCCCAAGUAUAAUUGUUUAAGUUGUGUCAAAUUCCCAAUGCUUUUUGGAAUGAUCCCACUAAAUUGAUUAAUAGACAAUUCCAAAAUUUGAAGGUUGCAGCAUUUGUCUAUACUUGAUGGAAUAGAACUUGAUAAUUCGUUUCUACUGAAGUAAAGCUCUUUCAGCUUGGGAAGAUGGACACACAGAUCAUCGGGCAAGCCACCAGAAAGACAAUUAUGACGAAAAUGAAUCCUUUUCAAAGAAGAAAUGUUAAAGAUGGAAGAUGGAACCUGGCCAGAUAAUUGAUUGAAUCCCAAGUUCAAGAUCUCUAGAUUGGACAUGUUGACAAGUGUUUGAGGGAUUGUGCCUGUGAAGUUAUUAUUUCUCAUUUCCAACCUUUGAACUCUGUGCAAGUUCCCAAGCCAUGGUGGAAUUUCCCCAUUAAGACGGUUGUAGCUUAAUCGAAUGAUCCUCAAACGAUGCAAUUGGCCCAGUUCUUUAGGCAGAUGGCCAUAGAAAUUGUUGUUGCUCAAAUCGAGAGAAAAUAGAAAUGAAAGAUUUCCAAGGUGUGGAGGGAUAGUACCCCUAAGAUUCAUGUUUGUAAGAUUCAAAGCUACAACUCUCUCAUGGAUGAUGCCACAAGAAACACCAACCCACUUACAAACAGAGGUAGAGUUCGUCCAAUUGUUUGCCAACACAUUUUGAGGAUCGACAAUGCGAUCUUUCAACUCAAAGAGUGCAAACUGAUCGGAGUUGAGAUUCCGGACUGUCAUAGCCAAGGAAACAAUAGAGCACUGUAUGAAUAAAAGUGAAAGAAGAUGAAAGCAAGUGUUGUAGUUCAUGAUUGCAAGACGAAAUAAGCCAGGAAAAGAAAAAGUAGGAAAAGGGAAGUUGAAUUGAUGAAGAAAUACCCAGCGAACAUGCUUAAAUAGGCUUCAACCCUCGCACACUUCUCAUACAUAAAGUUCACUGCCAUUACAACAAGAAAACUCAUAUCUCCAUUCAUACCUAUCCAUACUUUAUUUGACUAACUUUUCCCUAACAAGUGUUCAGUAAGGAGACAAAUCAGUUUGGAGCUAUUCACUGAGUUCUCCAACCUUGGUUUCAAACUCCUAGCCCAUCAAUUCACUUUAAUUGAAACAAUAUACACGAGUCUUUCGGCUUAUAUUUUUAACUUACUACUUCUCUUUUUAAUUUAUUUUUUUGUUACUUCUCAUAAUAUUUUUUGAGAAAUCCAAAUAUUCCAGUCUGAAAUUUCUUCAUUGCCACGUCUAUCUCCUGGGUAAGUUCGUGGUUAGGCAGCCCACUUUGGGGGCAGGAUUGUAAUUUUAGUUCUAUCCGACUCAUUUUACUAUUUAGAAAUAUAAAAGUAAUAUUAUAUUAAUUUUUAUAUUUUUAUAAUUUUAAUUUUAAUUUUUAAACAAUAAAACGUGUCAUUUGUAUUUGCCUAGGCUAAACUGAAUCAGGAGUGAAAAUUUUUUUAAUCAUAAUUUACUUAUUUUAAUUAAUUAAAUUUUAAUCUGCUAUAACAAGUAGUUGCAUAAAAAAAUGUCAUUCCUUUAGAAAAAUGAGAACUUAUGAAGCAUUCAAUAAGAGUUGUUGGAAUACAUGGUAACAAAACUAUAAUUCGAUAUAAAACUAUAUAAAUAAAGUAAGAUUUGUGAUACCUAAAUUGUUAUCUUUUCUGUAAAUAUAUGGAGAUUUUUUAUUAGGAAAUAAUUUUAUAUAUCAACAUUUGUUAUUUUCUUUUGAUAGAAAUUUAAUUAUGUUAUCUGUAGAAAAAAAAUAUUUACGGAAAUAUCAUUAGUAGAAAAUCAUAAAUUUGUGUGUGGCAAAAAAUUUUCACCACCAAGAAAGGGACAAAUUAAACAACUUGAAAGUCAUUGGUUGUUUAAAAUAUUAGAUAAUAAUUUUAGUGAAGAAUCAUUAAAAUUAUGACAAAAUAACCCUAGAUAUUGUAGUAUUAAAUUAGAAAAUCUCAAUAAUAUUAUUAUAGUAAAACCUAUGAUCUAUCUAAACAAGAUAUAGAAGAAUUUGAUAUACAAAUUAAGGGCAGAAAUCAUGUGGAAAUAAUAAAAAACAAGAAAAAGCUAGUAUGGUCAUUAAUUAUAAAAGAUUAAAUCAAAAUAUUAUUUUUUAUAGUUACUUGAAUUAAUCAGGAUAGACAAACAAAAUAUUUUAGUAAAUUUGAUUGUAAAUCAGGAUUCUAGCAAAUCAUGCUAACAGAAAAGUCUAAACCUUUAACGGCUUUUAUCCAAUGGACAUUACCAAUGGAAAGUGAUGUUAUUUGAAUUAUGUAAUGCACCAAAAAUCUUCCAAAGACGAAUGGAUUUUAUAUUUAAUAAAUAUAAAAAAGUCUGUGUAGUUUAUAUAGAUGAUAUUUUGAUAUUUUCAGAUACACUAGAAUUACAUAAGAAAUAUUUAAAUAUUAUUUCUUAAGAAUUUAUAAAAUAUAGAAUCAUAUUAAACCCUAAAAGUAUAGAGUUAGAAAAAAGAGAGAGAGAGUUUUUAUAACAGUGGAAAUAAAAAAUUGUCCUCAAAAGAUUGAAGAAAAAAAGAACUUCCAGCAAUUUGUAAUAUAUUCCUCCCAAAUUUUCAGUUUCAAUUUUAUUACAGAAUUUCUUUGCCGACAAUAAGAAAAGAGCAUAUUCACAUUUUCGUCGCAAUUUCAACACCCUAUCUCUUGCCCACUUUCCUUUUUCGGCCAAUUUCAAACGUAGCUGUUUUUCGAUUUUUCCUCUUUAUUUCAUUAAUAAAAUGUCAAUCUAUUUGUUUUUUUAAUAUAUAAUUUUUUUAAUAUUUUUUUAAUUAUAAUAUAAGAGCUGUUGUUUAUUUAUAGUUUUAUUACAUUAUUUAAUCUCUUUUUUCUAUCAAGUUUUUUAAAUUAUAAUAUAAGAUUUAUUUUAUCAAAUUGUGGCUUAUCGAGUAUUCAUCUAUUUUAAUAAUAACUUGAGUUCCAAUCAUUAUUAUACCAGAAAGAGUUCCAUUUAUUCUUUAUCGUAAAUUUUAUAAAAAAAUAUAUUUUAUUAUAAUACUAUACGUGUUAGGAAUAAUAUUUUAUUUUGGAUGCCCAUAAUUUUCAAAGUUGUAACCUCUAAUGUAGUAACCUCAAUGAAAUUAUGAGGCUUUUAUAUUGUAAUCAAGCCUCUAUUUAUUCUUUGUAACUUAUAAACAAAGGCAUAUUUUCUAUUAUAUUGAUAUUUUCUAUAGAGGUAUAUACACAAGGAAUCAAAUAAAAAGUUAUUUACCUUUCUAUUAUAUUGAUAUUUUCUAUUUAAUUUGUUCUUUUCUUUCACUAUUCCAUAAUAUAUUAUCAGUACGAUUUUAAUUGAGAGUAACAGUUAUUAGAUUGUGUCAAAAUUUUGUUGGACUCCAAGUAUUGGAACUUAAUUGUUUAGGUUAAGAAUCAUUAGAAUCAGUGGCUAUUUGAGAUAUGCUUGAGGAUGAUCUCAUUCUCUUCAUCACAAAGGUGGAGGUUAGAAAAUCUUUAUGUUUAAACAUUUAUAGCUUCAAAGUUAUUUUAACCUCUUAUUGUGACCUUAUAAUAUUUUGUAAUUUUUUGUCUUAUGGUAUAUAAAAAAAUAUCUAACCAUAGUGAUUGAUUAGUAAUUUGAAUUUGUUAUUUGUUAUGUUUAAUAUAUAUUUUAUUUAUAUUUAUUCAUUUUAUUUUUAUAUGAGUAAAUGAAGUGUUUGAAGAUUCGAAAUUUUUAUCAUCCACGUUGAAAGUAAGUGCAAAUGUGUAUAUUAUUUAAAAUAAAUUACACAUUCAUUAAUGUUAUAUGAUAAAAUCAUUACAUGUUUUGAAGAACUAAUAUUGCAUCAAACUGUAAAAUGCUAAACCCUAAAAAGCUCUUGAAGAACUAAUAUUUUUCCUCCUUGUGAUGCAAAAUCUUCUAAAAUAUGAUAUUAUUUUUCAAAUCGAGAAGAUAUAUGUUGCAGGAAAUCUUUAUGUGUUUUACAUUAAAACCAUGAAUAGAAAUGACAUGAUAUAUGUAAUAGGCCCAAUUUGCCCGACCCGCUAUUAAAAUAAACCAAAUGAAAAAACAAAUGAAAUAACAGUCCAUUAGUCCAUAGUUACAAACCCAAGUUACAGUGGCCCAGUCACCUAAAAGACCCAACUAAAACCCAAACCCACUAAGCCUAAUGCCCAUCAGCCAACCCUAGCUCGACGGCCCAACACCAAAGAGGUUGCAGAAACCCUAGCAGCAAACAAUCUCUGGCGCCGCAGCCUUUGGCCCUCUCCUCGUAUGUGCUGGUCUCUCCACGUCACCACCCCUCCGUACGCCGUACCUGCAAGGAGGACAAACAAACAAGCAGCGAGACAUAUAGCAACAAAAAAAAUGGAGCAUAUAGCAGAUUGACAGCAAAUACUAGGGGAAAAUAGGAAGAAAAUGUAAAAUUUAGAAAAAAAUUUAUUCUUUUUCUCAGAUCGGCUAUAAAGAGGACCGAUUGAACUAUGUAUUUUUUUACGCAUUCAAAAUAUUGAAAGGUGACUUCCGAGUUUCUUUUACAUUUUUCAUUUUGCUAGUAUCAGUUUUCUUUUUUCUUUCUCUUAUUUUUUGUGUUCAAUAGCCAUUAGUUAAGAGAUAAAACAAUAAGAGAAAGAGAGGGACGGAUGUACCUGGUAGCGCGAUCUUAGCCCUCUUCGCCGUCAUCGGAGAACGGGCUAGGUUCGAAAGCCGUCUGAAUGCCCUCAAUGCGCAGAACGGUCUAGGGCUUUUGCUUUAGUUAAGGUUUUGUUUUGAUGUAGGUGAUAGUUUUUUAGGGUUUAUUUUAGUUUUAAAUGCAGGAUUUAAAAUGUCGCCGUUCAGAGCCCAUACAAUGGCACUGAAACGGCGUCGUUUGAUGGUCCGACCCAGGCGAUGACCCGAUCCGGGUAGGAUCCGUGUCCUCUAGUUGGUUGGUCUAUUUGUCUAAUAGGUCCCUCGGAGUUCAAUGGGAUUAUGAUUCGAUUUUCUUUAUUUGUUUGUAAUUUGUACUUUACAUUUAAUUCUGUAUUCAUUUAGAUCCGAAUUUAAAUGGCGUCGUUUCUGUGGUUGACUUGGAUUGUUAUGAUGUUUGUGUUUAAUUGCUAGUUUAGUCCUUCAAUGUUGAAACAGGUUUUGAUUUAAUACAAAUUCAGUUUUCUUUUUAAAAUUCCACAAUAUUUUUAAUUAAUUAAAUCCUACUUUCGUAUAUUAUAAUAUUUAAUAUUAUUUGUAACAUUUAUUUUAUAUAGUGUUUAAAUUUAUUAUUAUAGUUUAAAAUGUAAUAAAUUAUUAUUAUUUUGUUUAUUUUUUAAUUCAUUAUACACCAAUAUUUUGAGUCAAUUGUAUUUUAAUUUUGUCCUAAUUUAUUAUCAUUCUAAUUUUAUUUAAGUCUCGAUUUAAAAUUUGUUGAUUAUUGUUCGAAAUUUCAAAAAAUGUUUUGCAUAUUUAAUCCUGAUUUCAAAAGUCUUUUAAUAAAUCAAGUUUUAUAAUAAUUCAUAUUUUUAAUAUCAUUUUAAUAUUGGCUAAUAUUAUCAUAAUUGUUGUUAUCAUUUUUAAAAUUAUUUUUCUCAUGUCUAAUGUUGUCUUCAAAAGUUUUCUUUAGAUAAAUUAAUUCAUAUUUUAAUUCAUCAUUUUUAACCUUAUUUUAAUAUUUAGCUUAUUAUUGUAUUUUAAAUUUAUUUUUAAAUCUUCAUAUUAAUUAUUAUUUUUAUUUUAUUUUAUCGUUUAAAUCAACGUAUCCUUAGGAAUUUGAUUAUUGAUUUAUUAGAUGUUUAAUUAUUAAUAUGGAUGAAUUAUAUGUUUGGUUGCUCUUUAAUGUAAAUUUAGAUUACUAUUUAUCUUUUGCAUUACAUAUUGCUAUUUAAUUAUAUUGUUUGUAAGAAUUCCAUUUCAUUAAAACAUUAUAAUCGUUUUAUUUCAAAAUUCCUAAAAAAAAUUGGUGUUUAAUAAUGCUCGAGAGAAUUGUGCCCUAACUUACUGGGCUUCAAUUCUUCUCGAUGAAUUUAUAUCAUCAAGUAUCCAUUUUAUUUAAGCCAUACAAUUUUAAAAUAAAGCAUUUAAGAUUUCAAAAUAUUGGAUCCUAACUUACUGGAUAUGAUAUUUUGUUAUCUCGAUUUUAAAAUAAAGGCAAUAUUUGGUAUUUAGGAAUUUUAAGAAAAUUGAACCCUAACUUACUGGGUUUCGAUUUCUCGAUUGACCCAAAUAACCAAAUAUCCUUCUCAAAACGUAUGAAUUUUUAAAAUUAAAAAAGACGAAUCUAACUUCGAAGAUUGAAUCGUUGCACUCUAACUCACUGAGUGUGACGGUUUAUUUCUUUAAAGUGGGUAGGUCUUAUGUUCCACUUCGAUUAUUAAAUUUUCUUUUCAAAGGAUCGUAUUUUAAAAUCUUUUCAAAUUUUUGACACUAAGACAUUAAACAAUCGAUUCGGUACCAAUUUUGGGCGUAACGAGGGUGCUAACCCUUCCUAGUGCGUAACCGACUCCUGAACCUGUUUUUUUCAAACUUCGCAGACCAAAAUCAUUUUUAUGGUGAGCCGAUCACACUCCUUUAAAAGAUCGGUGGCGACUCCCAAUUUGCGUUUUUAAUUCGACAACUAAAAUUUUUGUUGUUUCCAAAACGGUGGGUUCGACAAUAUACUCGUGUAUUUGUAUUAUAAAUAUUCCUUGAAGGAAUACACUUCACUUGUAUGAUUGACAUAUGAGAUAGUGACAAGAAGUUCAUAGUGUUGGUAUGGUCUGCUAGAUCAUCUCAAGUCAAUAAUGAUGCAAAAUCAUUUGAAGAGAAUUUAUAUGAUUUUAUUGAAGAAUGAGAAGUUAUUUUCAUUUUGAUAAUUGUCAUCAAUACUAGUUCUUUGAAAAAAAUAUUGAACUAACAUCAACUAAAGUUAGAGGUUGGUUGCAUUUUUUGAUGAUAUCCAAAUAAUAUAUGAGCUCAUGUAUCACAUGUAUGCAACCCAAAGUUUACAGUAUUAUUUCUUGAAAUAAUUUGAUUCUACACAAUCUCUAUAGUAUGCAAUUUGUGCUAACAACAUUGAUGCAUUAUAUCCUAAGCUUGAUUUUCAUAGUUUUAGCUGAGAUAAUAUUAAGUUAUCUAUGCCUAUAUAUGUUAUACUUAAUGGUUAGCAAAAUUAUGCCUCCAUUUAAUUGCUUAACCAUUAAUAUAAGAAGAGCUUUAAAAUAAGCAUGUAAUUUUAUUUGCAUAGAGCCAACAUGUAAGAAAUGUACAAGCCCAAUUUCGUCCGGGACCAACCAAAUAAAACCCAAAAAAAAAAAGAAUAAUAAUUAACAGUCCAAGAAAUUUAAUAAUAACUUGAGUUCGAAUCAUUAUCAUACCAGAAAGAGCUCCAUUUAUUCUUUAUCGUAAAUUUUAUAAAAAAAAUUAUAUUUUAUUAUAAUACUAUAUGUGUUAGAAUAAUAUUUUAUUGUGGAUGCCCAUAAUUCUCAAAGUUGUAACCUCUAAUGUAGUAACCUCAAUGAAAUUAUGAAGCUUUUAUAUUGUAAUCAAGCCUCUAUAUAUUCUUUGUAGAAAAUAUUAAGUUGAUUUUACUUUAUUAAAAAAUUUAAAAUAAAUUAUCUUGUUUUUUUUAAAUGAGUUAACCAAAUUAACAUAUUUAUUUUUAUCCAAAAUUGUCCAAAAUAAUAUAAAAUAUUAUAUUAAUAAAAUUAAAACUAUGAAAUAAUAUUUUUUAAAGAUUAUUAUUUACUUUUAUCAAACAAUACAAUUAUAUUCAGUACUUAUAUUUACUAGUUUACCAAACAGUUUUCCAAUAUGAGUUCAACACUUAUCAAAUUCAGUAUUAAAAAUUCAGUGCUUAAUUUUUUAGCACUUAACUUUUCAAUUCAUCAAGCACGUCUAAUUCAAUUUAUAUAAUUCUCUAUUUGUAUCUCUAUGAAUUUAUAAAAUCCUUCUCGCAUUUAGUUGUUGGGAUCUUUAUAUGAAGAUAGAUGCUUUUAUUUUUUUAUUGGUUCAUUUUUAAUAAUUGUAUUGAUUUAUUUAAUUUAAUUUUUGAUUAAUAUAUAUAUGAUUAUUGUGGAAUGGAAGUAAAAGUAUUUACUUCUCAUAAACUUUGAAAUAUUCACCCUGUCUACAUAUUAAUUAUUGUAAAAUUUUAAUUGAAAUUAUGUCAUAAAAGGUGGAGGUUAGAAAAUCUUUAUGUUUAAACAUGUAUAGCUUCAAAGUUAUUUUAACCUCUUAGUGUGACCUUAUAAUAUUUUGUAAUUUUUUGUGUUAUGGUAUAUAAAAAAAAUCUAACCAUAGUGAUUGAUUAGUAAUAUAAAUUUGUUAAUAUAUAUUUUAUUUAUAUUUAUUCAUUUUAUUUUUAUAUGAGUAAAUGAAGUGUUUGAAGAUUCGAAAUUUUUAUCAUCCAUGUUGAAAAUAAGUGCAAAAGCGUAUAUUAUUUAAAAUAAAUUACGCAUUCAUUAAUGUUAUGUGAUAAAAUCAUUACAUGUUUUGAAGAACUAAUAUUGCAUCAAACUGUAAAAAGCUCUUGAAAAGCUAAUAUUUUACCUCCUUGUGAUGCAAAAUCUUGUAAACCAUGAUAUUAUUUUUCAAAUCAAGAAGAUAUAUGUUGAAGGAAAUAUUUAUGUGUUUUACAUUAAAAACAUGGAUAGAAAUGACGUGAGAUACUCGUGUAUUUGCAUUAUAAAUAUUCCUUGAAGGAAUACACUGCACUUGUAUGAUUGACAUAUGAGAUAAUAGCAAGAAGUUCAUAGUGUUAGUAUGGCCGGCUAGACCAUCUCAAGUUAAUAAUGAUGCAAAAUAAUUUGAAGAGAAUUUAUGUGAUUUUAUUGAAGAAUGAGAAGUUAUUUUCAUUUUGAUAAUUGUCAUCAUUACUAGUUCUUUGGAAAAAAAAUAUUGAACUAACAUCAAAUAAAGUUAGAGGUUGGUUCAUGGUUGUAUUUUUUUAUGAUAUCCAAAUAAUAUAUGAGCUCAUGUAUCACAUGUAUGCAACCCAAAGUUUACAGUAUUAUUUCUUGAAAUAAUUUGAUUCUACACAAUCUCUAUAGUAUGCAAUUUGUGCUAACAACGCUGGUGCAUUAUAUCCUAAGCUUGAUUUUCGUAGAUUUAGCUGAGAUAAUAUUAAGUUGUCUAUGCCUAUAUAUGUUAUACUUAAUGGUUAGCAAAACUAUGCCUCCAUUUAAUUGCUUAACCAUUAAUAUAAGAAUAGUUUUAAAAUAAGCAUGUGAUUUUAUUUGCAUAGAGUCAACAUGUAAGAAACAUUUGUCCCAUGAGAAUUAGCUUUCAUUUAUAAGCCAAUAGGUUUCAUUUAUGACUAUUUGAAUGUAAAAUAUCUAUUUUAUAUUCCACCAUAAUGCACUAAGAUGGACCAUCAAGUAUGAAGUUGAGAAAAAUUAGAAUUUUUAUUUGAUGGUAAAAGUUGAAAAGAGAUAUAUAUUUAUAAUUUUGAAAAAAAUAUUCAUGUUACAAAUUUUCUCAGUAUUAGGGGGAGACAAGUUGGACAAAUAAGUAUAAUUAUGUCAUCACUUUUUGUGAUCCCUUACUAAUCUUAUGUGCACAAAGUUUGAAAGAAAAAGGUAUUUGCUAGACAUGUUUAGUGAUGAUAUUUAGAGAUUGUAUAUACUAGAUGAUACAUAUACCAGCUAAAAUGUUCCAAAUAAUUAUGAGUCCUAGAAGGACAAAGUGAUAAAAAUAAUUUUUGGGCACACUAGAAGGAUGAAAAACUAGUUGGUUCUAUAAAUAAAAAAAAUCUUAAAAGAAAAGAGUAAGAAAUGAAGAUGGUCAUACGUUAAAGGAGACGAGUACUCAUGAAGAGACCCAAGGUAUAACUUUUAAUAAAACCCCAAAAGAGGUUCAAUACAUGAAAUUAUGAAAAUAAUAAGUGUAAUAACCAGAUUUUUCCCGGGCCCAAUGCCAAACAAAUAAAACCCAAACCAAAUAAAUAAAAUAAGAGUCCAAAUUACAAUCCAUCAGGGCCCAAUUCAGACCAGCCCACUAUUCAAUCAGACCAGCCCAACAAAAAAUAAACGCUAGUAGCCCACAACCCAACUAAGCCUAAAACAUUUUCAGCAAAAGACGAAACCCUAGCUGCCAUGCUAGCCGCCGCUCCUGCCCUAGCCUCUGCCCACUGUCGCACACCACCUUUGCCACCACCGUCAACCUCUGACACCUGCAAAACAGCAAACAACACGCAACAACAAAGAAGAAGACAACAAGCAAAAAACAAAUCGCAAAGGGACAAAAAUAAUGAUAACAAAUAGCCUUAGUUCGGCUAUAAAAACAAAAAAAAAAUGAAAACUUUGUACUUCUUCGGCAAGAUUAAUACCAAAAAAAAAAGAGAAAAGAUUUGAACUUUUUAAGGUGAUAUUUCAUUUUUUUACGCUUUAGAUCUAUUUUUUUUAUUUCACCUUCAUCUACGAAAAUUAAAAAAGAAAAGAAAAGAAAAAGACUUUGAUUUCAAAGUGAUAUUUCAUUUUUUUUUGUUUUAGAUCUAGUGUUUUUUAUUUAUUUUUUAUCUACGAAAAUAAAAAAGGAAAAGAGAAACGUACCUGAUUCGCCUCGUGGCUCCGUCGACGGAAGUCCCAUCGUCGUCGUCGGAAUCAGGCUUAAAAGGGGAAGGUUUUUAUUUUUCUUUGCUUUUUUUUUUGGAUUUUUCGUCUCAAGAAAGGGACUAAGGGAGGAGAAAUGGCCAAAAUGGUCUUUUUCCGAUGAACUCCGGCAACCGUAUGCAGCGGUUAACGGCGCCGGCGCUCGGUGGCUGCGAUGGAGCCAUGGUGGUGUCCCAUGGCCGGAUCUGGAGAGGAAGGCUUUGAGAGGGAGAGAGUUUCUAACAGUUUUUUUUUUAUAUUUUCUAAGGCAGAAAUGAAUUUUUGAAAAAAAAAGUUGGGUUUUAUAAGUGCAUGAAACGGCGCUGUUUUGCACAAGUGCACAUCGACGUCGAAACAACGUCAUUUACCCCUUUACCCGCGCGCCCGAGUCCGACCCGAUGAAGGUCCGUGUGUUUUCAUGCCUGAUGGGUUAUUUCCCUUCUGCUUUUGGGCUUCUUCUCAAUCUGGUCCUAAUCCUACUUUUUUCCUCCUUUUAAAUUGUACCAUUUAAUUUAAUUUCAUUUUCAAUUCGGUCCCUAGGUUGACCAUAGGAAAUGACGAGCACAAAGUUAAGGGAUAUUUUCCCUUUCAAUCCCCAAUAUUUUUAGCGCGAUUCCCUAACCUUUAAUUCCUACCUUUUACACAUAUUAUUUCAUUUUAUUCGUUUAUUUAUUCACUUAUCAUUUUUACCCUCUUUUUAUACUUAAAAAUAUAUAUUAUUUACACUAUUACUUGCAUAUUUUUUACUAUUAAAUUAUUAUUUUUAAUGUAUUAUUAUUCCCAUUAUUUUACCUUUUUAUUUAUUUUGAUACUUUCAUGUCACAUUUAUUUAUUUUAAUAUUUCCAUUAUUUAUUUUAUUUUAUUCUUAUGUUUUUUAGUAUUUUUUUUAUUUCUUUUAUUGUUCACGGUUUUUUUUUUCAUGUUAUAGAUAUUUAUCUUUCUAAUCAUGCAUUUUUCCUUUUUUUAUUUUGUUUUAGGUUACCUUAUUUAUUAUUAUUAUUAUUGUGAUAAUACUAUUAUAAUUAUAUUACCAUUAUUAUAGAAUUCCUUUAUUUGUAUAUUCCAUUAUAACUAUUAUUAUUAUUAGUCUUUAACUAACUUCUAUUUUUAUUAUUAUUUUUUAGAAUAGUAGUCAACAUGGUUAUCCUUAUUAUUAUUUGGUGUUGUUAUUAUGAUUUUAUCAUUAUUAUUGUUGUAUUUCAUUUUUUGUUCACUCUUUAAAUAUUUUGUUCAUAUAGUUAUUUUGCAUUAUUGCAAUAUUGUUGCAUUAACGCAUUAUGUUUCUUAUAUAAUAAUUAUUUCGCUUUCGCGCAAUGUUCGAAUCAAUUAAACAUGAAUCUUAUCAAUUCUUACAUUAAUUCUUACUUAAGUUCAAAAAGAAAAUUUUCAAAAUAAGGUAAUAUUUUGCGUUUUAGAAAUUCGAGAAAUCGUACCCUAACUUACGGGGUUUCAAUUUUCUCGUUAAACUUAAAUAGCAAAAUAUUCUUUUAAAUUUCAAAAUGCAUGCAAUUUCAAUAAAAAUCAAAGGCAAGCUUAUUCUCUAAGGUUCCAAAUAUCGCGUCCUAACUUAUAGGAUGUGACAUUUCGUUACCUCGAGACGAGUAGGUCUUCAACUCUCUUUUUGAUUUAUUCGGGCGUUUUUAAUAACAUUAAUAAAAAGGGAUUCUAUUUUAAAUUUCCGUUCAAGUUUUCAACCUUCGAAAUUAAGACAUUAAUUAAUCAACUAGGUACCAACUUUGGGCGGAUCUAGGGUUCUAAUCCUUCCUUGUGCGUAACCGACUCCCGAACCCGUUUUCUGGAUUUUGUAGACCAAAUAUUAUCAUUUUAGUAAAUUUAAAUUUUUAUUAAAAUGAUUAGAUUACAAGGUGACUGGAUCACACCUCAUCAAAAAGGAUUGGUGGCGACUCCCAUUUGCGUUUUCAUUUUUUAAAAAAAUCAAAGUCAACCCAUUUUUAAAAAAAAUGGUUUCGACAAUAAGAUAUCUUGAUUAGUUAUGUCAUAACUAAAGAUGAUGGAGUUGAUAAAAGGAAAUUGUAGUUAACAACGAAUAAUCUACGUAGAAUAUUUCAAUAUUAUGGAAAAAUGAGUAUUUACCAACCUUCUUUUAGUCAAAUUAUGCAAGCCUAAAAUUUUUAGCUUAAUUUGAGUUUGUUGACUAUGUCUAAUUCAAGUUUUAUUAUUAAGGACUAAAUUGUAACUUAAACAAAUUAGAAUACCAAUUUAAAGAGACAAAAAUUCAAAACCCAAAAACCCACACGGGCUUGUGGGUAAGUGACACGGGCGUGUGGAGACUGGACCUAUCACACACGGGAGAGUGGGAUUGAGAAAUAUGAAAUAAAUUAAUCCACUUAAUUUUCCAACAACCAUGCUAUACUACCAAACCAAAUAGCGCUUGAAGCUUUGAAUAGGGACGAAUCUUAAAAAAAUUAGAAGAAUUAGAAUUAAAUUAUAAAAUUUUGAAAAGUUAUCAUGUUUUAAUUUAUUAUUUUUAAAAGGGUCUUAAUAGAAUUUUUUUUUCCCAUUUUGGUUGGGCCAAUACCCCUAUUUGCCUCUUUAAAUUUGCUUCAAUCCUAAACCCAAUGUUCGAUUUGUUGUGGAAGUUUGACGCAUAAAAAUUUCUUUUUUAGAGGUUUAAAUUAUAAAUUUUUGAAAGUUUAAAAUAAAUUUAUAUUUUUUAUUAACAAAAUAUAAAAGAUAAAAAAACAUUUUUAGACAAGCCAAGAAACCUUUGGGAUCAUACGGGUGAUUUUGAUGAUGUUAAUGGUUAUUUUGGUGGAAAGGGUGAAAAAGAAACAAAUGAUUCAUUAUAUAUAAUAUAAUUAUGAAAUUCAAGCCAUAUAUUGGAUGUUUCAUACAUAAAAAUUUCAUGGGACGUCCAAAGGUAAUUAAAUGACUUGUAGGCUUGCUGAAUUUCUUUGAAAGGCCCAAAGGCAAUUUAACAUUCACAAAAUAAUAUCUAAAUACUGUAAAGGCAAAUCAAAUCCACAGCAGCAUUUGCAAAUAUUACUUUGAUUUUGCAUGCAAUAUUGGCAAAACCCCCUCUUACAUUAGAAAAACAACAUAAUCCACGUAACAUUGAUAGCCCAAUACAAAUUUCAUCAAGAAAAAAGUCUCUUUGUUUUGUAGAACGUGAUAGUAAAGAUGUGGAGUUUCGUUCUUCUUAUUGGCCUCCUUUAGUUUUCCUUGAUCAACAGCCACAAGCCAAAAACACAAUUAGAUUAGAUUAUGAAUGAUACUUUCAACUAUGACAAUAUUAAAUACAAAACACUCCAAAUAACUCUAAAUAAAUGGAAAGCAGCAAAUUACCUGACGAGGCAAGCUAGCUCAAUUAAGAUCAUUGUGUUAUACUUGUCUCUAAAUUGAAAAUUUUAGAAGGAAAUAAAGAGAAAGAAAAUACUUGAAAACGGAUAAAACUUCUAUGUCAUUUAAAAUAAAAAAAAUUCUAUUUAAGCCAUUUAAAAUUUUUUAGAUUUUUAAAAUUUUAAAAUGAUUAAGUGUACUCAUUACUCACCAUCUCUGUUAAAAAUGUUGGAUGUUGUUUAGCAACCUUUGUUUGAUUUUCUUCAGCUCAACCACAACAUCUUUCAUAUCUUUUCUUUCUUCUGGUAACUCAGCUGAACAAUUCAAAGCCAACUCCAUGAUAGAUGAAAUACAAUUUGCUUUAACAACCAUGUACUCAUCCUCUCUUCUUAAUAAAUCAACAUCUGCAAUUUCUAUCGCUCCUUUAGGCAAUGAACUUUCCAUCCAAUGCCUUAUACUCUCUUCUUCAACAAAAACAUUAUCAGUUGGCUUUUUCUUUGUGAAAGUUUCUAUAAGGACGAUCCCAUAACUAUAGAUGUCAGAUUUUAUAGAAACAAUUCCUGCUGAUCCAAAUUCUGCAUUUCAAGUAUAAUUAGAACAUCAUUCAUCCUCAAUUAUUUCUAAAAUGCUUAUUCAAAUAUAUAUCCACAUCCACAUGAAACAAAAAUAUAAAAUGCAAUUUAGGAAAAUAAUCAUACAAAAAUAAAAAAUAAUUCACCUGGUGCCAUAUACCCGAUAGUUGCAAGAGUCAUGGUUUGCUUCAUUACUUCACCUUCUCCCAACAAUUUGGCAACGCCAAAAUCUCCAACAUGUGCAACCAUGUCUUCAUCUAGUAAAAUAUUGCUUGGUUUUAUGUCACAAUGAAUUAUAGGUGUUGGAUGUCCAUUGUGGAGGUGUUCUAUAGCUACCGCAACAUCUAUCAUUAUGUCGACCCUUUGUAUGAUAUCAAGGAAACAAUUUUCAGAAUGUAACCAUUUCUCAAGGUUUCCAUUAGACAUGUAAUCAAGCACCAAGGCUUUGAAGUCAACACUUGAGCAGCAAGUAAUGACCUUCACAAUAUUACGAUGAACUAUAUUAAGCAUAGCAUCACAUUCAAUGUCAAAACUCCUAAAUGCUCCCUCUGUUUGCAAAUUGAAAACUUUUAUUGCAACUUCCAUUCCAUCUGAAAGCCUCCCUUUAUAUACAUAUCCAAAACUCCCUGAACCAAGCAUAUUGCUUUCCUCAAAUCCAUUAGUUGCUCGUGAAAGUUCAGCAUGUGAAAUUCUUCUCGGUGUCUUCAAAGACAACAAAUCAUCUUUAAUUGGUAAAGCUGUACUCCUCCUUUGGCAUCUUCUAUACAUAAUAGUUAAGACUAUUAGUACUACGACAAUACCAAUUGUUGGUAAACCAUACCUAAAAGCAUGCAAUAUAAUCAUUUGGGAGUUUUUGUGGAUGUAGUUUUUACAAGGUGGGACUAGCAGUCUAGGUGGACCACAAAGUGCAUAAUUCUUCAUGAAUGAUGUGCUAGAAAAUUUUGAAAAACAUCCUUCGCUGGGAAUUUCCCCUUCAAGUCUAUUAAAAGACACAUUAAAAUACUUUAGAUAUAAAAGCUUUUCCAAAGAUUUGGGAAUGACUCCAGAGAGAUUGUUAUUGCAUAAAUCCAAGAAUUCCAAACUAAUCAACCCAUCAAAUGAUUCAGGGAUAUAACCAUGUAGUAUAUUAUUUGAUAAAUCUAAUGAAACCAAAGUUUGAAGACCCCCAAAUGAGGAUAAGAUAUCGCCCGUGAGAAGAUUCCUUGAUAAAUUUAGUUUCAGUAGACUCCUCAAAUUUCCAACAUCAAUAGCAUGUGAAUUGUGAAGAUGGUUUGAUGAUAAAUCUAUUUCUAAGAUAUCUUUAAGAUUCCACAAAGUUGAGGGUAUUGCGGAACUCAAUUUGUUGGAAUCUAAGUAAAGAUAUCCCAAAGAAGUAAUAUUACCCAAACAAGAGGGUAUAGAUCCAUGCAGCUUAUUCAACCCUAAAAACAAGUUGUAUAAUCUCUCCAAAUCACAAAGGCUUUCUGAGAUGGGCCCUCCUAAUUUAUUAGAGGAAAGACCUAGACUUUGGAGAUUGCGCAGUCCUCCUAUUGAUGUUGGAAUGAAUCCACUUAAUUUAUUAUAGCCAAGUUCUAAAACCAACAUUUUGCUUAAGUUACCUAUUUCCAUAGGAAUAGUGCCUUGAAGCUCACAAUCUUCGGCAUAAAAGUAUUGAAGGGAUUUUGAAAGGUUCCCAAUAUAAGUAGGAAGAACGCCACUCAAUGGAUUUUCUGAAACUCCUAUGGUUUUCAAAUUCUUACAAUUCGUCAAAGAAGAAAGAAAGCUCCACUCAUGAUCAGUAGCAGAUCCUGUGAUCAAAUUAUUGUUUACGAUUCUGAACCAUUCAAGCUGUCUUAAGUUGCCAAGCGUUUUAGGGAUUGGGCCAGAGAAUAAGUUAUCUCCCAAGUCUAGUUUCGUAAGCAUGGAAGCAUUGGAGAUAGAGUAGGGAAUGUUUCCGCUAAGUUUAUUUCCCCCCAAAAAAAGAAACUCAAGCUUUGGAGCAUUGGUAAUGGGUGGUAAAUUACCUGUAAAAUAGCAUCUUUUAGUAUACAUAUUAAUUGAAUACCAAAUUCAUAAAAUAUAUAAUACAUUAAAAUAAAAACUGUAAAACUUCAAAUCAAUUAAGAAUAAAAUUUUGGCAUGGAAAAAUGUGAUGAAAUCAAUUAGAAAGUUGAGACAUAAUAAGAAGUUUUGAGUAGUAAUUACUCAUGAUUUCUAUAGACAAAACAUAUAAUACACUGAUAAUUUUUUUAAAAUAUUGUAAAACCUGAAAUAAAAUAAAAAAUAAAAGUUUGGCACGAGAAUGUAGCAUCUAAUCAUUCUUAAAAAUAAGACUAACAUUGAAUAAUAAUUAGUUAUGAUUUGAGAAACAAAAAUGUUAAAGAUGUAAACUGGUAUGAUUUUUAUCCAUUGGGUUAAUUAUUUAUUUUUAUUAAAUUAUAGUGUAAAAUUUAAAGAUUAUUAUUUGCUCAAAAUUUUUGUAUUUUUCGUAUAUUUGAAAUUUAAUCUUUAUAUUUUUUAUUUUCUCUGAUUUAGUCUCUCUACUUUUUGAAUUGAAAAUUUUAAGUUUAUUUAUUAACACUGUUAAAAGGUUUUUGUGUUAGUAUGGCAUUUUAAAAAAUAAAAUAAACUUGAUAUCUAUGUUUUUAAUUAUUCCAAAUACUGUUUUACUAUUCCAAGAUAAAUUUUUUGUGUCUAGACCAAUAUCUUAAGAACUAUUGUUGCAUGUUUAAUUAUUUUAAAGAAUUGUUGAUUGAGUCUUAGUUGAAGUGCACUAUUCUCCUAUUUAUGAAUUGGGGAGUUGGUAAAGUACUAAAUUUUGAUAUAUUUUAAAAUAUUAAAAAAUUUAUUAAAAUAUUUUUUAUAAAAAUUGAUUGUACCACAUUAUACAAUUUUAAUAUCAAAUUUUUAAAUUUUUUUAAAAUAUUAGCGAAUAUAUACUUUAUUUCAAGUUACACAAUUUUUNNNNNNNNNNNNNNNNNNNNNNNNNNNNNNNNNNNNNNNNNNNNNNNNNNNNNNNNNNNNNNNNNNNNNNNNNNNNNNNNNNNNNNNNNNNNNNNNNNNNNNNNNNNNNNNNNNNNNNNNNNNNNNNNNNNNNNNNNNNNNNNNNNNNNNNNNNNNNNNNNNNNNNNNNNNNNNNNNNNNNNNNNNNNNNNNNNNNNNNNNNNNNNNNNNNNNNNNNNNNNNNNNNNNNNNNNNNNNNNNNNNNNNNNNNNNNNNNNNNNNNNNNNNNNNNNNNNNNNNNNNNNNNNNNNNNNNNNNNNNNNNNNNNNNNNNNNNNNNNNNNNNNNNNNNNNNNNNNNNNNNNNNNNNNNNNNNNNNNNNNNNNNNNNNNNNNNNNNNNNNNNNNNNNNNNNNNNNNNNNNNNNNNNNNNNNNNNNNNNNNNNNNNNNNNNNNNNNNNNNNNNNNNNNNNNNNNNNNNNNNNNNNNNNNNNNNNNNNNNNNNNNNNNNNNNNNNNNNNNNNNNNNNNNNNNNNNNNNNNNNNNNNNNNNNNNNNNNNNNNNNNNNNNNNNNNNNNNNNNNNNNNNNNNNNNNNNNNNNNNNNNNNNNNNNNNNNNNNNNNNNNNNNNNNNNNNNNNNNNNNNNNNNNNNNNNNNNNNNNNNNNNNNNNNNNNNNNNNNNNNNNNNNNNNNNNNNNNNNNNNNNNNNNNNNNNNNNNNNNNNNNNNNNNNNNNNNNNNNNNNNNNNNNNNNNNNNNNNNNNNNNNNNNNNNNNNNNNNNNNNNNNNNNNNNNNNNNNNNNNNNNNNNNNNNNNNNNNNNNNNNNNNNNNNNNNNNNNNNNNNNNNNNNNNNNNNNNNNNNNNNNNNNNNNNNNNNNNNNNNNNNNNNNNNNNNNNNNNNNNNNNNNNNNNNNNNNNNNNNNNNNNNNNNNNNNNNNNNNNNNNNNNNNNNNNNNNNNNNNNNNNNNNNNNNNNNNNNNNNNNNNNNNNNNNNNNNNNNNNNNNNNNNNNNNNNNNNNNNNNNNNNNNNNNNNNNNNNNNNNNNNNNNNNNNNNNNNNNNNNNNNNNNNNNNNNNNNNNNNNNNNNNNNNNNNNNNNNNNNNNNNNNNNNNNNNNNNNNNNNNNNNNNNNNNNNNNNNNNNNNNNNNNNNNNNNNNNNNNNNNNNNNNNNNNNNNNNNNNNNNNNNNNNNNNNNNNNNNNNNNNNNNNNNNNNNNNNNNNNNNNNNNNNNNNNNNNNNNNNNNNNNNNNNNNNNNNNNNNNNNNNNNNNNNNNNNNNNNNNNNNNNNNNNNNNNNNNNNNNNNNNNNNNNNNNNNNNNNNNNNNNNNNNNNNNNNNNNNNNNNNNNNNNNNNNNNNNNNNNNNNNNNNNNNNNNNNNNNNNNNNNNNNNNNNNNNNNNNNNNNNNNNNNNNNNNNNNNNNNNNNNNNNNNNNNNNNNNNNNNNNNNNNNNNNNNNNNNNNNNNNNNNNNNNNNNNNNNNNNNNNNNNNNNNNNNNNNNNNNNNNNNNNNNNNNNNNNNNNNNNNNNNNNNNNNNNNNNNNNNNNNNNNNNNNNNNNNNNNNNNNNNNNNNNNNNNNNNNNNNNNNNNNNNNNNNNNNNNNNNNNNNNNNNNNNNNNNNNNNNNNNNNNNNNNNNNNNNNNNNNNNNNNNNNNNNNNNNNNNNNNNNNNNNNNNNNNNNNNNNNNNNNNNNNNNNNNNNNNNNNNNNNNNNNNNNNNNNNNNNNNNNNNNNNNNNNNNNNNNNNNNNNNNNNNNNNNNNNNNNNNNNNNNNNNNNNNNNNNNNNNNNNNNNNNNNNNNNNNNNNNNNNNNNNNNNNNNNNNNNNNNNNNNNNNNNNNNNNNNNNNNNNNNNNNNNNNNNNNNNNNNNNNNNNNNNNNNNNNNNNNNNNNNNNNNNNNNNNNNNNNNNNNNNNNNNNNNNNNNNNNNNNNNNNNNNNNNNNNNNNNNNNNNNNNNNNNNNNNNNNNNNNNNNNNNNNNNNNNNNNNNNNNNNNNNNNNNNNNNNNNNNNNNNNNNNNNNNNNNNNNNNNNNNNNNNNNNNNNNNNNNNNNNNNNNNNNNNNNNNNNNNNNNNNNNNNNNNNNNNNNNNNNNNNNNNNNNNNNNNNNNNNNNNNNNNNNNNNNNNNNNNNNNNNNNNNNNNNNNNNNNNNNNNNNNNNNNNNNNNNNNNNNNNNNNNNNNNNNNNNNNNNNNNNNNNNNNNNNNNNNNNNNNNNNNNNNNNNNNNNNNNNNNNNNNNNNNNNNNNNNNNNNNNNNNNNNNNNNNNNNNNNNNNNNNNNNNNNNNNNNNNNNNNNNNNNNNNNNNNNNNNNNNNNNNNNNNNNNNNNNNNNNNNNNNNNNNNNNNNNNNNNNNNNNNNNNNNNNNNNNNNNNNNNNNNNNNNNNNNNNNNNNNNNAGUCUAGGUGGACCACAAAGUGCAUAAUUCUUCAUGAAUGAUGUGCUAGAAAAUUUUGAAAAACAUCCUUCGCUGGGAAUUUCCCCUUCAAGUCUAUUAAAAGACACAUUAAAAUACUUUAGAUAUAAAAGCUUUUCCAAAGAUUUGGGAAUGACUCCAGAGAGAUUGUUAUUGCAUAAAUCCAAGAAUUCCAAACUAAUCAACCCAUCAAAUGAUUCAGGGAUAUAACCAUGUAGUAUAUUAUUUGAUAAAUCUAAUGAAACCAAAGUUUGAAGACCCCCAAAUGAGGAUAAGAUAUCGCCCGUGAGAAGAUUCCUUGAUAAAUUUAGUUUCAGUAGACUCCUCAAAUUUCCAACAUCAAUAGCAUGUGAAUUGUGAAGAUGGUUUGAUGAUAAAUCUAUUUCUAAGAUAUCUUUAAGAUUCCACAAAGUUGAGGGUAUUGCGGAACUCAAUUUGUUGGAAUCUAAGUAAAGAUAUCCCAAAGAAGUAAUAUUACCCAAACAAGAGGGUAUGGAUCCAUGCAGCUUAUUCAACCCUAAAUACAUCUCGUAUAGUCUCUCCAAACCACAGAGGCUUUCUGAGAUAGGCCCUCCAAAUUUAUUAGAGGAAAGAAAUAGACCUUGGAGAUUUCUCAUUCCUCCUAUUGAUGCUGGAAUCAAUCCACUUAAUUUAUUAUAGCCAAGUUGUAAAAGCAAUAGGUUGGUUAAGUUACCUAUUUCCAUAGCAAUAAUGCCUUGAAGCUCACAAUUAGAGGCAUAAAAGUAUUGAAGGGAUUUUGAAAGGUUCCCGAUAUAAGUAGGAAGAACGCCACUCAAUGGAUUUCCUGAAACAUCUAUUGUGCUCAAAUUCCUACAAUUCGUCAAAGAAGAAAGAAAGCUCCACUCAUGAUCGGUAGAAGAUCCUGUGAUCAAAUUAUUGUUUUUGAUUCGGAACCAUUCAAGGUGUCUUAAGUUGCCAAGCGUUUUAGGGAUUGGGCCAGAGAAUAAGUUAUGCGCCAAGUCUAGUUCCUUAAGCAUGGAAGCAUUGAAGAUAGAGUUGGGAAUGUUUCCGCUAAGUUUUUUUCUCCACAAUAAAAGAAUCUCAAGCUUUGGAGGAUUGGUGAUGGGUGGUAAAUUACCUGUAAAAUAGCAUCUUUUAGUAUACAUAUUCAUUGAAUACCAAAUUCACAAAAUAUAUAAUAUAUUAAUAAUAAGAAGUUUUGAGUACUAAUUAGUCCUUGUGAUUUGUAUAGACAAAAUAUAUAAUACACUAAUAAUUUUUUAAAAUAUUGUAAAACUUGAAAUAAAAUAAAAAUAAAAGUUUGGCAUGAGAAUGUGGCAUCUAAUCAAUCUUAAAAAUGAGACUGAGACUGAAUAAUAAUUAGUUAUGAUUUGGGAAACUAAAAUGUUAAAGCCAUUAUUUAUCUUUAUUAAAUUAUAGUGUACAAUUUAAAGAUUAUUAUUUGCUCAUAAUUUUUGUAUUUUUCGUAUGUUUGAAAUUUAAUCUUUAUAUUUUUUUAUUUUCUGUGAUUUAGUCUCUCUACUUUUUGAAUUGAAAAUUUUAGGUUCAUUUAUUAACACUGUUAAAAAAGUUUUUGUGUUAGUAUGGCAUUUUGAAAAAUAAAAUAAACUUGAUAUCUAUGUUUUUAAUUAUUCCAAAUAUUGUUUUACUAUUUCGAGAUAAAUUAUUCAAAAGAAUUGUUAUUGAGCCUUAGCUUGAUUGGCAUGUGUAUUGUUACCAAUGUAGGAGACUGUGGGCUCAAGUAUGCUGAAGUGCAUUAUCCUCUUAUUUAUAAAUUGGGGAGUUGGUAAAGUAUUAAAUUUUGAUAUAUUUUAAAAUAUAUCUAUAAUAUAUAUAAAUGAAUGGAUUUUGAGAAACUUUUGAACUGAUAAUUAUAUAGUCUUUGUUGUUUACUAUAUUAUUGAAUUUGUUAUUUAAAUUUUAUUUAUUUUUUACUUUUAAGAUUUAUAUAAGAAUUUUGGUUUUCCUAAAAUAUUUGGUUAAGUAAAUUCACUUCAUAACAAAAUUUAGCAUCCUUAUAAAUACCAUUUUUUAUUCUAUUAAAAAAUUAAUUUAAAAAAUAUAUAAUAAUAAAUUAAAAUUUAUAUUGAAUUACUUUAUACUUCAAUUAUUAUUAGAAACUUUAUCAUACACAUAUGUGUAUGAGAAUCACGUAUUUAGAACAUAAAUUUGUGUUUUAAAAUAACUUAUGAUAAAUAAUGAAAUGUAUUAUUUAAAACUAUUUACUAAUAUCUACCAUAUUAAAAUAAAAAUAGAUUAAAUUGUAAGUAAAACAUAAUUUAAAUAUAUGAAUACAUCGAAUUAAGAAUACUAAAUGAAUACAGUUAUUUAUGAUGAUGUUGUUGUCAAUUCCUAAGUUUGUGUCAAGUUAAUUUGUGACAUCAUAUAUUUAAGUGAUAAAUUUAAAGUUUUAUGUAUUGAUGUGGAUUCAAAUAUCAUCAUAUCCUAAAAUAAUAUAACUUAUUUUAAAUACAAAAAAUGAUUCUAUUCAACACUAAAUCAAUUUUUAGAUUUUGUACAUAUGAUUUAAUGAUGAUAAAAACAUUAUUAUCACUAUUUUUGAAUUAAAAAAAAGUUUGUGAUUUAAUUUAAUUAUAUUUUUUAUUUUUAUUUUUUAUUGUAUACUAAAUAUGGUACAUAUACUUUAAUUAUAACUUGAAAUUUUAUUAUAUAAAUUAAUAUAUUUUAAUUAUAUUCAACCAUUUGAAUAAAAAAAAAACUAAUUAGAAUAAUUUAAAAAAAACAUUAUUUAAAAGCUAGCUAAAAAUCACGUGCAACAGGUGAUAUGAGAAUCUAUGUAUAUAAAUGUAUCCGUAUAUAUCUCGUUGUUUCAUUUUUUUAAAUAAAUAUAUUUUCCACAUUGGUUUCUUUUAUUCUAUAGACAAAGGAUUUCUAAUGAUUUUUAAUUUUUUUUUACUUAUAUAGAAUAGAUUAGUUUAUGCAAUAAAAAAUAAUUUCUUUUUCAAAGUUUAAUGGAAAUUAAAAAAUUAAAAAUAAAUCAAUGCAUAUAAAUCUUAUUGUUUAUUAUCAUAUUAAAAUGACCAAAAUAGAAGAAACAAAUUCAACACAAUGUUUUUGGAGUUCGGAAAAUAUUAAAGUGAAAAACAUACCUUCUAAUUUGUUGUUAAAUAGAUCUAUUUCUUCGAGCGUAGUUGAAUUAAAAAUAUUUGAUGGAAUCUGACCUGCACACAUAGUCGAAAAUUCAAGUGAAAAACAUACCUUCUAAACUGUUCAACUAAAAAUACUUAAAAGCAUAUUUUUUAAGGUUGUUGCAUUUGCCCAUGCCAAAUGGAAUCUUCCCAGAUAAUUCAUUCCUACUCAGGUAAAGCACUUCAAGCUUGGGAAGAUGUUGACAAAUAUCAUUAGGCAAACUACCUGAUAGGCUAUUGCUGGAGAGAGCAAUGGUCUUCAGAGAAGAAAUGUUGAAGAUCAAAGUUGGAAUUUGACCUAUAAGGCCUUUAAUUGCUUGAAUAUUAAGCAGUUCCAAACCAAGAAGAUUACCAAUUUCCUCAGGAAUUUGACCUGUACACAUGGUCGAAAAAUCAAGGUGUCAAACUACUUAUUUUGUAAGCAUAACUCAAAGAGGUUUUCUUUUCUGUUCUACAGUAAUUUGGAGAUGUUAGAUUUUAAUAUAUUUUAGCAUAUGUUUUUCAUCAAAUGAAAUAAAAACUUUUUCCUUUUGUUAUCUAUUACAAAUCAAGCUAUUUUAUAAAAAAAAAUACUUUGAAUUCAAGAAAUCAAGAAAAUUGAUUACCUUCUAGAUUAUUAAAUCCCAAAUAUAAUUCUCCGAGUUGUGUCAGAUUUCCGAAACUUCUUGGAAUGAUCCCCGUCAAUUGAUUCAAGGACAAGGACAAAUUUUUCAGGUUGCUGCAUUUGCCCAUACUUGACGGAAUGUUACCAGAUAACUCAUUGCGAUGCAAGUAAAGCACUUCAAGCUUGGGAAGAUGUCGACAUAUAUCAUUAGGCAAACUACCUGAUAGGCUAUUGUUGGAGAGAGCAAUGGUCUUCAGAGAAGAAAUGUUGAAGAUCGAAGUUGGAAUCUGACCUGUAAGGCCUUUAAUUGCUUGAAUAUUAAGCAGUUCCAAACCAAGAAGAUUACCGAUUUCAUCAGGAAUUUGACCUGCACACAUAGUCGAAAAAUCAAGGUGUCAAACUACCUAUUUUGUUAGCAUAAGUCAAAGAGGUUUUCUUUUCUAUUCUAUAGUAAUUUGGAGAUGUUAGAUUUUUAUAUAUUUCAGCAUAUGUUUUUCAUCAAAUGAAAUAAAAACUUUUUCGUUUUGUUAUCUAUUACAAAUCAAACUCUUUUAUAAAAAAAGUACUUAAAAUUCAAGAAAUCAAGGAAAUUGAUUACCUUCUAGAUUAUUAAACCCCAAAUAUAAUUCUUUGAGUUGUGUCAGAUUGCUAAUACUUCUUGGAAUGAUCCCCGUCAAUUGAUUCAAAGACAAGGACAAAUUUUUAAGGUUGCUGCAUUUGCCCAUACUUGAUGGAAUGUUACCAGAUAACUCAUUACUAUGCAAGUAAAGCACUUCAAGCUUGGGAAGAUGUUGACACAUAUCAUUAGGUAAACUACCUGAUAGGCUAUUGUUGGAGAGAGCAAUGGUCUUCAGAGAAGAAAUGUUGAAGAUCGAAGUUGGAAUCUGACCUGUAAGGCCUUUAAUUGCUUGAAUAUUAAGCAGUUCCAAACCAAGAAGAUUACCGAUUUCAUUAGGAAUUUGACCUGCACAUAUAGUCGAAAAAUCAAGGUGUCAAACUACCUAAUUUGUUAGCAUAAGUCAAAAAGGUUUUCUAUUCUGUUCUACAGUAAUUUGGAGAUGGUAGACUUUCAUAUAUUUCAGCUUAUGUUUUUCAUCAAAUGAAAUAAAAACUUUUUCCUUUUGUUAUCUAUUACAAAUCAAACUCUUUUAUAAAAAAAAGUACUUAAAAUUCAAGAAAUCAAGGAAAUUGAUUACCUUAUAGAUUAUUAAACCCCAAAUAUAAUUCUUUGAGUUGUGUCAGAUUGCCAAUACUUCUUGGAAUGAUCCCCGUCAAUUGAUUCAAGGACAAGGACAAAUUUUUAAGGUUGCUACAUUUGCCCAUACUUGACGGAAUGUUACCAGAUAACUCAUUGCUAUGCAAGUAAAGAACUUCAAGCUUGGGAAGAUGUUGACACAUAUCAUUAGGCAAACUACCUGAUAGGCUAUUGCUGGAGAGAAUAAUAAUAUUCAGAGAAGAUAUCUUGAAAAUGGAAGAUGGAACCUGACCAGAUAAUUGAUUGAGUCCCAAGUUCAGGAUCUCUAGAUUAGAUAUGUUAACAAGUGUUUCAGGGAUUGUGCCUGUAAAGUAAUUAUUUUUCAUUUGCAGCCUUCGAACUCUCUGUAAGUUCCCAAGCCAUGAUGGAAUUUCCCCAUUCAGACGGUUGUAGCUUAAUUGAAGGAUCCUCAAAUGACGCAAUUGGCCCAAUUCUUUAGGGAGAUGGCCAUAGAAAUGGUUGCUACUCAAGUCGAGAGAGAGUAGAAAUGAAAGAUUUCCAAGGUGUGGAGGGAUAGUACCCCUAAGAUUCAUGCUUGUAAGAUUCAAAGCUAUAACUCUUUUAUGGAGGAUGCCACAAGAAACUCCAAUCCAAUUGCAAACAGAGGUUGAGGCCAUCCAAUUGUCUGCCAAGACAUUUUGAGGACCGGCAAUGCGAUCCUUAAACUCGAGAAGUGCAAACUGAUCGAAGUUGAGAUUCCUGACUGUCAUAGCCAAGCAAAGUACGGAACAUGGUAUGAAUAAAGCUAAGAGAAGAUGAAAGCAAGUUUUGUAGUUCAUGAUUGCAAGACGGAAUAUGGCAAGAAAAUAAAAACAGUAGGAAAAGGGAAGUUGAGUUGAUAAAAUAGUUUGGAUGAUGAAGAAAAGCCCAAAGAGCAUGCUUUAAUAUGUUUCAACCCUCGCACACUUGAUAAAUUUGAUAAAAAUAUUUUUAUUUAAUAAAUGUAAAAAACUUUUUAAACAAAAUAAGGUUGAAAUAAUCUAUUUGUCCUUAUAUUUUGACAAAAUUUGAGACUUAGUCCUUAUACUUAAAAGGUUAAAAAUAAAAUUUUCUAGUUUUUAUUUAAAAAUCUUAGUUCUAUCAUUAAUUUUUUGGUCAAAAUUUGUCAACUUUACAUAUUAAUUAGGUUUCCCUUAUAUGUCGUUGCAUAUGACCAACACAAAAUAAGCAAGUUGACAAAUUCUGACAAAAAAUAUCAAAGAUGAUAAUAAUUUGAUUAAAAUUUUUAAAUUGAAUUAAAAACCUUUAACUUAUAAGGAAUGGAUAUCAAAUAUUUAUAGGAAAAAAGGGACUAACAACAUAUUUUAACCAAAAAAUAAUAUGAGUGAUUAGAAUGAAUCUAAAAUUUUAUAGAAAUAAAAGAGACUAACAGAUUUUAUAGAAAUAAAAGAGACUAACAGCAUAUUUAUAACUUUGAAAUCUCCUUCGAUCAUCCUUUUUCUACUUAGAAAAAGAAAAUUAAUUAGCAUCUAAAGUGUCAAUUAAUGAAACCUUAAAAAGAAAAUGUGAAAGUGAUUUAUCAAACAAUAAUAUUCUAACUUAUAAUACAUUUAAUUACAUUUAGUAAUUUAUCAAUCAAAACUUAACUAACAUCCAUCAAUAUUUCAUACAUAAGUAAAUUUUCCAUUUACUCAGAUUUAACUUUGCAAGUAAACUUAAAAUUUUAUUUAAUUUGGUCACUAAAUUUAAUUUGUUCAAUAUAGAUUUUGGUGACUUAAAACAAAAAUUAAUAAAAAGUUAUUCUUUCAGACAUCUUUUUAAUGUUUAGUAAUAAGUUAAUUUAUAAAAUAUACUUUCAUUGGACACAAGCCUCUAAGGCGAUGAACCAUUGAUCAAAUUAAUUUGGAGAUAUCUUUUUUCCAAAUAAAGUGAAUUUACGAGUUUUGUCUUCUUCUUUUUUAAUAUUUUUAAUAUUUUUGUGGAUAUCAAGAGAUACCAAAAAUUAUUUCACUAAGAAAUUUUAAUUCACCCGAAAAGUUAGUGUUUUAUUUCAAGGGGUCAUAAUUAUAAAUUUUGAAUUUUUUGACAAUUGUGUAAUUAAUAAAUACUUAUUUUGAGUGUUGUAGGGCUUGUACAAUCUCCCUUACACAUAACCGACUCUUGAACCUACUAUUUUCUCUAGAAUUUCACGUAGACCUCAAAUUUAUCUUUUGAAAAGAAUUUUAAAAUCUCUGUAAAAAAGGUGUAAAAAUAUAUAUAUUUUAUUAAUUACUAUAUAUUCUUUUAUUUUCAGAAUAAUAAAUUGUUUAAAAUAUGCUACUAGUCCCCAUAAUUUAAAAGUUAAAAGUAUUUGGGAUCUCGAGUGCAUCAAAUUCCUCCUCUUAUUAUUAAAUGUUUUAUUUUAGUUACUCUAAUUAAAUAUAUCCAAAUUGUAAUAGAGUUAAUAUUUAUUAUAUAAAAAAUAUUUUAAUUUUUUUUCAAUUGCAGUUUAAUUAUAGUAGAAAUAUUUCAUUUAUAAUAUCACAAAACUUUAAAAUAUUAAUUUUGUUAAAUAAAAAAUGAUUUUUUUAAACAGUAAAUUUUGACUUUAUUAACACAAAUGGGUCUUUAGGGUUAAACUUCAAUAAUUGACGAGCUCUUCCACAAACUAUGGAUGAUUUGGAGAUAAGAACUUCAAUAAUUCUGGAGUUAAAGUGUAAAUUUACUACUAUAUUAUAAGUAAAAUUUGAAAUUUAUCACUAUAUUUUAAUUGAUACUUGUCUUUACACUUUGAAAAUAUAAGUAUUUACCAUUUAACUCAUAUGUGAUUGAACUUUGCAAGUAAACUUAAAAUUUUAUUUAAUUUUGUCACUAAAUUUGAUUUGUUUAAUUAAAUUUACAACUCAAUAUAGAUUUUGGUGACUUAAAACAAAAUUAAUAAAAAAACUAUUCUUUCAGAUAUUUUUUUUAAUGUUUAAUAAUAAGUUGAUUUAUAAAAUAUACUUUCAUUGGACACAAGCAUCCAAGGCGGUGAACAAACCACUGGUCAAAUUAAUUUGAAGAUAUCUUUUUUUUUUCUAAAUCAAGUGAAUUUACGAGUUUUGCCUUUUUUUUUAAAUAUUUUUAAUUUUGUGGAUAUCAAGAGAUACCAAAAAUUAUUUCACUAAGGGAUUAAUUAGUGUUUUAUUUUAAGGGUUCACAAUUAAACAUUAAAAUUUUCAUUUUUAAAUUUUGAAUUUUUUGACAAUCACGUAAUUAACAAGUACAAAUUUUGGAUGUUGUAGGGUUAUUAUAACCUUCCCUACACGUAACAGACUCUUAAACCUACUUUUUUUCUCUAGAACUCAACGCAAACCUCAAAUUUAUCAUUUUAAAAUAUCUAUAUAAAAGGUGAUCUUUUUACCGAUCACACUUAAAAAAAAUUUAAAAAUUAUUAAUUUAUUUUUUGAAAUUUAAAGUGUUCUAAAAACAUAUUUUUAAGCGCUUUAGACCAUCCGGUGCUGAUUUCUUUAUUGUAUUAAAUGCUUGCAAUCACUUCUGAUAUAUUAUACUUGAGUUGUGACAGAGCUAAUUGUCAAUGUGCCAUAAUGUUCUAUUGAUGUUGAAACUGAAGUUUUUGUUAUAUUAAGAGAGUUUGUCCUUCAACGCGUAUAACGGGUGUUUGUUAUUUUUUCCCUUCAAAUUGUAUGAUCUCAUUCAUUAAAUGAAUUAAUGAAUUUCCCUUUAAAGAUAUAAUUUUAAAAAUUAAAUACUUUAUAAAAUAUUUAAAACUAUUUAAAAAAUUGUAAGUGUUAAAACAAUCAACAAGAUAUAUUUUUCUCUAAAAAAUCAAUAAAAAUAUGUUUGAAAUUUUAUAUGAAAUUUAAAAUUUUUUAACAAUAAUAUAUUUUAAAAUUAUUUACACCAUUUUUAUAUAUUUUUCCUAACAUAUCGUUAUUUUCAACACUAUCGUAAUCCUAUUUUGAUAAUUCCCUUUCCAUACAUCCUUUUUCUACAUAGAAUUUCGAAAGAAAAUGUGAAUUAAUGCAGACUUGAGAAGACUUAGAGGUAAGUCACCCAAUGAAAGUGACCUAAACCGACUUAUGGAACAAUCAAACAAUAAUUUUGUAUCUUAUAAUAAUUACAUUUAUUAGUUUAUCAAUCAAAACUUAAUUAGAAUCCAUCAAUAUUUCACACAUCAAAAACCCAAAGCAUAAAAUUCACUUUUAAAGUAUUUGGGUUGUAUUUUUAUUAUAGGAAAUGUAUUAAAUUAGUCUCUUUAUUAUUAAAUGUAUUAUUUUAAUCUUUGUAUUAGAUAUAAAUGAUAUCUUCUAGAUUAAAGCUAGAGCGGUUCUUAAAUGGCUGAAUUUGGCUUGGGCUAGAGAAUUCAGAUGUGUAGAGAUGGAAAGUGACAACGUAAUGUUGAUUGAAACUAUUCGUAACAGGUUGGCUGCAGUAAGUUGCAUUGCUGAAGUAAGAUUGAUUCAUGAUUGGUGUUCCAAAAAUUGAGAAGUCAAAUUUCUGAAAUAUUCAGCAAAAUGUCAAUAAAGUUGUUGAUUGCAUAACUAAGGUAGACGGAGGCAUAAUUGAGCAGCUGGUUAUCUUGGAAGAUCCUCCGCAUUAUGUGAGAUGCUAGCUUGAAGAAGAUAUUAGACAGUUGCUGGUGACAAAUGAUAGUUUUCAUUUGGACUAACGCUCCUUAAUUUUCUAAGCUUAUGUUCAACAAAAAAAAAAACAAUUAAAUACAUCUAAAUUGUAAUAGAGUUAACAUUUAGUUAUAAAAAUAUCUUCAAAAUUAUUAUUUUCAAUUGUAGUUCAAUUCCACAAAUACCGAUGAUCAACCUUGAAAUGGACAUGAAAAUUUAAAAAAAAAAACACAUCUAUUAUCAAACUAGCAAUCUAUGUCUAAACAUAAAUUAACAAAAUUCGUCACGCAACCCGAUACACUAUUUUAUAUAAUAUAUAUUCUAGAUUUAUUCUAGAUGCACAUAUUUUUAUUAUAUUUAAAAAUUAAAAUAUAUGAUUGACUGAGUUUUAGUUGAGUUAGUAUUGGUAUUAUUAUCAAUGUAAGGAAACGUGAAUUCAGUCAUGCUCAAAUGUGUUUUAUCCUCCAAUUCAAGAGUUGGGAAAAUGUUAUUACUAUUAAAUUAUACCAAUUUUUACAAUAUUUAAAAAGGAUUUAUAAAUAAUAUAAGGAAAAAAAGAGGGAGAAACAUAUUCAUAUUGAUGGGCUCUUUCAUUAUCAGACUUUCUUUCUCCCACAAGAAAAAGUACUUAUGGACAGGAUCAUGUAAAAUAACGACCUGAAUAAUUUUAAAUGUCUCAUCAUUGCAAAAAUGAAAUAAUAGAAAAGAAAUAAGUCUUAAGUGUAAUGGCAACCACGAACCCCGAUUAUAAACUAAAAAACAAAUAUGAAAAUUAAGUAAAAAAAACAUGUCUAUUACAAAAUUAGUAAUCCAUCCUAAGGCUUAAAUUAACAAAAUUCACCAUGCAAUUGUGUAGACUAUUAUAUAUAUAUAUAUAUACACUAUAUUUAUUCUCAUGCAAAUGUUUAUUAUAUUUAAAAAUUAAAAUAUAUGGUUGAUUGAGUUUUAGUUGACUUAAUAUCGACAUUGUUGUCAGUGCAGAAGAACAUGAGUUCAAUCAUAUUUGAACACGUUUUAUUGUUUUAUCUUUCAAUUUAGGAGUUGGAGAGGAUUCUUUAUCUAGUAAAACAAAUACAUAUUCAUAUUCAUCGGCUUUUUCAUUAUUAGACUUUUUUCCCCACAGGUAAAAGUAUUUAUAGACAGGAUGAUGUAAAACUAUGACCUGAAUGAUUUUAAACCUUUCAUCACUGCAAAAAUGAAAUAAUAGAAAUGAAAGAGUAGCCAUUGUAUGAAAUAUAUAAUUGAACUGUCAACAAAAUUGUGAGAAAUUUCCAAAUUUUAUGAAAAUUUAAAAUUAAACUGUCAAUAAUAGAAAAUUGCCUGAGUGACUUGAGAUAAUAGGUUCAAUUGCAUUUAAGAUGGGUCUUUAGGGUUAUACUUUAGUUAUUGAGAACACUUUCCACAAUUUGCCAUCAUUAUUUGUGAGUGAUUUGUGGGGUAAGAGGUUGAACACUUCUGAAUCACAUUGCCUUUAAGACGGGUCUUUGGAGUUAUAUGAUACUUCAACAUAGACUAACUUUUCUAUAAUUAGUCUUUGCUUUACUUUGGGUGGAUUCUUCCAACUAGUCCAAGAUUUAUUGUACAAUCACAAUUAAUCUUUUUAAAUGAGACAAACAUUUCAAAUUUGUCAUCACUAUUUGUGCGUGAUUUGGAGGUAAGAAGUUUAACACUUCUGGAUGACUCAUAGAAUUGUGGGUCUCUAUUUGAGUAUUGACUCAGUUUUCCACAAUUGUAUACACUUUUUUAUAUUUUUACUAAUUAUAUUUGAGUAUUGAAUUAAUGUAGACGUGAGAAGACUUAGACGUAAGUCACCCAAUGAAAGUGACCUAAACCGACUUAUGGAAGAAUCAAACAAUAAUUUUGUAUCUUAUAAUAUAUUUAGUUACAUUUAUUAAUUUAUCAAUCUAAACUUAAUUAGAAUCCAUCAAUAUUUCACACAUCAAAAACCCAAACAUAAAAUUCACUUUUAAAUUAUUUGGGAUAUAUUUGUAUUAUAGGAAAUAGAUUAAAUGAGUUUAUUUAUUAUUAAAUGUAGUAUUUUAGUCUUUAUAUUAAGUAUGAAUGAUAUCUUCUAGAUUGAAGCUAGAACUAUUCUUGAAAGAUUGAAAUUAGGAUUCAGAUGUGUUGAGAUGGAAAGUGACAACACAAUAUUGAUUGAAAUUAUUUGUAACGGGUUGGCUACAAUAAGUAGUACUGCUGAAGUAAGACAGAUUCAUGAUUGGUGUUUCAAAAAUUGGGAAGUCAAAUUUCGACAUAUUUAGCGGAAUGCCAAUAAAGUUGUUGAUUGCAUAGCUAAGGCAAAUGGAGGCGUAAUUGAACAGCUGGUUAUCUUAGAAGAUCCUCCGCAUUAUGUGAAAUGCUAGCUUAAAGAAGAUAUUAGACAAUCACUGGUGACUGAUGAUAAUUUUCAUUUGGACUGAUGAGCGCUUAAUUUCUAAGUUUAUGUUCAACCAAAAAAAAUAUUAAAUACGUCUAAAUUGUAAUAGAGUUAACAUUUAGUGUUUAAAAAAUAUCUUAAAAAUUAUUUUUCCAAUUGCAGUUCAAUUCAACAAAUAUCGAUGAUGAACCUGGACAUAAAAAUUACAAAAAAAAAAACAUCUAUUAUCAAACCAACAAUCCAUGUCUAAACUUAAAUUAACAAAAUUCGUCACGUAACCCGGUACACUAUUAUAUAUAUAUAUAUAAUAGAUUUAUUCUAGAUGCACAUGUGUUAUUAUAUUUAAAAAUUAAAAUAUAUGGUUGACUGAGUUUUAGUUGAGUUAGUAUUGGUAUUAUUGUCAGUGCAUGGAAAUGUGAGUUUAAUCGUGCUCAAAUGUGUUUUAUCCUCCAAUUCAAGGGUUAGGAAAAGGUUAUUGAUAAUUAAAUUAUACCAACUUUUAUGAUAUUAAGAAAAGAAUUUAUAAAUAAUAUAAGGAAGAAAAAAAAAAGAGAAACAUAUUCAUAUUGAUGGGCUCUUUCAAUAUUAGACUUUUUUUUUCUCUCACAAGUAAAAGUAGUUAUGGAGAGUAUCAUGUAAAAUAAUGACCUGAAUAAUUUUAAAAGUUUCAUCAUUGCAAAAAUGAAAUAAUAGAAAAGAAAGAGUAGCCAUUUUAUGAAAUUUAUAAUUCCAACUUUGAAUAAAAUAUAAAUUUUAUGAAUGUGGACAACCAAUUUUAUUUAUGUGUUUUUCGUCUUUUUCUGACCUUUUUUUAAAGUCAUUUUCUUUGUUUCCUAACCACCAUGAAAUUACUUGUCAAAAUUCAUCUUUUUAAAUGAGAAACAUUUUCCACAAUUUGCCAUCACUUAACAUACACUAACUUUUCCAACAAUUAGUGUAUCACGAGUUUUGUUUUCUUUAAAAAAUAUUUUUGUGGAUAUUAGGAGAUAAUGAAAAUUAUUUUAUUAUGAAAUUUUAAUAAAACUGGAAAGUAAGUAAUUUAUUUUAAGAGAUCACAAUUAAACAUUAGAUUUCCAUUUUUUUAAUUUUAAUUUUUUUUGACAAUUGCAUAAUUAAUAAGAUACCAAUUUUGAGCGUUAUAGGAAUGCUAUAACCUUCCCUACACAUAAUUGACUCUUGAGCAUGAUGGAUCCUAGAUAUUCUCCUCUAUUCUCGUACCAUAAAUUGCUUCGAGUGUGGACACAAUCACAAAUUAAACACAAAACUAGAAAUGAUUUAGUACUUUCAAUAGCAAAGUAAUUCUCUCUCAAUAGAAACCAAUAGAAUUGUAAUUCCCAGAAAAUAAAAUUUAUUUUUUGAAAAUAUAUUCUCACUACUUUCUAGUAGAAUAACAAUAUGUAAAACUUAUGUCUUGUGUUAAUAACUUUACCAGUACUAUCUAUUUAUAGGGAGAGACACGAGAAUGCUAGUUGAAUUAGUAAAACACGAAUAAUAUUUAUUUCAUAGAAAACAAUAUUCUAUCCUAAGUAGAUCAAGUUUGGAUGACGCAUGGAUCGAAGCUCAAUCUAGGAGAAAAAAAUAAAGAAAUUUUCUAAAAAAAGAAAAUUUGAGAUUGUACUAUUAUCGAAGUUAUAAAUAAAAUUAUACGCCAAAUUUUCAAGUCAAUUUUCAAAUCAAAUUUUGUAUGUACAAAUUUCUAACACACUUGGUGGGACAUUCUUUGACUUUUAUCUAUUCCCUGAAGAUUUGACUAGGAUCUGGAAACAGUGAAACUCAAGAACUAGGGUCAUCUUCGUUGGCAAAAUAUUUUGUAAUUGACUCUUUUGAUAAAUGAAACGCCAAAAUAUGGGGCUAUCUUGAAAUCAACACCAUUUUUUGCAUAUUUAUACAUGACUAGCAUCCAUUGGUCAUUCAUUCAUUCAUUCAUUCAUUGCAUGUACAUAUCACCCUAAUCAUUCACUAAAGCCAAAACCGUACAAUCCACAAUUGCAACACUACAAGUCUGGAAUCACGUUAUUCCAGAGCUAUGGAUGCUAUUGACAAUGAGAAUGAUGAAAUUAAGAAUGCUUCAAUGAUACGCCCUUGUCCUCCAGGAUAUGUUUUGAACAACUGGACUGCUGAGGACCUCCUUGUAGUUUUUCAGUCCCCUUCAGAGUAAUGCUCAAUGUUAACCCUUCAUUUUGUGUGUCCUUAAACAGUAGGGUUCCUUUUGUAAGAGCUUAUGUUUGCUCUUUAUCAUUUCAAUGAACAUUAAUGAAGAUGCAUUUUGUUUUAUAUUGUCAUAUUCUUUUCAUUAACUUUGCGACUACUCAUUCUGUUCAUAUCCUUUUCUAGGCAUAUAUCUCAUAUCAUCUCAUAUCAUUGUGUGUUGAUUACAAUACCUCAAUACUCUGCUAUAGCCUUUUUCCAUUCACCUUUCAGGUGCUCAGAUAUCAAUGGCAUGAAUAAUCCCGUUAUGAAUCCUGAAAUCAAUUUUGAAAAGGUUGUUUGUUUAGGAGAAUUCGAAGCUGACGAAAAUGUUGAAGAUUGUGUCUCGUCUCCUGACUUACUGAGAAUGGUGGAACAAGAAGAGAAACAAAUCCUACCCCAUCAAGAAUCUGUUGAGGUAGUUAACUUGGGGAACGAAGAAGAGAAACAAGAAGUGAAGAUUGGGACUUCCAUUUCAGAAAACACAAGGCAAGAUUUGAUCGCCUUGCUCCAGGAAUACAAGGAUGUGUUUGCCUGGUCUUAUCAGGAUAUGCCAGGAUUGAACACGGAUAUUGUAGUCCACAAGCUCCCACUGAAACCAGAAUGCAAGCCCGUUCAGCAGAAAUUAAGAAGGAUGAGACCCGAAAUGCUGUUAAAGAUAAAAGAAUAAGUCAAGAAACAAUUUGACGCUGGCUUCCUACAAGUCUCAAAGUAUCCAGAAUGGGUAGCUAAUAUAGUCCCAGUGCCGAAGAAGGAUGGCAAGGUGCGAAUGUGCGUGGAUUAUCGUGAUCUAAAUCAAGCAAGCCCUAAGGAUAACUUUCCUUUACCGCACGUCGACACUUUGGUGGAUAAUACGGCAAAGCAUUCUCUGUUUUCUUUCAUGGAUGGUUUCUCAGGAUAUAAUCAGAUAAAGAUGGCUCCCGAAGACAUGGAGAAAACUACAUUCAUAACAAUGUGGGGAACCUUCUGCUACAAGGUAAUGCCGUUCGGAUUAAAGAAUGCUGGGGCAACAUAUCAGAGAGCCAUGGUGACGUUAUUCCAUGAUAUGAUGCACAAAGAAAUAGAAGUUUAUGUCGAUGAUAUGAUUGCCAAAUCUCGGGAAGAAAGAGAGCAUGUUGGGAGUCUUAGGAAGCUGUUUGAAAGAUUAAGAAAGUUCCAGUUGAAGCUUAACCCGGCCAAAUGUACAUUUGGGGCUACCUCAGGAAAACUGCUAGGUUUCAUUGUUAGUGAAAGAGGUAUCGAGGUUGACCCAGAUAAGAUAAAAGCUAUACAAGAAUUGCCUCCCCCGCGUACACAAAAGGAAGUCAGAGGUUUUUUAGGAAGGUUGAAUUACAUUGCUCGAUUCAUUGCUCAACUUACCAAUCAGUUUGACCCAAUUUUUCGACUCCUUUNNNNNNNNNNNNNNNNNNNNNNNNNNNNNNNNNNNNNNNNNNNNNNNNNNNNNNNNNNNNNNNNNNNNNNNNNNNNNNNNNNNNNNNNNNNNNNNNNNNNUAAUCCGGGAGAAUGGAACGAGGAGUGCCAAGUGGCCUUCGACAAGAUAAGACAGUAUCUAUCUAAUCCUCCUGUGCUAGUACCGCCGACCCCUGGAAAACCCUUAAUAUUGUACCUGAACGUGUUUGAGAACUCAAUGGGUUGCGUACUGGGGCAACAUGAUGAGUCAGGGAGAAGAGAAAAGGCAAUUUACUACCUCAGCAAGAAGUUCACAGAAUAUGAGGCAAAUUACCCUUCAAUUGAGAAGUUUUGUUGUGCAUUGAUUUGGACGGUUCGAAGGCUCAGACAAUACAUGUUGCAUCACACGACAUGGUUAAUUUCAAAACUGGACCCAAUAAAGUACAUGAUGGAGUCACCUGCACUCUCAAGGAGAAUGGCCCGAUGGUAGAUCCUAUUGACUGAGUAUGACAUUGUAUAUGUGAGCCAAAAGUCGAUAAAAAGAAGCGCAAUAGCUGACUUCUUGGCAAGUCGUGCAAUAGAGGAAUACGAGCCUUUGAGAUUUGAGUUCCCAGAUGAAGAUUUGAUGUGCAUUUCAGAAAAAGAGGGCGAGUCAUCAAAAGGAAAGUCAUGGAAGAUGAGCUUUGAUGGUGCAUCAAAUGCAUUAGGGCAUGGGAUAGGAGCAGUCUUAGUAUCACCUGAAGGGGACCAUUACCCACUUACUGCCAGAUUGAAUUUCUUCUGUACAAAUAAUAUAGCGGAAUAUAAAGCUUGCAUCAUGGGACUUCGUGCAGCUAUCAAGAGGAAAAUCAAAAUCUUAGAGGUACACGGGGACUCAGCACUAGUCAUUUACCAAAUUCGUGGAGAUUGGGAAGUGAGGGAUUCGAAAUUAGUCAAAUAUCGCGAUCUUAUUGCAGAAUUGGUCAAAGAAUUUAAAGAAGUGACUUUUAACUACUUUCCACGGGAAGAGAACCAAUUGGCUGAUGCUCUGGCCACCUUGGCUUCAAUGUUCAAAGCAAACAGAGAAAUUGAGAUAAUGCCUAUCCAAAUGAGUAUAUAUGAGACCCCCACACACUGUUUUAGUAUUGAGGAGGAGUCAGAUGGACGACCAUAGUUCCAUGAUAUCUUGGAGUAUAUCGAGAAUCAAAGAUACCCCGAGCAAGCAAAUGAGAAUGACAAAAGAACAAUCAGGAAAUUGGCGAUUGGAUUUGUUCUUGACGGAGAUAUUCUAUACAAAAGAGGAAAAGAUCAAGUGAUCCUAAGGUGCGUAGACGCUGUUGAAGCCAGAAAGAUACUUGAAGAGGUUCAUGAAGGAAUUUGUGGAACACAUGCCAGUGGUUCACCAUGGCCAGGCAGAUUAUGAGACUUGAUUAUUAUUGGCUGACGAUGGAAAGGGAUUGCAUUGGUUACACACGAAAGUGCCACAAAUGUCAAAUUUAUGGCGACAAAAUUCAUGCAGCUCCAUCACCCCUUCAUGUCAUGACUUCUCCGCGGCCUUUUUCUAUGUGGGGCAUGGAUGUUAUAGGGCCAAUUUCCCCGAAAGCUUCUAAUGGACAUCGAUUCAUCUUUGUGGUUAUAGACUACUUCACAGAAUGGGUAGAAGCCACUUCGUUUGCUAAUGUGACAAAGGCUGCAGUCUGUAGGUUCUUAAAAAAAUAAGAUCAUAUGUCGACAUGGUCUGCCUGAAAGAAUCAUCUCAGAUAAUGCUUUAAAUUUGAACAACAAGAUGAUGAAAGAAGUAUGUGAGCAAUUUCAGAUAAAGCAUCAUAAUUCUUCGCCCCAUCGCCCGAAGAUGAACGGAGCAGUAGAAGCGGCUAAUAAGAACAUUAAGAGGAUUCUCGGGAAGAUGACUGAGACAUAUAAAGACUAGCACGAGAAGCUACCAUUCGCUUCGUACGCAUAUCGCACCUCUGUACGGACGUCUACAGGGGCAACUCCUUUUUCUCUGGUCUAUGGAAUGGAAGCCGUUCUGCCUAUCGAAGUAGAGAUCCCAUCCCUACGCGUCUUGAUGGAGACGAAGUUAGAAGAAUCAGAGUGGGUUCGAGCUCGACAUGAUUAGCUAAACGUUAUUUAAGGGAAACGCUUGAAAGCAAUUUGUCAUGGACAGAUGUACCAGAAGAGAAUGAUCACGGCCCAUGAUAAAAAAGUGCGGCUAAGAGAAUUUCGCGAAGGAGAGCUCGUACUGAGAAAAAUUCUCCCUAUACAGAAGGACUUUCGAGGAAAAUGGUCACCAAAUUGGGAAGGGCCAUACGUUGUAAAAAAGGCAUUCUCAGGAGGGGCUCUGAUUCUCACUGAGAUGGAUGGGAAAGAAUUACCUAAUCCAGUGAACUCAGAUGCUGUGAAGAAAUAUUAUGCUUAAAAAAAACAAAAAAAAUAGAAAAAAAACAAAACAAAAAACAAAAAAAAACAGACAAAACAAAAAACAAAAAAACAAAAAAACAAAAAAAAAGAAAAAAUCAAGAUGAAAACCCGAAAAGGGCGUCUUGAUGAACAAAAAGGAUUAGGAUGAAAACCCAAAAGGGUGUCCUAAUGAAACAAGCUCGAGCUUAAGGAGCAAGGCGACUUGAACAGGGAGUCGAAUGGCGAGGUUACAAUAUUUGAAGCAUUCUCAGAAGCUCAAAAUCUUCUACACAAGAAGCCGUGCUCGAAAAGAUCCAGGAUGAAGAAACGUGGAAAGUUCAUGCAUUGGAUAUCUAGAGCAUUUCUGGCCAUUGAAUUCGCUUUCUUUUCUUUAUGACAAUUUAUUUGUUAAACUUUCCUUGUCAAUUUCCUUCGUUUGUUACUUUUAAGAAAAUGAAUGUGAGGUAUUUCUUUCAUGCCUACUUUGUCUUUUGUAUGCAUCUCGUGUUUGAUUCAUUUAAAUGAUAAAUAGUAAGAUGACAUACUCUAAACAAAAGGAAUGUUGAGCAUUACUUGAAUGAGAACUUGAUAAAUACAAGGACCCUAAAGCAAGAAAAAGUUCAACAGGGGGCAAGAGGGUGAUAUACGAAGAAAUGUGGGUUACUCACCAAACUUGAGGAUGAGUACAAAACUAGAGAGAAAAGUCAAGAAUUGAGGAAAUGAAUGCGGACCCUCACAAAAAUCAAAAGUGGGGCACGUGACAAACAACCCAUGGUGCAUUGUAUGAUCAUGUAGACACAAAAGCAUUUAGGACAAACAUGUGCAUAUCGUAAUAACAUCAUACAUCACAUAUACAGGUAUACCAGUAGAGCAAGGAAUACUAGGAGAAAGCUGCACAGAAUCAAUGAAGAAGAAGGCUUUUAGUUUCACCUGAUGUUUUUUCAAACCCUGUUUCUUUCAAGAAAUAUUUUUUAAAAUUUUGCUUUUUUCAAAAAAUCAACUCAUAAUACAGAGGUGAGUUGAGCCUCGGGUCACGCUGAGGUAUUUUUUUUAAUUUCUGCUUUUUUCAAAAAUCAACUCAUAAUACAGAGGUGAGUUGAGCCUCGGGUCACGCUGAGGUAUUUUUUUAAAUUUCUGUUUUUUUCAAAAAAUCAAGUCAUAAUACAGAGGUGAGUUGAGCCUCGGGUCACGCUGAGGUAUUUUUAAAUUUCUGCUUUUUUUUCAAAAAAUCAACUCAUAAUACAGAGGUGAGUUGAGCCUCGGGUUACGCUGAGGUAUUUUUUUAAAUUUCUGCUUUUUUAAAAAAUCAACUCAUAAUACAGAGGUGAGUUGAGCCUCGGGUCACGCUGAGGUAUUUUUUUAAAUUUCUACUUUUUUCAAAAAAUCAACUCAUAAUACAGAGGUGAGUUGAGCCUCGGGUCACGCUGAGGUAUUUUUUUAAUUUCUGCUUUUUUCAAAAACUCAACUCAUAAUACAGAGGUGAGUUGAGCCUCGGGUCACGCUGAGGUAUUUUUUUUAAUUUCUGCUUUUUUCAAAAAAAUCAACUCAUAAUACAGAGGUGAGUUGAGCCUCGGGUCAUGCCGAGGUAUUUCUUUUAAAUUUUCGUUUUUCAAAAAAUCAACUCAUAAUACAGAGGUGAGUUGAGCCUCGGGUCAUGCCGAGGUAGUUUUUUUAAAUUUCUAUUUUUCAAAAAUCAACUCAUAAUACGAGAGGUGAGUUGAGCCUCGGACCAUGCCGAGGUAUUUCUUUUAAAUUUAUGUUUUUUGAAAAAUCAACUCAUAUUGCGAGAGAUGAGUUGAGCCUCGGGGCACAUGUCGAGGUAUUUUCGAUUUUUGUUUUUCGAAGAUCAACUCAUAAUCCAAGAGGUGAGUUGAGUCUCGGGUCGCACGCCGAGCUGUUCUCGAUUUCUGCUUUUCAAAUAAAGAGGAAAAUUUUGGAUGGUCGAACAAAAUUCAGUGCUUUUUAGUCUUUGCUCUAUCCCUGUUUCACAGCGAUGAGCAAAGAGGGGCAGCUGUAAUCACUGAAUUUUGUCCGGGAAUAAUUUUGUGUUAAAAAAAUAAAAAAAUUUUAAAAAAUUGCAUUUUGACCCCUGUACUUUCUCAAAAUUACAUUUCAACCCCUAAACUUUUAUAAAUUACUUUUGACCCCUAAACUUUCUCAAAAUUACAUUUCGACCCCUAAACUUUCUCUAAAUUAUGUUUCGGCCCCAAAACUUUUGCUGUAUUUACAUUUUGGUCCCUCUGAUAGCAAUCAGCCCAACUUGCGCCUGCAACGGCGGCGGCCGGCCUACCUCUCCCUAGCCCACUUGCUACCUGCAAAAAAAGAAGAGAACAUCAAAAUAAAAUGGGUUUUAAAACCCCCAAAGCAAAAAAAAACGGGGGGAAGUAAGGAAGCAAAAAGAAAAAAAACAACAAAAUUUUUUAGAGAAAAAUCAAGCAAAAACAGCAGCACAUCGUCGGCCCUCGCACCAACGCCACCGUGCCCACCGCCGUAGCACUCCCAUCGCCGGCACCUAGCAAAGCAAACAACAACCAAGAAGCAAAAAAAGAGAGCAAGAAGCAAACAACAAACAAAAAUAAAAGAGAAAUACAAAGGAAGAAAAAGAAAAAACAGAAAAGGAAAAGGGGAGGAGAAGAGGAGAUCUCCACCGCGCGCCGUCGCCGACCGUCGCACCAGGUCGGGGAAGCGCCGUCGGGGGCUGAACGAAGGAGAAGAAAAAAAGAAAAAAAAAGAAGAAGAAAGAAGAAGGAAGAAGAAAGGGGGGAAAGAAAAAGAAAAAAGAAAAAAGAAAAAAGAAAAAUAAAAAAAUAAUUAAAUCAGUCGGGUCGAACCGACCCGACCCGAACUAGCAACCCGACCCGGAACAGCCAGCAGACCCACAACACCCAGCAGGCCCAGCAGAUUAGGCCCAAACAGCAGGCUUUUAAAAAAAACUGCAACAAAAAGUAAGUAGCAGGCCAUUCCAGCAAAGGCCCAGCAGGUCUCCAGGCCCAACAGCAGUUCCAGCAGGCCAGCUCCAGCAGCCCCAGGCCCGUUUCAGCAGCAGGCCAGCAUCCGGCCCAGCACCCAGCGGCCCAACCUGAAAAAAAAAGAAAAAAGAAAAGAAAAAGAAAAAAGAGAAAAGAAAGAGAAAAAAGGGAAAAGGCCCAAAAUUGUGCAGCCCAUAACUUUGGGUUUUGGUAAAUUCUUGAACUUUUAAUUUUGUCUAAAUAUUUAAAUGUUGUCUCGUUUUUAAUAUUAUUGCAUAUUUUUAAAUAUUUUUAUUUUGUAUUUAUGUUUUUUUAAUUUUAUUUUAUUUUAUUCGUUAAAUUCGAACAAUUUUGAUGCAUGAGGCCACGAACCGAUUCAGCAUUAAGUCAUUGAUUUCAUCGCUAUGUUGGGUGAAUAUCGAUGGCUCGUGUCAAAUACGGGACGCCCUUUUUUUUAAAAAAAAAGCGAAGAUAUUCAAAAAUUCUCGUUUUUUUAAAAAAUAAAAAAAGUUUCUCGUGUUUUAAUAGAAUCACGAUUAAAUAUUAAGUUGAAUCGAUUUAACACUAAUUCGAUGAUUUCAUCGUCAUGUAUGGGUGAAUAUCAUUGAUUUGUGUCAAUUGCGGUACCUUUAAAAAAAAACUAAUCGUGUUUCAAAAAUUUUCAUGUUUCCAAAAAAUUCCCGUGUUUUAAAAAUUUCCUUAUUUUCAAAAAUUUUCGUGUUUCAAAAAAAUCCUCAUGCUUUUAAAAAUUUUAGUGUUUCAAAAAUCCUCGUGUUUUCAAAAAUUAUUAUUGUGUUUCAAAGUUCUCGUGUUUAAAAAAAAAAGGGUUUUCUCAAGUUUCAAUCAGAUCACAAUUAAAUCUUAAAUUGAACUUGUAUUUUUGAAAAUUAAGACAACGCGCAUUUAACGAGAUUCCAAUUUUGGGCGUCGCGAGGGUGCUAAUACCUUCCUCGCGCGUAACUGACUCCCGAACCCUAAUUUUCUCUGGAUUUUCACGCAGACCUAAAAUUACCUCUUUUUUAGGAAAAUUUAAAAUAAAUUUUUCUUCUAAAAAAAGAAUUUAUUAGGUGUCCGAUCACACCUAAAAAAGAUCGGUGGCGACUCCUUUUGCAAAUAAAAUCGAAACUCUAUUUUCAAAUUUUCAAUAAUUAAUUCGAUUAGCGCCCGUGCCCAAAAUUUUUAGGUCGCUACAGAGAUAACAGAAAAAGAAAACCUGAUAGAUACUCUAACUCUUAGUAAAAUUCGGCACCAAAAAGCAAAGCAAAAACAAACGAUACACAAAACCAAUAUGAGAAAUAUCCCCUCUGGCUGAAUUUUUCCUGAGUACAAAGUUCAAUUUCUGCAUACCCUUUCCUUUCCCCUCACUUCCCUUCGUUUUCUCCAAAAAUCUCUCCCUUUAUCCCUCCUUGAAUCACUCCACCUAUUUCUCCUCAACUCCCCCGACAACUCCAUUCAAAUUCCAUUCAAACUCCCCUUGGCUGUGUUUCAGUCCAACUCCACUUCCAACACAGCUCAAGCAGCAAAAUAAAUAUUCCAUUGUGCAACCCAAUACUUGAACCUCAAACCUCACAGUUACACAACACGCCACUUUACCACUAGGCCACAAGCUCUUUUUAUUUCAUGAACAAGCACUAUUAUUUAUAAGGCCUAUAUGCCAGUGUCCAGAUUCAUUUAAGAGCAAAACUAAAAAUUCUACAAAAGCCAAAACUUAAACCCCUAACUUCUCAGACACUUGCAAACACUCCUAAAUCACUUAACCACUGAAGCAAACAUUCAUUUAUGUCUCUUCCUUGUACAACUAAAUAUUUAUGUGCAGUCUUUUAACUGUCUCCUUGUUCAAAACCUAUUUCUUCUAGGCCCAAAAUUUGGGGUGUUACACAAAUGGGUCUUUAGGGUUAAACUUCAAUAAUUGAUGAGCUCUUCCACAAAUUGUGGAUGAUAUGGGGAUAAGAACUUCAAUUAUUCUAGAGUUAGAAUGUAAAUUUACCACUAUAUUAUAAGUAAAUAUUGAAAUUUAUCACUAUAUUUUAAUUGAUACUUGUCAUUACACUUUGAAAAUAUAAGUAAAUUUACCAUUUAACUCAUAUGUGAUUGAACUUUGCAAGUAAACUUAAAAUUUUAUUUAAUUUUGUCACUAAAUUUGAUUUAUUUAAUUAAAUUUACAACUCAACAUAAAUUUUGGUGACUUAAAACAAAAUUAAUAAAAAAACUAUUCUUUCAUAUAUUUUUUUUAGUGUUUAAUAAUAAGUUGAUUUAUAAAAUAUACUUUCAUUAGACACAAGCAUCCAAGGCGGUGAACAAACCACUGGUCAAAUUAAUUUGGAGAUAUGUUUUUGUCUAACGAGUUUUGCUUCUUUUUUUUUAAAUAUUUUUAAUAUUUUUGUGGAUAUCAAGAGAUACCAAAAUUAUUUCACUAAGGAAUUAAUUAGUGUUUUAUUUUAAGGGUUCACAAUUAAACAUCGAAUUUUUCAUUUUUAAAUUUUGAAUUUUUUAACAAUCGUGUAAUUAACAAGUACUAAUUUUUUGGUGUUGUAGGGUUAUUACAAUCUUCUCUACAUGUAACAGACUCUCAAACCUACUUUUUUCUCUAGAGCUCAACGCAAACCUCAAUUUUUUUUUUACCGAUCACACUUAAGAAAAUUACAAUUUUUUUUUGAAAUUUAAAUUGAUCUAAAAACAUAUUUUUAAGUGCUUUAGACCAUCCGGUGCUGAUUUCUUUAUUGUAUUAAAUGCUUGCGAUCACUCUUGAUAUAUUAUACUUGAGUUGUGACAGAGCCAAUUGUCAACGUGCCAUAAUGUUCUAUUGAUGCUGAAACUGAAGUUUUUGUUAUGUUAAGAGAGCUUGUCCUUCAACGCGUAUAACGGGUGUUUGUUAUUUUUUCCCUUCAAAUUAUAUGAUCUCAUUCAUUAAAUGAAUUAAUGAAUUUCCCUUUAAAGAUAUAAUUUUAAAAAUUAAAUACUUUAUAAAAUAUUUAAAACUAUUUAAAAAAUUGUAAGCGUUAAAACAAUUAACAAGAUAUAUUUUUCUCUAAAAAAUCAAUAAAAAUAUGUUUGAAAUUUUAUAUGAAAUUUAAAAUUUUCUAACUUAUUUUCAAUCAACUUUAUUUCAAUUUUCAAUCACAAUCAAUUGCAUUCAAGAGCACCAUAUCUUUUUGGAUGAAACAAAGCUCUCAAUAUUAAGAUAAACGGGUCUUUAGGGUUAUUAAUUUAGGGCCUUUUCCACAAUUUCCAUCGUUAUUUGCGGGUGGUUCGGGGAUGAUAACUUCAACAUUUUUGCAUCACAUUUAAUUCAAUUCCACAUUCAAUUUUUAAUUUUUAGAGAGAUGAUUGGUUUACAACAAUGGUUUGAAGUGAAGAUAUUUCAAAAGAAGAUGAAUAAUUUAAAAUUCAGGUUAUGUUUCAUUUCAAUUAAGUUAAAUGUUAAGAUUAAGGUUAAACCUUUUAGAGGUUGUUCACAAAAGGAUCAAACAUUUAUAAAGUGCUUAAAUGAAGGCCAAACUUUUUAAAAUAGAUAAAUAAGGCCCUAACCUUUUAAAGGGUGUUCAAAGAAGGGCUUCUCAAAUGUUGUAUAUCAGGUUAUGGAUUUUACUCUAAACAUAUCGGCAUUUACCUAUUUUUUCUACAAAUUAGAUUGAAAUGCGUGAAAAACCCUUAUUUUAGCACUUCUGUAAAGGUUAAACUCUUAUUUGACCAUUUUGAAAGGUUUGAUCCUUAUGUGAGCAACCUCUAAAAGAUUGAGCACUAAUUUGACAAGUUGAGAAAUAUCAAAUUUGUUUUCAUGAAUCAAGAAAUUAAAAAAAAAAAUGUUGAGAAAUAUUUUAGAGACAAGUUCCCUCCACCAGCUCCCUGCAUCCAGUCCCACCUCUUCUCUUAUGCUCCUUCCAGGUUCUUGCUUUUUGUGUGUUGAAAAUUCGAAGGAACAAAAUAUCAACCUACAUCAUAAGGCACGAAGGCCAGAAAUUACUUGAGAUCUGACAACUUUAUUUCAUUUUCAUUUUCUUUGUUAUUUUCUAUGUUUCUUGUCAAAUACAAUGAAAAAAGAACAUAGAAAAAUGUUGCCCAUUUAUUUCCCAAUCAUCAUGAAAUUACUUGCCAUAGACUUAGAAUUUAUUUCUCACCAAUUUUCAAGCAAUCUGACAUGAUUUCUCAAUCACAAUUAAUUGAAUUCAAGAUCUUUUUGGAUGGCACAAACAUUUGAAUUUUAACACAAACCAAUAUUUAGGUUAUACUUCAGUGCUUGACAAGCACUUUCACAUUUGUGGGAUAAGAACUCUAACAUAUUUGGAUCACAUUUAAUUCAAUAUAACGCCGACCAAGUAGACGGCGGCGGCUGUGAAGGAGGUUAAAUCAAGAAAUUAAAUCCUUUUAGAACUCUAUUAUAAAGAAACCAUAUUCUUUAAGGAUUAUUUUAUCUCUAAUUAAUUAAAUUAAUAAGAUAUGAAUAACAAUAAUAGAGUUUAAAUUCUACAAGAAUUCUCUUAUAUCAAAGUGAUUGACACUAUAAAAACGGGUCACCUCCAAGUCAUUCUACACAUUCACAAGUUUAAGAAGUCCAAAAAUUCUUUACAAAAAUAUUUGAAGAAACUAAAGAAGUGGAAGAAAUUCUAAUGAACAUCACAUCAAUUGAGAAGAGGAUGUGAACAGAAGAGAAGAAUCAAAGAAGUUUUGUUUGUAAAGAAAUUCAAAACUUGUACACUCUUCGAAAUUAUAAAUAAAUUUUGAUGCAAAAUUUUCAAAUUAAUUUUCAACUUGAAAUUUGUGUAUACAAUAUAUAUGGGAAAGAAUCCAUUUACAUUAUAUAAAACUAGUGUAUGUAUAAUACAUAAAUAUUUAGUACGUAAUCAAUUCACUUUAAAUGAAACGAGAUCCACGAGUGUUUGGUGUUAUAUUUUUAAAAUGUAUUUACAUGAUUGUUUAUUAAUUUUAUUUGUUUAUAUUUAAAUCAAAUGUAAUAAAUUGUUGAAUUUAUAUACUUCUUAUUAUAACAAUAUAUGGACUAUCUUCCUACUUCUCUUUUUAAUUUAAUUUUUUGUAACUCUUCACAAUUUAUUUUGAACAACAUUGAAAAAAACUAAAUGAUUAAAUUAAGGCUCAACUUUUCACUAACCUUAGUUUAUUUAGUCUCACUUUUCACAAAUUAUUCUACUCAUUUCAUGUUUCAUACCAACAACUUUUCUUUUUGCUGAAAAGAAAAAAACAACUAUACUUUCUUUAAUCCCAAAAUUAAGGCUUUAUGAAUGAAAAUAAUAUUAUAUUAACUAUGAUAAUUAAGUUUUUAUUUUUAAUAUGAUUAAUAUUAUAUAUAAUAACUUUAAAUAUGCUUCCACUAAUGAGAUAUACUAAAGAAAAGAGUAACUUUCUUUUUAGGAUAACUAAUUUCCAAUUAUGUAUUUUAAUCUAUCACUAAGUAAUUAAUUAAGUUAAUGUCACAAGUGAAUCGUACAUCAUAUACCAACUCAAUUGGAAAAUGUCUUUAAAUUAUUUUUAAAUUGUAACAAAUAUUAUUAUUAAGAUGUUUUUCUUUUUAUAUUUUUUAUAAAUAUAAUAAAAAACAAUUAGAAUAAUUUUAAGAGAAAAAAACUCAUACACUGUAGAAUUUAAUGUAAAGAUAUCAAAGUUUUAAAGCCUCAACUUUAACCUUUCAACCGAAAUUCCAUUAGUCAAUAAAUAUUUUAUAAAUAUAGAUUUUAUAAAUAUAGAAUUUAAUCACAAGUGUACCAUAUUUAGAGAUAUUCAUAGCUAGGCAGUCCACUUUGGGUCAAGAAGUUUGUAGUUAGGCAGCCCACUUUGGGCCAGGAUUCAGCUUACGCUUUUAAUCUUGGGCUUUAAAAAUAAUAAAAAUAUAAAAAUAAUGUUCUAUUAAUAUUUAUAAAUUUUAUAAAUUUAAAUUUAUUUAUAUUUUUUAAACAGUAAAAUCAACCAUUUAUAUGGGCUAAAUUGAGUUAAGUUCGGUUUGCAUCAAGCCUUAACUUUGACCAAAUCCAACUAAAAACACCUCUAACCAUAAUCUAGUAUUGUUUUUAUGAAUUCAAUUUUAACUUGUAAUUUUCAAUUCUAUUACAAAAUUUCUUUGCCUACGAUAAGAAAAUAACAUAUUUGUAACUUCUCCAAUCCGGCGUAAACGUUCAGUCUGAAUUCGGAAGAUUACAUCAGCUAUAAAGAUGGCCUAGUAGGGUUAUCGGAGUUUUUGAAAAUAGACAUCUUUAAAACGUUUGUUUAAUUUAGUAAAAAACUUAUUUAAUUUCUAAAUUAUUUAUUACUUGAAAUCUUAAUUACACUUUAAAAGUAGGAAGUGGUAACUAUUUAUUUUUAAUAAAAAUCGGGGUUCAUGUAUAAUUUAUUAAUAACCAUAAUUCGAAAACAAUAAAACUUAAUUAAAUGUCAUGCAAAAUAAAACAAGCUUAAAUCUAAAUCUCAUGCCACAGUUCAAUAUAAUUUAUUGUAGUCUUCGAAAAUAAAAUAAAUCAUAUAAUCAACCUAAAAUAAGUUUGUAAUUUAACAAUGUGUCGAGACCUUCCAGAUGUCACUCCCGCGUCCUAACCUAGAGGGUUAUCUGUAAGGAUGAAAACCUUCCAGGUGCGGCGCUACUGCGGCGGCCAUGGCUGAAGAUCUAGGCCGGAUUUUGGGGAGGGGUUGAGGUUUGAGAGAAUUUUGUUUGAUUUUUUUAGAGGAAAGGAGAAAAUGAAGGAUUUAAAAAAAAAAUUGGCUUUUAUAGCAUUAAGAAACGGCGCCGUUUUGAUCUUAGGGUUCAGAGGCCAAAAUGACGUCGUUUUGACCUCUGACCCGUCACCCGACCCAGCAGCCCACAGGAUUCGAGUGUUUUUGCGGUGAAUGGUCCCUCAGCUUUUGCGCCGUGAUGCAAUCUGGUCCCUUCGUUUAUUUUAUUUUUGCCCCAUAAAUUUUAUACUUGUUUCAUUUUAGUCCACGCUGAAACGUUGUGCUUUAUGGCUGGGAAUAUUGCCCAGUCAGUCCCUAAUUUCUUAAGCGCGUUCCACUUCAGUCCCUAGCCACCCCCUUUUUAUUUAUUUGCGAUUUAAGCUCCGAAUUUUGGGGUCCGUUUUCAAAUUAGUCCUUAGCCUGUUUAAUUUUAAUUUUUAAAAAAAAAUAGAUUUGUCUAAUAUUUCACUUAAUAGUUAUUUAUUUACUUUUUUUUAAUUGUAAAUCAAGCUUACAUUAGUAUUUAUCUAUCUAUCUAUCUAUCUAUUUAUUUAUUUAUUGGCUUGUUCAUCUUAUUUUGCCAUUAUUAUUACUAUCAUUCCAUUAUCUAUUUAUGUGCUAAUUUUCAAAUAUUUUCAAAUUAGUAUUAUAUUUAUUAUUGUUGUUGUUAUCGUUAUUGUUAUAUUGUUACUUGCAUUAUUAUUAUUCAUGCAUGUUAACAUUAAGAUUUAUUAGUAUCAAUGCUAUAUGUGUAUUUUAUGAUGCAUAGUAUGUCAUGAUUAUUUUAAAUGCAUAUCGUAUUAUCGUUAUUAGUCGUGUACGACUCCUCUUUUUAAAAACGAUUUCUUUUCGAAUAUAAUCAAAGUUUGCACACAUACUAUUUUUAAAUAUUCUAUUAGUGCUCACUUAAAUUCAAAAAAAAAAAAUCAAAGAAAGGCAAUACUUUGCAUUUUGGCAAUUUGAGAAAUCGUACCCUAACUUACGGGGUUUCGGCUUUCUCGUUAAACCUAAAUAGCAAAAUAUUCUUUUAAAACUUCAAAAUACAAAUUUUCAAUAAAAUUUAAAGACGAGUUUAUUCUCUAAGGUUCUAAAUAACGUGUCCUAACUUAUGGGACGUGGUAUUUCGUUACCUUGGGACGAGUGGAUCUUUAACUCUCUUUUCGAUUUAUUCAAGCAAUUUUUAAUGGCAUUAAUAAAAAGGGAUUGUAUUUUAAAUUUCCCUUCGAAUUUUCUACUUUAAAUAUUAAGACAUUAAGUAAUCAACUAGGUACCGAUUUUGAGCGUAUUGAGGGUGCUAAUUCUUCCUCGUGAGUAACCGACUCCCGAACCCAUUUUCUGGAUUUUUGUGGACCGAAAAAUUUUGUUUUAGUAAAUCAAACCGUUUAUUUAAAACAAUUCAAUUACGAGGUGAUCCGAUCACACCUCACAAAAAAAAAAGAUUGGUGGCAAUUCCCAUGUUCGUUUUCAUUUACAAAAUUAAAGUCGACCCUCCUUUUUAAAAAAAAUGGUUUCGACACUACGAAUAUGAACCUUCAAGCUUUUGUGGAUAAUGUUACAGAUGGUUGUUGCAAAAAAUAUUUCUUAUUCUUUUAUGUGGCAUGCCACAUUAUCAUAUUAUCAUGUGACAACUUCUGGUGAUUUCUGUCCGUAACAAUUUUUGUUAAAUGAAGAGGUCAAUUGAUUUUUUUGGAAUCAUUGAGUACUCAAUUGGUGCACUUUUUUCGUAAAGGCUAAAUUAAUUUUUUAAUUUGUUACUGUUGAGGGCUAUAGCAAUAAAAAAUUUUGAGGUAAAAUGAAAAAAAAUGUUAGAGCUAAAUUUGUCAUUAUGCCUAAAAUGUAAAACCAAAAUUUUUUGAAAAUGAAAAAAAAUGGAAAAUCACAAAUUGUGUCACUUAUGUUUGCUUAAAAUUAUAGUUUUGGUCACGAAUCUUUUGAAGUAAAUAUAUGGUCACCAAUACAAUCCAUUUGUUACUUUGUAAUAACUCACCUUAAAGUUAUACCCCUACGCAAGAAAGUAUUCAAUGACAUUGGGAUACCAUCAAACUUGUAUCUUUUUUUAUUCAUCCAAUGUCAUUUCAACAUUUUCAUUUAAAAACAUAUCAUUUUGGAUUUGAUCUUUUCAAUGAUGAAACUAUUGAAAUGAUGUUAAAUUAUUGGAAAGAGAUACAAGUUUAAUCUUAUCUAUCUAAGAAAGCUGAUGUAACACACUAAUGACAUCAUUUCAAACAAAGUUUUGGGUCCAAUUGUUCAUCUAGUCCUUGUAAUUGCUUUUAGGUGAAUUUCACUAUUAUUCUUUUAUUUUCUUUGGCUUAAAUACACAUUUACCCUUAAUUUUAUCACAUUCUCCUUCAUUGGUAUUUAUGGUUUAGAAAAUUUUACAAAUAUAUUAUUUUUUAAGAAAUUAUAAGAAGAUUACAUUGUUUUUAUGCAUUGAAUUUUAACUUGUAAUUUUCAAUUUUAUUACAAAAUUUCUUUGCCUACAAUAAGAAAAUAACAUAUUUGUAACUUCUCCAAUCCGGCGUAAACGUUCAGUCUGAAUUCGAAAGAUUACAUUAGCUAUAAUGAUGGCCUAGUAGGGUUAUUGAAGUUUUUGAAAAUAGACAUCUUUAAAACAUUUGUUUAAUUUAGUAAAAAACUUAUUUAAUUUCUAAAUUAUUUAUUACUUGAAAUCUUAAUUACACUUUAAAAGCAGGAAGUGCUAACUAUUUAUUUUUAAUAAAAAUUGGGGUUCAUGUAUAAUUGAUUAAUAACCAUAAUUCGAAAACAAUAAAACUUAAAUUAAAUGUCAUGCAAAAUAAAACAAGCUUAAAUCUAAAUCUCAUGCCACAGUUCAAUAUAAUUUAUUGUAGUCUUCGAAAAUAAAAUAAAUCAAAUAAUCAACCUAAAAUAAGUUUUGCAAUUUAACAAUAUGUCGAGACCUUCCAAAUGUCACUUCCGCGUCCUAUCCUGGAGGGUUAUCUGUAAGGAUGAAAACCUUCCAGGUGCGGCGCUACGGCAACAACCAUGGCCGAAGGCCUAGGCCAGAUUUUGGGGAGGUGUUGAGGUUUGAGAGAAUUUUGUUUGAUUUUUUUAGAGGAAAGGAGAAAAUGAAGGAUUUAAAAAAAAAUUGCUUUUAUAGCAUUAAGAAACAACGCCGUUUUGAUCUUAGGGUUCAGAGGCCAAAAUGACGUCGUUUUGACCUUUAACCCGUGACCCGACCCAGUAGCCCACGAGAUCCGAGUGUUUUUGUGGUGAAUGAGCUAUUUCCGGGCAGGGUCCCUCAGCUUUUGCGCCGUGAUGCAAUCUGGUCCCUUCGUUUCUUUUAUUUUGGCCCCAUAAAUUUUAUACUUGUUUCAUUUUGGUCCGCGCUGAAACGUUGUGCUUUAGGGAUGGGAAUAUUGCCAGUCAAUCCCUAAUUUCUUAAGCGCUUUCCACUUCAGUCCCUAGCCACCCCCUUUUUAUUUAUUUGCGAUUUAAGCCUUGAAUUUUGGGGUCUAUUUUCAAAUUAGUCCUUAGCCUGUUUAAUUCUAAUUUUUUUAUUUAAAAAAAAUAGAUUUGUCUAAUAUUUCACUUAAUAGUUAUUUAUUUACUUAUUUUCAAUUAUAAAUCAAACUUAGUAUUUAUUUAUUUAUCUAUCUAUCUGUUUAUUUAUUUAUUUAUUGGCUUGUUCAUCUUAUUUGUGCCAUUAUUAUUACUAUCAUUCCAUUAUCUAUUUAUGUGCUAAUUUUCAAAUAUUUUCAAAAUUUAGAUUCAUUAGUAUUAUAUUUAUUGUUGUUGUUAUUAUCGUUAUUGUUGUAUUGUUACUUGCACUAUUAUUAUUCAUGCAUGUUAACAUUAAGAUUUAUUAGUAUCAAUGCUAUAUGUGUAUUUUAUGAUGCAUAGUAUGUCAUGAUUAUUUUAAAUGCAUAUCGUAUUAUCGUUAUUAGUCAUGUACGACUCCUCUUUUUAAAAACGAUUUCUUUUCGAAUAUAAUCAAAGUUGCAUGCGUACUAUUUUUAAAUAUUCUAUUAGUGCUCACUUAAAUUCAAAAAAAAAAUCAAAGAGAGGCGAUACUUUGCAUUUUGGCAAUUUGAGAAACUGUACCCUAACUUACGGGGGUUCGGCUUUCUCGUUAAACCUAAAUAGCAAAAUAUCCUUUUAAAACUGCAAAAUACGAAUUUUCAAUAAAAAUUAAAGACGAGUUUAUUCUCUAAGGUUCUAAAUAUCGUGUCCUAACUUACGUGACGUGGUAUUUCGUUACCUUGGGACGAGUGGAUCUUUAACUCUCUUCUCGAUUUAUUCAUGCAAUUUNNNNNNNNNNNNNNNNNNNNNNNNNNNNNNNNNNNNNNNNNNNNNNNNNNNNNNNNNNNNNNNNNNNNNNNNNNNNNNNNNNNNNNNNNNNNNNNNNNNNNNNNNNNNNNNNNNNNNNNNNNNNNNNNNNNNNNNNNNNNNNNNNNNNNNNNNNNNNNNNNNNNNNNNNNNNNNNNNNNNNNNNNNNNNNNNNNNNNNNNNNNNNNNNNNNNNNNNNNNNNNNNNNNNNNNNNNNNNNNNNNNNNNNNNNNNNNNNNNNNNNNNNNNNNNNNNNNNNNNNNNNNNNNNNNNNNNNNNNNNNNNNNNNNNNNNNNNNNNNNNNNNNNNNNNNNNNNNNNNNNNNNNNNNNNNNNNNNNNNNNNGUUACAGAAGGUUGUUGCAAAAAAUAUUUUUUUAUUCUUUUAUGUGGCAUGCCACAUUAUCAUAUUAUCAUGUGACAACUUCGGGUGAUUUCUAUCCGUAACCGUUUUUGUUAAAUGAAGAGGUCAAUUGAUUUUUUUGGAAUCAUUGAGUACUCAAUUGGUGCACUUUUUUCAUAAAGGCUAAAUUAAUUUGUUACUGUUGAGGGCUAUAGCAAUAAAAAAAUUUGAGGUAAAAUGAAAAAAAUGUUAGAGCUAAAUUUGUCAUUAUGCCUAAAAUGUAAAACCAAAAUUUUUUGAAAAUGAAAAAAAAAUUGGAAAAUCACAAAUUCUAUCACUUAUGUUUGCUUAAAAUUAUAGUUUUAGUCACCAAUCUUUUAAAGUAAAUAUAUGAUCACCAAUAUAAUCCAUUUGUUACUUUGUAAUAACUCACCUUAAAGUUAUACCCCGACGCACGAAAGGAUUAAAUGACAUUGGGAUAUAAUAAAACUUGUAUCUUUUUUUAUUCAUCCAAUGUCAUUUCAACAUUUUCAUUUAAAAAAAUUGACAUAUCAUUUUGGAUUUGAUCUUUUUCAUGAUGAAACUAUUGAAAUGGUGUUAAAUUAUUGGAAAGUGAUACAAGUUUAAUCUUAUCUAUCUAAGAAAGCUGAUGUAACACACUAAUGACAUCAUUUCAAACAAAGUUUUAGGUCCAAUUGUUCAUCUAGUCCUUGUAAUUGCUUUUAGGUGAAUUUCACUAUUAUUCUUUUAUUUUCUUUGGCUUAAAUACACAUUUACCCUUAAUUUUUUCACAUUCUCCUUAAUUGGUAUUUAUGGUUUAGAAAAUUUUACAAAUAUAUAUUUUUUAAGAAAUUAUAAGAAGAUUACAAAAAUUCCAAAAAAAUAUAAAAAAGCUAAGAAAAACCUUGAAAUUCAAAAAAAAAUCAUGUUUUUACAAAUUAGGAAAUACCUAAAUUUGUUUUCAUCAAUUAAGAAAUUAAAAAAAUUGUUGAGAAAUAUCUUUUUAGAAAUAUCAUAAUUGCAUUUAAGACCUCAUGAUUAUCUUUUAUAAUUUCAAGGUUAUCAACUAUUUUGAAAACAAAGACAAAAACAGAAACAAAAACGUCGACAUAUCACUUUAGCAUUGACUUACUUUUCUACUCUUAGUCUUCUCCAACAAGUUAAAUAUUUCAAUUUUAACAAUAUUGACAGGUCUUUGGGGUAGGGUCGAGCAAAACUCAAUAGAAACAGAUGAUAUAGGUUGAGUUGGCUCAGUCAAGCCCAUGUCCCUCGCUACACGCCCCUGGUAAAAUCAAUUUUAAAAUUAAUUAUAAUAGUUUAAGCGAAUUGAUUAUUGAGUAAUGAAAUACUUAAUUCAACCAAUUGAUGUAAUCAAAUUAUAAUAAAUAUAUAUUUACUUUUAUGAUACCCUUCGUCUUCUUUUUAGAGUUUGUGGCAAUAUUUUUUUUAUGCUUCAAAUUUAUAUUUUUUUAUUUAUGAGUACAAUGUGUCUUACAAUUACAUCUGCAAUUUAUAUUUUUUAUUUGAAAACAUAUAUUAUAAUAUAUGAAAAACAUAUAUAUAACCAGAUUUUGUCACACCCAUUUUAUGUUAAAAAUAUUUUCAUUUAAAUUGAGUAUAGGUUGGGUGGUAAUGUACUUAUAUUUUAAUACUAGUAAAUACGUGUUCAAUCUUUAGAUUUAUAAUUUAUAAUUCUUUUAAUUAAAGAUGAUAUACAAGUAUGAAAAGACAAAAGUGACAUAGUAAUAAUAUUAAUUAUUAAUUUUAUAAUUUCAUAAUUGAGUUGAUGGCAUGGUUGAAGGUGACACUAACUCUAAAACACUUAAAUAUAAUAAUAGCUUAAAAAUGAGGGGCUUUUGGUAAAUACAUUACUGAGUUGGUGACCUGAUUGAGGGUCACAUCAACUAAAUAAAACACUUAAAUAUUGACUACAAAUCCUAUCACACACUUAUGUGUCUAAAAACCACAAAUUUAGUAUACAAAGAUGUGUUUAAAAUUAACAUACAAUAAAGAAUGAAAUUUAUGGUUUGAAACUAAUUAGUAAUAACACAUGAAAUAUGUAUGAUAUCAAAAUGAAAAAAAAAAGAGAAUAAAUUGUGCAUAAAACAAAAUUUUAUCCUAUUACAUCAAUAAAGUUAUAUUUAUUACCCUCGCCAAUUAUUUGUCAUUAAGAACAUUAAAGUAUCCUUGAAUGAUAUAACUUAUUCUAAAUAGAGUUGAUGUAUGGUUGGCUUGGGAUACCAACUCAGUCAGGGACUUAAGAUUAUUAAAAUAUUCUUAUUUUAAAGGGAAAUUAAUAUUAUCAUAAGUGUAUUUUCACCUUUUCAUACUUUGAUAUAAUCUUCAAGUAAAACGAUUGAAAAAUAUUAUUUGAGAACACAAGACUAAAAAAAUUCAUAUAGAAAACGCUUACCACUCCACUAAUAAUCAUUUGUCAAUGUAUUUUUUGUAAAAAGACCUCUCCAAUCCCUCUUAAUUUCACAAUUGCGCAAAUUAGUCCCUCUCAAAAAAAUUGGAGUAAUUUAAUUCCUAUCAAUUUUGAAAGUGAGUAACUAAGGAUAAUUAAUUAUGGUGUUAAAUUCUUCCAUCAAUUGUACAUAAUUUUGAUUGGUAUAGUAAUAAAUUUAGCCUACAAUGUUUAUAUAUUUUGUCAUUUUGGCCUUAAUUUUUAAAAAAAUUUCAAGAAAUUCAGCCUCAACAUUACAUAUUUACACAAACAUUGCGGGAUAAUUUUGUUAAAGUAAAACCAGCUAAUAAAUUUAUUAUUAUACCAAACAAAAUCAUAUACAUUUUAUGGAAAAUUAACAUCCUGAUUAAUUAUUCUUAGUUACUCACUUUCAAAAUUAAUAGGGACUAAAUUGCUCUGUUUUUUUUUUUGGGGUGACCAAUUUCCUCAAUUUAGAAAUUGAGAGAGACUAUUGAGAUCUUUUACAUAUUUUUUUUAUAAAUAUACCUUUUUAAUAUAAAAUAUAUUUGUUCACACACAUCGUGAGUAUGAUAAAAUAUGUUUAUUGUUGAUUGAGUUGGUGUCAAAAAUUAACUUGACACAAACUCAAGAUUAAUAAUAACAAUAUGAUAAAUAAUUAUUUAUUUAAUAUUCUUAAUUUAAGAUAUUGAUGUAAAUUUUAAGACAUGCAUGUCUUGUAGAAUUGUAAUUAUACUUUUUGAGUAUUGACUCAGUUUUCCCGAAUUGUGGGUCUCUAUUUCAGCAAAACAAUUUAAACAUUUCUUCAUCUCGCUUAAUCCAAAUGCAUUUAGGAUUUUCUUAUGUCACUGCUUCAAAAACGGUAAAAAAAAAAUGUCGACAUUGAAUUUGCUGUUUCACAUUCAAUUNNNNNNNNNNNNNNNNNNNNNNNNNNNNNNNNNNNNNNNNNNNNNNNNNNNNNNNNNNNNNNNNNNNNNNNNNNNNNNNNNNNNNNNNNNNNNNNNNNNNCCAUCAACUUGACUUCAAUUUUCAGUCACAAUCAAUUGCAUUCAAGAGCACCACAUCUUUUUGGAUGAAACGAAGCUCUCAAUUUUAAGAUAAACGGGUCUUUAGGGUUAUUAAUUGAGGGCCUUUUCCACAAUUGCCAUCGUUAUUUGCGGGUGAUUGGGUUACGACAAUGGUUUGAAGUGAAGCUGUUUCAAAUGAAUAUGAAUACUCUACCAGUAAGUCAUAAUUUAAAAUUCAGGUUAUGUUUCAUUUCAACUAAGUUAAAUGUUAAGAUUGAAGUUAAACCUUUUAGAGGUUGCUCACAAAAGGAUCAAACCUUUAUAAAAGUGCUUAAAUGAAUGCCAAACUUUUUAAAAUAGACAAAUAAGGCCCUAACCUUUUAAAAGGUGUUCAAAUAAGGGCUUCUCAAAUGUUGUAUAUCAAGUUAUGUAUUUUACUCUAAACAUAUCAGCAUUUACUUAUUUUUUCUACAAAUUGGGUUGAAGUGCAUGGAAAAUCUUUAAUAUCAAGUUAUGUAUUUUACUCUAAACAUAUCAGCAUUUACUUAUUUUUUCUACAAAUUGGGUUGAAGUGCAUGGAAAAUCUUUAAUAUCAAGUUAUGUAUUUUACUCUAAACAUAUCAGCAUUUACUUAUUUUUUCUACAAAUUGGGUUGAAGUGCAUGGAAAAUCUUUAAUAUCAAGUUAUGUAUUUUACUCUAAACAUAUCAGCAUUUACUUAUUUUUUCUACAAAUUGGGUUGAAGUGCAUGGAAAAUCUUUAUUUAAGCACUUUUGUAAAGGUUAAACUCUUAUUUGACAAUUCUGAAAGGUUUGAUCCUUAUGUGAGGAACCUUUAAAAGAUUGAGCACUAAUUUAACAAGUUGAGAAAUACCUAAAUUUGNNNNNNNNNNNNNNNNNNNNNNNNNNNNNNNNNNNNNNNNNNNNNNNNNNNNNNNNNNNNNNNNNNNNNNNNNNNNNNNNNNNNNNNNNNNNNNNNNNNNCCUGCCUCCAGUCCCACCUCUUCUCUUAUGCUCCUUCUAGGUUCUUGCUUUUCGUGUGUUGAAAAUUCAAAGGAACAAAAUAUCAACCUACAUCAUAAGGCACGAAGGCCAGAACUUUACUUUCUAGCCCGUCCGAUCCAAUGAAAGAAGAACAAAGAGUCUUGAGAUCUGACAACUUUAUUUCAUUUUCAUUUUCUUUGUUAUUUUCUAUGUUUCAUGUCAAAUACAAUGGAAGAAGAACAUAGAAAAAUGUUGCCUAUUUAUUUCCCAAUCAUCAUGAAAUUACUUGCCAUAGACUUAGAAUUUUCUCACCAAUUUUCAAGCAAUCUGACAUGAUUUCUCAAUCACAAUUAAUUGAAUUCAAGAUCUUUUUGGAUGACACAAACAUUUCAAUUUUAACACAAACCAAUAUUUAGGUUAUACUUCAGUACUUGACAAGCACUUUCACAUUUGUGGGAUAAUAACUCUAGCAUUUUAGGAUCACAUUUAAUUCAAUUGCAUUUAAGACCUCAUGAUUUUAUUCUAUAAUUUGAGUCUUAUCAACCUUUUGGGAAAUAAUAAAACAUCGACAUUAAACAUUGUUGUUGAUGCAUUCAAUUUGAUUUUUUGAGGGGUCGUUGGAGUUGUAUGUGAAUUUAGCAUUGAUUGACUUUUUUAGAAUUAAUCUUUUAUACCAAUUUAAUAACAUCGACAUGUUUUUGGGUAGGGUCGAGCAAAACCCAAUUAAAACCGAUGAUAUUGGUUUAGUUGACUCGGUCAAGUCCAUUAGAUGGAGAAAAUCAAUUUUAAAAUCAGUUAUAAUGGAUUAAGGUAAUUAAUUAUUGAGUUAUGAAAUACAUAAUCAAAUCAAUUGAUUUUGUUAGAAACUAAAAGAAAAUGGGAUAAGCUGAAAACUGAUUGCCCUUUAUUAAAAUUAAGGAAUUCGCCUUUUACAUGUUAGAUAAUAUGAACAUCCCAUAUAUAAUAAGAAAAAUUACGUACGAUUAUUUGUUAUCAUAAAUGGUUAGUUUAAAUUUCAAGUAAUCUAAAAUGUGUAUUGAACUUCAACUAUUACAUAAAGUAUAAGCUAAAUAUGUAUAAAUAUUCUAGAAACCAUUUCUAACAGAUGAUAGGCUAAUUCAGAAUUAAGAUUAAUAUAUAAAAACUCGAUAGUAAGGUUAUAGUCCUCAAACUACAACUAAUUUAAUAACAUUUAUAGUUUUUGUUAAUUUGGUCCUUACUCUUUAAAAUUACAUAAAAAUUGCAAAAAUAUUUUAAAAAUAAAUUUUUUUCGUAUUUUUAAUAACAUUUAUAGUUUUUUUUUUUGUGGUUUGGUAACUUAUCAACUCGACUCUUAAUUGUAACCAACUUUUCUGACUUUUUUCGUACCCUUAACCUAAGUCUCGUUACAACUUUCUAAAGACCACUUGAUUGGUGUAUCAUCUUGAUUUGUUUUUAUAGUGGUGGAGAUUUGGUUUUCAAGCAAGCCUAUGAUAAUCACAUUUUUCGUUCAACCGUUGAGCACACAGUACUUGAACCUUAAACACUUUGAGUGCUUUGAGUGAAUCUUAGUUAGGGUAUUGAUUAUUGUUGAGUUUGAAUUUCAGGUAAUUAUUGAGAUAGAGGAGACGCCUAUGUUUUUUGUGCGUUUCAAAUUUCUACUUAGAUUGCUUUUAUUCUUUCGUGUCAUGCUAGUUUCAAUUUCCAAUGCAUGAUAAUCUUUAGAGUAUUCAUAAGGCAUGUCGGUGAAAACACUAAAUUGAGGGAGAUUAACUUGAAUAAGGGUUGAGAAUUUUGCUUAGGGACAAACAAAUGCUUAAGUGUGGGGAUAUUUGAUAAGUGCUAAAAUUGAUAUGUUUUAACAUCAUUCUUAAUGUGUUUUUGGUUGAUUAUUCGAUGUUAAUUAUGCUCUUAAUCCUUACAAUUCGUGUUUUUAUGCUUAAUAGAACAUUUGGGAGGAAAAUGAGCGAAAAAUGAACGAAAGCCUAAAAAUGUGGGCAAACUAUAGGACACGGGUUGGCCUAUUCCACAUGACCGUGUGACCCACACGGUGAUGUGGCAGGUUGUGUCAAUUUCGUAGAUUUGCACUCUGAACUGCAAAAAAAAUGCAAAUUUUAGAUUUUUCGAGAAUUUUAAUACGUAUAUAUAUGAAAAAAAAAGAAGAUAAGAGAGAACCUUCCUAGAAUAUUUAAGAAAACAACUCCAAAAACACUAUUGAAGUCGUCUCUGAAGCAGAUUUUCAUCAAGUUUGAAGAUUCCCAGUUGAUUUCUUAAGAGAUUAUCAUGAGUUUCUUUAUUUCUUUCGGUUAUACUACCCUUUGGAUGUUUUUAUUUUUAAGCAUGAACUAAUUUUCUAAAUACCUAAGAGAGAUGAACCCUAUGAUAGAUUGUGACACCCCAAACCAAACCGGGAUAGACCAGCCCGAAUUCGAAGCAUUACAUUAGCCACCUAAGUGACUCUCCAGCUAACGACCACCCAAGACACACCUCGACCUUAUAACACCUCAAUCUUAUCUAAUUACUAGUUAUUUAUUAAUGAAAAAGUAAAUUAUGAGCCAAUUUUAAACUUUUCCUAGGUAAUUUAACCUAAGGGUAUUUUUGUUAUUUUACCACCUAAUGUAAAACAAACCCGAUUUUAGAUCUAAGUGUUUACCAACCUUCUUUUAGUCAAAUUAUACAAGCCUAAAAUUUUCAACUUAAUUUGAGUCUGUUUACUAUGUCUAAUUCNNNNNNNNNNNNNNNNNNNNNNNNNNNNNNNNNNNNNNNNNNNNNNNNNNNNNNNNNNNNNNNNNNNNNNNNNNNNNNNNNNNNNNNNNNNNNNNNNNNNAAAUACCAAUUUAAAGAGACAAAAAUUCAAAACCCCAAAACCCACACAGGCAUGUGGGUAAGUGACAAGGGCGUGUGGAGACUAGAGCUAUCACACACUGGCGUGUGGGAUUGAAAAAUAUGAAAUAAAUUACUCCACUCAAUUUUCCAACAACCAUACUAUACUACCAAACCAAAAAAAAGGCUUGAAGUUUUGAAUAGGGGUGAAUCUAAAAAAGAAAAUUAGAAGAAUUAGAAUUAAAUUAUAAAAUUUUGAGAAGUUAAAAUAUAAUUUUAUCAUAUAUUAAUUUAUUAUUUUUUAAAGGGUCCUAAUAUAAUUUUUUCCCAUUUUGGUUGGGCCAAUACCCCUGCCUGCGUCUUUAAAUUUGCUCCAACCCUAAACCCAAUAUUCGAUUUGGAUUAACAACAAUAUAUAGGUUAGUAUUUGUGGGAGUUUGACGAAUAAAAAUUUCUUUUUUAGAGGUUUAAAUUAUAAAUUUUUGAAAGAUUAAAAUAAAUUUGUAUUUUUUUAUUUACAAAAUAUAAAAAGAAAAAACAUGUUUAGACAAGCCAAGAGACCUUUGGGAUCAUACGGGUGAUUUUGAGAUGUUAAUGGUUAUUUUGGUGGAGAGGGUAAAAAAGAAACAAAUGAUUCAUUAUAUAUAAUAUAAUUAUGAAAUUCAAGCCAUAUAUUGUAUGUUUCAUCCAUAAAAAUUUCAUGGAAGGUCCAAAGGUAAUUAAAUGACUUGUAGGCUUGCUGAAUUUCUUUGAAAGGCCCAAAGGCAAUUUAACAUUCACAAAAUAAUCUCUAAACACUGUAAAGACAAAUCAAAUCCACAGUAGCAUAAGAGUUGAUUAAGCUAAGCAUUGGCAAAUAUUACUUUGAUUUUGCAUGCAAUAUUGACAAAACCCCCUCCUACAUUAGAAAAACAACAUAAUCCAUGGAACAUUGAUAGACCAAUACAAAUUUAUUCGAGAAAAAAGUCUCUUUGUUUUGUAGAACAUGAUAGUAAAGAUGUGGAGUUUCGUUCUUCUUAUUGGCCUCCUUUAGUUUUCCUUGAUCAACAACCACUAGCCAAAAACACAAUUAGAUUAGAUUAUGAAUGAUACUUUCAACUAUGACAAUAUUAAAUACAAACCACUCUAAAUAACUUUAAAUAAAUGGAAAGCAGCAAAUUACCUGACCAGGCAAGCUAGUUUAAUUAAGACCAUUGUGUUAUACUUGUCUCUGAAUUGAAAAAUUUAGAAGGAAAUAAAGAGAAAGACUUAGAAAAUACUUGAAAACAGAUAAAACUUAUAUGUCAUUUAAAAUAAAAAAAAAUUCUAUUUAAGCCAUUUAAAAUUUUUAAGAUUUUUAAAAUUUUAAAAUGAGAAAAGUAAAAUUGUACUUUGGCACCCAAAAAUGAUAAAACUUUGAUUUAAUUCUUUAGAAAUUAUAAAAAAUAUAGGCUAUUAAAAUGGUGAAAUUACAUUUUUACUAUAGUAAAAAUUACAAUUUAAUUUCACCCCCUAAAAGGAUUUUCUGGCUUUGCNNNNNNNNNNNNNNNNNNNNNNNNNNNNNNNNNNNNNNNNNNNNNNNNNNNNNNNNNNNNNNNNNNNNNNNNNNNNNNNNNNNNNNNNNNNNNNNNNNNNAAGAUUAAAAUAAAAUUAUACCGUAAAUGGAAAAAGAAACUAAGAAAAUCCAAUCUAACAAGGAAAAUAACUUGAUGUCCAAAAGCUACCAUAAAUCGUAAUUCAUGGGAAGGCUUGUUGCUUAUUUUAUUGGUUUCCAUUUUGAUUUUGCAAAAGAAGUUUGAAUUUUGAAGAGAGCCUACUACGUGAGAGCAAAAGAAAAAAAAUAGUUUAUAUGAUUAAAUUCCAGAAUAGAUGAAAAAUGUUGAAUAAAAGAUAAAAUUAAGUGUGAAUUAAUAACCACAAUCUUUACUCACCAUCUCUGUUAACAAUGUUGGAUGUUGUUUACCAACCUUUGUUUGAUUUUCUUCAGCUCAACCACAACAUCUGCAAUUUCUAUCGCUCCUUUAGGCAAUGAACUUUCCAUCCAAUGCCUUAUAGUCUCUUCUUCAACAAAAACAUUAUCAGUUGGCUUUUUCUUUGUGAAAGUUUCUAUAAGGACGAUNNNNNNNNNNNNNNNNNNNNNNNNNNNNNNNNNNNNNNNNNNNNNNNNNNNNNNNNNNNNNNNNNNNNNNNNNNNNNNNNNNNNNNNNNNNNNNNNNNNNNNNNNNNNNNNNNNNNNNNNNNNNNNNNNNNNNNNNNNNNNNNNNNNNNNNNNNNNNNNNNNNNNNNNNNNNNNNNNNNNNNNNNNNNNNNNNNNNNNNNNNNNNNNNNNNNNNNNNNNNNNNNNNNNNNNNNNNNNNNNNNNNNNNNNNNNNNNNNNNNNNNNNNNNNNNNNNNNNNNNNNNNNNNNNNNNNNNNNNNNNNNNNNNNNNNNNNNNNNNNNNNNNNNNNNNNNNNNNNNNNNNNNNNNNNNNNNNNNNNNNNNNNNNNNNNNNNNNNNNNNNNNNNNNNNNNNNNNNNUUAUGUCGACCCUUUGUAUGAUAUCAAGGAAACAAUUUUCAGAAUGUAACCAUUUCUCAAGGUUUCCAUUAGACAUGUAAUCAAGCACCAAGGCUUUGAAGUCAACACUUGAGCUGCAAGUAAUGACCUUCACAAUAUUACGAUGAACUAUAUUACGCAUAGCAUCACAUUCAAUGUCAAAACUCCUAAAUGCUCCCUCUAUUUGCAAAUUGAAAACUUUUAUUGCAACUUCCAUUCCAUCUGAAAGCCUCCCUUUAUAUACAUAUCCAAAACUCCCUGAACCAAGCAUAUUGCUUUCCUCAAAUCCAUUAGUUGCUCGUGAAAGUUCAGCAUGUGAAAUUCUUCUCGGUGUCUUCAAAGACAACAAAUCAUCUUUAAUUGGUAGAGCUGUACGCCUUCUUUGGCAUCUUCUAUACAUAAUAGUUAAGACUAUUAGUACUACGACAAUGCCAAUUGUCGGUAAACCAAUAUAAUCAUUUGGGAGUUUUUGUGGAGGUCGUUUUUUACAAGGUGGGACUAGCAAUCUAGGUGGACCACAAAGUGCAUAAUUCUUCAUGAAUGAUGUGCUAGAAAAGUUUGAAAAACAUCCUUUGCUAGGAAUUUCCCCUUCAAGUCUAUUGAAAGACACNNNNNNNNNNNNNNNNNNNNNNNNNNNNNNNNNNNNNNNNNNNNNNNNNNNNNNNNNNNNNNNNNNNNNNNNNNNNNNNNNNNNNNNNNNNNNNNNNNNNNNNNNNNNNNNNNNNNNNNNNNNNNNNNNNNNNNNNNNNNNNNNNNNNNNNNNNNNNNNNNNNNNNNNNNNNNNNNNNNNNNNNNNNNNNNNNNNNNNNNNNNNNNNNNNNNNNNNNNNNNNNNNNNNNNNNNNNNNNNNNNNNNNNNNNNNNNNNNNNNNNNNNNNNNNNNNNNNNNNNNNNNNNNNNNNNNNNNNNNNNNNNNNNNNNNNNNNNNNNNNNNNNNNNNNNNNNNNNNNNNNNNNNNNNNNNNNNNNNNNNNNNNNNNNNNNNNNNNNNNNNNNNNNNNCCAAACAAGAGGGUAUGGAUCCAUGCAGCUUAUUCAACCCUAAAUACAUCUCGUAUAGUCUCUCCAAAUCACAUAGGCUUUCUAAGAUGGGCCCUUCUAAUUUAUUAGAGGAAAGAUCUAGAGCCUGGAGAUUUCGCAGUCCUCCUAUUGAUGCUGGAAUGAAUCCACUUAAUUUAUUAUGGCAAAGUUGUAAAAGCAAUAGGUUGGUUAAGUUACCUAUUUCCAUAGGAAUAAAGCCUGUAAGCUCACACUUUUUGGCAUGAAAGUAUUGAAGGGAUUUUGAAAGGUUCCCGAUAUAAGUAGGAAGAACGCCACUCAAUGGAUUUCCUGAAACUUAUAUGGUUUUCAAAUUCUUACAAUUCGUCAAAGAAGAAAGAAAGCUCCACUCAUGAUCAGCAGCAGAUCCUGUGAUCAAAUUAUUGUCAGGGAUAUGGAGCACUUCAAGGUGUUUUAAGCUGCCAAGCAUUUUAGGGAUUGGGCCAGAGAAUAAGUUUUGUGACAAGGAUAGAAUCUUAAGCAUGGAAGCAUUGGAGAUAGAGUUGAGAAUGUUUCCGCUGAGUUUAUUUCCCCACAAUAAAAGAAUCUCAAGCUUUGGAGCUUUGGAGAUGGGUGGUAAAUUACCUGUAAAAUAGCAUCUUUUAGUAUACAUAUUCAUUGAAUACCAAAUUCACAAAAUAUAUAAUACAUUAAAAUAAAAACUGUAAAACUUUAAAUCAAUUAAGAAUAAAAUUUUGGCAUAGAAUUAAAAAUACUUGAUGGAAUCUGACCUGCACACAUAGUCGAAAAUUGAAGUGAAAAUCAUACCUUCUAAACUGUUGAAGUAAAAAUACUUUAAGCAUUUUUUUUCCAUGAAAUUAACUAUUUUGCCUUGAAUGAAAUAAAAUGCUCUUACUUUUGUUAUCUAUUACAAACCAAACUCUUUUAUGAAAAAAAAUAUUUUAAAUUAAAGAAAUAAAGAAAAUUCAAUAUCUUCUAAAUCAAUUUUUAGAUUUUGUACAGAUGAUUUAAUGAUGAUAAAAAAAUUAUUAGCACUAUUUCUGAAUUAACAAAAAAUAGUGAUAUAUUUUAAUUAUAUUUAUUAUUUAUUAGUUUUAAUAAUGUUUUUUUUAAUUAUAUGAAGUAAAAUUAUAUUGUCUACUAAAUAUGAUACAUAUACUUUAAUUAUAACUUCAAAAUUUAUUAUAUAAAUUAAUAUAUUUUAAUUAUAUUCAACCAUUUUAAUAACAAAAUAAAAAAAACUAAUUAGAAUAAUUUAUUUUUUAAAGUUUAAUGGAAAUUAAAAAAUUAAAAAUAAAUCAAUUCAUAUAAAUCUUAUUGUUUAUUAUCAGAUUAAAAUGGUAAAAGUAUAUGACAUAAAUAGAAGAAACAAAUUCAACACAACGUUUUUGGAGUAUGGAAAUUAUUAAAGUGAAAAACAUACCUUCUAAACUGUUGUUAAAUAGUACUAUUUCUUCGAGCGUAGUUAAAUUAAAAAUACUUGAUGGAAUCUGACCUGCACACAUAGUCGAAAAUUGAAGUGAAAAACAUACCUUUUAAACUGUUCAACUAAAAAUACUUUAAGCAUUUUUUUUACAUCAAAUUAACUAUUUUGCCUUGAUUGAAAUAAAAUGCUGUUACUUUUGUUAUCUAUUAGAAAUCAAACUCUUUUGUGAAAAAAAUAUUACCAGAUAAUUCAUUCCAACCCAGGUAAAGCCUUUCAAGCUUGGGAAGAUAUUGACACAUAUCAUUAGGCAAAUUACCAGAGAGGCUAUUGUUGGAGAGAUCAAUGGUCUUCAGAGAAGAAAUGUUGAAGAUCGAAGUUGGAAUCUGACCUGUAAGGCCUUUAAUUGCUUUAAUACUAAGCAGCUCCAAACCAAGAAGGUUACCGAAUUCCUUCGGAAUUUGACCUACACACAUAGUCGAAAAAUCAAAGUGUCAAACUACCUAUUUUGUUAGCAUAAGUCAAAGAGGUUUUCUUUUCUGUUCUACAGUAAUUUGGAGAUGUUAGAUUUUAAUAUAUUUCAGCAUAUGUUUUUCAUCAAAUGAAAUAAAAAGUUUUUCCUUUUGUUAUCUAUUACAAAUCAAGCUCUUUUAUAAAAAAAAUACUUUAAAUUCAAGAAAUCAAGGAAAUUGAUUACCUUCUAAAUUAUUAAACCCCAAACGUAAUUCCUGGAGUCGUGUUAGAUUUCCAAUACUUCUUGGAAUGAUCCCCAUAAAUUGAUUAUGGGACAACCACAAAUUUUUAAGGUUGUUGCAUUUGCCCAUAUUUGACGGAAUGUUACCAGAUAAUUCAUUCCGACCCAGGUAAAGCCCUUCAAGCUUGGGAAGACGUUGACACAUAUCAUUAGGCAAACUACCUGAUAGGCUAUUCCUAGAGAGAGCAAUAGUCUUGAGAGAAGAAAUGUUGAAGAUCGAAGUCGGAAUCUGACCUGUAAGGCCUUUAAUUGCUUGAAUACUAAGCAUUUCCAAACUAAAAAGAUUACCGAUUUCUUCAGGAAUUUGACCUGCAGACAUAGUCGAAACAUCAAGGUGUUAAAUUACCUAUUUUGUUAGUGUAAAUCAAAUAGGCUUUUUAUUUUUUUCGUUAUGAAAUAAUAAGGAUAUGUUAGAUUCUAAUCAUAUUUAAGUAUAUAUUAGUUCUUGAAAGAAAGAGUUCUUAGUAUUUAUAUUGCAAAUAUUUUUUUUAAAAUUUUAAAUGGGGGGGGGGGCAAAUGUGUUUAAACUAAAGACAUCAAGAAAAAGGCAUACCUUCUAGGUUAUUUAACCCCAAGUCUAAUUGUUUAAGUUGUGUCAAAUUCCCAAUGCUUUUGGGAAUGAUCCCACUAAAUUGAUUAAUAGACAAUUCCAAAAUUUGAAGGUUGCAGCAUUUGUCUAUACUUGAUGGAAUAGAACUUGAUAAUUCAUUUCUACUCAAGUAAAGCUCUUUAAGGUUGGGAAGAUGGACACACAGAUCAUCGGGCAAGCCACCAGAAAGACUAUUAUCACGAAAAUGAAUCCUUUUCAAAGAAGAAAUGUUAAAGAUGGAAGAUGGAACCUGGCCAGAUAAUUGAUUGAAUCCCAAGGUCAAGAUCUCUAGAUUGGACAUAUUGACAAGUGUUUGAGGGAUUGUGCCUGUGAAGUUAUUAUUACUCAUUUCCAACCUUUGAACUCUGUGCAAGUUCUCAAGCCAUGAUGGAAUUUCCCCAUUAAGACGGUUGUAGCUUAAUCGAAUGAUCCUCAAACGAUGCAAUUGGCCCAGUUCUUUAGGCAGAUGGCCACAGAAAUUGUUGUUGCUCAAAUCGAGAGAAAAUAGAAAUGAAAGAUUUCCAAGGUGUGGAGGGAUAGUACCCCUAAGAUUCAUGUUUGUAAGAUUCAAAGCUACAACUCUUUCAUGGAUGAUGCCACAAGAAACACCAACCCACUUACAAACAGAGGUAGAGUUCGUCCAAUUGUUUGCCAACACAUUUUGAGGAUCGACAAUGCAAUCUUUAAACUCAAAGAGUGCAAACUGAUCGGAGUUGAGAUUCCGGACUGUCAUAGCCAAAGAAACAAUAGAACAUUGUAUGAAUAAAAGUGAAAGAAGAUGAAAGCAAGUGUUGUAGUUCAUGAUUGCAAGACGAAAUAAGCCAGGAAAAGAAAAAGUAGGAAAAGGGAAGUUGAAUUGAUGAAGAAAUAGCCAGCCAACAUGCUUAAAUAGGCUUCAACCCUUGCACACUUCUCAUACAUAAAGUUCACUGCCAUUACAACAAGAAAACUCAUAUCUCCAUUCAUACCUAUCCAUACUUUAUUUGACUAACUUUUCCCUAACAAGUGUUCAGUAAGGAGACAAAUCACUUCGGAGCUAUUCACCGACUUCUCCAACCUUGGUUUCAAACUCCUAUCCCAUCAAUUCACUGUAAUCGAAACGAUAUACACGAGUCUUUCGGCUUAUAUUUUUAAAAUGUAUUUAAAUGAUUUUUUAUUAAUUUUAUUUGUUUAUAUCUAAAUCAAAUAUUAAAAUUUUUAUUUGAUACGGAUUUAAAUCGUAUUAUUUUAUCCUUGUAUCGAAAAAAAUUAAAUAUAGUAAAUUCUUGAAUUUUGUAAUAUAAGGGCUAUGUAUGCUUUUUAUCAUAACAACGUCUGGACAAUCUAGACAUUUUAACUUGCUACUUCUCUUUUUAAUUUAAUUUUUGUUACUUUUCAUACUAUUUUUUGAGAAAUCCAAAAAUUUCAGUCUGAAUUUUUUUUUAUUGCCACGUCUAUCUCCCGGGUAAGUCCGUGGUUAGGCAGCACACUUUGGGGGCAGGAUUGUAAUUUUAAUUCUAUCCGACUCAUUUUACUAUUUAGAAAUAUAAAAGUAAUGUUAUAUUAAAUUUUAUAAUUUUAAUUUUAAUUUUAAUUUUAAUUUUUAAACAAUAAAACGAGUCAUUUGUAUUUCCCUAGCUAAAUUGAAUCAAGAGUGAAAUUUUUUUUAAUCAUAAUUUACUAUUAUUUUAAUUAAUAAAAUUUUAACCUACUGCAACUAGUAGUUGCAGAAAAAAUGUCAUUCCUUUAGAAAAAUGAGAACUUAUGACAAAAUUGGAAAAUCCCAAUAAUAUUAUUAGAGUAAAACCUAUGAUCUAUCUAAACAAGAUAUAGAAGAAUUUGAUAUACAAAUUAAGGUUAGAAUUCAUGCGAAAAAAAAGAAGAAGAAGCUAGUAUGGUCAUUAAUUAUAAAGAUUAAAUCAAAAUAUUAUUUUUUAUAGUUACUUGAAUUAAUCAGGCUAAACAAACAAAAUAUUUUAGUAAAUUUGACUAUAAAUCAAGAUUCAACAAAUCAUGCUAACAGAAAAGUUCAAACUUUUAACGGCUUUUAGUGCACCCAAUGGAUAUUACCAAUGAAAAGUGAUGUCAUUUCAAUUAUGUGAUGCACCACAAAUCUUCCAAAGACAAAUAGAUUUUAUCUUUAAUAAAUAUAAAAAAAUACUAUGUAGUUUACAUAGAUGAUAUUUUGAUAUUUUCAGAUACACUAGAAUUACAUAAGAAACAUUUAAAUAUUAUUUCUUAAGAAUUCAUAAAAUAUAGAAUCAUAUUAAACCCUAAAAAUAUAGAGUUAGAAAAAACAGAGAGAAUUUUUACAAUAGUGGAAAUAAAAAAUUGUCCUCAAAAGAUUGAGGAAAAAAAGAACUUCCGACAAUUUGUAAUAUAUUCCUCCCAAAUUUUCAGUUUCAAUUUUAUUACAGAAAUUUCUUUGCCGACAAUAAGAAAAGAGCAUAUUCACAUUUUCGUCGCAAUUUCAACUAACACCCAAUCUCUUUCCCACUUUCCUUUUUCGGCCAAUUUCAAACGUAGCUGUUUUUCGAUUUUUCCUCUUGAUUUCAUUAAUAAAAUGAUCAAUCUAUUUGUUUUUUAAAUAUAUGAUUUUAUUAAUAUUUUUUAAUUAUAAUAUAAGAGUUGUUGUUUAUUUAUAGUUUUAUUACAUUAUUUACUCUCUUUUUUCUAUCAAGUUUUUUAAAUUACAAUAUAAGACUUAUUUUAUCAAAUUGUAGCUUAUCGAGUAUUCAUCUAUCUUAAUAAUAACUUGAGUUCCAAUCAUUAUCAUACCAGAAAGAGUUCCAUUUAUUCUUUCUCGUAAAUUUUAUAAAAAAUAUAUAUUUUAUUAUAAUACUAUAUGUGUUAGGAAUAAUAUUUUAUUUUGGAUGCCCAUAAUUUUCAAAGUUGUAACCUCUAAUGUAGUAACCUCAAUGAAAUUAUGAGGCUUUUAUAUUGUCAUAAUGUAAUCAAGCCUGUAUUUAUUCUUUGUAACUUAAACAGAGGCAUAUUUUCUAUUAUAUUGAUAUUUUCUAUAGAGAUAUAUACACAAGGAAUCAAAUAAAAAGUUAUUCACCUUUCUAUUAUAUUGAUAUUUUCUAUUUGAUUUGUUCUUUUCUUUCACUAUUCCAUAAUAUAUUAUCAGUACGAUUUUAAUUAAGAGUAAGAUGUUAUUAGAUUGUGUCAAAAUUUUGUUGGACUCCUAAGUAUUGGAAUUUAAUUGUUUAGGUUAAGAAUCAUUAGAAUCAAUGGCUACUUGAGAUAUGCUUGAGGAUGAUCUCAUUCUCUUCAUCACAAAGGUGGAGGUUAGAAAAUCUUUAUGUUUAAACAUUUAUAGCUUCAAAGUUAUUUUAACCUCUUAUUGAGACCUUAUAAUAUUUUGUAAUUUUUUGUCUUAUGGUAUAUAAAAAAAUAUCUAACCAUAGUGAUUGAUUAGUAAUAAGAAUUUGUUAUUUGUUAUGUUUAAUAUAUAUUUUAUUUAUAUUUAUUCAUUUUAUUUUUAUAUGAGUAAAUGAAGUGUUUGAAGAUUCGAAAUUUUUAUCUUCCAUGUUAAAAAUAAGUGCAAAAGUGUAUAUUAUUUAAAAUAAAUUACGCAUUAAUGUUAUAUGAUAAAAUCAUUACAUGUUCGGAAGAACUAAUAUUGCAUCAAACUGUAAAAAGCUCUUGAAGAGUUAAUAUUUUACCUCCUUGUGAUGUAAAAUCUUAUAAAAUAUGAUAUUUUUUUUCAAAUCAAGAAUAUAUAUGUUGAAGGAAAUCUUUAUGUAUUUUACAUUAAAACCAUGGAUAAAAAUGACAUGAGAUACUCAUGUAUUUGUAUAUAAAUAUUCCUUGAAGGAAUACACUUCACUUGUGUGAUUGACAUAUGAGCUCAUGUAUCACAUGUAUACAACCCAAAGUUUACAGUAUUAUUUCUUGAAAUUAUUUGUGUCGAAACCAUUUUUGAUAAGACGGGAUCGACUUGGAUUUUGUAAAAUAAAAAUGGGAGUCGCCACCGAUCUUUUAUUGAGAUGUGAUCGGAUCACCUUAAAAAUGAUUUUGGUAUACGAGUUUUAGAAAAAUAGAUUCGGGAGUCAGUUACGUACGAGGAAGGAUUGGCACCCUCGUAAUGCCCAAAAUUGGUACCGAAUUGAUUAUUAAAUGUCUUAAGGUCAAAUGCCAAAAAAAAUGAUUCCCCUUUUAAAUUUUUAUUCAAAUUUAUUAUUUUGAAAACUAAAAAUUUUGGUCAUCUUGUUUCAAUGAAGAAAUUGAAACCCCGUAAGUUAGGGUACAAUUCUUUGAAGUUCCGAUGACAAUUUACGAACUUGCUUUUAUUAAAAACCUCGUCUCGAGAUAACAAAAUGCCAUAUCCAAUGAGUUAGGACACAACACUUUGAAUUCUCGAGAUAAGAUUUGAUUUGAAAUUUUACGUUUGGAUUGAAAAAAGGAUACCCGGGUACUUAAAUUCAACGAGGAAAAUUGAAGCCCACUAAGUUAGGGCACAAUUCUCUUUGAAAAUCUAAGAUACCGAGUAUUGCUUUAUUUUAUAAAUCCUUGAAUGAAAAAAUGAAAGGUGAUUAAAUGACAAUAUGCAACGCGAAAGGAUAAUUUGUAAAUAAAUCACACAUUAAUCAAAUGAGCGGUAGAUAUAUACAAGCAAGUAAUACACAUAGCAACAAUAAUUUCAUGUAAAUACCCACAUUGGCUAAUAAGAGGAAACUAAUUAAAAUCAAGCAAUUUUCCAUAAACACUAGCGAAAUAUACAAAUUUUAAUAUAAUUUAAGAAAUAAAUAUAAUAUUUAUAAAUUAAAAUAUUAAAAUAAAUUUAAAUAAAUUAACAAUAUUGAAAUAAGUUGAAACAAAUUAAAGAUGUUAAAAUAUUUGAAAGAGAUAAAAUAUCUAUAUAAUAAUACGAAACUAAUAAUAGAAUAUGUAUGUACUCGUGUAUAUUAAGAUUUAUGUAUAUGUAUUUACAAAAUAAAAAAAAAUGUAUAAGUAUGAUAUAUAAGUAAAUUAUGAAAAUGUGUAUAUGCAUGUAUUAAAAUAUGUAUAUAUUUAUAAGUAUAUAUGUAUAUAAAAAAUGAAAUAUGCAAAAAAUGUAUUUACAAUAAUUUUAAAAAAAAAUGUACGUAUAUGUACAUUAUAGAAAAUGUAUGUAUAUACAUAUGGAUUAUAAAGUGUGGAAAAUGUAUAUAUAUUAUAAAAUGUAUAUGUAUAUAUACAUAUGAAAAUUAAAGAAAUAUGUAUUUAGAUAUAUAUAUAAAUACAUAUAUAAAUUGUAUAAUAUAAAAAAAUGUAUGUAUAUAUUAAUUAUAUAAAAAAAUAUGUACGUAUAUUUCAAAAAUGUACGCAUAAAUAUAGUUAUAAUAAUAUUAAUAAAUAAUAAUACAAUAAUAAUGAUGCAAUAUAACAGUAUUAACAAUAUAUUAAAAUACUUAAAAAUCCAAAAAAAACCAGAUUAAGGAUUAAAAGUGGAAAACACAAAAAAGGACCAAAUCACAACGCGCGCAACAAGAAGAGGACCCAAAGGGAAAUAUCCCCACGCUAAUCCCACAGCGUCGUUCUAGUGAGACCUAUGCGCAUGGUCUUUGGGUCAAAUUGAAACAGGAGAGAAAUUUUGUGGCCAAAAUUGCAAAUAUGUGAAAAAACUUCAUUGAAAAUGACACAAAAGCUAGGGACCGAUUACGCAAAUAUCCCCGCCCGUUAAAACACGCGGGUCACCUAGGUGGGUUGGGUCACACUCGCGGGUAUAGGCUUAUACAACGCUAUUUUGGGGCCACUAAAAUAGGCCUAAAACGACGCCGUUUCAUGCCUGUUAUAAAAAUCAAAAUUUCCCUAAAGAAUUCAUCUUUCUGCCAAUUUUUUAAAAACGAACAACCCUAGCUUUCUCUGCUAGGGUUUCUAAUUUUCCUAUAGCCGCUGCCGCCGCUAGGCCGUUCCAAGGGCCCCGAACCCUGCCCGAUUUUCAACGGCGACGGAGCAGACAGAGAUUCAACACUUCAGGUAAUUUCUUUUUUUUAAUUGAUUUUUUCUUUACACACAACGAAUAAAAGAUAAAUAAUAAAAAGAAAUAGAGACAUCAGAAGGGAAAAGAAGAAGAAAAAAAAUCUUAAAAACUCACUGCUAUCUUUUUUUUUUGAUCUUUUGAAUCAAUUUUCGUAUUCCUUUACACUGAUCUUUUUUCUUACACUGUUUUUCUUUUUCUAUAAUUUUUACAAUCUUUUCAUUAUCCUAGCCUUCUCUUGCGGUUCGAUAUUUUGUGGUAGCAUACUGAAAGGAUCGUGUACAACGUGCAGGCGACAUGCUGCGAGAGAGGCGAUAACUACUAGAGGGAGAAUGUGCGGCGCUGGGGGAGAAGGGUUAGGGUUUCUGGAAAUAGUUUAGAAUUAGGUUAAUUAGGUUAGGCUAGAUUUGGGUUUGGAUUAAUGUAAUUGGGCCACAUACAUUAGGUCUUUACUUGUAAAUGGACUGGGCACUUUUAUAUUUGGGCCCGAGUUAAAAUUGGCUAUUACAGCUGCCCCUCUUUGCUUGUUAUUGUGUAAUGAAAACAUAGCAAAGACUUCAGAAAUAGCCAAUUUUUCCUGGUCGUGCUGGACCUUAGCACUCUUCCUCUUCAAGUAGCCUCAUUCCAACCUAUUGCAUCUUCAGAGGUAUAGGAAUUGGUGCUUCGAUCCACUCCACUACAACAUUGGGGAAAUAUAAUUAUUUUCUUCAAUCUGUUUCACUGCAACCUUCAGGGAAACCAUAUUGGGUUAUUUAGUCUGCUUCACUGCAACUUUAGGGAAAUAAGACUAAAUAUGAUCUACUCUCUGCAACUUUAGAGAGAUAAAGACUUGAUAUCUUCAAUCUGCUCCACUGCAACCUCAGGGAGAUAGGAUUUACUAUCUUCAGUCUUCUCCGCUGCAAUCAGGGAGAUAAGACCUGAUGCGAUCUACUCUACUGCCAUUUUAGAGUGAUAAGAUCCACCACUUUAAUUCACACCACUGUAACUUCAGGGAGGUAGGAUUAUUGGCUUUAAUCUACUCCACUGUAACUUUAGGGAGAUAAGAUUCGCCAUCCUAGAGCUGCCCCAUUGCAAUGUUAGGGAAGUAAGAUUCAUUGUUGUAGCUUCAAUCUAUUUAACUGUAAUGUCUAGGAAACAAGAUUCGUCGUCGUAGCUUCAAUAUGUUCCACUACACUGGCCGGGAAGUAAGAUUCACCGUUGUGGCUUCAAUCUAUUUAACUAUAAUACCACAGAGAUAGGAUUCGCUGCCCAUAGCUUUAAUCCGCUCCACUUCAGCUAAUCCAAGUCUUAACGCCAGGGAGAUAAGAUUUGCUACCCUCAGCUUUAAUCUGCUCCGCUGCAAUGCCAGGGAAGUAAGAUUCGCUGUUGUAGCUUCAAUCUAUUCCAUUCAACAUCAAGGCGAUAAGACUGGUGUCUUCGAUUUGCUUCGCUGCUAGUACAAGAAGACAAGAUCUGCUAUUUUCAACCUACUCCACUAUUACUCAGGGAGAUAAGGCUAGUGUCUUCGAUCUGCUUCGUUGUCAGUUUAGGAAGUCAAGAUCUGCUAUCUUCAUUCUGCUCCGCUGCAAACUCAGGGAGGCAAGGCUAGUGUCUUCAAUCUGCUUCGCUGCCAGUACAUGAAGGCAAGAUUUGCUAUCUUCAACCUACUCCACUGCUGCUCAGGGAGAUAAGGCUGAGGUCUUCGAUUUACUUCGCUGCCAAUACAGGAAGACAAGAUCUGCUAUUUUCAACCUACUCCACUAUUGCUCAAGGAGACAAGGCUGAGGUCUUCGAUCUAUUUCACUGUUAGUAUAGGAAGGCAAGAUCUGCUAUCUUCAAUCUACUCUAUUGCAAACCCAGGGAGGCAAGACUGGUGUCUUCGAUCUGCUUCGCGGUCAGCACAGGGAGGCAAGAUCUGCUAUCUUCAUUGAUCUAUUCUCUAGAAACAUGACUUGUAUAAUCCAUUUUAUGAACCUAAUUAUGCCUAGUGAUUAGGAUGACAUGAUUAGAAUGAACCAAAUGCUCCUAGCUAGACGUUUAUGAAUGACAUUUGAAUGAAUGCAGAAUGUCAUUUUUUUGAGAAUGAUCAUUCUUUAUCACUCAGGUUGUCAUUACUCAAAGUUUAUUAAGGAUUUAUCACUGACGUGCUACAAUGCCUUCUUGCUCAGCUGGCAUUUCUGAAUAAACACUUAAUCAAACUAGCCCCACCGUGAACUUCAAAGCUUAAUCUACUGGGACGCAAAAUUUGUAUCAUCUUUCUCCCGUUGUGACCCAAGGGUAGAAAAAUCUGACUUUUUAUCAAUCCUCUCUCAUCGGAAUUUCAAGGAUACAGAAUGUGAAACUCUUUGGUUCUUUACACCAUUCCCAGGGUGUCAUAUCAAAUGCUGAUGCACAAAUGAAGGAUUCUCUUCUCUAAGGAAACCCCUUUCUAUUGCUUGGUGAUUAUUGCUUGCUUGUUCAUUUAAGCCUCAUCACCAACCUUACAUCUUGUCAUUUUGUUCAAUCAAUGUUUUUGACAACAAAAUAUGAAGGGAUAACUUUAAUUUAGAUUUUUCCUUCUUAGAUUUCCAACCUUUAAACUUGGUGCAUUCUAAACAAUAGUCAUGUUUCAAGUUACCGUAUUAUUUAGAAACUUCUAGAGUAAUAUGCAAAACUUCCCUUAUGAAAGUUUUACCAGUCCAUUAAUCAUUAUUCUAAUGCAACACACUUGCAAAAAGAAUAAAACAAUGGAUAAAAUAGAAUUGAUUUGAGAGUAUAGCUUGAAAUGAAUAUAUUAUCAAGAAUAUUGAGAAUAAAAGAAGAAUUUACUUGUAUCUCAAAAAAGAAUGAAGUAUUCCAAGAAUAAGCAAUUCAAUAUAAAUAGUAUGAAGACUAGGUGCCCCAAAUAUCGCAACUUGAACUUCUCUGCACAAACUUGCUGAAGACCAUUUUGAGUUUAACAUGUGUUUAGGAGAUCUACAAUACUCUGUCGAUGCCCCAAGAUGUCGCAUACCCUUUCCUGCUGAUUCAGGUAUAUCAAGACCACCACAUGCCCCACUCUGGUCAAAAUCUGAGCUACUCUAAUCACUUCCUGCCCUAUUCUGAUCAAAAUUUGAGCCGCCUUUUUCGGGUUUUCAACUCAAAUCCCCAUUGGUCUAAGGCGCCUUUUACGAGUUUUCACCUUAGCCUCUCCAUUUUUACUUGUUCAUUUUUCAAUUUUCAUUUUCAUUCCCUUUUUUUUACAACUCAAAGUGCCCUUUGCGGGUUUUCACCUUGGUCCCUUCUCCUUCCUUAAGCAAAGUAUUUAUUAACUGAAUUUGAGUUUAUAGGACUUGGUAGGUUUUUACCAUCCAUCUCGCUCAAAAUCAAAACUCCUUUGGAAAAAGCCUUCUCUACAACAUAAGGUUCUUCCCAAUUUGGCAUCUGUUUCCCUCUAAAAUAUUUUUUGUAGAAGGAGGAUCUUCAACAUUAGGUCACCCUCGUGGAAUUCUCUAGGACGAACCUUUUGUUAUAGGCUCAUAUCAUUUAUUUCUAGUACAUCUGACUGUGAUGAAUAGCUUUUAGCUUUUUUCAUUCUAUCAGGUUCAACUGAUCACAUCGCGAUUGGAUCCGUUCUGCUUCAUCCAACUUGCUCAACCAAUACCCGGAGAGAAAGAAUUUUGACUUUAAUGGAAAAAACUGUGAUAAACUAAAGAGAGAGGCAUUGCCCCCGGUAGAAUUUUCAUUGCAUCAUUCAUGAUAUUAAUCUUGAACAUACUGUAAAUUUCUGAUAUCGUGCUGUUGUUCAGAUUGCAAUGACAAUGCUUAACCCGAGCAAAUCCUGGUAUGACCAUGCGAAGACAUCUUUGAAUUCUUGAAGUUACUCAAAAAUGUCUUGCUUUGUUUCGUCGGUCUUGCAUGUUCCCUCAAGGUCACAAUCUCCAUUGUCUCCGCAUGAGGUAAAUUUGUUUCUCUUCUUGCUUUACCAUCCUCAACAAGUCCGGAGAUAGGCUACAAUCUAUGUCAUUUUCAAAGUCAUGAAAUCCUUCUAAACACAUGUCUCGCUCAAAAAGAGAUUACAAGUCUGUAGUAACGUCAUUCAUGUCAUUGAUAUCCAAGGACCUAUUGUAAGUAUAAGAGAAUAUACAAAGAAUGCAUGAAUUUAUGAAUAAUUAUUUAUACAAUAUGAUUAUGAAUGAAAGAAUGAUGUGAAAGAAAAUCCAAAAGAAUGAAAGAAUAAUUAUUCGAAAAGAAUGAAAGAAUAUUGGCUCAAAAAAAUGAAUACAAAGAUGUAUUUUAUUAGAAUAAUGACGUUCAGACAUGAGCCUAUUUCAAAAAAGAAUUCUUAUUGCCUCUAGGCUAAAAGCAACAAGUGUCCUGAACAUUACUCUAAGUAUGCACUAAAUACUAUAGAGAUUUCUUCUACAAUUCAUUUAUUUAAAACACUCCCAUGUUUAUAAGGGUGGAUAUCUAACAAGGUCCCUUUUCAAUUGUGUCUUCAUAUCUGGCAUUGAUGUGAACGCCUCUCAACACUUCUUCAUAAAUCACAUUCACCACAUUAUCAACUGUGAUUGGGUAGUGAAUUUUCUGCACUAGAUGAAUCGUCAAAUUUGACAACGCCUAUACUGAUAAGCCUUUCAACCACUUUUUUAAAGGCAAUGCAAUUUUCUAUGGAAUGCCCUGUAAUUCCCGCAUGAUAAUCGUAUUGUGCACUUGCGUCGUACCAUUUGGGAUAUAAAGGCUGUGGGGCUUUUGAGUAGAAAGGGGAAACAACGUGCGCAUCGAAUAAGUUUUGAUAUAGCUCCUUAUACGGCAUUGGAAUUGGCGUGAACUAGAGCUUCUUAGUACCUUGCUUCACACCUGAUUCUUGUCUUAAUGACCCCUACUGAUUAGUAACCAUGUUUCUUGGCUGAUUCACCAUAAUCGAUUUACUGUAUGUAUUCACACUGUUCACCUCAUUUUCUUUUUCUUUUGAGGAUUGCCUUCUGUUAUUUCCUCCAGCAUCAAUUUUUCCACUCCUUAUGGCGCUUUCAAUUAUUUCACCAUUCAUGACUAUGUCAGAAAAACUUUUUGUGGCACUUCCUAACAUAUGUGUGAUGAACGGGGCUUUCAAUGUGUUUAUAAAAAGUAUUGACAUUUCUCUUUCCAAGAGCGGUGGCUGAACUUGGACGGCGACCUCCCUCUAUCUCUGUGCGUACUGCCUAAAACUUUCAUUCGACUUCUUUUCCAUGUUUUGCAAGGUGAUUCUAUUAGGACCCAUUUUUGCUACAUGACUAUAUUGCUUCAUAAAAGCCUGUGCCAAAUCUCUCUAGGAGCUAAUCUUGGUACGACUCAUUUGAUUGUACCAUUUAGACGCUGCCUCCGUGAGGCUAUCCUGGAAGCAAUGUAUUAAUAGUUUGUCAUUAUUAACAUACCCAGUCAUUCGCCUACAAAACAUGGUAACGUAGGCUUCAGGGCAACUGGUCCCAUUAUACUUCGCAAAUUCUGGUAUUUUAAACUUAUAAGGGAGCACCAAAUCUGGGACCAAACUCAAAUCCUUAGCAUCCAUCCCACGAUGACUCUUAGUGCUUUCCAUUGCCUUGAAUUUCUCUUCAAUCCAUUUCCACCUUUCUUUUAGCUGCUUUGGAAAUUCUUCUUUUAUUUUUUCUUUUUCAACUGCCUCAUCAAAAUCAGGGAUAACUGGAUUAACAGGAUUAUUCUCGGGACUACAGCCUGAUCUAGCUUGGAAAUUCAUUGAUCUUGAAGUAUCGGUCUGAAACUGCUGAUGCCUGAUUGUGACAGAAAAUUUACGCAGGUAAACUUCAGCUUGGGGCUGCGCAUGUGGAGGAGUAAAGCCUGGAGGAUACAGGGGUCCAUCAUCACCUUCCUCUUCAACAUUGGCCACAGGGCUCUUUCUCUUAUUCUUUUCGUCAGUCAAAAGUCGCGUUAACUGUGUCAUCAUGCUCCCUUGGGAUUCCAUCAUUUUGUCCAUCAUAUUCUGCUGAAUCUUCUCGAGCUGUUCUUUCAUUUGCUGCUGAAGUUGAUCCUGCAUUUCUUUUUGAAACUGUUCGAGCCUUUCCAAUCUUUGGUCUAUAUUUUUCAACUUUGCUCGUGUACCAUAAUUGAGGAAUGAUUUUAAUCAAGUAGAACUUUUUAAUAGUUUUUAAUGCAUAUGAUGCAAUGUAUGAAAUGAAUGCCUAAAGAUAUGUUGAUUCUAAUUCAACUACAUUUAGAAAACUUUACUAGAAAACAAACUUCUUUACAUAAAACGAAUGCAUGUACGGCCUUGCCCUCAUACUCCAAGAAACAACAUCGAUCUUUCUUUAUCCGAAUGUUAAGAUAAAUCUCAUGAAUUUCCAAUGGAUGCCACUACUAGCUCCUUUUUCUUGAUCCUGGUCACUAUCCAUCGUUUGCCCAUCCUUGUAAUGCUCAUCAGCUUCUUUAAGGAAGUUGGAAUGUUGGAAACUCUUAAAUAAUCAACUUGAAUCCUUGAACCACAAAGUAAAGUCAUGUAUUCCUCCAUCACCUUUCUUGUGUUUCUCAAAAUAUAUUCAUGACGCCAUGCACUCAAAACAAAAUGCGACAAGUCAAUAUCAGGUAUAAAAACAAAAAAAAAAAUACCUACUUAGGUAACUACUAGGGUUUGGUAUAGUUCUAUCUAGGGCAAGUUCCUAAGGUUCACUAUAUGAGAUUUGACUUCUAGGGAAAAGGUACCCAAACCAGCAGAUUCCUCGAUCCUCACCCGUUAUAGGCUCAUGCGAUCCGAGUUCGGUUCAGGGGAAUACAUUUCCCUAUGGCUACAUGGAGAUAAAAAUCUCACGAAGACAUAGGUACGGAUGUAUCCGGAAGCGAUCCACUAUCCUGCACGGAGGUAAAAAUCUCACGAAGGACUAGUUUCUCACUCCCACUUAGAGGGGUAAAAUUGACCAACCUAUGCAAUGCAAAAUGCAAAUUUACUAACAAACUCAGACCAAUCAAGCAAAUAUGCCAUGCUGAAAAAUAAUGAAUGAAAAGGGGAAAUCAUAAAUUUUAAAACAAAAUUUGAUUUUUCAACCAAAAGACAAAAAUUAAUCAAUUUACGGCUCGACUCUCUAACCAGUCCCCAGUGGAGUUCCCAAGCUGUCGAAACCAUUUUUGAUAAGACAGGAUCGACUUGGAUUUUGAAAAAUAAAAUGGGAGUCGCCGUCGAUCUUUUAUUGAGAUGUGAUCGAAUCACUUUAAAAAUGAUUUUGGUCUACGAGUUUCAGAAAAACAUAUUCGGGAGUCAGUUACGUACGAGAAAGGAUUGGCACCCUCGUAAUGCCCAAAAUUGGUACCAAAUUGAUUAUUAAAUGUCUUAAGGUCAAAUGUAGAAAAAAAUGAUUCCCCUUUUAAAUUUUUAUUCAAAUUUAUUAUUUUGAAAACUAAAAAUUUUGGUCAUCUUGUUUCAAUGAAGAAAUCGAAACCCCGUAAGUUAGGGUACAAUUCUGUGAAGUUCCAAUGACAAUUUACGAACUUGCUUUUGCUAAAAACCUCAUCUCGAGAUAACAAAAUGCCAUAUCCAAUGAGUUAGGACACAACAUUUUGAAUUCUCGAGAUAAGCUUUGAUUUGAAAUUUUACGUUUGGAUUGAAAAAAGGAUACCCGGGUACUUAAAUUCAACGAGGAAUAUUGAAGCCUAGUAAGUUAGGGCACAAUUCUCUUUGAAAAUCUAAUAUAUCGAGUAUUGCUUUAUUUUAUAAAUCCUUGAAUGAAAAAAUGAAAGGUGAUUAAAUGACAAUAUGCAACGCGAAAAGAUAAUUUGUAAAUAUAAUCAAAUGAGCGGUAGAUAUAUACAAGCAAGCAAUACACACAGCAACAAUAAUUUCAUGUAAAUACCCACAUUGGCUAAUAAGAGGAAACUAAUUAAAAUCAAGCAAUUUUCCAUAAACACUAACGAAAUAUACGAAUUUUAAUAUAAUUUAAGAAAUAAAUAUAAUAUUUAUAAAUUAAAAUAUUAAAAUAAAUUUAAAUAAAUUAACAAUAUUGAAAUAAGUUGAAACAAAUUAAAGAUGUUAAAAUAUUUGAAAGAGAUAAAAUAUCUAUAUAAUAAUACGAAACUAAUAAUAGAUUAUGUAUGUACUCAUGUGUAUAUUAAGAUUUAUGUAUAUGUAUUUACAAAAUAAAAAAAAUGUAUAAGUAUGAUAUAUAAGUAAAUUAUGAAAAUGUGUAUAUGCAUGUAUUAAAAUAUGUAUAUAUUUAUAAGUAUAUAUGUAUAUAAAAAUAAAAUAUGCAAAAAAUGUAUUUACAAUAAUUUUAAAAAAACGUACGUAUAUGUACAUUAUAGAAAAUGUAUUUAUAUACAUAUGGAUUAUAAAGUAUGGAAAAUGUAUAUAUAUUAUAAAAUGUAUAUGUAUAUAUACUUAUGAAAAUUAAAGAAAUAUGUAUUUAGAUAUAUAUAUAUAAAUACGUAUAUAAAUUGUAUAAUAUAAAAAAUGUAUGUAUAUAUAAAUUAUAUAAAAAAUAUGUACGUAUAUUUUAAAAAUGUAUGCAUAAAUAUGGUUAUAAUAAUAAUAUUAAUAAAUAAUAAUACAAUAAUAAUGAUGCAAUAUAACAGUAUUAAUAAUAUAUUAAAAUACUUAAAAAACCCAAAAAAAAACAUAUUAAGGAUUAAAUUGAAAAUAAAUGGAGUUUGGGGGCUGAAUUAAAAGUGGAAAACACAAAAAAGGACCAAAUCACAACGCGCACAACAAGAAGAGGGCCCAAAGGGAAAUAUCCCCACGCUAAUCCCACGGCGUCGUUCUAGUGAGACCUAUGCGUAUGGUCUUUGGGUCAAAUUGAAACAGGAGAGAAAUUUUGUGGCCAAAAUUGCAAAUAUGUGAAAAUAAAACUUCACUGAAAAUAACACAAAAGCGGGGGAACCAAUUGCGCAAAUAUCCCCACCAGCGAAAACACGCGGGUCACCUAGGCAGGUCAGGUCACACUUGCGAGUAUAGGCCUAUACGGCGCCGUUUUGGGGCCACUGAAACAGGCCUAAAACGACACCGUUUCAUGCCUAUUAUAAAAAUCAAAAUUUCCCUAAAGAAUUCAUUUUUUUGCCAAUUUUUAAAAAACUAACUAACCCUAGCUUUCUCUACUAGGGUUUCUAAUUUUCCUAUGGUCGCCGUCCCUGCUAGGCUAUUCCAGGGGCCUCGAACCCCGCCCGAUUUUCAACGGCGACGGAGCAGACAGAGAUUCAACACUUCAAGUAAUUUCUUUUUUUUAAUUGAUUUUUUCUUUACACACAACGAAUAAAAGAUAAAUAAUAAAAAGAAACAGAGAAAUCAGAAGAGAAAAGAAGAAGAAGAAAAUCUUAAAAACUCACUGCUAUCUUUUUUCUGAUCUUUUGAGUCAAUUUUCGUAUUCCUUUACACUGAUCCUUUUUCUUAGAUUUUUUUCUUUUUCUAUAAAUUUUGCAAUCUUUUCAUUAUCCUAGCCUUUUCUUGCGGUUUGGUAUUUUGUGGCAGGUACAUACUGAAAGGAUCGUGUACAACGUGCGGGCGACAUGCUGUGACAGAGGGGAUAACUGCUGGAGGGAGAAUGUGCGGUGCUGGGGGAGAAAGGUUAGGGUUUCUGGAAACAGUUUAGAAUUAGGUUAAUUGGGCUAGGCUAGAUUUGGGUUUGGUUUAAUGUAAUUGGGCCACAUACAUUAGGUCUUUACUUGUAAAUGGACUAGGUACUUUUUUUUUUGGGCCCGGGUUAAAAUUGGCUAUUACAAUUUGAUUCUACACAAUCUUUAUAGUAUGCAAUUUGUGCUAACAAUGUUGGUGCAUUAUAUCCUAAGCUUGAUUUUCGUAGUUUUAGCUAAGAUAAUAUUAAGUUGUCUAUGCCUAUAUAUGUUAUACAUAAUGGUUAGCAAAAUUAUGCCUUCAUUUAAUUGCUUAACCAUUAAUAUAAGAAUAACUUUAAAAUAAGCAUAUGAUUUUAUUUGCAUAGAGCCAACAUGUAAGAAACAUUUAUCCCAUGAGAAUUGGCUUUCAUUUAUAAGCUAAUAGGUUUCAUUUAUGACUGUUUGGAUGUAAAAAUAUCUAUUUUAUAUUCCACCAUAAUGCACUAAGAUGGACCAUCAAGUAUAAAGUUGAGAAAAUUUAGAAUUUUUAUUUGAUGGUGAAAGUUGAAAAGAGAUAUAUAUUUAAAAUUUUGAAAAAACUAGUCAUGUUGCAAAUUUUCUUAGUAUUAGAGGGAGACAAGUUGGAAAAAUAAGUAUAAUUAUGUCAUCACUUUUUGUGAUCCCUCACUAAUAUUAUGUGCACAAAGUUUGAAGGAAAAAAGUAUUUGCUAGACAUGUUUAGUGAUGCAAUUUAGAGAUUAUAUAUACUAGAUGAUACAUAUACCAGCUAAAAUGUUCCAAAUAAUUAUGAGUUCUAGAAGGACAAAGUGAUAAAAAUAAUUUUUGGGCACGCUAGAAGGAUGAAAACUAAUUGAUUCUAUAAAUAAAAAAUUCUUGAAAGAAAAGAGUAAGAAAUGAAGCUGGCCACACGUUAAAGGAGACGAGUACUCAUGAAGAGACCCAAGGCAUAACUUUUAAUAAAACCCCAAAAGAGGUUCAAUACAUGAAAUUAUGAAUAUAAUAAGAUAUCUCGAUUAGUUAUGUCAUAACUAAAGAUGAUGGAGUUGAUUAAAGGAAAUUGUUGUUAACAACGAUAAUCUAUGUAGAAUAUUUCAAUAUUAUGGGAGUAUUUUCAAUGAAAAUAUACUUGAAAGAAUUGAGAUAGGAAUAAUUCAUCAAAAUAAAUAGAUGUUUCUAUUAUAACUUAUGAAAUGUGUCUCUGUCAUGAAGUCCAAACAUCCGGCAGGUGUAAAGCCAAGUGGAGUAUAUGUUAGCAUAAUAGCUAAAAAAUACAAAUCAUAAUAUAUAGAAUUGACUUGUAAUACAAACAUUCACAAGACACUUGAUUUUGAUUAUAAAAAAUGAUUAAUUUGUGAUCUUAUCAAUUCAACAUACUUCGUAUAAUCAACGAAUUAUCAAUUAACCUCAUUUAACCAAUUUCCUUUAACAUAUUUCAAAUCAAAUUAAUAUGUUGAGCACGCCCUUAACCCUUUUUCUUGAUUCAUUGCAUAGUCUAUCUCCAAGUACCAUAAUCAUCAACAUUUCAAUAUAUAAAGUCAUAACACAAUGAAUCAUAGUUAGAAUUUUUUUUAUCCUAUUAACCAAGUAUGGAACAAAAAUAAAAACCUAAUUUGUCAAGCUCAUUCAAUCAGCUUAUAUUUUAUAAGAAGAGCCUGACUACAAAUCCUAUACAUGAUUUCAAAUUCGACUAUUUGUAUUUGAGAUUGAAUUUAAAAUUCAUGCUGAAAUUAUCAAAUUAACUCGCAAAGCUACUCAAGCUAAACAUUAAGGUACUUGAAUUCAAGUGGGUAGAUAUCACAAACUCUUUUAGCUUGUAAAACUAUUUCUAAGGGUCAGCCCAAAAUCAUGUUUGUGCCCAAAAUCUGGUAACAAAUAUUUAAUUGAGCCAUCGGCCUAAAACAAAAAAGGCUUAAAAGGUUGGCACUCGAACUAUCAAAGAUAAACACCACCAUACACUGCUCCUCGAAUCCGAUACAUAUAAUAACACCCUUUGCCAAUUUUGUUCUUCUCAUUUUCUUUAACCUCAAUUUGGAAGGUCCCCUUUCUCUCUUUAGUGCUUUCUAGGGUUUGGGUUUUAAGAAUCCUCAGAGAUGCAAUUCAUGGAUCCCACUAAGAAACAAAAGCUUGACGAAAAUGGUAUUAUUUCAGCAUUAUCGGAACCUGACCCAAUCACCAAACUAACCCCACAAGAUGGGCGCAAGCUAAUCAAACGAUUCACAUUCAAUCAACUCCUUGACAUCCUCCAAGAUGUCGUUUGUUGUCACCUUGAUGUUCUUUCCGCCGUACGCUCUAUUGCCGAUCAAGAUCCAUCUCAAAGGAAGCUCUUCAUCCGUGGGUUGGGUUGGAAUACUACAACCCAACCCAACCCACAUUAGUAUGCUACCAUGAGGUAAUUUCUAGUGAUUUCUGUCUGUAACAUUAGACAGAUUAACAGUUAAAUCGUUCAACUGACAGAUUUCAUUAAAGAAAGAAGUCAAUUGAUUUUUUUUUGGAAUCAUUGAGUACUCAAUUGGAGCACUUUUUUCAUAAAGAUUAAAUUAAUUUUUUAAUUUGUUAUCGCUGAGAGCUACAGUAAUAAAAAAUUUUGAGGUAAAAUUGGAAUAACGGCCCAAAAAUCUAAUACUUAAUUUGUAAAAUUUUAUCAUUAAUAAGUAUUUGUCUUAGUGGUUAAGUAUUUGAGUCGUGUUUAUAAAAUUAAUUUUUAAUUUUUGCGUGGGUCGGGUAGGUGGUUGAGUUUGAGUCCAUUUCGAACUCUGGAAAAAGGUGGUUGGUUAUCUGAGAUGGGGUUAGUGCUUAGUAGAUUUGGAUUUGGUUUAUUUUAAAAUUUAUUAAUCAAUUUGUUAAAAAAAUAAAUUAGUUUUUUCCUAUUUUUUGGCUCACCAUUCUUUCUUUUGUUUUUCUUUAUGCUUUCUUUUUCUUUUCUUUUUCUGUUACCUUUCAAAUCACGUCGAUUUGUUCCUAUUUUGCUUUUGAGUUUUUCUUUUCUUUCCUUUAUUACGCUCCCUCUACGAUCGGGUCUUAAUUCCUUAAUUAUUUUCUCUUUGUUGGCGUUUCUCAUUCGUAAGUGGGUUAGUUUCGUUUUGAUGUGUUUUUACGUGGUUAGUAAAAGAAAUGUGUUAAGUUUUGGAUUAUGGAGUUGAUCGUUUUUAAUCAAUUCUCCAGUAAGUUGACUCGUUUGCUGUUGUAAUGUGCUAGGGUAAGAGAUUAAUUCUGAUUUGGGCCUGUGUGGUGUGUAGAUUUCCCAUGUGAAUUCGUUUGAUAUUUUUAGGAUAAAUCAUUCUUUAAAUCGUAUUGCUGAUGUUUUAAUUUAUGCAUUUAGGAUCUGGUAGUCUUGUAGGUGUUUUCGCAUAAACAAUUCGAACCAUGUGUGUAACGAAAAACCCGACAACAACGAGCGACGAAAGCUAAAAAAUUGCACUGUCGAUGCCACACGGCCAUGUGACAAGCCGUGUGCUGGACCGUGUGCAACACACUAUCUGAGCUAGUUGAGCCAUGUGAAACAAGAAACUAAGAAAAUCCAAUCUAACAAAGAAAAUAACUUGAUGUCCAAAAGCUACCAUGAACCGUAAUUCAUGGGAAGGCUUGUUGCUCAUUUUAUUGGUUUCCAUUUUGACUUUUGCAAAAGAAGUUUGAAUUUUGAAGAGAGCCUAGUACGUGAGAGCAAAAGAAAGAAUUCUAUAAAGAUUUUGAAUUUUGAAUUUUGAAUUUUGAAGCAAAUUUUCAUUAAGAUUGAAGAUUUGUAAUUAAUUUCUUAGGAGAUUAUCACGAGUUCCUUAAUUUUUUCAGUUAUAUUGCCCUUUGGAUGUUUUUAUUUUUAAUCAUGAACUAAUUUUCUAAAUACGUAAGAGAGAUGAACCCUAUGAUAGAUUGUGACACCCCAAAGCCGACCGGGAUAGACCGACCCAAAUUCGAAGCAUUACAUUAGCAACCUAAGUGACUCACUAGCUAACGACCACCCAAAACACACCCCGACCUUAUAACACCUCAAUCUUAUUUAAUUAUUAGUUAUUUUAGAGAUUCUUAGCUUUGACAACUUCUCUCCACCACUUCUCUUACGCUCCUUCCAGGAUCUUGCUUUUUGUCUGUUGAAAACUCAAAUGAACAAAAUAAAGUGAAUUUAUGAGUUUUGUUUUCUUUUAAAAAUAUUUUUAAUAUUUUUGUGGAUAUCAAGAGAUACCAAAAAUUAUUUCAUUAAGAAAUUUUAAUUCACUCGAAAAGUUAGUGUUUUAUUUCAAGGGAUCAUAAUUAAUCAUUAGAUUUCUGAAUUUUAAAUUUUGAAUUUUUUGACAAUUGCGUAAUUAAUAAGUACCAAUUUUGAGUGUUGUAGGGCUAGUACAAUCUUCCUUACACAUAACCGACUCUUGAUCUAAUAAAUAUUUGUCCUUAUACUUUGAUCUAAAUAUUUUGAUCUAAUAAAUGUAAAAAAACCUUUUAAACAAAAUAAGGUUGAAAUAAUCUAUUUGUCUUUAUACUUUGAUAAAAUUUAAGAUUUAGUCUGUAUACCUAAAAGGUUAAAAAUUAAGUCUUCUUGUUUUUAUUUAAAAAUCUUAGUCCUAUCGUUAAUUUUUUUUUGUUAAAAUUUACCAACUUGACAUAUUAAUUAGGUUUCCCUUAUAUGUCGUGGUAUACGACNNNNNNNNNNNNNNNNNNNNNNNNNNNNNNNNNNNNNNNNNNNNNNNNNNNNNNNNNNNNNNNNNNNNNNNNNNNNNNNNNNNNNNNNNNNNNNNNNNNNNNNNNNNNNNNNNNNNNNNNNNNNNNNNNNUUGAAAUACAAGAACUAACAACAUAUGUUAAAAUAUUACUAGUAAAUUAUAUAUCUACAACAAGAAUUGUAAAAUUCUGCACCUUUCGUUAUAAUAUGAUUUAUUAAUUUUAAAUUUUUUACAGAAUAAUAUGCUUUAAACUAUUUUUUGUAUCACUUAUAAAAAUUAUAAUAAACUUACAAAAUGAUUUCAUCAUAUUUAAUUAUUAACGGGAAAAAAUGAUACCAUAUAUAUUUUGUAUAUAUUAAGAUUCCGAAUCAUUAAUUAUAUAUCUACACAUUAUAAUAAAUUCAUCUUUCAAAAUUUUCCUUAUAAUUAAAUCAUAAAUUACAUUUAUAAUAUUAAAAAUAUAUUAUAUCAUAAAUAUUCUUUCAAAUAUUUUUUAAUGUUUAAUAAUAAGUUAAUUUAUAAAAUAUUCUUUCAAGAAAUUAACGUGAUGAGAUCAUUAGGUGCUUGGAUUUGGUGAUGGGGGAUGAAGAGAAAAGGGAUGGAAGUGAAGAAAAAUGUUGAGAAAUGGAAAGGGUUAGCGAGGGAAGCCGCCAUGAAAGUUUAUUGGUUCUAUGGAUAUGAACCUUCAAGCUUUUGUGGAUGAUGUUACUCAAAGGUUGUUGCAAGUAAAUUUUAAAAAAAAUUAGGUAAAAAGAAAAAAAAUUAGGUAAAUUUUAAAAUUUUAAAAUUUUAUCAUUAAUAAGUAUUUGUCUUAGUGGUUAAGUAUUUGAGUCGUGUUUAUAAAAUUAAUUUUUAAUUUUUGCGUGGGUCGGGUAGGUGGUUGAGUUUGAGUCCAUUUCGAACUCUGGAAAAAGGUGGUUAGUUAUCUGAGAUGGGGUUAGUGCUUAGUAGAUUUGGAUUUGGUUUAUUUUAAAAUUUAUUAAUCAAUUUGUUAAAAAAUUAAAUUAGUUUUUUCCUAAUUUUUGGCUCACCAUUCUUUCUUUUGUUUUUCUUUAUGCUUUCUUUUUCUUUUCUUUUUCUGUUACCUUUCAAGUCACGUCGAUUUGUUCCUAUUUUACUUUUGAGUUUUUCUUUUCUUUCCUUUACGCUCCUCCCUCUACGAUCGGGUCUUAAUUCCUUAAUUAUUUUCUCUUUGUUGGCGUUGCUCAUUCGUAAGUGGGUUAGUAAAAGAAAUGUGUUAAUUUUUGGAUUAUGGAGUUGAUCGUUUUUAAUCAAUUCUCCAGUAAGUUGACUCGUUUGCUGUUGUUAUGUGCUAGGGUAAGAGAUUAAUUCUGAUUUGGGCCUGUGUGGUUGUGUAGAUUUUCCAUGUGAAUUCGUUUGAUAUUUUUAGGAUAAAUCAUUCUUUAAAUCGUAUUGCUACCAUCGCUAAUGUGAUGUUUUAAUUUAUGCAUUUAGGAUCUAGUAGUCUUGUAGGUGUUUUCGCAUAAAAAAUUCGAACCAUAUGUGUAACGAAAAACCUGAUAACAACGAGCGACGAAAGCUAAAAAAUUGCACUAUCGACGCCACAUGACCAUGUGACAAGCCGUGUGCUAGACCGUGUGCAACACAGGAUCUGGGCUAGUUGAGCCGUGUGGAACACACAGAUGUGUGUGAAGACGUGUGCCACGCCAUGUGGGCCACACGAGCUGGCCAUUUAGGCCGUAUGGGACCAAAAUUCUAAAUUUUUUCCUAGGGUUAUACAUAGUGUGUAUAUUUGUCUCUAAAUUGAAAAAUUCUAAACAACUCUAAAUAAAUGGAAAGCAGCAAAUUACCUGACGAGGCAAGCUAGGUCAAUUACGACCAUUGUGUUAUACUUGUCUCUGAAUUGAAAAUUUUAGAAGAAAAUAAAGAGAAAGAGUUAGAAAAUACUUGAAAAUAGUUAAAAUUUAUAUCUGAUUGAUUGGAUAAACUACAAUCACCCAUAAUAGACCUUGUACUUGACUUUUUGUUGAGGGAGAUUGACUCGUUUAGGAGAAGUCUUUUGAGUGUUGUUUGCUAGGCAAUCGGUGCUGCCCUCAACAACUAAUGGUAGUGUCCCCAUGUCGGGAUUUUAUCCCUAGCCUCUACGGAAUAAUCAUUGAGGAUAUGUGCGUAGGGAUUCAAACUACCAACCAAUGCAUUUGUAGCCUUUACCUUGCAACCAUCUCCAUGAACCCAUAGGGUUCUUAGCGGAAUCAAGAAACGAAACCCUAACGUGAGAACAUUACCAUUUGUUGAAGGCUUUGUUAAUAGGGUCAUACCUAGGGAAGUUGGCAGGGGUCCAACCCCCCUUAAAAUGAAAAAAAUUCCAUUUAGGCCCUUUAAAAUUUUUAAAAUUUUAAAUUAAUAAAAGUAAAAUUGUACUUUGGCCCCCAAAAAAUGAUAAAAUUUUGAUUUAAUCCUUUAAAAAUUAUAAAAUACAGACUAUUAAAAUGGUGAACUUGCAUUUUGACUAUCGUAAAAAUUACAAUUUAAUUUCACCCCCUAAAAAGAUUUUCUGGAUUUGCCUCUAAUAAAAUCUUUGGAAAAUGAUUAAAAUAAAAUUAUUCUGUAAAUGAAAAAAGAAACUAAGAAAAUCCAAUCUAACAAAGAAAAUAACUUGAUGUUCAAAAGCUACCAUGAACCGUAAUUCAUGGGAAGGCUUGUUGCUCAUUUUAUUAGUUUCCAUUUUGAUUUUGCAAAAGAAGUUUGAAUUUGGACGAGAGCCUAGUACGUGAGAGUAAAAGAAAGAAUUCUAUAAAGAUUUUGAAUUUUGACUUUUGAAGCAAAUUUUCAUUAAGAUUGAAGAUUCGUAAUUGAUUUCUUAGGAGAUUAUCACGAGUUCUUUAUUUUUUCCAGUUAUAUUGCCCUUUGGAUGUUUUUAUUUUUAAUCAUGAACUAAUUUUCUAAAUAUGUAAGAGAGAUGAACCUUAUGAUAGAUUGUAACACCCUAAAGCCGAAUGGGCCAGACCGACCCGAAUUCGAAGCAUUACAAUAGCCACCUAAGUGACUCACCAGCUAACGACCACCCAAGACACACCCCGACCUUAUAACACCUCAAUCUUAUCUAAUAAUUAGUUAUUUUAGAGAUUCUUAGCUUUGACAAGUUCUCUCCACCACUUCUCUUACGCUCCUUCCAGGAUCUUGCUUUUUGUCUGUUGAAAACUCAAAUGAACAAAAUAAAGUGAAUUUACGAGUUUUAUUUUUUUUUAAAAAUCCUUUUAAUAUUUUUGUGGAUAUCAAGAGAUACCAAAAAUUAUUUCACUAAGAAAUUUUAAUUCACUCGAAAAGUUAGUGUUUUAUUUCAAAGGAUGAUAAUUAAUCAUUAGAUUUCUCAAUUUUAAAUUUUGAAUUUUUUGACAAUUACGAAAUUAAUAAGUACCAAUUGAGUGUUGUAGGGAUAGUACAAUCUUCCUUACACAUAACCGACUCUUGAUCUAAUAAAUAUUUGUCCUUAUACUUUGAUCUAAAUAUUUUGAUCUAAUAAAUGUAAAAAACCUUUUAAACAAAAUAAGGUUGAAAUAAUCUAUUUGUCUUUAUACUUUGAUAAAAUUUGAGAUUUAGUCCUUAUACCUAAAAGGUUAAAAAUUAAGUCUUCUUGUUUUUAUUUAAAAAUCUUAGUCCUAUCGUUAAUUUUUUUGGUCAAAUUUAUCAACUUGACAUAUUAAUUAGGUUUUCCUUAUAUGUCGUGGUAUAUGACUAACACAAAAUAAACAAGUUGACAAGUUUUGACAAAAAAUAUCAAAGAUGAUAAUAAAUUAAUUAAAAUUUUUAAAUUGAAAAAGUAAGGAAUUAAAUUUAUAACUUUUAAAGUACAAAGAAUGAACUUAUUGAAAUACAAGAACUAACAACAUAUUUUAAAAUAUCACUAGUAAAUUAUAUAUCGACAACAAGAAUUGUAACCUCUUAUAUUAUAUUCUUGUAUCUAUUUUUCAUCUUUCAUUAUAAUAUGAUUUAUUAAUUUUAAUAUUUUUAUAGAAUAAUAUGCUUUAAAUUAUUUUUUGUAUCAUUUAUAAAAAUUAUAAUAAACUUACAAAAUGAUUUAAUGAUAUUUAAUUAUUAACGAAAAAAUUAUAUCAUAUAUAUUCGGUAUAUAUUAAGAUUCCGAAUCAUUAAUUAUAUAUCUACACAUUAUAAUAAAUUCAUCUUUCAAAAUUUUCCUUAUAAUUAAAGCAUAAAUUAUAUUUAUAAUAUUAUAAAUAUAUUAUAUCAUAAAUAUUCGUUCAAAUAUUUUUUUAAUUUUUAAUAAUAAGUUAAUUUAUAAUAUAUUCUUUCAAUAAUUUAAUGUGAUGAGAUCGUUAGGUGCUUGGAUUUGGUGAUGGGGGAUGAAGAGAAAAGGGAUGGAAGUGAAGAAAAAUGUUGAGAAAUGGAAAGGGUUAGCGAGGGAAGCGGACAUGAAAGUUGGUUCUAUGGAUAUGAACCUUCAAGCUUUUGUGGAUGAUGUUACUCAAGGUUGUUGUAAGUAAAUUUUAUAAAAAUUGAGGUAAAAUUAAAAAAUGUUAGAGCCUAAUUUGUCAUUAUGACUAAAAUGUAAAACCAAAAUUUUUUGAAAAUGAAAAAAAUGGAAAAUCACAAAUUCUGUCACUUAUGUUUGCUUAAAAUAUAGUUUUGGACACCAAUCUUUUGAAGUAAAUAUAUGGUCACCAAUAUUAUCCAUUUGUUACUUUGUAAUAACUCACCUUAAACUUCAGUAAUUGACGAGCGCUUCCACAAACUAUGGAUGAUUUGGGGAUAAGAACUUCAAUAAUUCUGGAGUUAAAAGUGUAAACUUACUACUAUCUUAUAAGCAAAUAUUGAAAUUUAUCAUUAUAUUUUAAUUGAUACUUGUCAUUACACUUUGAAAAUAUAAGUAAAUUUACCAUUUAACUCAUAUGUGAUUGAACUUUGCAAGUAGACUUAAAAUUUUAUUUAAUUUUAUCACUAAAUUUAAUUUAUUUAAUUAAAUUUACAACUCAAUAUAGAUUUUGGUGACUUAAAACAAAAUUUUUUUUAGAAAAACUAUUCUUUCAGAUAAUUUUUUAAUGUUUAAUAAUAAGUUGAUUUAUAAAAUAUAGUUUCAUUGGACACAAACAUCCAAGGCGGUCAACAAACCACUGGUCAAAUUAUUUUGGAGAUAUAAUUUUUUUUUCUAAAUCAAGUGAAUUUACGAGUUUUGCUUUUUUUUUUAAAAAUAUAUAUUUUUUUAAUAUUUUUGUGGAUAUCAAGAGAUACCAAAAAUUAUUUCACUAAAGAAUUAAUUAGUGUUUUAUUUUAAGGAUUCACAACUAAACAUUAGAUUUUUCAUUUUUAAAUUUAGAAUUUUUUGACAAUCACAUAAUUAACAAGUACUAAUUUUGGGUGUUGUAGGGUUAUUACAACCUUCCCUACAGCUAACAGACUCUUAAACCUACUUUAUUCUCUAGAACUCAAUGCAAACCUCAAGUUUAUCUUUUUAAAAGAAUUCUAAAAUAUCUAUAUAAAAAGUGAUUUUUUUACAAAUCAGAUUUAACAAAAUUUUAAUUUUUUUAAAAAAUUUAAAGUGAUCUAAAAACAUAUUUUUAAGUGCUUUAGACCAUCCGGUGGUGAUUUCUUUAUUGUAUUAAAUGCUUGUAAUCACUCCUGAUAUAUUAUACUUGAGUUGUGGUAGAGUCAAUUGUCAACGUGCCAUAAUGUUCUAUUGAUGGUGAAAUUGAAGUUUUUGUUAUAUUAAUAGAGCUUGUCCUUCAAUGCGUAUAACAGGUGUUUAUUAUUUUUUCCCUUCAAAUUGUAUGAUCUCAUUCAUUAAAUGAAUUAGUGAAUUUCUCUUUAAAAAGUAUAAUUUUAAAAAUUAAAUACUUUAUAAAAUAUUUAAAACUAUUUAAAAAAUUGUCAGCGUUAAAACAAUCAACAAGAUAUAUUUUUCUCUAAAAAAUCAAUAAAACUAUGUUUGAAAUUUAAAUUUUUUUAACAAUAAUAUAUUUUAAAAUUAUUUACACCUUUUUUAUAUAUUUUGUCCUAACAUAUCAUUAUUUUCAACACUAUCGUAAUCCUAUUUUGAUAAUUCCCUUUCCAUACAUCCUUUUUUCUACAUAGAAUUUCGAAAGAAAAUGUGAAUUAAUGCAGACGUGAGAAGUCACCCAAUGAAAGUGACCUAAACCGACUUAUGGAAGAAUCAAACAAUAAUUUUGUAUCUUAUAAUAAUUACAUUUAUUAGUUUAUCAAUCAUUAUUUCACACAUAAAAAACACAAAGCAUAAAAUUCACUUUUAAAGUAUUUGGGUUGUAUUUGUAUUAUAGGAAAUGGAUUUAUUCUUGAUGCACAUGUUUUAUUAUAUUUAAAAAUUAAAAUUUAUGAUUGAUUGGGUUUUAGUUGAGUUAGUAUUAGUAUUAUUAUCACUGUAGUAAAAAGUGAACUCGAUCAUGCUCAAAUGCGUUUUAUCCUCCAAUUCAAGAGUUAAGAAAAAAUUAUUGAUAAUUAAAUUAUACAAUAUCUAAAAAGCAUUUAUAAAUAAUAUAAGGGAAAAAAAAGAGAGAGAAACAUAUUCAUAUCGAUGGGCUCUUUCAUUAUUAGACCUUUUUUCUCUCUCAAGUAAAAGUACUUAUGAUGAGGAUUAUGUAAAAUAAUGACCUGAAUAAUUUUUAACGUUUCAUCAUUGCAAAAAUGAAAUAAUAGAAAAGAAAGACUACCCAUUUUAUGAAAUAUAAAUUUUAAAUGAAUUUUAAAAUCUUUUUGUAGAAAGCUAUUUUUUUUAGGUGAUUCACCAAAGAAUAAAAAGAUGGGAGGUGAUUCCUCCUUUUUAAUAAAACCUUGUGCUUUUACAAACACCAAAUUAUUCCUAAGCUUUACAUUAAUAUACAUGAUUUAUUUGUUCGUUAUUAUUAUUUCUAUGAUUAUAAUAUUAUACUUAUUGGACUAUAAUCAUAACCAUGUUUAUUAUCAUUCAAUAAAAAUAAAUAAGUGUUAGGUGUAAUGGCAAUGUACAUUACACUGUUAAUAGGAGAUUAGGGUUUUGGACAAAGGAAGACUAUGAUUCGAAUUUUGGAGGCGACAUUCUUAAAAUGAGCAACCACGGAGCCCAAUUAUGAACCAUAAAAUGAACAUGAAAAGUACAAAAAAAAACACGUCUGUUAUCAAAUUAGUAAUCCAUCCCAAGGCUUAAAUUAACAAAUUUCACCAUGCAACCGUGUAGACUAUUUUAUGUAUAUACUAUAUUUAUUCUUUAUGCAAAUGUUUAUUAUAUUUAAAAAUUAAAAUAUAUGGUUGAUUGAGUUUUAGUUGAGUUAAUAUCGAUAUUGUUGUUAGUGCAAAAGAAUGUGAGUUCAAUCAUGUUUAAACGUUUUUAUCUUCCAAUUUAGGAGUUGGAGAGGAUUCUCAAUAGUUAAAUUAUAUAACUUUUUGUCUAUUUAAAAUUGGUUUAUAAAUAAUAUAAAUAAAAAGAUUUAAAAUAUAUAUAUUAAUAUUGAUCGGCUUUUUCAUUAUUAGACUUUUUCCCUAUAGGUAAAGUAUUUAUGGACAGGAUGAUGUAAAGUUAUGACCUAAAUAAUUUUAAACCAUUCAUCAUUGCAAAAAUGAAAAUAAUAGAAAUGAAAGACUAGCCAUUGUAUGAAAUUUGGCAGGCCGUGUCAAUUUCGUGGAUUUGCAUUCUGAACUGUGAAAAAAAAUGUAAAUUUUAGGUUUUUUCAAACAUUUUAAUACGUAUAUAUAAAAAAAAAAGAAGAUAGGAGAGAACCUUCCUAGAAUAUUUAAGAAAACAGCUCCAAAGACACUAUUGAAGCCGACUCUGAAGCAGAUUUUCAUCAAGAUUGAAGAUUCCCAGUUGAUUUCUUAAGAGAUUAUCAUGAGUUUCUUUAUUUCUUUCGGUUAUACUGCCCUUUGGAUGUUCUUAUUUUUAAGCAUGAACUAAUUUUCUAAAUACCUAAGAGAGAUGAACCCUAUGAUAGAUUGUGGCACCCCAAACCCGAUCAGGAUAAAACAGCCCGCAUUCGAAGCAUUACAUUAGCCACCUAAGUGACUCUCCAGCUAGCGACCACCCAAGACACACCCCAACCUUAUAACACCUCAAUCUUGUUUAAUUAUUAGUUAUUUAUUAUUGCAGAAGUAAAUAAUGAGCCAAUUUCAAACUUUUCCUAGGUAAUUUAACCUAAGGGCAAUUUUGUCAUUUUACCACCUAUUGUAAAACUAACUCGAUUUUAGAUCUAAGUGUUUACCAACCUUCUUUUAGUCAAAUUAUGCAAGCCUAAAUUUUUUAGCUUAAUUUGAGUUUGCUUACGAUACCUAAUUCAAGUUUUAUUAUUAAUGACUAAAUUGUAACUUAAACAAAUUAGAAUAUCAAUUUAAAGAGAAAAAAAUUCCAAACCCCAAAACCAACACGGGCGUGUGGGUAAGUGACACGGGCGUGUGGAGACUGGAGCUAUCACACAUGGGCGAGUGGGAUUGAAAAAUAUGAAAUAAAUUAAUCCACUUAAUUUUCCAACUACCAUGCUAUACUACCAAACCAAAUAUCGCUUGAAGCUUUGAAUAGGGGCGAAUCUAAAAAAUAUUAGAAGAAUUAUAAUUAAAUUAUAAAAUUUUGAGAAGUUAUCAUGUAUUAAUUUUUUAUUUUUUAAGGGUCUUCAUAGAAUUUUUUUUCACAUUUUGGUUGGGCCAAUACCCCUGUCUGCCUCUUUAAAUUUGCUUGAACCCUAAACUCAAUAUUCGAUUUGUUGUGGAAGUUUGAUACAUAAAAAUUUCUUUUUUAGAGGUUUAAAUUAUAAAUUUUUGAAAGUUUAAAAUAAAUUUGUCUUUUUUUAUUAACAAAAUAUAAAAGAAAAAAAAACAUGUUUAGACAAGCCAAGAAACCUUUGGGAUCAUACGGGUGAUUUUGAUGAUGUUUCAUCCAUAAAAAUUUCAUGGGAGGUCCAAAGGUAAUUAAAUGACUUGUAGGCUUGCUGAAUUUCUUUGAAAGGCCCAAAGGCAAUUUAACAUUCACAAAAUAAUCUCUAAAUACUGUAAAGACAAAUCAAAUCCACAGUAGCAUUAGAGUUGAUUAAGCUAAGCAUUGGCAGAUAUUACUUUGAUUUUGCAUGCAAUAUUGGCAAAACCCCUCUUACAUUAGAAAAUCAACAUAAUCCAUGAAACAUUGAUAGCCCAAUACAAAUUUCAUCGACAAAAAAGUCUCUUUGUUUUGUAGAACAUGAUUGUAAAGAUGUGGAGUUUCGUUCUUCUCAUUGGCCUCCUUUAGUGUUCCUUGAUCAACACAAUUAGAUUAGAUUAUGAAUGAUACUUUCAACUAUGAUAAUAUUAAAUACAAAACACUCUAAAUAACUCUAAAUAAAUGGAAAGCAGCAAAUUACCUGAUGAGGCAAGCUAGCUCAAUUAAGAUCAUUGUGUUAUACUUAUCUCUGAAUUGAAAAAUUUAGAAGGAAAUAAAGAGAAAGACUUAGAAAAUACUUGAAAACAGAUAAAACUUAUAUGUCAUUUAAAAUAAAAAAAAAAUUCUAUUUAAGCGGUUUACAAUUUUUAAGAUUUUUAAAAUUUUAAAAUGAUAAAGGUAAAAUUGUACUUUGGCACCCCCAAAAAUGAUAAAACUUUGAUUUAAUCAUUUAGAAAUUAUAAAAAUAUAGGCUAUUAAAAUUGUGAAAUUAUAUUUUUACUAUACUAAAAAUUACAAUUUAAUUUUACUCCCUAAAAGGAAUUUCUAGCUUCGCCCCUAAUAAAAUCUUUGGCAAAAGAUUAAAAUAAAAUUAUACCGUAAAUAGAAAAAGAAACUAAGAAAAUCCAAUCUAACAAAGAAAAUAACUUGAUGUCCAAAAGCUACCAUAAACCGUAAUUCAUGGGAAGGCUUGUUGCUUAUUUUAUUGGUUUCCAUUUUGAUUUUGCAAAAGAAGUUUGAAUUUUGAAGAGAGCCUACUACGUGAGAGCAAAAGAAAAAAAUAGUUUAUAUGAUUAAAAUUCCAGAAUGGAUUAAAAAUGUUGAAUUAAAGAUAAAAUUACUCACCAUCUCUGUUAAAAAUGUUGGAUGUUGUUUAGCAACCUUUGUUUGAUUUUCUUCAGCUCAACCACAACAUCUUUCAUAUCUUUUCUUUCUUCUGGUAACUCAGCUGAACAAUUCAAAGCCAACUCCAUGAUAGAUGAAAUACAAUUUGCUUUAACAACAAUGUACUCAUCCUCUCUUCUUAGUAAAUCAAUAUCUGCAAUUUCUAUCGCUCCUUUAGGCAAUGAACUUUCCAUCCAAUGCCUUAUACUCUCUUCUUCAACAAAAACAUUAUCAGUUGGCUUUUUCUUUGUGAAAGUUUCUAUAAGGACGAUCCCAUAACUAUAGACGUCAGAUUUUAUAGAAACAAUUCCUGCUGAUCCAAAUUCUGCAUUUCAAGUAUAAUUAGAACAUCAUUCAUCCUCAAUUAUUUCUAAAAUGCUUAUUCAAAUAUAUAUCCACAUACACAUGAAACCAAAAUAAAAUGUAAAUUAGGAAAAUAAUCAUACAAAAAUAAAAAAGAAUUCACCUGGUGCCAUAUACCCGGUAGUUGCAAGAGUCAUGGUUUGCUUCAUUACUUCACCUUCUCCCAACAAUUUGGCAACGCCAAAAUCUCCGACAUGUGCAACCAUGUCUUCAUCUAGUAAAAUAUUGCUUGGUUUUAUGUCACAAUGAAUUAUAGGUGUUGGAUGUCCAUUGUGGAGGUGUUCUAUACCUACCGCAACAUCUAUCAUUAUGUCGACCCUUUGUAUGAUAUCAAGGAAACAAUUUUCAGAAUGUAACCAUUUCUCAAGGUUUCCAUUAGACAUGUAAUCAAGCACCAAGGCUUUGAAGUCAACACUUGAGCAGCACGUAAUGACCUUCACAAUAUUACGAUGAACUAUAUUACGCAUAGCAUCACAUUCAAUGUCAAAACUCCUAAAUGCUCCCUCUGUUUGCAAAUUGAAAACUUUUAUUGCAACUUCCAUUCCGUCUGAAAGCCUCCCUUUAUAUACAUAUCCAAAACUCCCUGAACCAAGCAUAUUGCUUUCCUCAAAUCCAUUAGUUGCUCGUGAAAGUUCAUCAUGUGAAAUUCUUCUCGGUGUCUUCAAAGACAACAAAUCAUCUUUAAUUGGUAGAGCUGUACUUCUUUGGCAUCUUCUAUACAUAAUAGUUAAGACUAUUAAUACUACGACAAUACCAAUUGUUGGUAAACCAUACCUAAAAGCAUGCAAUAUAAUCAUUUGGGAGUUUUUGUGGAUGUCGUUUUUACAAGGUGGGACUAGCAAUCUAGGUGGACCACAAAGUGCAUAAUUCUUCAUGAAUGAUGUGCUAGAAAAGUUUGAAAAACAUCCUUUGCUGGGAAUUUCCCCUUCAAGUCUAUUGAAAGACACAUUAAAAUACUUUAGAUAUAAAAGCUUUUCCAAAGAUGUGGGAAUGACUCCAGAGAGAUUGUUAUUGCAUAAAUCCAAGAAUUCCAGACUAAUUAACCCAUCAAAUGAUUCAGGGAUAUGACCAUGUAGUAUAUUAUUUGAUAAAUCUAAUGAAACCAAAGUUUGAAGACCCCCAAAUGUGGAUAAGAUAUCGCCCGUGAGAAGAUUCCUUGAUAAAUUUAGUUUCAGUAGACUCCUCAAAUUUCCAACAUCAAUAGCAUGUGAAUUGUGAAGAUGGUUUGAUGAUAAAUCUAUUUCUAAGAUAUCUUUAAGAUUCCACAAAGUUGAGGGUAUUGUAGAACUCAAUUUGUUGGAAUCUAAGUAAAGAUAUCCCAAAGAAGUAAUAUUACCCAAACAAGAGGGUAUGGAUCCAUGCAGCUUAUUCAACCCUAAAUACAUCUCGUACAGUCUCUCCAAAUCACAAAGGCUUUCUAAGAUGG
RNAcentral lists this long non-coding RNA (265335 nucleotides) under Gossypium raimondii (Peruvian cotton). RNAcentral's name for it is "long non-coding RNA (GRAI_LNC007579)". The stretch from base 114478 to 114564 matches the Rfam family "MIR7486 microRNA precursor family". The record is from RNAcentral. Lineage: Eukaryota; Viridiplantae; Streptophyta; Magnoliopsida; Malvales; Malvaceae.